This 331439-nucleotide long non-coding RNA is filed under the name Capsicum annuum. RNAcentral's name for it is "long non-coding RNA (CANN_LNC010775)". The record is from RNAcentral. Lineage: Eukaryota; Viridiplantae; Streptophyta; Magnoliopsida; Solanales; Solanaceae.
CUGACCCGGCCCAUCAUCAACAAAUGCUCCUUUCUCCCUUAAUCAGCAAGAACUAGUCCCCAACACAAAAAACAACCAAAAAUGGCGUACAACUCUAGGAACUCGAACAACAACGACAAGCGCGAUUCAGUGAAUCCACCAUUGAACCAACCCGAAAUAGAUCCUAAACCAUUCUUUUUCCCUUUUUCACACGUCUCAUGCGGCAGUAGGAUAAGGAAAACCCUAAAACCUUCUAGAAAAUGGGCUAGGUGUCAUCUCCAAUGUUUCAAUCCUACAAAUUUUGGGAUAACUCGUACGAUCUCGUACAAUAUUUGGCUGAUUUCCAUAGGUUUUGGGGAGGAAUUCGUUUUCCCUAAAUCUCAUUGGUCCACCAAUUUCAAUAUUGGUAAAAUGGAUUGAUGAAACCUUAAGCGGUGAGAGGAUUUUUGAAUUUCAAAAUUCAAAAACAUCCUUCUUUUAAAUCCCCAAAACACCCCUAAUUCGGGGGAUAUAAAAAGACCCCUGGGGUCACUAUUUGGGGGGAUUUUUUUCUCUUCUUUGAGGGAUUUUUGGUUUCUUCUCUCCUUUUCUUUCCCUUAAGAGUUGGAAAUUUUAGAAGCCUUUGUUUUUUUUCGUUUAGAGAAAUUUUAGGUUUGAAAAAAGGGGUAAUUCUUAGUUUGGAAAAUUUUAGGUCAUGGUUGAGGGUUACUUUCCCUUCUGAGGUGGAAAAAUUAAGGGAGAAAGCUAGGUUGGAACAUUUUUCUAAGAAAAAUUUCUGAUUUGGAAAAACUGAGAUAGAGGGAAGAAAGAAAAAGAAAAGAUUUCUGAAGAAAGAUUAAAUCUUUGAAGUUUUCCGGUGGUCGUGAUCCCCGUAUCAGUUCCUCGUCUUUUUUUGCUACUCCCGAAAAGGUAACGUCCUAUUUUCGUUCAAUUUCUAUUAUAUUUCUGCUCCCUCUCGUCAUUCUAUAGUCAUGACUGUCAUUCCGAAGAUUUUGUAAGCUGGGUUAUCUGCUGUAGAGGUCUUCAAGACCACAGGUUUCCAUUUUAGUGAAAAGCAAUGUUUCUUUGUAGUGCUACGUUGGGAUGAAUUCCUAUUGUGAUUGUAUGACAUAUGGUUUUCAUCGUCUUUAGAUCUUGAUUUCGUGAUUGGUCAUCUACUCUCAGCAUUACUGAUUAAUUUCUGUUCUAAUGUAUCAUCUUGUGGACUGUUUGUGAUUUGAAGCAGUUGAAGAUCUUAUUUUGAUUCUCUCUUAACAAUUUUCAUCCUCUUGUUGCCUUGAUUCGUAGUUGUAGUUUUAUAAUCUUAAGUGCUGAGUGUAGCUCGUUGGGAGGCUAUGAAAGCCCCAAGUUUCAUAUGAUAAAAUGUGAGCUUUCAAACUUUGUUGUUGUUUCUGCAUUUAGGACACAUUGAUUUUUAGAGUUUCUGAUUUCGUUAUAAUUCAUCUGGGAGCAUUUGCUUUUGUUCAUACAAUGUUUUUGAUGAAAAUUUUCAUCGAAUUCGACUUUCAUGAAUGCCGUAUUGUUUAAAUGAUGACCUUCUAGCCUAAGGAUUGUUGCUAAUAUUCUAUUCUAAAAAAAAGAAGGGUUAUUGAGUCACUUUAUUCCUGUAAACGAUUUAGUAAAAGUGCAGUGUUUCUUUUCUGUUAAAAAGGAUGAUAGGGUCAAAGGGUUUUGCAUUCUCUUUGGGAGUUGCUAUUAGGAGCCUCCUUUGAGACCAUUAUUUAUAAAGGUUAAAUAAAAAGAUGUCUAUUCUAUUUAUAUUAUAUUCUCUCAUUUAACCUGCUUUGAUAUGAGUUUAACACAUACACUUGUAGUUAUUCAUUGAAAAUUGUUUCAAAAAAAAAAAUUAGCUUUUCUUGCGUCAUUACUAACUCGUAUGAGCUUGUAUAUCUCCUUUAUGAAACCUUUAGGAUCCUGUUCGUUUGUCUAUUAAAUGCAUCUCUUCUUGCAUCAUCUUAUUGAUGUUGGGAAAAAAAAAUGUUUUUAGUCGCAUUGUUUCUCCCCUCUUUCCCAUUUACUUCAGUACCUAAGGUUAAGUGUUUUGAUCCGUUUGAAUAUCGAAUAGUUUCCACGUUUUAUUUAAAGCCAUCCUUUCUUUUUCAUAUUAUUGUUUGCUAAAAAAUUUUUGAUAGGAUAAAAGUUGUUUGCGUGUUGUAUGCGUGGUGACAUGCCUAAUUAUGUGCUUACUCUACGGGGACAUGCUGUUAUUUCUUCUCUCAAAGAUAGGUCUAGUAAAUUUGGGAGAAAUUCUAUUUUAGUUGCUUCCUGAUUCUUCGCAACUCUUUGUUGAUAUCUUGAGUUUUAGUAAUAGCCAUCUAUACCUAAAAGGGCUAGAGAACAAUAAUCACCAAAAGAAAAAAAAAUAUAAUAAUAAUAAUGAUUAACUCCUAAGAUCAUCAAAUUGGUCUGAUUGCUAUUUUCCAUCACAAUGCAUGUGUGAAGUUGAUUCAUUUCUCUUGAAAUUCUAUAUUUUUAACCAUCAUGGGUUCCUUUUCAUCGAUUGAUCCAUCAUACUACUUACUUGUGUGGCGUUUGGUAUUCUGGAUGCGUUUUGAUUUCCUUUAUAUUUUUCCUUGCAUGUGAAUUCGUUUUGGAGUCCAAAUGGAUUCUUUCCCAUUGCAUCUCUUAAUGGGCCAUUCAGGCCCUCCAUUCCUAUCAAGUCUAGCCCUGAAAAAAAGCCUAAAAUGAACUGCAUGGCGUACGGAUAUGAGAAGUCGAAAGGAGAGAGAAGAUGGAUUAAAGCCCCAUUUUUAAAGUGGCGAAGAGACUCAAAAGUCUCAUUUUUUAGUUUAUUUAUUUACUUAUCGAUUUUAUUCAUUUAUUUAUUUAUUUAUUUAUUUGGGCCACGAAGCCAAAGUUGUGCUUAAUAUAGGUAGAGCGAUACUAGGACAGGUGAAAUGGGUCGAAAUCCCAAUUAGACUAGGACAGGUCUUAUUGAUUUGGGCCCAGUGGCCUAAAUCCCUUACUUUCUCCCCUUCCCCUUUUUCUUUACGUUUCUUUACCUUAUGUGUUUUGGUGAACCUAGUUAAAUCCUUAGUCAAGUCAAUAAAAAGUUAGUUCUGCAUAAACACCAAAAUCUUUUUCUAAAAUUGCCUUCUUUUCAAAACUAAACCUUUUUCCAAAGUUAGUCAAAGGCGAUUUCCAAACAGUCCGGAUAACCGCAAGUUAGCGGACGUUUUAGGUGCCUAACACCUUCCUAAAACAUUAAUAAGAACCGCUUACUCAGAAUCUCUUAACUUAAACAAUUUUUCUUUUUUGGAUCGUUUGAAGUAACUCUAUAAAGGUUUCUAAAUUCCUUUCCAAAAUUAAGUGGCGACUCUCUUUCAAAAGUCAAAAUUUCUGCAAAACGCGCUUCAGCCAUAAUUCUCUGCCUCAAAUCAUUAACAUUCGGAACACAAAGUCUACCUUGCAAUCUCAACAUACCAUCUCCCUCUUGGGAGAAAACCUCUACCUUAUGGUCCUUAACUGACUCCUUCAGAAUAAAAAGUUAGUUCUGCAUAAACACCAAAAUCUUUUUCUAAAAUUGCCUUCUUUUCAAAACUAAACCUUUUUCCAAAGUUAGUCAAAGGCGAUUUCCAAACAGUCCGGAUAACCGCAAGUUAGCGGACGUUUUAGGUGCCUAACACCUUCCUAAAACAUUAAUAAGAACCGCUUACUCAGAAUCUCUUAACUUAAACAAUUUUUCUUUUUUGGAUCGUUUGAAGUAACUCUAUAAAGGUUUCUAAAUUCCUUUCCAAAAUUAAGUGGCGACUCUCUUUCAAAAGUCAAAAUUUCUGCAAAACGCGCUUCAGCCAUAAUUCUCUGCCUCAAAUCAUUAACAUUCGGAACACAAAGUCUACCUUGCAAUCUCAACAUACCAUCUCCCUCUUGGGAGAAAACCUCUACCUUAUGGUCCUUAACUGACUCCUUCAGUCUGACCAAAUAGGAUCCCUGUCCUGUUUCUUCUUUACCUCCAAGACCAAAGAGGUCUCGAAACUACUCUAAACUAACAUACUCCCUUCUGCGGAAUCAAGAAAUCUAACACCCAACCUAGACAAAUGAUGCACAUCACGAGCCAAUUCUUUCUUAUCAUUCUCUAUAUGAGCUAUACUAACCAUAGACAACCUGCUAAGAGCAUCUUCCACAACAUUGGCCUUGCUACGGUGAUAUAUCACACUCAUAUCGUAGUCUUUUAGAAAAUCUAACCAUCUUCUUUGUCUAAGGUUCAAAUACCUCUGAGUAAACACACACUGCAGGCUUUUGUGAUCAGUAAACACAUCAACAUGAACACCAUACAAAUAAUAUCUCCAGAUUUUCAAAGCAAAAACUACAGCUGCUAAUUCAAGAUCAUGGGUUGGUUAAUUCUUCUCAUGAGGCUUCAACUGUCUAAGGCAUAAGCUAUAACUUUACCCUUAUGCAUCAACACACAACCCAGACCAACUCUAGAAGCAUUACAGUACACCACAAGACCAUCAGUACCAUCGGGUAAAGCUAACACUGGGGCUGAAGUGAGUCGAGUCUUCAACUCUUGAAAUCUCUUCUCACAGGCAUCUGUCCACUGGAACUUAACUUUUUUUUUGGUCAAUCGGGUCAUGGGGGACACGAUUGAAGAGAAGCCCUCAACAAAAUGACGGUAGUAACCAGCUAAACCCAAGAAACUCCUAAUAUCAGACGGGGAGGUAAGUCUAGGCCAAUUCUUCAUAGCUUCUAUCUUUUGAGGAUCAACUCUUAUACCUUCGGAAGAAAUAAUAUGACUCAGGAAAGCAACUGACCUUAACCAAAAUUCACACUUGCUAAAUUUAGUAAAUAAUUAAUGAGCUCUAAGGGUUUCCAACAUGAUUCGAAGAUGAUCUUCAUGGCCAUCCUCACUUAGAGAAUAUAAAAGAAUAUCAUCUAUGAACACAAUAACAAACAAAUACAGAUACCACUUGAAGACUCAGUUCAUAAGAUCCAUGAAAGCUGCUGGAGCAUUGGUUAACCCAAAGGACAUGACAAGAAACUCAAAAUGACCAUAGCGGGUUCGAAAAACUGUCUUUGGAAUAUCACACUCUCUCACUUUAAGAUAAUGAUAGCCGGAUCUAAGGUCUAUCUUUGAGAAAUAACUUGCACCCAGUAGCUGAUCAAAUAAAUCAUUGAUUCUAGGAAGAGGGUACUUGUUCUUAAUAGUCACCUUGUUGAGUUGAUGGUAGUUAAUGCACAUACGCAAUGUACCAACUUUCUUCCACACAAAUAGAACAGGUGUACCCCAUGGGGAAACACUAGGUCUGAUAAAGCCUUUUUCUAAGAGUUCUUUGAGUUUUCCUUCAACUCUUUAGGUUCUGCAGGAGCUAUACGGUAUGGAGGGAUGGAGAUAGGCUGAGUUUUAGGAAAAAGAUCAAUCCUGAAUUCUAUUUCUCUGUUAGGUGGGACCCCUGGAAGGUCUUCUAGGAAAACAUUGGGAAACUCUUUAAUAAUGCUAAUUGACUGAAUAGUCGGAGUCUCAGACUUGAGUUCGUUAACUCGAACUAGAUGAUAGAUUAAACCCUUGAAAAUCAACUUCCUAGCUUUGAGGUAGGAUAUGAAAUGGCUCUUUGGAGUUAUAGAACUCUCGAACCACUCAAACACGGGUUCGUUAUGAAACUAAAACUUGACCACUCGGGUAUGACAAUCUAUAAACGCAUAGCACGAGUGAAGCCAAUCUAUGCCCAGAAUGAUGUCAAAAUCAACAAUAUCUAGCUCAAUCACAUCAGCACAUAUGACCUGAUGAAGGACAACAACAGGACACUUCUUAUACACUCGCUUAGCAAUAACAAACUCUCCUACCAGGGUAGAAACAAGAAUAGGCUCAGGAAUCCAUUCAAGGUCCAUCUCAAAAUUUAUAGCAACCAGAGGUGUCACAUAAGAGAAACUCGAACUGGGGUCUAUUAAUACAUACACAUCAAAAUGAAAGACAUGGAGCAUACCAGUGACAACAUCUGGAGAAUCCUCCUGCUCCUGGCGAGGUGGUAUAGAAUAGAAGCAAUUCUGGCAUGAACCACCAACAGUACUAGAAGAGACGCCCUGCGGAGAAACUGGGCAGACUACGAGAACGAGGGCACUGGUAGCUUGACUCUGGGGAUGAGCAUCUUGACUCCCCUAUCUAGCAUAUGGAUAAUCUCUAAGUCGGUGGCCCAACAUGCCACAACCAAAGCAACCUCUCUGAUCAACAAAACACUUGCCAAAAUUAUCUCUACCAUACUUGGCAUACGAAAGAAGACGAGGUCUGUUACUUACACUUUCCUGAGAACUGGACAGGAUAGGCCUGUUCCCCUGCUCCUGCCUGCUUCUAGGUGCGGGAGCACUAACUAAGGAAGGCGCGGGCAUAAAUUGACAUCUCUGGAAUUAAGGGCAGUCCCCUCCAUAGAAUCUGGAAUGACCGAAUCCCUGCUGCUCUGAUCUAGUUGUUUUAUUCCCUCUUACUCUCUCUCUCUUUUUCACCUUAUCAGCUUCAAUCUGUUGGGCAUGCAUCAUUAAUCGAUAAAGGUCCAUCUCCUUAUUAAGCAUAGCAGAUCUACUCUCUUUCACAAUGUAACUCGACACACCGGUCACGAACUUACUCAUAAUGGUCCUGGAGUCAGCCAUUAUACUAGGUGCAUAUUUGGACAACUAAUUAAAUCUAAGGGUCAUGGAGUCUUGUCACAAAUUCAUGAAUUCCUCUAUAAUUGUUUCCCUUAUCUCAAGAGGAAAGAAUCUAUCCAAGAACGCAUCCUAGAAUAACUACCAAGUCAUGGGAGCGGCAUCCUCCACUCUACUUUCCCUCCAUACUUCCACCCAAUCAUAUGGAGCAUCUUUCGUUCGAUAGGCAACCAAUUCAACACUCUCUUCCUCAGUCACGUGCAUAAUCUGGGUGAUCUUUCUCAUUUCAUCCAAGUACAUUUGUGGGUCUUCACCUACCUUCGACCCAUAGAACUCAGGUGGAUUUAUUUGCAUAAAGUCAUAAACCCGAGCUGCAGCAAAAUUAUUCUCUUGCGGAAGCGGAACAGUAGCCUGGUUGUUAGCUUGAGUAUUACGGUAAUUGCCUGGGCUAGCACCUGAAAAUCUGCCCAGAAUUAUGCAUGUGACACAUGCUCGAUCAGGGGAUCAAUGGGUUAAGGUUGCUCAUUGUUUCUAUGAGCUCAACGAGGAGGCAUUUUCUGUCAUAAGAGAGAACGAAUUAAUAGCAUAGAGAAACAGUCGUAGGCACGAUAGACUUUUGAAUGAAAAAUAUGACUUUCCCUAAAACGUCUUGUAGCCUCUUGCUCAUAGAUAUGGCGCGCUACACACCGAUGAUCAAGAAUCUACAUAACAUGGCUUGCUUGUCAUCACUUCUAGAACACACUUUGACAAUGGUCAUGCUAAUAUAAGAGAGAAUGAGAUAUCAUAAACAUACUGGAAUAAGAUACGAAACUAGCCUGUACAAUCCAAAAUACUGAAAUUCUGUACAUACCAAUCCUUUAGCCUGACAAAGCCUCUAUACAUCAAAAUCAAGGAGACAAUGUGACAAAACCCCAACUGACUCAAAAAGUAAUGAAAGCUAUAACAAUAAAACGGUAUCACAAAAUUAUAAACACGGUCCUCGAACCAUGGGGACUCACCACUGAGAAGACGAAAAGAGGCACCCGAAUAUAUAUCACUAACGCGGCUGAGUACCUAAACCUACAUUACGAGAAAAUGUAGCCCAUAGGAAAAUAUGUGGGUCAGCACUUUAAAAUGUAUUGAGUAUGUCAGGGUGCAUGCAACAAUGUAAAUAUCGUCAUCAAUUUCAUGAAAGUAUGCAUAUGUACAAUGAUGGCUCACUUGGCUUGAGUUAGAUUGAAACAUACUUUUCAUGAUCUUAUCGUAAAUAAAUCAUACGAUAAAAACCUCAUAAAUCAUCAUAAACAACUCAACUCUUCAACUCACGACUCAGAGAGACCUGUAAUUCAAGAAACUCGACUCUUAUGGACAUGGGAGGUUCUUAUAACCGACAUAAACCAUGUGAGCUACAUGGAGUCCAAUGUUUUUCCUUCCUAAGGAGAGAACCCCACAUUGGCAGGAGCGUCGUACUCUUGCCAGGGAGCACAACCUAAAUUUACCGAUCACAAUCUCAUACGCAGCCUCAGGCCCACAAUUAUCAAUAUCAAUCCUACGGUGGCACACAGUUUCGGGGGAAAUACUACAUUUACCACUCGGUGCUAAAUAAUACUCCCAGACACAAGCUUAGAGCGUGUUAGGAAAUCCACCACAAACAUUACAAGGGUCUAUCAUGAAGACCAAAUGAAAUCUCUUUGUCAUUUAUCAAACCAUAAUCAAUUUGUGGAUUCCUAACUCGACUCAAAUCAAAUCAAUCUUUCUCAAUAUCAAAAUGAAUCAAUUCAUUAAGUCAUGGAAACAUCAAUAACUUUGAGGAAAUAUCAAGACUCAUUGUAACAACUCAAUUCUCAUAAAUCAAUAUACUCAAUAAUCCAAUUGUUCAUAAGGAAGGUUAAAGCUUGACACAUAUCUUGAAAGCACUAGAAAUACCAACUCAUGGACGAAACUUGAAAUUCAUAAUAUUAAAUAUCAAGUUAUAACUUGGAAAUUGUAAAAUAAUCAUGUAUAACAAAUCUUGAACGAUUUAUAUUGUCAUAAUCUCAUGAUGAAUUAAUCUGGGUAUAAACCCACUUGGAAAAUCAUAUAAAUCCAUAAUAAAAUCAAAGCUUUGAGCAAAAGAACGAAAUAAUUGCUCUUGUUCAGAACCCCACAUACCUUAAUCUUUGAAAUUGGUUGAAAUCUAGAGCUUGAAACUUUACUCACACUUGUAAUUAAAAAAUUUCUUGAAGCCCACUCUAUGAAGAACUUGAUUCUUGAAGGAAUCUUGAAGAUUUAUGGAUGAUGUUUGGAAGAUUAAUUUCUUUAAAUAAAACCCUAAAUAUAUUUCUUAAGAGAAUUGGAAGAGAGAAAUGAAGAAAUCAGGUUUUGGAUGAGGAUUCUCACAUAUAUAGAGGCCUCCAAAAAGGGAAAAGGACUAAAAUACCCUUGGAAAAAUCGUCCAUCAAUUGCUGAAAAAAAUAGCUGAUGACAUCCAUGAUAAGCUGUUAGGCCUGUCAUAGGCCAUCACGAAUUGUCGUCACAAAAAGGGUGGAUUUUGUGACUUUCUGCCUUAAGGUGACGACAUUUUGUGACGGGCCGUCAGGCUUGUGACAAGUCGUCACAAAAGGUCAUCACGGAUUUUUCAGUAUGCCACGCUGGAGUAAAAUAAGCAUAACUCUUUGCUUCGAUAUCGGAUUUUAAUGAAAUGGGUAUAGUUGGAAAGAUAAUUCAAUUAUAUAUAUUUUGGUAGGUCAUGAGAUAAAUAAUUCCUAGUACAAUGGGAGAUAUUCUCAUUUAAAGUUGACUAUGUGAAAAUCCUUCUCAAGAAUUCAAUCGGUAAAGAAUGUUUUGAUUCGCCCAAGCUUUAGGGCAUCUUUAAAGCCUUAAUAAACAUCACCCUUGGUCAGGAAACAACCAAAAACUAUAAUUUAUUUCUCAUGGGAUUGUGUCAUGGUGGCACUAUUGGUUAGAAUCUCGGGGUAUUACAAUACCUCCCCUUUGGAAACAUUCGUCCUCGAAUGUUGCUAGAUCGGCCAAGAACAAGUGAAAUAUGAGGACGUAUAGCUGGAAAAACUCACUCAAAGGACAUAAUUCACUCUAUACCUUCGAAUACUAUAGAAAAUACACGAAUUCUUGAUGAAAGUAGACACACUGCUGAAUCUUUAAUAAGAAGGAGGCGGAAUUAAGAAAGAAUGAUACCUUCUGCUCGCUCUGAACUCACAGAAAAGAGUCGAGGGUACUUGGCUCGUAUAUCAGCUUUGUCUUCCCAAGUAGCAAUCUCAACAUAUUGAUUUUGCCAAAUCACUUUUACCAAAGGAACUUCUUUAUUCCUUAGCCUACGGAUCUACAAAUCCAAAAUCUCAACCAGAAUCUCCUCGAAUGAAAGGCUAUCCUGAAGUAAAAUAAGUUUAAUUCCUUGAACCGAUAUUGGAUUUUGAUGAAAUGGGUAUAGUUGGAAAGUUAAUUCAAUUAUCUAUCUUUUGGUAGGUCAUGAUCUCAAUAAUUCAUAGUACAACGGGAGAUAUGCUCAUUUGAAGUUGACUAUGCCAAAAUCCGUCUCAAGAAUUCAAUCGGUAAAGAAUGUUUUGAUUCGCCCAAGUGUUUGAACAUUUUUAAAGCCUUAAUACACAUAAACCUUGACCAUAAAACACCAAAACACUAUAAUUUAUUUCUCAUGGGCUUGAGUCAUGGUGGCACUGUUGGUUAGAAGCUCGGGGUAUUACAUUAUUACUUUUAAUUAUCUUUGCUACUUACCUUUCUGCAAAUAUAAUGCAAAUUUAUCUUAUAAUGUUAUAAUUGAAUUAAAAAAAUAUUUGAGAUCAACCACAUAUUUUUGAUAGUAAAUGAUGUAUUAUUAUUAUUAUUAUUAUUAUUAUUAUUAUUAUUAUUAUUAUUAUUAUUAUUAUUAUUAUUAUUAUUAUUAUUAUUAUCAUUAUUUAUUUUAUUAUUAUUAUUAGUAGAUAUGUAUGUUCUACUACUACUACUAAUAUAAUAAGUUAUCUUUUAAUUACAGAUGAAAAGAAAAAAGAAAAGACUCUCACAUCUAGUUUCCCCAGAAGCACCCCUUUGGAAGAAGGGUGUUGUUGAAGCAACUCAUUUUCAGAUUAAACCAGUCUUUUGUUUUGUUCCUCCUCAGAAACAAAAGCAUGAGCUGGGGCAACCAUUUUCUUUUCUCACAGGAAAUGAAGAACAAGAAGAACACUGCAAUUUAAAAGCAGGCUUUAAAUUUCAAAUACAAAAUAGAAAUCAUGACAGCAAAAGGGGAAAAACAAAAUGCAAAAAGACCUCACCAGUAGUAGGAUACAAAGGAUGAGAGAGAGAGAGGAAGGAGGGUUAUGUUAAAAAUGAAAUGAAUACAGUGGAAGCAGAGCACAUCUAUCAAAUAUUCUUUAAAAACACACUAGCUACAUCACCGACGUUUCAAAAUCAAGGUAACUUUUUAUCCUGUUCAGAAAAAAAUUUCAAAGUGUGAGUAGGACUGAGGUUGUCUUAACUACGUAAAUUGGUUUUCCCUCUUAAAAUCUUCAUUUUUAUAUUCCUUUUAAUUGAACACAAUUUUAAGAGGGCUAACUCAUUUACGCAGUUAAGACAACCUCAAUCCAACUCUCACAUUUUGAAUUUUUUUUCUGAAUAGGACAAAAAGUUGCCUUGAUUUUGAAACAUCGGUGAUAUAGCUGGUGUUUUUAAAGAAAUAAUAUAGAUGUGCUUUGCCUCUGCUGUAUUCGUUCCAUUUUUCAUAAAAUCCUCCUUCCCCUCUCUCUCAUCCUUUGUAUCCUAGUACUGGUGAGGUCUUUUUGCACUUUGUUUUUCCCUUUUUGCUCUCAUGAUUUCUUAUUUUGUUUAUGAGAUUUAAAGCCUGGCUUUAAAAUUACAGUGUUCUUCUAGUUCUUCAUCUGCUGCAAGAAAAGGAAAUGGCUGCCCCGGCUCAUGCUUUUGUUACUAAGGAGGAACAAAAUAAAAGAUUGUUCGAAUCUGAAAAUGAGUUGCUUCAAUAGCACCCUUCUUCUAAAAUGUUGCUUCUAGGGAAACUAGAUGUGAGAGCCUUUUCUUUUCUCUUUCCAUCUGUUUAUCUACUUAAACCUGAGAAGCGAAAAGUAAAUAAAAAAGGGGCCUCAAUUAGAGUUAUGCAAGUUUUUGUACUGUAGGGAUUAUCGAUGUGGAAAUCUAUAUAUUAUUUAUUCAUGUAUUAACGUAUUGCUUGGUAGUUGAUUUAGCAUUGAGUUAUGCAGGUAAUUAAGUCCUCCAUAGUUAAUAUUCAAAUAUUAGUAGUUGGUUUAGCCUACGUUUACUCCUAUUAACAUAGAAUAACCCUCGAAACCCCAAAGAAGGCCCAUAAAAACCUAUCUACCAAAUAGAUGGCUCUGUAGCCUUUCUCAACUAGUUUGAUGGCCUGCUUGUAGGGCCCAAAUAUGGAAGAACAUAGUUAUGCUAUUCAACAAAAUUAUAGUAGUACUACUGGGACUUUGCAUUAAAAAGGAAAAAUAAGUUGUCUAGUAAAGUGAGAAUCCUUCAAGUUUUUAAAAUUAGGUGGGAGGGACAAAAAUUUUUUGAAUAUUUUUUUUUAGUUUUUUGUUCCAACAACUUCUCCCAGUUGUCAAAAAACUUUGAUAGUUGUUCAAAAACUUCUAGCAGUUGUUCAACAACUAUCAAAGUUGUUCGAUAACUGCGCUAAGUUGUUCAACAACUAGGCGAAGUUGUUCGGCAACUGGGAGAAGUUCAACAACUAUGUGAAGUUGUUGAGACAACUAAUGUAGUUGUCGAACAACACCAGUUGUUCAAAUGACUUCAUUUUUUUAAAAGGGACAAGUUGUGGGACCCACUUUUUCCCUUUUCUUACUUCGAAACGUGGGAGGUCUAUUGAUUCAUUUUUCACACUUAAGUAUUUAAAUUGUAUAUAUCAUGAACUAGUUAGCUUAUAUUUGGGUUGUAAAUUGUAAUAUUAAGUGUAGAGAUAGUCCUAUAUACAUUUAGUACGUCAAAGAAAGCUACUCGCAAACAUUGUGCAAUUCAAUUUGUCGCAAGAAACACUUAAUCAUCACGUAAAUACUUAUUGGUUCCGAAUAUUUAACCCUAAUCAAUGAUUUUAAUACUAAUGAAUUAAGAAUAUAAGAUCAUUCAAUCAUGAUAACAAAAAUAAUUUAUAAAAGAUAUUAUCUUGUAAUAGUGGGUAUAAGGAGAGGUAGAUGUAGGCUAAGGAGGUCUUGGUAAAGGUGAUUAGAUUAGGUACGUGUAGCUUUUCGAGGAUAUGAUCUAGAUAUAAAAAUGCGGAGAUCAAGGAUGUGGUUAGUGGGUGGAUGAGCGCUGUCUAAUUUCUCUAUUAAGUAGUAAUUUUUUUAUUACUUUCAUACUAUCUUAUUCUUCUAUAUUAGAAUAAUUUGUUUGCUUUUAGUUCAGUUAUCAUAUUAAUUGUUUGUCGUUGCUACCAUUUUCAGAUUUACUAUUUUAUUUGUCUUACAUGCCUAAUUUUGUUUUAUAUGUUUUACUUGAGUUGAGAGUCGAGAGUCAAUCGAGAACAACCUCUCUAUCUUCACAAGGCAGAAGUACAUGUCCAUACUACCUCUCCAAACUCCAUGUGUAAUAUUAUGAAUGUUAUUAUUGUAUAUAUCUUGAAUAGAUUGAUCAAAUGUAAAUACCCGAUGUUGAGGUAUACUUAUACCCAUGGGCAUAGGGAUGGUCUUAGAAAAAGGGUGAUUUGAUGCACAUCUUUUAUCAAAAUAUUAUAUAGUGUACAAAGGCUUAAUAUUAGCUAUAAUACAUCUAUAUUAAAUUUAGUACAUACUUAACACAACUAAAAAGAAAAUAUGCACACUCCUCAUCAAAUUUCUGACAACGAUACUGCUACUACCUCAACUAUGAACGUGUAAAGAUGACGCCAUAUAGCAUUUGUCAUCUGCAUGAUGCCCAAACUCUUUUAUCACUGGACCUACCCAACCUGUCACCUCAUUUUCUGCUUUUAUAAUUGCAUAUCCUUCCAAAUUUCGUACACCAUCCAUUUCAUUUUAAUUAGAUUAAAAAUAACUAUUUUAAUUUAUUUGUGUAAUUUAUAAAAUUAUAANNNNNNNNNNNNNNNNNNNNNNNNNNNNNNNNNNNNNNNNNNNNNNNNNNNNNNNNNNNNNNNNNNNNNNNNNNNNNNNNNNNNNNNNNNNNNNNNNNNNNNNNNNNNNNNNNNNNNNNNNNNNNNNNNNNNNNNNNNNNNNNNNNNNNNNNNNNNNNNNNNNNNNNNNNNNNNNNNNNNNNNNNNNNNNNNNNNNNNNNNNNNNNNNNNNNNNNNNNNNNNNNNNNNNNNNNNNNNNNNNNNNNNNNNNNNNNNNNNNNNNNNNNNNNNNNNNUUAAAUAUAUUUUAUUAAAAUUUUUAUAAUUAUUAAAGUUCUUAAUCACAUAAUUGGAUAAGUUUUUUAAAAAAUUAUUUGUAUGGAAGGAAGUAUUACUGGAGAAUUAGAAUAUAAAAUAACAUGAUACAACAACAACAAUAACAACAUACCCAGUGGAUUCCCACAUAGAGGGGUCUGGGGAGGGUAGAGUGUACGCAGAUCAUAUCACUACCUAAGAUGAAGUAAAGAGUCUGUUUCCGACAGACCCUCGGCUUAGGACCGAUAGCAGUAUAAUAAACACAAAACAUAAAUGUAUAAAAACUAGUACAGUCUGCAAACUAAACUAACGUCACUAGCUAUAAGAUAAUAGUUAUACUACAGUCACAAAAUAAUACUAAAACUAUCUAUCCGAAAUCAUACACAUCACUCAACACCACGAACAAGAAACUUCAAGCACAAAUAAAGAAUGCUCCCCUAUUAUUACCGACACACUCUCAACCCCUAACCCUCUACUCUAAUCAGCAUUCUCCACACCUUCCUCAUCACAUCCCUCUAAUAUUUGUUCAGUGUACCUCUACCCUACCUAAAAUCAUCCAUAGCCAGUGUCUCACACCUCCGCACUAGAGCAUCAGAGCCCCUCUUCAUCACAUGCUGUCACCAACGUUACCUUACUUCUCGUAUCUUGUCCUCCACCGAGGCCACUCCUACCUCUCCCGAAUAAUCUCAUUUCUUACCUUAUCUUUUCUAGUAUGGCCACACAUCCAUCGUAAUAUUCUCAUCUCCGCCACCUUCAAAUUAUGGAUGUGGGAGUUCUUAACUGGCCAAUACUCUCCAUAAAACAUAGUCGGCCUGACUACUAAUCUGUAGAACUUCCCUUUAAGCUUCGGGGGCAUCUUCUUAUCUUAUAAAACUCCCAAAGCGAGCCUUCAUUUAAACCAUCCAAUCCCAAUAUUAUGUGUGACAUCAACGUCAAUCUCACCAUUGCCUUAAAUCAUAGACCCAAGAUACUUGAAACUCUCCUUCUUUUGAAUGGCCUGAGAGUCUAGCUUCACAACUAUGUCAGCAUCCUAUGACACAUCACUAAACAUACACUUCAAGUACUCCGCCUUGGUCGUGCUUAACCGAAAUCCUUUAGACUCAAGGGUCUGUCUCAAAAUCUCCAACUUAUCAUUAACUCCUCCCCGAGUCUUGUUAAGAAGUACCACAUUAUCAGCAAAUAACAUACACCAAGGCACCUCAUCUUGAAUAUGUCUUGUCAAAACAUUCAUCACCAAGGUAAAUAAAAAAGGGCUAAGAGUCAAACCCUGAUACAACCCUACCAAAAUAAAAAAAUGCUUUGAAUCUCCACCUACCGUCCUCACCCGAGUCUUUGCGCCAUCAUACAUUUCCUAAAUCAACCAAGUGUAUGCAACAGGCACCUCUCUAGUCUCCAAACACCUCCAGAGAAUCUCCUUGGGAACUCUAUCAUAAGCCUUCUCAAGAUCAGUAAAUACCAUGUGAAAGUCCUUCUUCAUCUCCCAAAAUUGUUCCACUAAUCUCCUCAUAAGGUGAACGGCCUCAGUAGUCGAGCGACCUAGCAUGAAAUCAAACUGAUUAUCAGACAUAAUCACGCUCCUUCUCAGCCUUAACUCUACCACCCUUUCCCAAAUCUUCAUAGUAUGACUCAACAACUUAAUACCUCUAUAGUUGUUGCAACUUUGGAUGUCUCCCUUGUUCUUUUACAAUGGAAUAAUUGUACUCCACCUCCACGGUUCAGGCAUCCUUCCCACCCUAAAAAUGAUGUUAAGAACCUUGUCAACCACUCCAAACUUGCCCUGCCAGUGCGUUCCAAAAAUCCACUGAAAUCUCAUCUGGCCCCAUCGUCCUACAUCAACGCAUCCUGUGAAUAGCCUUCUUAACCUCCUUAACCUCGAUAGGACUACAAUAACCAUAGUCGUGACACUCCUCAAAAUUCUCCAAGUCCCCAAACACGAAACCUUGGUCCCCCUUAUCAUUCAAAAGUUUAUGAAAAUAGGACUGCCACCUUUUUUUAAUGAGGGCAUCCUCAACCUUGAUGCACUUAUCCCUAUCUUUCUUCUUUAAAGCCGCAUACAAGCUCUAAAAAGAUGUCAUUUUAGCCACUGUAACCGCUAACUUAGCCUCUCACCUAGCUAUCUCUUAUACUCUUUCUUAUUCGUCCGUCUCUCUUGAUCAUUCUUGCUCUCAACCAAUUUAGCAUAAGCCACCUUCUUAGACUCCACCUUUCACAUAUAUAUUCAUUCCACCACUAUUCCCCUCGAUGUUUGCCAAAUUGACCUCUCAAGAAACUAAUACCUCUCUAGCGAUCACCCUAAUGCAACUGGCAAUCGUCUCCCACAUACUAUCCGUAUCCCCUCUACUCUUCCAAGCCCCCAGCUUCUUAACUUCUCUCCCAUCUUUAAAGCAUUAGCCAAAGUCAAGCUAACCCACUUAAUCUUGGGCCGAACCUCUACACUCCUCUUCUUUCAGCCCUUAUUGAUUACCAAGUUCAUCACCAACAACCUAUGUUUAGUCAAAAGAUUAUCUAUAGGUUUGACUUUACAAUCUUUACAUAGUGUUCUAUCACUCUUCUCAAGGAGCUAAAAGUCUAUCUGAGUCUUGGCCACUUAACUAUGAAACAUUUCGAAAAUCUCAAAUUCGUUAUCCACAACCCAAAAUCCCUAGAAAAUCCAAAAGAGAAGCACUUCCUUUAUUCCUCUACCCAAAAUCAAAAUCUCCAUGUACAUCAUCAUAACCUCUCGACGAAGACCCAAUAUGCCCAUUGAAGUCUCCUCUAACGAAAUGUUUCUCAGUGCUCGGGAUGCCCCUUACCAUCUCAUUCAAAACCUCCAAAAGCGCUUCUUCUCUUCCUCGUCCAAACCUAAUUGCGGAGCAUAAACACUAAUAACAUUCACCGUAGUUCCUCCCAUGACCAACUUAAUAGACAUCAACCUAUCACUGACUCUUUUAACCUAUACCACCUGCUCCCUAAUUUCUUCAUCUACUAAGAUACCUACCCUAUUUUUUUGUCUCAUGCUACCCGAGUACCAUAACUUAUAUCCAUCCACAUCUCUCACCUUAGUGCCUACCAUUUACUUUCCUAGACACACGUUAUACUAACCCUCCAUUUUCCAAGAAUCUUCAUCAGCUCUAUAGACUUACCUUGAAGCGUCUCUAUGUUCCAGGAUUCAACUUUCAACGUAUGAUCACCCUUAUCCAACUUAGCCUACUAUCCCUCGCCCUCAACCCAAGACUAAAACCUAGACUCGACCCCAACCCCAACCCCAACUUCAAUCAAUGACAUGACCCUAGUCCAUCAUAUAUCACCCCAACCACCACUCAAAAGGAUACAAUAGAAGAAAAUAAAGAAAAAAGCUGAAAAACAUGAUGAGCAAAAGAGUAUGACUAAAAAUAGCUAAAUCAGCAAACAAAAACUGGUAAGCAGGAUUGAUACUCAAAAGCAACAACAAGUACUAUUCUACUCACUAGAAACAAACACCUACUAAGUUACAGAGAAACCGUAACCAAUAAUCCCAGAGGAAUACUUAAAAAAAUCAAAUAAAAAUCAGGAUAGAAAAGAGACAAGAAGCAUAUACCAAAUAAACUAGAGAAGACUGAAAUGAGUGCACCUAAUACAGGGAGAAGACACAGUGAAAGGCGUUUUCCUGAUCGUUUUGUCGAAUUCCAGUAAAUUGGUGCAGAAAUUGGUCAGCAGAAUUUGUUGCGACCACCUUUACCCUACUGCUGGUACCACAUCCCUAUACUUGGAGGCCGGAGAAUGUGCUAGUCGUGAAAAAAAUUAGCAAGACACCGGAAUCUUGAUGUCACCGCCUGAAGUAUGGAUCUGAACUUGAAGUACCUAAAAAGGGUUAUAAAGAAAAUAAAAGAGAAGAAAAGAAAAGUGACGAUCAAAUUGCCAAAAAUUGACAUCACUCACCAAAAACUGAUGCGUUUGUUGGGCCACAGAGAUAGGCCACUGAAAAGGUCGCUGUCGUUUUAAUGGUGGGCGUAAUAAGUGAGAGAGAAAAAGACGACGAUUAUGCCAGAAUCUGAUGGGGUCGGCGAAACUGAUAGGGUCGUCGGGACGUGUUUAUGGUGGACGACACAAGUAAUUUACCGGCGGCAGAUUAGUAGUUCUCUGCUAUCGCCAGAAUCUUCAAGACACGAAGAGAUAGGUUAAUUUCUUCGUCGCCAUCGAUUGAAAAAUUGCAAGAUGCUAAACCCUCAGCAUAUAUGACAACUACUAAUGUCAUCAAUUUAACUUGAAACGCCCGUUCAAUAAAAUAACAUGUCAAUAUUUUAAUAAUUACAGAUCCAUUCCGAUUAAAAAUAGAAAAAUAUUGAUUUUAAUGAAUUUAUGGGUACAAAAUUUCUCAGUUAUAAAUAGAAAUAAAUUUAUUUUAAUAUUUAUUAUUUUAUUUUCACCUAUAAUUUCAUGUGACAAGAGUUGCAAAUUUCAUUGUUUUCAUCUAAUACAACAAAGUAUUUCAAUCACUUCAUGUAUAUAUAAAAAUAGUUACAACAUUAAUUUAGAAUCUUUACACAAACUAACUUAAUCGUGAUCCAUAAGGAUAUUAAAUAAUAAUUAAAUUAGAUUAACCGAUUAUUCCAUUCUAUCCAUCUACUUAUCGUGUUAAUCUUUUAAACACCCUUUAAAAAUAUUCUAUUUAUUCUACUCUAAUUAUUGAUUUAUCCUUUUUCAUGUUUGCUUAGAAAAAUAAUAAAGGCAUUGUAAUAUUAUUGAUUAAGUUAUCCUAUUUAAUACUCCCUCCGUUUCACAAUAAGUGAAUUAUUGAAGCAAUUUUAGUGUUUCAAAAUAAGUGAAUGAUUCACAAUUCAAGGUAGAUGUUGAAAUUUUUUUUCAAAUUUACCCUCCAUUAAAUGUGCACCGGGAGUGAUGUAUUACUUAUCGUGUUAAUUUUUUAAACACCCUUUAAAAAUGUUCUAUUCAUUCUACUCUAAUUAUUGAUUUAUCCUUUUUCAUGUUUGCUUAGAAAAAUAAUAAAGGCAUUGUAAUAUUUAUUAUUGAUUAAGUUAUCCUCUUUAAUACUCCCUCCGUUUUACAAUAAGUGAAUUAUUGAAGCAAUUUUAGUGUUUCAAAAUAAGUGAAUGAUUCACAAUUCAAGGUAGAUGUUUGAAUUUUUUCCAAAUUUACCCUCCAUUAAAUGUGCACUAGGACUGAUGUAUCAUGUUUCAUUGCUUUUUAAAGAGGGUAAAAAUGAAAAAACAUGAUAAAUUUAUGUCUUUGGUUUUUUUUUUCUUAACAUGUGUGCCGAAAUUCAAUAAUUAACUUAUUGUGGAACGGAGGGAGUACUAUAUUUUUUUUUUAAGAAGUGAACAUCAGUGACUAUAAGGGUGUAGUUGAAAAUUAUUACUAACUUUAAUUUUAUGUGAAAAUUUAUUUCUAAAUAAUUUUUUUGAGCAAAAAUAAUUAUUAAUUUAAAAUGAAGGAAGUUUUAAUAAAAAGACAACCUGUGGCAAGAAAAAAUCAGUUACAAAUACACAAGAUGAAAUGGUCUUAACAAAGGGAAUAAGGACAAAAAUAAAAAUAUUUAGCAAUAGAACAUCAUCAAUCCUUGUGAGGACUACCGAAAAUUGAGAUCCUCCCUUAUAUAUAAUAGUAAAUUGUAUUCUUUUUUCAUAUUGUUAACACUGUUUGCAAUAAAGAUUACAAUGAAAGAAACAAAUUGCAAUCACAAUGCAAAUAAAAUAUGAAAAAAUAAGAAUUUUAUUGAUAAAUGAUAUGGAUAUAAUUCUGUUACUCCCUUGAUUCUUCUUUCUUUAUUUUCCUCCAUAAUUCGAGGAUCAUUAGUAGCGUAUUUCUUGAAUGUAGAAAGAUUUAAAUUUGAUAUGAAUUUUUAUCGUAUUUCUCGAAUGUAAAAAGAUUUGAAUUUGAUAUGAUUUUUUUUGUAAUUCAAGGGUCGUUAGUAGCAUAUUUCUUGAAUAUAAGAAGAUUUAGAUUUGAUAUGGAUUUUCUUUGUAACUCGAAGGCCGUUAAUAACAUAUUUCUUGAACGUAGAAAUGCUUGAAUUUGAUCUCCAUAAAAGAAGAGUUUGGUUUGGCGUAAAGUAACCCCUAAUAACUCUAACAUAAUUGAAUUCUUAUUAUAGAGUUCACAAAAUUAUGAUGUCUAUAAACGCUUUGUAUUGUCAGACGUUAUGACUACAAAAUCCUUUGCUAAAAUGUCAAAAUACAAUUAUUUUUAUUCUUUGAGAUGAUGAAUGAAGUACGUGUUAAUUUAGUAGAGUCCCUUAGCUCAAGUCAAUUUUGCGGCGUACCAUGAAAUCAGAAAACUACAUCAAGCUAGAAGAAGAGAAAAGCAAUAACAAAAAUACCAUAUUUAGCACAUUUUCAUAGCUCGAACUCGUGACCCCCUGAUCACAUGGAGGGAACUAUCCACAAUAAUUCAAAAAAAUACUUCUCAUAGAUAAUCCCAAAAUCUCAAGCAAGACUAAAUCUUUUAAGAAUUUUACUACACACAAAGACAAAAACAAAGGGCAGUCCGGUGCACUAAGCUCCCGUUAUGUGCUGAGUCCAGGAAAAAAUUGGACCACAAAGGUCUAUUAUACACAGUCUUUCCACUGUGGACCCCUCUUUCCGUAGCUCGGACCUAUGAUCUUCUGGUCACACGACAAUAACUUUACCAGUUACGACAAGACUCCUUAUCUUACACACAAAAAUAACAUUUUUAAAAAUGAAAUCUUUAGCAAUUUUUUAAAAUUCUUUCUACCCAAAUUUCCAAGAUAAGCUAAAAUAUAACACUGAUAACAUAUGGUUAAAUAAACAAUAAGAAAAAAAUGCAAACUACCCAAAAAAAUUCAGGCAAAUAAAACUUGUAAUACAUCAAGAUUAAUUUUGAACAAUAGCUUAAAAAAAAUCUCACUUUCUCACAACUGAAUAAUUAAAUUCCAACUUUGCCUUAACAUUAUGUCUCCAUUGAUGAUGGAUACUGUAGCAUUAAGAGCCAAUUUCUUUCCUUUUCUGGUAGUUGGUCAGUAUUUGAGCAGUAUCAUCUUCUAAAAAAAUGAACAGGAUAAUAUCACUUUAGCCCCCAAAAGAUCUAGCUAGGUGGGAGUAACACUGAAAACACAUCAAAAAGAUAUACUUCCUCGGUUGUAUUUUAUGCGGCAUAUUUUGAUCGGGCACAAAGUUUAAGAAGGAAUGACAAUUGUCCUUUAUUAAAAAAUAUAUUACUACUAUCUUUAAUUAAAUGAAACUAAUAAGGAUAAAAGUAAAAUUGUAUCUUUAAAUAGUUACUAAAUAAUGAAAUAUGACAUUCUUUUUGGGACGGACAAAAAGAAAAUGACGACAUAUAAAAUAGGGCAGAGGAAGUAUGUUAAUACUAAAAGGGUAGCUUCAUGUGGCAGUGGAUUUAUGUUAAUACUAAAAGGGCAGCUCGGUGUACUAAAGCUUCUUGCUAUAAGGGACUGCAGAGAAGGGCUGGACUGCAAGAAUUUUAUUGUGCACAACAUUAUCUUGCAUUUCUGACAGAGGCUGUUUCUAUGACUUGAACUCGUGACUUCCCAAUCACAUGACAAUAAUUUUAUCAGUUACUCUAAAACUCCCCUUCAUAUUUUUUUUUUGAUUUGAUAAAAAUAUUAAAGAUACGUAAAAUAUAAAAGAUACACAUAUAAUUCUUUCUGCAAACCCACUUAUAUGGAGUAAUAAAAACUUAUAAGGUAUCAAAAAUGAUAUAUGCAUGGGAUUUCCCUUUUGGUUAAAGUUUUAACAGGUUAAUUUCGUGUAUAAUUGUAGACUUUUACUCAUUAAUGACAAAAUUAUUGAACUUUACCUCUUUAAUAAAGUAGUAGAUUUAAAGGCAUUGAAAAUCAUUAAUGAGUUUUUAUUAUGUGUUUAUAUAUAUUGAGUACAAGAAGUGAUAGACAUAUCUAAAACUAAAUCAAUCAAUUAGAAAAACAAUUUCUAUUCCAAUGGAGAACUUCCUCCAUGUUCACCUUUUGAUUUCAAUUAUUUUCUCAAUUUUGCUUGUAAUUAUAUGCAAUGAACAUUCUUUUUCAUCCCUUAACACCAGUACGAAGCUUCCCGAUCCUCCGAUGCCAUCCUAUACACUCACCAUUUACAAUCUCUAUUUAUUUGAAAAGUCAAAAUUCAAGGACUAUGACUCGUUUCUUAGAAAUAGGUUUGCCGGUUGUCAAGCUAGAGCAAAUCAUUUAGCAUCGGUUCUUGAAAAUGGUGACGCGAUUAGUACGAAUGGAACUCUGGUAAGGCCACACGAUGAGCAUGAGAGUAAAGUGGCAAACGAAAAGGUUCUGGUAACAACAAGUAUACAUUUCAUAUGUCAGUAUGUUGUAUCUUUUACUCUGGUUUUUUUGGUUUCCCAUCCGGCACCUGGUGCCCGCAUUGGAGCUUCGACUAAUCUGGAUACACGUUGCAAGGCCCAUUAAGAUGGCAGCGCUCCCAACAAAAUUUUCUCCUGAGGGUGGAGCAGCCUCAUCCACUACACUACAACCCAUAUUGGUGCAUCUUUUACUCAUUGAACAAGUUAAAAGUUACUUGCUAAUAGACACUGGUAGUGAUUUAGUUUGGUGGAAAUGUGGACCAUGUAAUGCAAAUGGAUGUUACAAACAGAUAAAUAAUCCUUUAUAUGUUUCAACUAAUUCAAAAACAUAUCGAAAGCUCGAUUUCCUUGUAGAAAGUAGAAACUGUGAAAUCACGAAUAAGGAAUAUGAUUGUAGUCUGUAUGGUAAUACGUGUAUGUAUAAUUACAAAUAUGUCAAUGGAUCAAGAACAAGAGGCUGGAUCGCACACGACGUGAUUACUUUUGUUUUAGGCCAAAGCAGGUAAGCAUUGUUUUUUGAUGUGGCAAAGAUGAAACUCAUGGAAAGCCUUUUAGUGGUCAAUUUUCUGGAAUUGCUAUCCUCGGACGUAAUGGGUGGUGGAAAUCAUUUAGCAUCGCAAUUUGAAGCUGACAUAAUGUCCAUGUUCCUACCGGGAGCUAUCUCCACAAAAGGAUCAACACUUUACUUCCACACAAUGCCAUUUAAGAAAACAACAUCAGCAAUGCUAUUACAUGAUUUCAGAUUCCUUUCCGUUUACUUCGUCAACCUUUAUAAAGUUUUCAUUAAUGAUAGGGAAGUCCCGAUGUUCCCAUCAUUGUCGAGGAAUUUUAUAAAUUAUACCACAAGCGGUAGCUGCAUCGUGGACACAGGAACAUUUAUUUCCCAUUUUCCUCAUGAUUUUUAUAUUGUAUAUUACACAUUCAGAUAACAAGUACGUGGUAUUCCUAUGGUUAAUGUUCCACCUGGAUCAGUUUAUGACACUUGCUAUAAAGUGGAUACAACUGGUCUGGAUCCAUAUUUCCCCAUUGUGACCAACCAAAUGGCCUCUCCGACACUAACAACCCAUACUCCCCUUUGCCUCAGCCUGCCUGGGAGCACUUGGUCCAUUUUCUACCAAAAACAUACACGGUCAUUGGGGCCACCCCCAGAACUGUGAGCUAUAGCACACUGAUUUAGCCCAAGAAUGGCCUAUUUGUGUCGUUUCACUUUUUUGACCACCCAAAUAGCCCAACCGACCCCAACGACCCACACUAUCCCACUUUUAAGCCUGCCUUGGUGCCUCUGGUCGAUUUUUAGACUAAAAAAGCUCAAGCCCUAAGCCAACCCCUAAAACCGUGAGUUAUAGCACGUCUAUUUUGCCGCCAAAAUUGUAUAUUUUUGACAUUUUGCCUGUUUGACCACCCAAAUAGCCCCACCGACCCAAAUGACCCACUUUUCCAUUCAUCAGUCUACUUGAAGCCUUGAUCUAGUUUUGACCCAAAACACACCUAAACCCCAGGUCCACCCAGAACUGUGAGCUAUAGCACACUGACUAUCACUGAAAAUGACCCAUUCGCGUUGAUAUUCCAGUUUGACUACCCAAACAGCCCCGUUGACCCCUACGACCAAUACUUUUCCGCUCUUCAGCCUACCUGAGAGCCCCCAAUUGACUUUUAACCUAAAAUAUGCCUAGGACCACCCCAAAAUCAUGAGCUAUAGCUCACCAAUUUGGCCUAAAAAUGGCCCGUUUAUACCGUUUUGCUCAUUUGACCAACUGAACGAUCUCGCUGAUCUCAAUGACCCACAAUGCCCCGCUCCUCGGCCUGCUUGGGAGCCCUCAAUCGAUUUUUGACCUAAAAAACAUUUGUUCUCUGGGCCAACCCCCAGAAUUGUGUGCUAUAACACACCGACUUGGCUUGAAAAUGGCCUGUUCGUAUCAUUUUGCCUGUUUAAUAACCCAAAUGGCCCUGCCGACCCCAACGGCCCACACUCCCCGCUUUUCAGCCAACCUGGGACCCGCGAUCAAUUUUUAGUCAAAAACACGUGUGGGCCUUGGGCACACCCUCUGAACCUUAAGGUAUAGCACCCCAAUUUUGCCAAAAAAAUAGCCCAUUCAUACCGUUUCAUCCGCUUGAUCACACAAACGGCCCUUCGCCACCCAACAACCCUCACUCUUCUACUUAUUAGCCUGCCUAGGAUCCUCUGGCUUAUUUUCAGCCUAAAACACGCCUACGCCCUGGGGCCAGUCUCGGAAUCGUGAGCUAUAACACACCGAUUUGGCCUAAAAAUAGUUCAUUCAUGCCAUUUCACCCGUUUGACUACGCAAACGGACCCACUAACCCCAAGGACCUAUACUCCCCCGCUCUUCAGCCUGCUUGGGAGCCUUCGAUCAAUUUUUAGACUAAAACACACCUGAGCCCCGGUCCCACCUCUAGAACCAUGAGUUAUAGCGCAAUUAUUUGGCCUAAAAAUAGGAUGUUCACACUGUAUCACCCAUUUGACCACCCAAAUAGCCUCGAGGAAUUUUUGGACAAAACAUGGUAGGAACUCGGGUGGGACUCUCAGAACCGUGAGCUAUAUCACAUCGAUUUAUCCCAAAAAUGGCCCGUUUAUGUUGUUUCGCCUGUUUGACCACCUAAACAACCCCACCGACCCCAACAGCCCAUACUUCCUCACUUAUAAGCCUGCCUGGGAGCCCCUAAUCGAUUUUUAGCCCAAAUACGCCCAGUCUCCAAGCACACCCCAGAACUGUGAGCUAUAGCACAUUAAUUAGGCUCGAAAAAUGGCCCGUUGGCAUAGUUUUGGUUGUUUGAUCAUAAAAACAACCCCGUCGACCCGAACAACCCUGACUCCCUCACUCCUCAACCCACCGAGGUGCCCCUAAUUGAUAUUUGGCCCAAAAAAUACGACCAAACACUGGCAUACUCCUAGAAUCGUGAGUAAAGCAUACCAAUUUAGCCCAAAAAUGGUCCAUUUACCCGAUUCACCCUUUUGACCCCCCCAAAUAGCCCCAUCAACCCCAACCACCCACACUCUCCCGCUCCUCAGUCUGCCCGAAAGCCCUCGAUUGAUUUUUGACCCAAACCACGCCCGGUCCCUUCACUCACCUUUGAAAUCGUGGGCUAUAUCACAUUGAUUUUGCUCAGAAUUAGUCCGUUCGCGCCUUUUUGCCUAUUUGACCAACCAAAUAGCCCUACCGACCACUGUCGACCCCAACGACCCAUACACCCCUGUUCCACAGCAUGCCUGGGAGCCUCCAGUUAAUUUUCAGCCUAAAACAUGCCUGGGCGCCAGUCUCACCUACAAAACCGUAAGCUAUAGAACACCAAUUUGACAAGAAAAUGGUUUGUUCGUGCUAUUUCACUCGUUUUACCACUCAAAUGGCCCCGCCAACCCAAAUAACCCACACUUUCUCGCUCCUCAGCCUGCCUAGGACCCCUAGUAAAUUUUUUUCCCAAACCAUGCCCGAGCCCUAGUCUCACUCCCAAAACUAUGAUAUAUAACACAUCGGUUUGGCCUAAAAAUGCUUUAUGCGUGCCAUUCAGCCCGUUUGAUCACUCAAACAGCCCCGUCGAACCCAAUGACCCAUAUUUUCUCACUCCUCUUGCUGUCUGGAAGCCCUCGACCAAUUCUUAACCUAAAAAAGGCUCAAUCCCCAAGCCCUCCCUCAAAACCGUGGGUUAUAGCUCACCUACCGUUUUGUUCGUUUGACCAACGAAACGGUACCGCUAACCAUAACGACCCAUAAUUCCCCGCUCCUCGGCCUACUUAGGACCCCUCAAUCGAUUUUUGACCAAAACACAUUUAGGCUCUGAGCCAAUCCCCAAAAUUGUGAGCUAUAACACACCUAUUUGGCCCAAAAAUAACCCAUUCGUAUCAAUUUCCUUGUUUAAUAACCCAAACGGCCCCACCGGCCCCAAUAGCCCAUACUCUCCGCUUUUUAGCCAACCUAGGAGCCACGAUUAAUUUUCAGUCAAAAACGCACGUGGGCCUUGGGCACACCCUCUGAACCAUGAGGUAUAACACCCUAAUUUUGCCAAAAAAUAUCUUAUUUGCACCGUUUAAUCCGUUUGAUCACACAAACAGCCCAUCUCCACCAAACGGCCAACACUUUUCCUCUUAUUAGCCUGCCUAGGACCCUCUGGUGUAUUUUCAGCCUAAAACGCAGCUACGCCCUUGGCCCACACCCAAAAUCGUAAACUAUAACACACCAAUUUGUCCUAAAAAUGGUUUGUUCAUGCCAUUUCGCCCGUUUGACCACCCAAACAGCCCCACUGGCCCCAACGACCUAUACUCCCCUGCUCCUUGGCGUUCGUGGGAGCCUCCGUUCAAUUUUUAGACUAAAACACACCUCAGCCCCGGGCCCACCCCCAGAACAAUGAGUUAUAGCACAAUGAUUUGGCCUGAAAAUAGCACGUUCAUGCCGUAUCACCCUUUUGACCACCCAAAUGGCCUCGGGAGACUCAGGUGGGACCCUCAGAACCGUGACCUAUCACAUCGAUUUGGCCUAAGAAUGGCCCAUUCAUGUUGUUCGCCUGUUUGAUCACCUAAACAGCCCCACUGACCCCAAUAACCCACACUCUCACACUUGUCAGCCUGCCUGGGAGCCCCCGAUAGAUUUUUGACCCAAACACGUCCAAUCCCCGAGCACACCCUAGAACCGUGAGCUAUAGCAGGCCGAUUAGACCCAAAAAAUGACCUGUUGGCGCAGUUUUGCUUGUUUGAUCACCCAAAUGGCCCCGUCGACCCAAAAAACCCUUACUCCCUUGCUCUUAAACCCAUCUGGGUGCCCCUAAUUGAUAUUUGGCCUAAAAAAUAUGACCAAACCCUUGCCCACUUUCGAAACUGUGAGGUAUAGCAUAAUAACUUAGCCCAAAAAUGGCCCGUUUAUGUCGAUUCACCCUUUUGGCCCCCCAAGCAUCCCCGUCGACCCCAACCACCCACACUCUCCCACUCCUCAGCCUGCUCAAGAGCCACCAAUCGAUUUUUGACCCAAACCACGCUUGGUCCCUUGACUCACCUUCGAGAUCCUGGGCUAUAUCACAGAAAAUUUGCUCAAAUAUGGUCCGUUUGCACCCUUUUGCCUAUUUGACAAACCAAAUAGCACUACCGACCACCGCCGACCCCAACGACCUACACACCCCUGUUCCACAAAAUUCUUGGGAGCCUCCGAUCAAUUUUCAGCAUUAAACAUACUUGGGCGCUAGGCUCACCUCCGAAACCAUGAGCUAUAGCACACCAACUUGGCCAGAAAAUGGUUUAUUCGUGCCGUUUCACUUAUUUUACCACUCAAAUAUCCCCACCAACUCCAACGACCCAUAAUUCCCCGCUCCUCAGCCUACCUAGGACCCUUGAUCAAUUUUUUCCCAAAACACUCCCGAGCCCUAGGCCCACUCCCAAAACUAUGAGAUAUAACACACCAAUUUGGCCUAAAAAUGUUUCAUUCGUGCCAUUCAGCCCGUUUGACCACUCAAACAGCCCCGUCGAACCCAAUGACCCAUAUUUUCCCUCUCCUCUUCCUGUCUGGGAACCCCCGACCAAUUUUUGACCAAAAAUAGGCUCAAGACCCAAGCCCAUCCUCAAUACCAUGAGCUAUAGCUCACCGAUUUAGCCAGAAAGUUACCCGUUCGUGCCGUUUCGCCUGUUUGACCACCCAAACAACCCUAUCGACCCCAACAGCCCUCUCAUCCUGUCUGGGAGACGUCGCUUGAUUUUCGAUCCAAAAUACGUAUGUGCCUUAGGCCCACCCCAAGAAUCGUGAGCUAUAACACAUUGAUUUGGCUUGAAAAUAGUCCGUUCACAUCAUUUAGCCCAUUUGACCACCCAAACGGCCCCACCGACCACAACAACCCACUCACCCCUUCUUUUUAGCCUUUCCGGGAGCCCUCAAUUGAUUUUCAGUCCAAAAUAUUUUUGAGUCCCGACUCCACCCCCAAAAUCGUGAGCAAUGACACACCGAUUUGGCCCAAAAAUGGUCUAUUUGCAUUGUUUCAUCUCGUUUGACCACCCAAACGGUUCCAUCGACCCAAAAGGACCAUACUCCCUCGCUUUUCAUCCUGGCUAGGAGCCCCCAGUCCUUUUUCAGGCCAAAACACACUGGGACCCUAGUCCUACCUCCAAAACCAUGAUUUAUAGCACACCGAUGCACUAGGAGUUCGUUAUAUGUUCGGUCCCGCUCAUGUUUCUUCGGUCCACCUCUACCCCACCUAAAACCAUCCAUAACCAGUAUUUCACAUAGCCGGUCGGACGACCACUCUGUAGAACUUAUCUUUAGUAUUCAAGUGCCUCUUCUAAUCACAUAGAACUCUCGAAGCGAGACUUCAUUUCAACCACCCUGCCCCAAUAUGAUGCGUUACAUCCUCGUUAAUCUCAGCAUUGCCCGGAAUGAACCUGACUCUGAUAUCAUAUUGAAGUGAGUGACCAUCUCAUCUAAAAGUUUAACUAUUAGAGAGAGUACACUUUUACUAUUUAAUUAUAUUCUCAACAGUUACUUAAUAUGCUAUUUUUGCAUUGAUCAAAUGAACUUUACGUGGCAUUCUAAAAUGAAGGAAGACACAAAAUUUUUCUUUCAAACAGUUCAAGAAAGAAUCUUUUGUCCUUUUGAAAAAGAGAAAUAAAGUCACAUUUGUUGGCUUGUUUUGUCCCUACAGUUGAACUAAGAGCACUUUGAGUUGAGGUUUUUUCUAUUAUUAAGGAUGUCCAAUUUUGGAAAAGUACUCUGCUUUCGUUUAAAAAGGAAUGGUAGACCAAACAACAUAUUAAUUUUAUAUAUUAUAUUAACUCCUAACUAGCUAUCAAACCUGGAAUUACUUAUGUAGGAUUCCUACAUAACUCGUUGCUAAGCCAGCUACCAAAUGACCCCUUAAUACCUUCUUUCUUUGUUCAUUGAGAAGACAAAGACCAAUAUAAGCAUAAUUUAAUUUAUGUGUAUAAUAUGUUCAGAACCAAGGUGCAGAAUAAAUACUUUACAUAAAUACAAAACUUCCUAAAUGAGUUGACCCAAUUGAUAUAAGCGGUAUGAUUCACUCAGCUCCUGAUUCAUCAAUUGAUGACCACCGUAUUUUUUCAUGAGAUCUAGCAGGUAGUUUUUUUUGUAUAACCUGAUUUUUUAUAACAAAAAUAAAAGUACCACUAAUGCCUCUGCAGCAACAAAAUCUUCUGAAGAAUCCAAUGAAAGUUGAGAGACUCUCUUCUCAGCGAUAGCUUUUGGUGAAUCUCUUGUUGAAAUUGAUUAAAAUUAUUCACUAUCAUUUUGACCUGUUUUGUCAUUUUUCUCAUUUUUAGUUCUUUUUAUAAAAGUCAUUAUUGGAUCUUUCGUAGCAAUUUAAGUGGUUGAUCUAAGAAUGGAGCAACUUUUUCAUGUGCAGCUUGCGGUUAAAGCUCACCAGUGUCGGCAUUUGUAGGCAACUUCAAACAUCCAGUUAAGGAUGGACCAGCUUCCUUCAAAAUAAACAAGAUUCAAGAUGGAUCAUUUUGACUAAUCCUUUUUCCCUAUCUAUGCGCAACGAACAUGUUGAUAAUAGUAGGUAUCAUAAUCUAGGUCCAAUUGCUAGGUUAGAUAGUAACUCAAGAAUCUUUUAUCAAUUCCCCUUUCUUAAGAACCCCAAAAAAUAAAUAACACUCGAGCAGAAAAAAGUAAACUCAGACACAACAAAUGUUGAUUGUAUGAGAGGUUAUAGAAAGUGGGGUUUGUAUAUAUACUUAAACUUAGGACCAAAAUUGGGGAAAAAAUUGAUUGACAUGAAUAAAUACUUCAAAUUGUAAUCUCCACUUGGAUUCACUCACAUUUAUUGCCUUUUUCUCAAAUUUUGGGUUUAAAAUCCUUAACUUUUUUCAAGGUGCUUGUGCUUUUAUCAUGUAUUGAUACUUGAAAAAUUAUGUUAUUUUGGCGUUGAACUAAUGAACUCUACGUGGACUAAUAAACUGAAGAAUGACACAAAAGUUUUGUUUCAAAUAGUUCAAGAAAGAAUGUUUUGUCUUUUUGAAACAAGGAAAUAGAGCCACAUUUCUUCCACUGAUUUGUCCACUCAUAGUGCUCUUGGUUUUCCCGCCUUCCACAAAAAACCUUGCAAUAGAGAUUUCCAAUUCAUCCUAGACAAUCUCAACACUAAGUUGGCUGGAUGGAAAACUAAAUUCCUCAAUAUAGCUGGCAGAAUCACCCUUACCAAGUCCUCCCUUGCUAGUAUUUCUGCUCAUGUCAUGUAAUUCAUUUUGAUCCCCACAAAAAUCCACUAAUUGAUUGACAGAACCCAAAAGUACUUUUUCGGGGGCACCACCCCUGAUAAUAAGAAAAUUUAUCUAAUCAAUUGGGAAACCUUGACUAAUGCUAAAGCUAAUGGGGGCCUGGGCUUCCAAAAAGCUUCCAUUAGGAACACCACUAUGUUAUCCAGUCUAGCUUGGAGACUUUAAAAGCAUCCCAACAGUCACUUGGAAAAAUUUUUGUUAAAUAAAUUAGCCCCCAUGGCAUAUUCAUCAAAGCCAACAACUUUAGAACUUGGAAAAGUGUCUUUGUGGGUUGGGAAAUUUGUAAAACUGCCUCCUCUUUGAAUAUCUAUAAGGAUGACAAGAUCAACUUCUGGAAGGAUAGAUGGAUGCCUCACUGUGAACUCCUUCUUUACGUCAUCCAAGACCUUCUUCCUUAUCAUUCCCAAGACAUUAAACACUCUGAGGUUUAGAGGAAUGGCUCCUGUAAUCUCAAGGAGCUUCCGAUUGAAAUCCCUAAGGAUGUCAUCCAAACUUUAACCAACUUUAUUUUCCCAAAUCCCAGAGCCCAUAUUGAUGAGCUCAUUUGGAAUCUCACUGGUAAUUGUCUGUUCUGCAGCAGAAAUGCUUAUAAUCAUAUAGCCAAAACCUCUGAGAUCAAUUACUCCUCUAAUUUCAACUGGAUAUGGAAGGCUAAAUCCCUUAAAAAUUUAAAACAUUUAUUUGUUUAAGCCAGCUUAAUAGGUUCCCCAAUAACCUUAACCUCUCCAAGAGAGGAGCGACACAAAAUACUAGUUGUGCUAUCUGAAAUCAUCACUAGGAAGAAAAAUCCCACAUUUUCUUUAAGUGUCCUAUCCUCAACGAUUUGGGAGUGCAAACUAUCAACAAGAUGACCCAGUCCAAACAACCUCCUAUUUCCAGUCUCCUACCCUCUUACUAGCACACUAUCUGGAGAUCUCUUCAACACUCCCAAUUCAACAGACUAAUCCACUGGCAUGACAUCAUUCCUUUUAACCUCUAGACACUCUGGAACACCAGGAACUCUAAUACCUUCAAGAAAAAAAGGGACCAUCCCAAUUUUAACCAUGCUUACUCCCAAACCGUUGAGUAUAAACAUCUUACUCAAAAGAAUACCCCAAUCAAGCAAAACCAAAUCAUCAACAUUAAGUGAAAUCCUCCCACCUGCCACACCUUAAAGCUCAAUACUGAUAAUUCUUGCCUUAGAAACCUCGGGAAGGGUGGAAUAGGAGGGGUAGUCAGAUCCAGUAAUGGAGGCUGAGUGUUAGGCUUUAACAAAAACUUUCACCGGACUACCAAAAACAUGGUAGAGCAAAAUAAUCUUCUCCCCACUGAAAUUAACUUUGAUUCCUUGGAAGUGAUAUCUAUGUUAACAAAUGGGAACCUCCACUAUGAUACUUUAAUUUCGGAAUGCAGGUCAAAAUUAAAAAGAAUAAGGAAUCCGAAAGUCAAGUACUGUUAUAGAGAACAAAAUGGAGUGGCGGAUGCUCUAGAAAAAUACAGAGCAAGGGCAAGCGGGUUUUAGGAGACUACCCUUUUUGAAGUUCCACCGAUAUGUGCAAAAGAUGCAGUUUUAGCAGACAUCUCAAAAACUUUUUGAGAGAACAAUUAGGAUGAUUUUAAUUGGCCAGGCCAGAACUAUUCCUUUUUGAACCCUGACUAAUCGUCAAAAAUUGAAACUUAAACUGNNNNNNNNNNNNNNNNNNNNNNNNNNNNNNNNNNNNNNNNNNNNNNNNNNNNNNNNNNNNNNNNNNNNNNNNNNNNNNNNNNNNNNNNNNNNNNNNNNNNNNNNNNNNNNNNNNNNNNNNNNNNNNNNNNNNNNNNNNNNNNNNNNNNNNNNNNNNNNNNNNNNNNNNNNNNNNNNNNNNNNNNNNNNNNNNNNNNNNNNNNNNNNNNNNNNNNNNNNNNNNNNNNNNNNNNNNNNNNNNNNNNNNNNNNNNNNNNNNNNNNNNNNNNNNNNNNNNNNNNNNNNNNNNNNNNNNNNNNNNNNNNNNNNNNNNNNNNNNNNNNNNNNNNNNNNNNNNNNNNNNNNNNNNNNNNNNNNNNNNNNUGAGACAAUACUAACACUAAUACUAAUACUAAUACUAAUACUAAUAUUAAUACUAAUAAAAAUAAUAACAUUUUAACUAUUUUUAUUUCACCACUAUUAGAUUGCAAUCCUAUUACUAUUACUAUUAUUAUUUGUUCAUUGUUAUUUGAGAUAAAUAUUAAGAUAAAUCGUGUAGCAAAAAAAUAAAAAUUGUGUGCCAUGAUUAUUAAUUUAGUACAUCUAAAUUAUAAGAUUAUCUUUGAAAGUAUGUUUUAUCUCCAAUUUAAAUUCAAAAAAAUUUGAUAGAAUAUCCAAUAUCUUAGAUGAGCAGUUAAAACCUUCAAUACAGGUCAGGCUCGUUGGGAUGGCCCGGCCCAGCCUGUAAUUUGAUAGGUUUGGGCUACAAUUUUUAUAGCCCAUUUAAGAAUAGGGCUUUUUAGCCGUUCAUGAAUAAGUCUAUUGACCCGUCGGCUUGAGCCAUAUGGGUUUGCGUGACCCGUGGGUCAAAUAAAAAAUAAAAAAAUAAAAUGUAGUACUAAAAAUAAAAAAAUGAGUCCAAACUCAAAGUUUAUAUGAACCAUCAUAUAUAUACUUAAAUAUUAAUUAUAUUUAAAGAAUAUAUAAAUAAUUUACAUAUAAAAUAUAAGUUUUUUAAGAAAUCAAAUAUGUUUGACGAAGAUGACGUGGCGAUGUUGAAUACACCAUAAAUGCCAUGAGAGUUUUCUUUAAAGUGUUUAUUUUACUUUUAAUGGACUAAACAUUGACAUUUCAUUGUGUUUUAUUUUGAUCAAUUAAAACAAAAUUAGGUUAAUAUUGUUAUUUAGCGAGUUAUAUUAUUACUCAUUAAUUAUUUUAUUUAUUUUUCAAUAUCUUUAUUUGAUUUUAUUGUAAAUAUUUAUGCAAUUAAUAUUUUAAAAUUUAAAUUAAGAUUAUAAAAAAAAUAUAUUUUAAAAAAUGGGCUGGCCCGUGGAGGCCCACAACCCAUAGUGUGACGGGUUGGGCUUGCUAUUUUCUAAUCUGUCAAGUUGAUGAGUUAGCCUGACCAAGCCCGUCAAACUCUAAAGCCUGUGUGAGCUAGCCCGGAUGAGCUGGUCUGAUCCAUAUUAACAACUUUAGGAGCAGUUAUAUAACAAUAAGAAUCUAAUUAGAACUAUUUAGUGUUAUAACUAUCUACUUAUAAUAUGUAAUUUUAUAUUUUUUAAAUAUUAUUUUAAAUUUAAAGUCAACAAUUUAUUUGUAACACCCCAAGAUCCCAUCCCGAGACGUCACACGGUGCUUAAGGCCACACGCGGCCUCAAGCUAACCCUCUAAACCUGUCAUCACAUCUAGAACUCACUUUGACAAUUGUCAUGCUAAUAUAAGAGAGAAUGACAUAUCAUAAACAUACUGAAAUUCUGUACAUACCAACCCUAUAGCCUGACAAAGCCUCUAUACAUCAAAAUCAAAGAGAUAUUGGGACAAACCCCCAACUGACUCAAAUAGUACUGUAAGCCAUAACAACAAAAUGGUAUCACAAAAUUAUAAACAUGAUCCUCGAACCAUGAGGACUCACCCCUGAGUAGAUGAAAAGAGGCACCCAAAAAUCGCUAACGUGGCUGAGUACCUAAACCUAUAUUAUAAGAAAAAGUAGCCCUUAUAAAAAUAUAUGGGUCAGCACUUUGGAAUGUACUGAGUAUGUGGGGGGCAUGCAACAAUGUAAAUAUCGUCAUCAAUUUCAUGAAAUUAUGCAUAUUUACAAUGAUGGCUCACUUGGAUUGAGUUAGAUUGAAACAUAUUUUUUAUAAUCUCAUCGUAAAUAAAUCAUAUGAUAAAAACCUUAUAAAUCAUCAUAAAUAAGUCAACUCUUCAAAUCAAGACUCGGAGUGACUUUAUAAUUCAAGAAACUCGACUCUUAUGGACAUGGGAGGUUCUUAUAACCGACAUAAACCAUGUGAGCUACAUGGAGUCCAAUGUCUUGCCCUCCUAAGGAGAGAACCCUACAUUGGCGGGAGCGUCGUCUUGACAGGGAGUACAAUCUAAAUUUAGUGAUCACAAUCUCAUACUCGGCCUCCGACCCACAAUUAUCAAUAUCAAUCCUACGGUGGCACAUAGUUUCGGGGGAAAUACCACAUUUUCCGCUUAGUGCUAAAUACUACUCCCAGACACAAGCUCAGAACGCGUUAGGAAAUCCACCACAAACAUCACAAGGGUCUAUCAUGAAGACCAAAUCAAAUCUCUUUCUCAUUUAUCAAAUCAUAAUUAUUUUGAGGAUUCCUAACUCGACUCAAAUCAAAUCAAUAUUUCUCAAUAGCAAAAUCCAUCAAUUCAUUAAAUCAUGGCAACAUCAAUAACUUUGAGGAAAUAUCAAGACUCAUUGUAACAACUCAAUUCUCAUAAAUCAAUAUACUCAAUAAUCCAAUUUUUCAUAAGAAAGAUUAAAGCUUGACACAUAUCUUUAAAGCACUUGAAAUACCAACUCAUGGUAGAAACUUUAAAUUCACAAUAUUAAAUAUCAAGUCAUAAGUUGGAAAUUGUAAAAUAAUCAUGUAUAACAAAGCCUGAACGAUUUAUAUUCUCCUAAUCUCAUGAUGAAGUAAUUUGGAUAUAAACCCACUUGCAAAAUCAUAUAAAUUCAUAAUAAAAAUCAAAGCUUUGAGCACAAGAGCGAAAGAAUUUCUCUUGUUCAAAACCCCACGUACCUCAAUCUUUGAAAUUGGUUGAACUCUAGUGCUUGAUACUUUCCUCACACUUGUAAUACAAAAAAUUCUUGAAGCCCACUCUAUGAGGAACUUGAUUCUUGAAGGAAUCUUGAAGAUUUAUGGAUGAUUUUUGGAAGAUUAAUUCCCUAAAAUAAAACCCUAGAUAUAUUUCUAAAGAGAAUUGGAAGAGAGAAAUGAAGAAAUUAGGUUUUGGAUGAGGAUUCUCAUAUAUAUAGAUCCCUCCAAAAAUGGGAAAUGACUAAAAUACCCUUGCAAAAAUCGUCCAUCAAUUGCUGAAAAAAAUAGUUAAUGACAUCUGUGAUAAGCUGUCAGGCCCAUGAUAGGCCAUCACGAAUUGUCGUCACAAAAAGGGUGGAUUUUGUGACUUUCUGCUUUAAGGUGAUGACAUUUUGUGAUGGGCCGUCAGGCUUGUGACAAGUCAUCACAAAAGGUCGUCACGAAUUUUCCAGGCUGACAUGCUGGACUAAAAUAAGCAUAACUCUUUUGCUCCAAUAUCGGAUUUUAAUGAAAUGGGUAUCGUUUGAAAGCUAAUUCAAUUGUAUAUCUUUUGGUAGUUGAUAAGGUAAAUAAUUCGUAGUACAACGGGAGAUAUGCUCAUUUAAAGUUAACUAUGCCAAAAUCCUUCUCAAAAAUUCAAUGGGUAAAGAAUGUUUUGAUUUGCCCAAGCGUUAGGACAUCUUUAAAGACUUAAUACACAUCUCCCUUGACCAGGAAACAACCAAAACACUAUAAUGUAUUUCUCAUGGGCUUAAUUCAUGGCGGCACUAUUGGUUAGAAUCUCGGGGUAUUACAAUACCUCCCCCUUGGAAAUAUUCAUCCUCGAAUAUUGCCUGAUAGGCCAAGAACAAGAUAAAAAUGAGGAUGUAUAGCUGGAACGACUCACUCAAAAGACUUAAUUCACUCUAUACCUUCGAAUACUAUAGAAAAUGCACAUAUUCGUGAUGAAAGCAGACACACUGCUGAAUCUUUAAUAAGAAGGGGGUGGAAUUAAGAAAGAAUGAUACCUUCUACUCGCUCAGAACUCACAGAUAAGAGGUGAGGGUACUUUGAUCGCAUAUCAUCUUUGUCUUCCUAAGUAGCACUAUCAACAGAUUGAUUUCGCCGAAGCACUUUAACCAAAGCAACUUCUUUGUUCCUUAGCCUACGGAUCUGAAAAUCCAAAAUCUUAAUUGGAAUCUCCUUGAAUGAAAGACUAUCCUGAAUAUCUAAGCUUUCGGAAGAAUCAACCGUGACAGAAUCACCAAUACAGUUCUUAAGCAUAGAAACAUAAAAUACCGGAUGAACGCUAGACAACUCUGUGGGUAAAUCCACCUCAUAAGCUACUUUGCCAACACGGCUCUGGAUCUUGUAUGGACCAACAUAACGGGGACUAAGCUUUCCCUUCUUCCAAAAUCUCUUUACCCUUUUCAUGGGUGAAACCUUCAAGUACACCAAAUCAUUAACAUUAAACUCAAGAUCUUUUCUUCUCACAUCCGCAUACGACUUCUGAUGACUUUGAGAGGUUUUCAAUCUUUCUCAAAUCAACUUAACUUUUUCCGUAGACUCGAACACAUCAUCCAGCGCAAUCAUAGCUACUUCUCCUACUUUAAAUCAACCUAUGGGCGAUCUACAUUUUCUCCCAUACAACUAUUAUUAUACGCAAAUUCGAUCAAUGGAAAGUGCUCAUCCCAACUACCUUUGAAAUCAAGUGUACAUGCCCUCAACAUGUCCUCCAAAGUCUGAAUAGUUCUCUCAGCCAGACCAUCGGUCUGCGGAUGGAAAGCAGAACUUAGACGAACUUGGGUAUCGAGACCCUUCUAAAAAGCCCUCCAAAAUUGAGAAGUAAAAUGAGUACCCCUAUCAGAGAUGAUAGCUAAAGGAACUCCAUGAAAUCUUACUAACUCACAGAUAUACAAUCUAGCAUAAUCCUCAGCUAUAUAAGACAAAUGCACUGGAAAGAAAUGAGCUGAUUUAGUCAAUCGGUCUAUGACAAUCCAAAUCAAAUCAUGAUGAUGAUAAGAAGGAGGCAAACUAAUUACAAAAUCCAUAUUCACUUCUUUCCAAUUCCAAUUAGGAAUUACAAACUCUUUAAUUACACCACCGAGCCUCUGGUGCUCUACCUUAACUUGUUGACAAGUAGAAUACUUUGUCACAAAUCCUGCUAUGUCUUUCUUCAUCCCGUUCCACCAAUAUAUUUCCCGCAAAUUGCGGUACAUCUUGGUAGCACCAGGAUAAUAGAAUAUCGCGCACCAUGCGAUUUGUUGACACCUAAUUUUUGCCCUCCACAACUAAAUUUAAUCCUGAGUUUCUUCGAUUCUUAAUAAAAUCGGAAUAUUUAUUUCAUUCGAAUAAAAAUUUUUCAAAAAUAUAUUUGUACGUAAUUUUGUCAUCUUAAGUAGAAAUUAUAUAUUAUCGUAUUCAAAUAUACGAUUUUAUAUGAGUUGAUUACUUAGAUAUUUACUCUAUGAAAUAUCAGAUUUGAAUUAAGGAUCAUUUCGAAAAAUAAUAAUUAAAAUCAUGAUCUAAAUAUAAUUUAUUCUCGAAAAUAUUUUGUUUAGAUAAAUAUGCAUUUGAUUUUAUUAAUUCAAGAAGCUCAAGAUUAAACAAGGUGUUAAUUCGUAUCAAACUUUUAUUUAAUUUAGUCAAUUUAUUAAAUUAUAACUUAAUUGAAAUUAAUUUGACCAUAAUUGCAAUGUAAUUGGUUAAUUUAAUUCGAAUUAGGCUAAAAUUUAAAAAUGAUUGUCUAAAUUUUCAUCCAUUGGCUAUUUCAUAAAUAGUCUAAAUCUCUACAUUACUAAAACCCAAAUUCUACCCAACAAUAUUCAGAUCCCUCCUGCCUAGUUCCUUUUCAUAUUAACAGGCCCAAAAUCCCUGACGUGGCCGACCAUCAACAAAUCCCCCUUUCUACCUUAACCAGCAAGAACUAGUCCCCAAUGCAAAAAACAACCAAAAAUAGAGUACAACUACAGGAACUUGAACAACAAUGACAAGCCCAAUUCAGUGAAUCCACCAUUGAACCAACUCGAAACCAAUCCUAAACUAUUCUUUUUCCCUCUGUCACGCGUCUCACGCGGCAGUAGGAUAAGAAAAACCCUCGAACCUUCUAGAAAAUGGGCUAGGUGUCAUCUCCAAUGGUCCAAUCCCGCAAAUUUUGGGAUAACUCGUACGAACUCAUACAAUAUUUGGCUGAUUUCCAUAGGUUUUGGGGAAGAAUUCAUUUUCCCUAAAUCUCAUUGGUCCACCAAUUUCAAUAUUGGUACAAUUGAUUGAUGAAACCCUAAGCGGUGAGAGGAUUUUCAAAUUUCAAAAUUCAAAAACAUCCUUCUUUUAAAUCCCUAAAAGAAAUUCAGGGGAUAUAAAAAGACCCCUGGGGUCACUAUUUCGGGGAUUAUUGGUUUCUUCUCUCCUGUUCUUUCCCUUAGGAGUUGGAAAUUUUAGAAGCCUCUGUUUGUUUUAUUUAGAGAAAUGUUGGGUUCAAAAAAAGGGGGAAAUCCUUAGGUUGGAAAAUUUUAGGUCACGGUUGAGGGUUACUUUCCCUUCUGAGGUGGAAAAAUUAAGGGAGAAAGCUAGGUUGGAAUAUUUUUUUGAGAAAAAUUUCUGAAUCGGAAAAACUGAGAUAGAGGGAAGAAAGAAAAAGAAAAGAUUUCCGAAGAAAGAUUUAAUCUUUGAAGUUUUUCGGUGGUCGUGAUCCCCGUAUCAGUUCGUCGUCUUGUUUUACUGCUCCGGAAAAGGUAACCUCCUAUUUUCAUUUAGUUUUCAUUAUAUUUCUUCUUCCUCUUGUCAUUCUAUAGUCAUGACUGUCAUUCUAAAGAUUUUGUAAGCUGGGUUGUCUGCUGUAGAGGUCUUCAUGACCAUAGGUUUCAAUUUUAGUAAAAGGCAAUGUUUUUUUGCAGUUCUACGUUGGGAUGAAUUCCUAUGAUUGUAUGACAUGUGGUUUUCAUCAUCUUUAGAUCUUGAUUUGGUGAUUGGUCAUCUACUCUCAGCAUUACUGCUUAAUUUAUGUCCUAAUGUAUCAUCUUGUGGACUGUCUGUGAUUUGAAGCAGUUAAAGAUCAUAUUUUGAUUCUUGCUUAACAAUUUUCAUCCUCUUGUUGCCUUGAUUUGUACUUGUAGUUUUAUAAUCUUACGUGUUCAGUGUAGCUCGUUAGGAGGCUAUGAAAGCCCCAAGUUUCAUAUGAUAAACUGUGAGCUUUCAAACAUUGUUGUUGUUUCUGCAUUUAGGACAGAUUGAUUCUUAAAGUUUUUGAUUUCGUUAUAAUUCAUCUGGGAGCAUUUACCUUUGUUAAUACAAUGUUUUUGAUGAAAAUUUUCUUUGAAUUCGACUUUCGUGAAUGCCAUAUUGUUUAAAUGAUGAGCUUCUAGCCUAAGGAUUAUUGCUAAUAUCCUGUUCUAAAAAAAUGAAGGGUUACUAAGUAACUUUAUUCCUAUAAACGAUUGAGUAAAAGUGUUGUGUUUUUUUCAGUUAAAAAGGAUGAUAGGGUCAAAGGGUUUUGCAUUCUCUUUAGGAGUUGCUAUUAUAGGCCUCCUUUGUGACCUUUAUUUAUAUAGGUUAAAUAAAAAGAAGUCUAUUCUAUUUAUAGUAUAUUUUCUCAUUUCACCAGCUUUGAUCUGAGUUUAACACAUACACUUGUAGUUAUUACUUGAAAAUUGUUUCAAAAAAAAAAAUUAGCUUUUCCUGCGUCGUUGCUAACUCGUAUGAGCUUCUAUAUCUCCUUUAUGAAACUUUUAGGAUCCUGUUCAUUUGUCUAUUAAAUACAUCUCUUCCCUCAUCAUCUUAUUGAUGUUGGGAAAAGAAAAUGUUUUUAGUCGCAUUGCUUCUCCCCUAUUUCCUAUUUACUUCAGUACCUAAGGUUAAGAGUUUUGGAUCCGUUUGAAUAUCGAAUAGUUUCCAUGUUUUAUUUAAAGCCAUCCUUUCUUUUUCAUAUUAUCAUUUGCUAAAAUAUUUUUGAUAAGAUAAAAGUUGUUUGCGUGUAGUAUGUGUGGUGACAUGCCUAAUAAUGUGCGUACUCUAUGGGAACAUGUUGUUAUUUCUUCUCUCAAAGAUAGGUCUAGUAAAUUUGGGAGAAAUUCUAUUUUAGUUGCUUCCUGAUUCUUCCCAACUAUUUGUUGUUAUCUUGAGUUUUAGUAAUAGCCAUCUAUACCUAAAAGGGCUAGAGAACAUUAAUCACCAAAAUAAUCCAUUGAGUCCGAAUGGAUUCUUUCCCAUUGCAUCUCUUAAUGGGCCAUUGAGGCCCUCCAUGACUAUCAAAUGAAGCCCCAAAAGAAAGCCUAAAAUAAAUUUCAUGGUGUACGAAUACGAGAAGUCGAAAGAAGAGAGAAGAUGGAUUAAAGCCCCAUCUUUAAAGUGGCUAAGAGACUCAAAAGUCUCAUUUAUUAGUUUAUUUAUUUACUUAUCGAUUUUAUUCAUUUUAUUCAUUUAUUUAUUUAUUUAUUCAUUUGGGCCACGAAGCCAAAGUUGUACUUAAUAUAGGUGGAGCGAUACUCGAGCCAACUACUCGAAAACAAGACUAGGACAGGUGAAAUGGGUCGAAAGCCCAAUUAGACUAGGACAGGUCUUAUUGAUUUGGGCCCAGUGGCCUAAAUCCCUUACUUUCUCCCCUUCCCCUUUUUCUUUAUGUUUCUUUACCUUAUCUGUUUUGGUGAACCUUGUUAAAUCCUUUGUCAAGUCGCUAAAAAGCUGGUUCUUCAUAAACACCGAAAUCUUUUCUAAAAUUGCCUUCUUUUCAAAACUAAACCUUUUUCAAAAGUUAGUCAAUGACGACUUCCAAAUAGUACGGAUAACCGCAAGUUAGCGGACGUUUUAGGUGCCUAACACCUUCCUAAAAUGUUAACAAGAACCGCUUACUCAGAAUCUCUUAACUUAAAUGAUUUUCCUAUUUUGGUUCAUUUGAAGUAACUCUAUAAAGGUUACUUAAUUCCUUUUCAAAAUUAAGUGGCGACUCUCUUUCAAAAGUCAAAAUUUCUGCAAAACAGAAAUGAAGACUCUACUGGGGACUUUUCAAACUAGGUUCUAACCAAAUGUUCAAUUUCUUCUUUUGAUUAACUGUUUAUGUGUUUAUAUUAUUCGAUUCUAUAAAUAUUAACUAUCGUAUCUCAUGGCAUACCCCUGCAUUAUUUAAACUAUUUUGGGGUUUCGUGGAUGUCUAACUUUAUAUGAGGUCCUGUCUAACUUUUUAUGAGGGACUCUAUUCUGAAUAUAACAUGCAGAUAAGACAACUUCCCCGUCAUAUAGUCAGGUAGACCUAAGCUUAAAAUCAUAAAAUUCAUCAUUUUCUUAAGUGUUCUAUUCUUUCGUUCUAUUACACCAUUUUGUUGGGGUUUAUAGGGAGCACAAAACUCAUGGAUAAUGCCUUUUUUUCUAAUAAAAAUCUUCUAGAGUUUUAGUACUAUAGAGGUAGACCAAUGAAAUAUUGGAGGGAGGUGAUUAGGCAUGAUAUGGUGCUAUUACAGCUUACAGAGGAAAUGAACAUUGAUAGGAAGGUAUGGAGAACACGGAUUAGGGUAGAGGGUUAAGGGGUUGGAGAGCGACGCUAGUAAUGGGGAGUUUCUGGUUCGUAGUGUUGUUGUUGUAGUUUUUGGGGCUAGUGGUGUUGGCUUUUUGGCAUCCCGUACUAGUUUAUUAUGCACUUAUCUUUUGUGUUUUUUAUACUGUUAGUUUAUUUUGUGCACCAUACUAGUUUAUAUGCACUUACUUUUUGUAUUUGUUAUACUGUUAUUGGUCCAAAAUCGGGGGUCUAUCGGAAACAACCUCUCUACUUUUCUUGAGGUAGUGGUAUGGUUUGCGUACACUCUACCCUCCACAGACCCCACUAGGUGGGAAUACACUGGGUAUGUUGUUGUUGUUGUUGGGGUUUCGUGGAUGUCCCGGCCCCUGUUGUUCAAUUCAAAAAUAUGUUGGAAAUACAAAUGGUUUAUUAUCACGUGAGUCGUUUGACGCUGUUCGUAUUUUCAAACUCAAGUUGUCCGCUUGUGAACUAGUGUUAAAGCCCACUCUAGACACUGAGGAUAGAACGAAACCAAAACCCUAUUUUAGGCAUGAGCCUAGGAUGACCCAUUACCCGAGCGGGGUAUUGGGUCCAUUACAGAACCCGCCCUACGUCUGUUGACCCCGAGUCAAUUAUAGACGAAUCAUAUUUAUGUGUUGAUAAAAAUACAUACUUUUCUAAUUCAAUCCAAUAGCCUUUGGGGUCAGGGGAAGGCUUAUCUUUAUCUGCUUUCAUGUAGGCUAUGGCUCAACUACAUUCCUUCGAAAAUUUCAAGAUGGUUACUAAACCUGAUGAUUUCUUGAAACUAUGGUGGGACCAUAAGAGUGCAGAAGAGAAAAAGAUUGUUAGAACACACAUUGGGCAUCUUCCUUCUUUGAUCGAGAUGGACGCUUAGCCCGAAAUGAUCCAUGUACUACCAACUUUUUGGGAUGAUCAGAAUAUGGUAUUUCACUUUGGGGAUGUUGAAUUGACUCCUUCCAUUGAAGAGGUAUUGAUUUGUUACGAGAGUACGGAAAUGUGUUUUGAGAGAAGGGAGACACCUAAUAAGAACAUUUUAGUCCCGGUAGUGUGGGAUCGUAAAAAGAUCAAGGGGGUAUUUUUAACUGACGAUGACACUUGGCUAGGAGAACGUGAUGGAGCAAAUAUCACUUUAUGUGAGUUGUAUCGUCGGUUCGGGAGAGUCAAUACUUUUCACAAAUUUGGGCACAAAUAUGAGUCAGAACCAAAAUGGAAGGAGACGAGACCCUAUGCAUUUACGGUAGGCCUACUUGGAACCAUGGUGUUCCCAUAAGGGGAAAAUGUCACAAUUCAUCCGACGGUUGUUUCAGUGACCCAUGCACUCUUCUUUGGAAUGGAUUACAAUUCUAAAAAGGUAAUCCACAACUUAGCUCCCAUGAUUAUCGCUGACAUAUAUCGAGCUUUGGGAAGGGUUCAAGUCGAGAAUCGUUUCUUUCAAGGAUGUAACCUUAUAUUACAAUAGUGGAUAAUGAUGCAUUUGGUAAAAAAUCCUAGAACAGCAUAACCCGACCACAAAUCAAGGUGGAAUCUGCUAGAAUUGCAUGACAUGUGGUUGUUUUUACACAAAUUCAAAAGGGAAGCAUCUCAUGAUUUUUGGUUUAAGACUCUUGGAGCAUUAAGAGAUGACGAUGUCCAGUGGUCUAUUAACUAUCUUCUUUCAGGGAAAUACAUUAUUUGAGGAAGCAAGUGGCCUUUUCUAGUACUUUCGGGUCUCAAGGGAACCCAUCCCUACAAUCCUGGCAGAGUUCUUAAGCAAUUCGAGAUCAAGCAUGAGAUGCCUCAAAUAGAUUCUAUGCUCAAAUUCUUCACCGAAUAUGAUGAAAGUGAGCCCUCGCUCAAAGACUACAUGAUAAACGGAUGGAGAAGGAGAAGGUGGAUGGAAGUAUCCUUUCGUAUAGGGUUUGAACCUUAAGUCAGCGAUACUUACAAGGAGUGGUUAAAAAUGACCCUCGUCGGAGCAUUGAUUGCGGGGCUGAGGAUGCCCAAUGGGGUCGUGGAUGUAGAAUUCGAGCAUCAGAUCCAAUUCCACAAUCUUCAGGAUGAAUUUUAGAAAAGUGAAAUUACGCACUGAUAGACAUAUACAGAAGAUUCUUUAACAAUAUGUAUGUUUAGGGAAGAGUUGAAAACAGCUAGGCAAGAGGAUGAUGAUGCUAGGCAGUGUUUAAUAAAUUUGGAUGAUAGCAUGGCCUCUCAACUCGAUAGUAUAGGGAAAAUAACUUACAUCAGCUAGGCACAGUUAUGCAAGAGUCAUCUGAUCAUCAAUAGGUAUCAAAUAGCACAGGAGGUUAACAAGGCAAAGAAGGCAAAGACAGACGAAGGAGCCUCCGGUAGCUAGUUUUUCUAUUUCCCCUGUGUGGGAACUUAUUUUUUUCACGUUAUUUCCCUUUUUUCCAAAAGAUUGUAUCCCUCUUUUGUUAUUUUUUGUAGGAAUUUAUGCCCUUUUUCAUGUCUAUAUAAGUUAGGGGAUAAUGGAUUGACUUUAAGGAAGCAUAUAUUUUCUUCAAAAUAGUUAGGCCUGAACCCUUCGUCCAAAAAAGGUCACCCCUGUUAGGAUACACAUUAUUAUAAUUUUUUGUGUGAUAUAAUUGUCUUAUGUGAUUAUGUAUGUUUAUUUGGAUCAAAGGCAAGUUUAUCCGCUAUACUCCUAUGGAUGAAUUUAGCUAUGACUCAAACAACUCUAUGUGGUUAUUUCUUGUCAAAUAUUUUGCAUUACUUAUCACAUACGAAAACUAACACAUCUGCCUUUGAGUGGUUUUACUUAAAAAAUAGUAGAAACUACUCCGUGUUGAUAUAAGCUAGCAGAACAUCCCUACAUCACCCGGUCAAAAGCGUACAAAAUCCCAUUCUCUGACCAUCAUUCAAUAAUGACCAGAAAUGAUGAAGAAAAUACAUUGACCAUCAGGGACAAUCAAAUAGCGGAACAGAGUGAGAUGAUUGCGAAAUUCGCAAGAAAGCUUGAAAUGCUUCAGGAGGAAAUAAAUCAUGCUCGAGAUUUGGCUCACCUGGCCAUCACUGUUAAUGCUCCCGCUCCAGGAGGACACGGGACUCCACUCCAAAUCCCUUCCCUCAGUACGCCUAUUCUAGGGGAUCACCCAAAAAACAUAUCGUCCAUCUCUGCCCCUCUACUUGUCCAAAAUACCUGUCAUGAAAAUAACCCAGAUGCCUACCAUCCACAAAAUCCAUCACUAAAACCACCAAACCCAUCUUUAAAUCCAUUCCCAAAUCCCCAGAACCUAUUUGCAAAUCAACAAAAUUCGUGUCCAAAUCCACAAGAUUCACUCCCAAAUCCAAAAAAUCCAUCCUCGAAUCUUCCAUUGAAUCUAUCCCCGAAUCUACCAAAUUUGUUUCCAAAUUCACAAAAUCUAUCUCAGAUGCCACCAAGAUACUCGCAAAUUUCAUAAAACCUUUCUAAAUUUCAAAACGUCCUCCCCACCUACCAACUAACUUUCUUUCAUCCGCAAAAUCAAGCCUUCUUUCCAAAUCCUCCUCAUGCCAUCAUAUCCCCUGACAUCUAUAAUCCCCUUCCUAAUCCCGAGAUGGACCAUUCCGAAGAGAAGGAGAAAGAGUGGAGGACCAUGCAUGAAAUGAAGUUGCUAGCUAUGUUUGAAGAAAUCAGGAGGAUCAAAGAAUCUCAUGGAGCGAGGGACCAUGAUGGUUUAGGGUACAAUGACUUAUGUGUUCACCCUAGAGUAGAUCUACAACAAGGGUAAAAGGUCCCUAAAUUUGAUGUGUUUGAUGGUGUCGGAAAUCCAAUGGCCCAUAUGAGGGGGUACUACAAGCAACUGGUGGAGAUCGAGAAAAAUGAGGUGUUACUGAUGUACCUAUUCAACCAAAGUUUAAGCAGUGAAGCCUUAGAGUGGUUCAUGUCUCAGCAGCCGAAAAGAUGGACUGGUUGAAAGUAUUGGUCAAGGGUUUCCUCGACAGGUUCGCAUUCAACAUUGAAAUAGUCCCGGACCAGUGUUCACUAGAUUGAAUCAAACAAAAGAGUGAUGAGUGUUUCUGAGACUAUGUUUUUCAUUGGAGGAAGGAAGCUGCCAAAGUACAACCCCUAUGUCCGAGGAUAAAAUGCUAUCUGUGUUCUCUUGCGCUUAAGAAGGAGAAUAUUAUACCAGGAUGGUGUCCGCUGUCAGGGCGACUUUCACGGAUUUUGUACAAAUAGGAGAAUAAUUGGAAGAGGUAUUCGGAUAGGAAAAAUUGCGAAAAAACCGACAUCAUCCGGGACUACUAUGUUCUCGAAGAAGAAAAAGGAAGAUGUAGGCACAAUUUCUGCUGGUUUUGUUGCAAAAACCAAAAACAGGUUCAACUCUAGGAAUGCUUUCUCUUCUCCGUCCUCACCAAACCUUCAGCAUGUGUUCUACGCCCACCGCCAAUACCAAGAUCCACUUUCAAAUGUCCAACCUCAGUACCAAACUCUACUCCCAAACAUCCCAUCUCUGUACCAAACUCCACUUCCAAACAUCUAAUCCCAAUACCAAGCUCCACAACUAAAUAUCUUUCCCCAAUACCAAGUUCAACCUCCAAAUUAUCAGUCUCAUGUCCAAUCCACUCUUUCAAAGAAUAGAAUAAAUAUCCAAUAACCUCUAAAUUAUCAUCAAGUACCUCCUCCUGCAAACCAAAGCCACUAUAACCUCCCACAUCUAAACUACGAAAAAAAACCUCCGCGAAACUUCACACCACAAGCUGAAAGUUGCACUCAAAUGUUUGAAAGACUAAGAACGCUGGUCAUUUGCAAUUGAUAUAGUCAAAUCCUGUCAAUCCCAACUCCCAAUUUUAUCAUCCUGAUCAAAAUUGUGCCUAUCAUUCAGGAGCAGUAGGGCACAGUACCAAGGAUUGUUUUAUCUUGAAACACAGGAUCCAAGAUUUGAUUGAUCAAAAGUUUAUCACGCUUCAGUCAACAAUCCAAAAUGUCAACAAAAACCCAUUGCCUAAUCAUGGGGGACCUACAAUUAACAUGAUUGAAAUGGAAGGAGAAUGGGCAUCUGGCAAGACUAUUACUAAGGUGAAUUUAGAAGAGUGCAAAAGGGAGAAAGAGGUAGAAAAGAUAGAGAGAGUUGUAGCUACCUUAAGUUUCAAUGAGAAAGCCCCAUUUAUAGUGAUUAUGGCCUCGAUCCAAGUGUAAAAUCCCCCGCCAAGGAAGGAAUUUAUUGUUCAGACCGCUGCUGCCCAAGGGAUAACGCGGUCAGGACGAUGCUACAUCCUUCAAGAAUUUACCAACAAAAAUGAUUCACAGAAAAGGCCAAUCACUAAAGGGGAGGCUAAGGAAUUUUAGAGGCAUAUGCAACCCAAAGAUUAUCUAAUUGUCAAACAUUUAGAGAAGAUGCCAGCCCAAAUCUCCAUUUUGGCACUAUUAAUGAGUUUACAAUACCUUCGACAAGCUUUAUCGAAGGUCUUGGACGAAGCGUAUGUUCCUGUAGGAACGAGUAUUGAGAACCUAGCUGCGAUGAUAGGAAGCAUUAUGGGGAAUUUUUGCAUAUUAUUCAGUGAUGAAGAGUUGCCAUUUGAAGGAGCGAUGCACAACAAACCCUUGCAUGUCAUUGUCAUUUGCCGAUAUUAUGCGAUUAAUCAGGUAUUAAUAGAUGAUGGAUCUGGUAUGAAUAUUUAACCCCUCUCCACGUUGGUUCAAAUGGGCCAUGAUUUGGGAAAAAUUCGUCAAAGCCACAUAAAUGAGAGAGCAUACAAUGGAGGGUAGAGAGAUACCAUAGGAUAAAUUUAUUUGUUCAUCCAAAUGGGACCUUCUGAGUUCACAACUAUUUUUCAUAUUAUGGAUAUUCAUCCUAGCUACAACCUGCUCUUGGGAAGACCAUGGAUACAUAGUGCAAAGGCCGUUUUAUCACCCCUUCAUCAACUAUUGAAGUUCAUUUGGGAGGACCAUGAAGUAGUCAUCCAAGGGGAAGGAAGCCGAGCAGAUCGUCCCAAUGAUUAUGUGCCAGUGAUUGAAGAUGUUCCAAAGGGUAGUAGUUUCAGUACGGUUAAAAUUAUAAAUAUUGUGGAGAAGGAUCUGACGCUCAAAGAGCCAAUGCCUUCUAUCUACAAAAUGAUUGCGGCGGUGAUAUUAAGAAAUAGAUUCCAGCCUGGUCGGGGUUUUGGUAAUAAUCUACAAAGAAUUAUUGAGCCUGUUAUAAUCCCAGAGAAAGCCUCUAUGUAUGGGUUAGGAUAUUAGCCUACCGAGAAGGAUAUGGUUGAGGAUAAGUCAGAGAAGAGUUUGUGUAGGCCCUUUCUGCUCCUGUACCAGUCAUUUCCUGUAUGGGAUGUGUUCAAUAAUAAUGGUAUUGAGGAUGGGAUAGGAGAUUUGUUCGAGGUUUGCAAUGCUGUACCAGAAGAUUUCCCAAAAUCCGGCGGGGUGAAGAAGAUUGCGCCAGUUGAGGCCUUGCAAAAAUGGACCUCCACUCCACUCAUAACCCAUCGCCCAUUGUGGUAGAUGAAAGGGCAAUUACUAAUAGUUUUAAAAUCAGUGAUGAUCCGAAAGAGGCCCCGCGAUCCACCUUUUAUAUCUCAAAACUUUCUUUUUGUAUUUUACUGCUUCCGAAAAGGUAUGGACUUGUAUUUCCGCUAGUCAUGAGCCAUGGAUUUGUAAUUAUCUCAAAAAUUUCAUUAAAAAGUCCUUCAUUAAUUUAAAAAAAAUUAUUAUUCUUGAAACAUUCCUAUUCGUAUAUUUUAUUAUUAUCUCACUAUCAUCUAACUUGGUUUGUUUGUCCAUUACAGUAAUAGUAACCUAAAAUCUGCCAAUGUCAUGUUAUGUCAAAGCUUAGAUGAACAAAAUGAAGGGAAUGAUGAUGAUUGGAAGGACAGUGAUGAGGAACAAUUAGUUGAAGAUAUAGAUGAGUUUGAGAAUCGAGAAAAGCCUAACCUAGAGGAAACUGAAAUAGUCAACCUUUGAGAUCAUGAUGAAAUCGAAUAAACAAGUGUCAGCGUCCACCUGGCAAAAGCACAAAAGAGAGAGCUCAUUCACCUGUUGCGGGAAUAAAUUGACGUGUUUGAUUGUGUCCUAUGAUGAUAUGCUGGGAUUGAGCACCAGUAUUGUGUCGCAUAAGUUAUCGAUAAAUCCAGAGUUUGAUCCAGUCAAGCAAAAAAUGCAGAAAUUUAAGCCAUAUUUAACUUUAAAGAUCAAGGAAGAAGUGACAAAACAAAUCUAGUCUAAGGUUGUGGAGGUCACAAAAUAUCCGACGUGGUUGGCCAACAUCGUCCCUGUGCCGAAGAAGGACGACAAUAUUCAAAUUUGUGUUGACUAUAGAGACUUGAAUAGAGCCAGUCCUAAGGAUAAUUUUUCAUUGCCUAACAUCCACAUCCUCAUCGAUAACUAUGAAAAGCAUUAAAUAAAGUCCUUAAUUGAUUGUUUCGCCAGGUAUCAUCAGUUAUUGAUGGAUGAGGAAGAUACAGAAAAUAUGGCUUUUAUUUUUCCCUAGGGUGUUUAUCAUUAUAGGCUAAUGCCGUUUAGUCUCAAGAAUGCGGGUGCAACAUAUAUGAGGGCUAUGACGAUGAUUUUCCAUGAUAUGAUCCAUAAAGAGAUUGAGGUGUACAGGGAUGAUAUAAUUAUCAAAUCCAGUGAGAGUUUGAAUCAUCUGAAUUAUCUAGAGAAAUUCUUCAACAUAUUAAGAAAGUAUAGUUUGAAGUUAAAUCCUGCUAUGUUUGCUUUUGGUGUGCCAUCAGGGAAGUUGCUGGGGUUCUUAGUUAACAGAAGAGGCAUCGAUUUAGACCCAUCCAAAAUUAAGACAAUCCAGGACCUCCCACCGCCGAGGACCAAGAAGGAAGUUAUGAGUUUCAUGGGUCAUUUGAAUUACAUUAGCAGGUUCAUCUCUUAAUCGACAGUUAUAUGCGAGCCAAUUCUCCAGAUGUUGAAGAAAAAUGCAUUGAAUGAGUGGACAGAAGAAUGUCAGAGAGCUUUUGACCACAUCAAGGAAUAUCUGUCUGCACCGCCGGUUUUGGUUCCACCAAGAGAAGGAAUUCCAUUAUUGCUCUACCUGUCAUUCUCAGAAAAUGCUUUUGGAUGUGUCCUCAGGAAACAUGAUGUGAUCAGACAUAUCCUAAGGAUACAAAAUGAGUUUUCUGAUGCUAUGGACACUAUAUCCUCCAUGAUUCGGCACCCAAAUCAGAGUUAAAUUGAUCCUUUGGAAAUAAUCUUGAAAUGCAUUGUGAACGUGUUGAAGAGGAGCCCGAUGGAAAGCCAUAGUACUAUGACAUUAAAAGGUAUUUAGAAUCUGGAAUAUAUCCUUAAGAGGCCAACCACAACGAAAAGAAAACAAUCCGGCAUUUGGCAAAAAACUACUUUCCAAGUGGGGAAUUUCUGUUUAGAAGGACGCCUAAUUUAGGAUUUUUAAGAUGCGUAGAUGCUGCAGAAACCAAUAAAUUGAUAAAAAGUACACGCAAGAGUUUGCGGACCCUAUAUGAAUGGGUUUGUCCUUGCCAGAAAGAUCCUGAGAACAAGCUACUUCUGGAUGACUAUGGAGAAUGAUUGUAGUAAGUAUGUGCAGAGAUGUCCGAAAUGUCAGACACACAGAGAUUUGAUUCGAAUGCCUCCACACGAGCUUCAUGGAAUGAAUUCACCUUGGCCUUUCGUAUCUUGGGGUAUGGAUGUUAUUGGACCGAUAGAGCCAUCAGCAUCGAAUGGGCAUAGAUUUAUUUUGGUUGCCAUUGACUACUUUACUAAGUGGGUCGAAGCUGCAUCAUACAGAGCCAUCACUAAGAAAGUGGUUGCAAUUUUAUCAGGAAUAACUUGAUUUUUUGAUUCGAAGUGCCGGAAUCAAUCACUAAUGAUAAUGGGGAAAACUUGAACAAUCAAUUGAUGAAAGAAAUUUGUGAUCAGUUCAAAAUCGUACAUCACAACUCGACCGCAUAUCAUCCACAGAUGAAUGGAGCCGUAGAAGCUUCCAAUAAGAACAUCAGGAAGAUCUUGAGAAAGAUGGUCGAAAAUGAUAGAUCAUGGCAUGAGAUAUUACCUUAUGUUUUUCUAUGAUAUCGCACAACACUUCGAACCUUCAUUGGGACAACUCCCUAUUUGCUGGUUUACGGGAAUUAAGCUGUGAUACCUGCUGAGGUUGAAAUACCUUCCCUAAGGAUUAUUCAAGAAGCCGGACUAAGUAACGAAGAGUGGGUUCGCGCUCGUUGAGAACAACUCAUGUUGAUUGAUGAAAAGAGAAUGGUUGCCAUGUGUCAUUGUCAGUUAUAUCAGCACAGGAUAAUUCGUGCUUUCAAUAAAAAAGUGAGAGCUCAAACAUUUCAAGUUGGGAAAUUAGUUCUCAAAUGCAUACUCCCUCACCAAGAAAAGUACAAAGGCAAGUUCACUACAAAUUGGCAAGGCGCAUACAUAGUUCGCAUGGUACUAUCUGGAGGGGCUCUGAUUUUGUCUGAGAUGGAUGGCCAUGAGUGGACCAAACCAAUCAAUUCUGAUGAGGUGAAAAGAUACUAUGUUUGAAGGGAGUUCUAGUUUUAUGGUUCUUAGUUUAUCUGUAAUCGCCGUGUAAUAAUGUGUUUUAUGAUGUGUAAUUGCCUAGAACACCUUUCCCUUUAUGUACGAACUACGUUUGACCUGAAUUCCCAAGAAAGGGAUACGUAGGCGGCCCAUGUCGGCUUCAGUCAACCCCUUAAAAAAUUUAUCCUUUCCCUUAUUUAUGAACUAUGUGAUGACUUGAAUUCCCAAGAAAGGGAUACAUAGGCAGCCAAUGUUAGCUUCUGUCAACCUAUUAAUUUCUUUUGUAUAUCCCUAGCGUAGUCCUGAACUAUGUUUGAUCUGAUUCCUGCUUUAACAGGAUACGUAGAUGCCCCAAUGGCUCAGUCAUAUAAACCCAGGAAAUGAAAACUAGGGCACAAUUUUUGAGAAGGAAUCUCUAAAAUUCACAAGAGAAGAUCAACAUCCAACAAAGAGAAUGAAGAUCAACAAAGAUUUCAGAUCCACUCAAGAUGAUAUCAUCACAGAUUACUUUAAAUUAGGAUAGAAAUUUUUAGGGAGGCCAUAAAAUUUCAAUCAAAUACUGGAAUAUAUUUCAGAUUCCCCAGCACUAGAGGUCGAAGUUUAGAUUUGAGAAUAACUACCUGUGAUAAAGUCUAGGAAGACUAAAUCUCUAUCUUUGAUAAAACCUUUGGUAGAGAGCCUCGAUAAUGAAGAAUCCCUAGCUAUCCUCCGUCAUACGUCAGACAUUGUAAGAAUCAAGAGAAAGAAGGUCGUUGAGCUAGCACAUGACAUGACUGGCAAGGAUUUUUCAAAGUUUUGCAGGAGUUCUCAAAACUAUUUUCUAAAAGUUGAGAGUACUUUCAAAAAAUAUAUAUAAAUCUUUUACUUAGUGAUUGCCAAGACAUUAAUUAGGAUGGAGAGUGAUGGGUGGAAGUCCCAAUCAAAUACCUAAAAGAUGGCGAAGGGAAAAUCAAUGAUCGAAGGAGGUCAACACGGAGUAGUUUCACUCAAACUAAUAAUUUUCUGUGGCCGCAGGGACCAAUACAUAAAAAUGAGGGUCUCUUUCAAAAAUUCCCGAGCGAAUUGGGAGCCACACCAGAGCACUAAUUCUUAAGAACGGUAUUUUUGGGUAGCCCUAAAAAUGGGUUUAGUACCCAUAUAUUGAAGACCUUUUGAAGUGUCCAUCUUAUUUCUUGAGAUCAGGGAGGACAAGCAAAAGUGUCUUGUGUUCUUUACAAAUAUUGUAUUUAGAAUUUUUCUAAAAAACAGUCGCUAGCAAAAGCGACUUUGUGACUACUAAUCGUCUACCUUGAGUACAGGUAUAUGCUGAAAGCAAGACCCUGACAAAUGAUUUUAGGUGAAACUAUUUUUAAUUUACUGGAAGAACCAUUGCAUAUCAUUACCGAAAGGAUCAUUGCAUAAUAUCGCAAAGAAUCUUAUACCAUUUCCAAAGAAGGAUAUUCAAUAUCUGUUGAUACACUAGACACAACGUUGGCGUCAAGGAUAUCACAACAUUCAAUAUGUCUGUUGACACGCAAGACACAAUGCUGGCGUCGAGGAUAUCAUCAUCAUUUUAUAUAUCUGUUGACACGUAAUACACAACGCUGGCAUUGAGGAUGUCAUCAUCAUUUUAUAUCUGUUGACACGCAAAACACAACGCUGGCGUCGAGGAUAUCAUCAUCAUUCAAUAUCUAUUGAUGUGCUAGAAAGAAACGCUGGUGUCGAGGAUAUAAUCAUUAUUCAAUAUCUGCUGACAUGCUAGACAGAAAUGCUGGCAUCAAGGAUAUCUCAUCAUUUUAUGAAUCAACAUUUGAAUGCAUCGAGAGUAUUUGAUUUGAAGGGAUGCCUUUAAAACUCUACCUAAGGAUGAAUGAUAUAUAAGAUUUCCUAGAAAUUGACAAUUUGAGGGUCAUCUAUAAGUCAUAUUAUUCGAAAUAGGAUAGUUCAAAGGUUAUCCAUAAGUCGCAACUAAAUCCUUACCGGAGAAUAUGCAAGAUUAUCAAACUGAUAAGUCUAAGGGUUCUCUAUAAGCCGCGUCAUAUCCAAGACCAAUUAUGUGCAGGAUUACCUAAUGAUUAACAAUAUGAGAGAUUAUCUAUAAGUCAUAUUGUAACCAAGGUCGGAUGACGUGGAGGAACACCUGAAAGGUAGCGAUUAGAAAGAUAUCUUUAAGCCAUCUCUUAUCCAAAGUCAGAUAAUGUGCAGUAUUACCUAAAAGCUAGAAAUUCAAAGGAUAUUUGUAAGUCGCCUCAUAUCCAACAUCAAAUAAUGUGUAAGAUUAUCCAAAGAUUAAAAAUUUAAGAAAAAUUUAUACAUCAAUCGUCGGCUAUAACAGGAGAGGUUAUCAUUCCACAUACAACAAGUGAUAUAGGUAACCAAAAGGGUUUCCACACCAGCACAAGAUUACACGAUUGUAGGGACCGUUCUGCAUAAAGUAUCUACAAUCAACAAAUGUCAUAAUUAUACAACAACCAAGAGGGUUGUUGUGUUUGUUGUUGCCAGAUAUUUCAUUCCAAACAGGUACAUAAAGAGAUGAUUUCGCUUUUCAGGCCACAACUUACGUGGAGAUAUGGUAAAAGACUACAUACCUUUUUCGUGAAUUAUGCUUAGCAAUAACACUUUUUCUUAAAGCAUUGUUGAGAGCAUCCGAGAGGAUGAAAAUCUCAAAUAAAAACAACAGGUGCGGAUCACUUCAGAUAGAACGCAGCAUAAUGUGGAACUUUUUUUUAGCAGCAAAAUAGGACAUAGUCUAAAGAGGGAUGUCAAACUCUCUGGAUGCGAGCUAAAGGAUAAUCACCAUCACCAUCUAACCACGCCCCAAUUAGAAGGCAUGUGGUUAUUUUCGGGAUAUUCUGGUUUCCGCCUCAUCUUUGAGAUAUUUCUAAACUCAUAUCGAGGGUAACCUCCUCUUUCUUUCAAAGUCGGGUGACAACAACCUCAGAGUUUGGAAAUUAUGUCCGCGUAAGUUAUUUUCUAUGGUUGUGAAGGAUCCCACAUUCAUGUUUAAGAGGUUACAAUCCUCUUUUCCAAAACUCGACCAACUUGUCACUCAUCCUGAGCCAAAGAUCGUCUACAAUAAAAGACUAUCAUUUCUACCGAUCGAGUCAAACUACAAGUACUCUGAUUUCCUAAAAUCUUGGGGAUAUGUAGGUUGGGAUCUAUGUAGAAAACUCGACUACAUUCCAACCUCCCCCCUAAUCCCUUUAUUCCCCAGUUUCUUGGUUUUAUCAAAAACUCUAAAACCGAGAUAGUUGAUGAAUUUUCUUAAAAAUCGUGCUUAAAAUCAAGAUUUAUGAACUGCAAGUGGCCUAAAUUCUCAUGAAAACUGAGAUAUGUAGGAAACCUGAUACCAAGGAUCGGCCAUAACUACAUGAAACUCGUGAGGAAAACCAACCUCUCUUAGAUACGAAUUUGUGGUCGGACAAAAAUUGUGAACGUCAACCUCCAUUUGCCCAGGAAUACUUACAUCCAUCCUGCCCAAAGGGAGGGGGAAGUUGUUCACACCUAAGUUUUUGCCCUCCACAACUAAAUUUAAUCCUAAGUUUCUUCACUUUUUAAUAAAAUCGGAAUAUUUAUUUCAUUCGAAUAAAAUUUUUUCAAAAAUAUAUUUGUACGUAAUUUUGUCAUCUUAAGUAGCAAUUAUAUAUUUUCGUGUUCAAAUAUACAAUAUUAUAUGUUUUGAUUACUUAGAUAUUUACUCUAUGAAAUAUUAGAUUUCAAUUAAGGAUCAUUUCAAAAAAUAAUAAUUAAAAUCUUGAUCUAAAUAUAAUUUAAUCUCGAAAAUAAUUUAUUUGAAUAAAUAUGCGUUUGAUUUUAUUAAAUCAAGAAGCUCAGGAUUAAACAAGGUGUUAAUUCGUAUCAAAUUUCGAUUUAAUUUAGUCAAUUUAUUAAAUUAGACCUUAAUUGAAAUUAAUUUGACCAUAAUUGCAAUGUAAUUGGUCAAUUUAAUUCGAAUUAGGCUAAAAUUUAAAAAUGAUUGUCUAAAUUUUCAUCCAUUGGCUAUUUGAUAAAUAGCCUAAAUCGCUACAUUACUAAAAUCCUAAUUCUACCCAACAAUAUUCAGAUCACUCCAGCCCAGUUCCUUUUCAUAUUAACAGGCCCAAAAUCCCCGACCCGGCCUACCAUCAACAAAUCCCCCUUUCUCCCUUAAUCAGCAAGAACUAGUCCCCAACGCAAAAAUCAAUCAAAAAUGGCGUACAUUCAAGGAACUCGAACAACAAUGACAAGCUCGAUUCAGUGAAUCCACCAUGGAACCAACCCGAUAUAGAUCCUAAACCGUUCUUUUUCCCUCUUUCACGCGUCUCACGCGCCAGUAGCAUAAGGAAAACCCUAGAAUCUUUUACAAAAUGGGAUAGGUGUCUUAUCCAAGGGUUCAAUCCUACAAAUUUCGGGGUAACUCGUACGAUCUCGUACAAUAUUUGGCUUAUUUCCAUAGGUUUUGGGGAAGAAUUCAUUUUCCCCUAAAUCUCAUUGGUCCACCAAUUUCAAUAUUAGUACAAUCGAUUGAUGAAACCCUAAGCGGUGAGAGGAUUUUUUAAUUUCAAAAUUCAAAAACAUCCUUCUUUUAAAUCACCAAAAGACCCCUAAUUUGGGGGAUAUAAAAAGACCCCUUGGGUCACUAUUCUGGGAGUUAUUUUCUCUUCUUUGAGGUAUUUUUGGUUUCUUCUCUCCUCUGCUUUCCCUUAGGAGUUAGAAGAAAGAAAAAGAAAAGAUUUCUGAAGAAAGAUUAAAUUUUUGAAGUUUUUCGGUGGUCAUGAUCCCCGUAUCAGUUCAUCGUCUUGUUUUGCUGCUCCCAAAAAGGUAACGUCCUGUUUUCGCUUAAUUUCAAUUAUAUUUCUACUCCCUCUCAUUAUUUUGUAGUAAUGACUGUUAUUUCAAAGAUUUUGUAAGUUGGGUUGUCUGCUGUAGAGGUCUUCAAGACCACAGGUUUCCAUUUUAGUGAAAGGCAAUGUUUCUUUGUAGUGCUACGUUGGGAUGAAAUCCUGUUGUGAUUGUAUGACAUGUGGUUUUCAUCAUCUUUAGAUCUCGAUUUCGUGAUUGUUCAUCUACUCUCAGCAUUACUGAUUAAUUUCUGUCCUAAUGUAUCUUCGUGUGGACUAUCUACGAUUUGAAGAAGUUAAAGAUUCAUAUUUUGAUUCUCGCUUAACAAUUUUCAUCCUCUUGUUGCCUUGAUUUGUAGUUGUUGUUUUAUAAUCUUAAGUGCUGAGUGUAGCUCGUUGGGAGGCUAUGAAAGCCCCAAGUUUCAUAUGAUAAACUGUGAGCUUUCAAACUUUGUUGUUGUUUCGGCAUUUAGGACAUAUUGAUUUUUAGAGUUUCUGAUUUCGUUAUAAUUCAUCUGGGAGCAUUUGCUUUUGUUCAUACAAUGUUUUUGAUGAAACUUUUCUUCGAAUUCGACUUUCGUGAAUGCCGUAUUGUUUAAAUGAUGACCUUCUAGCCUAAGGAUUGUUGCUAAUAUCCUGUUCUAAAAAAAAAAGAAGGGUUACUGAGUCACUUUAUUCCUGUAAAUGAUUGAGUAAAAGUGCAGUGUUUCUUUUCUGUUAUAAAGGAUGAUAGGGCCAAAGGGUUUUGCAUUCUCUUUGGGAGUUGCUAUUAGGAGCCUCCUUUGUGACCUUUAUUUAUAAAGGUGAAAUAAAAAUAAGUCGAUUCUAUUUAUAGUAUAUUCUCUCACUUCACCUGCUUUGAUAUGAGUUUAACACAUACACUUAUAGUUAUUAGUUGAAAUUGUUUCAUAAAAAAAAAAUUAGCUUUUCGUGCAUCGUUACUAACUCGUAUGAUCUGUUAUAUCUUCUUUAUGAAACUUUUAGGAUCCUGUUUGUUUGUCUAUUAAAUACAUCUCUUCCCACAUCAUCUUAUUGAUGUUGGGGGUAAAAAAUGUUUUUAGUUACAUUGCUUCUCCCCUAUUUCCUAUUUACUUCAGUACCUAAGGUUAAGAGUUUUGGAUCCGUUUGAAUAUCGAAUAGUUUCCACGUUUUAUUUAAAGCCAUCCUUUCUUUUUCGUAUUAUCGUUUGCUAAAAAAUUUUUGAUAGGAUAAAAGUUUUUUGUGUGCUGUAUGUAUGGUGACAUGCCUAAUAAUGUGCUUACUUUGUGGGAACAUGUUGUUAUUUCUUCUCUCAAAGAUAGGUCUAGUAAAUUUGGGAGAAAUUCUAUUGUAGUUGCUUCCUGAUUCUUCCCAACUCUUUGUUGUUAUCUUGAGUUUUAGUAAUAGCCAUCUAUACCUAAAAGGGCUAGAGAACAUUAAUCACCAAAUGAAAAAAUAUAUAUAUAAUAAUAAUAAUGAUUAACUCCUACGCACAUUAAAUUGGUCUGAUUGCUAUUUUCCAUCACAAUGCAUGUGUGAAGUUGAUUCAUUUCUCUUGAAAUUCUAUACUUUGAACCAUUGUGGGUUCCUUUUCAUCGAUUGAUCCAUCAUACUACUUAUUUGUGUGGCGUUUGGUAUUCUGGAUACGUUUUGAUUUCCUUUAUCUUUUUCCUUGAAGUGAAUACGUUUUGGAGUGCGAAUGGAUUCUUUCCCAUUGCAUCUCUUAAUGGGCCAUUGAGGCCCUCCAUACCUAUCAAGUCAAGCCCCAAAAGAGAGCCUAAAAUGAAUUGCAUGGCGUACGGAUACGAGAAGUUGAAAAAAGAGAGAAAAUGGGUUAAAUCCCCAUCUUUAAAGUGGCGAAGAGACUCAAAAUUCUCAUUUAUUUACUUAUCGAUUUUAUUCAUUUUAUUCAUUUAUUUAUUCAUUUGGGCCACGAAGCCAAAGUUGUACUUAAUACAGGUGGAGCGAUACUCGAGCCAACGACUAGAAAACUAGACUAGGACAGGUGAAAUAGGUCGAAAGCCCAAUUAGACUAGGACAAGUCUUAUUGAUUUGGGCCCAGUGGCCUAAAUCCGUUACUUUCUCCCCUUCCCCUCUUUCUUUACGUUUCUUUACCUUAUGUGUUUUGGUGAACCUAGUUAAAUCCUUAGUCAAGUCGCUAAAAAGCUGGUUCUGCAUAAACACCAAAAUCCUUUUCUAAAAUUUCCUUCUUUUAAAAACUAAACCUUUUUCCAAAGUUAGCCAAAGACGAUUUCCAAACAGUCCGGAUAACCGCAGUUAGCGGAUGUUUUAGGUGCCUAACACCUUCCUAAAACGUUAAUAAGAAUUGCUUACUCAGAAUCUCUUAACUUAAACGAUUUUCCUCUUUUGGAUAAUUUGAAGUAACUCUAUAAAGUUUUCUUAAUUCCUUUUCAAAAUUAAGUGGCGACUCUCUUUCAAAAAUCAAAAUUUCUACAAAACAUGCUUCAGUAUAAUUCUCUGCCUCAAAUCAUCAACAUUCGGAAUACACAGUCUAGCAUCAAUCUCAACACACCAUCUCCCCCUUGGUAGAAAACCUCUACCUUCUGGUCCUUAAAUGACUCAUUUAGUCUGACCAAACUAGGAUCCCUGUCCUGCUUCUCCUUUACCUCCGAGACCAAAGAGGACUCAGAACUACUCUGAACUAACAUACUCCCUUUAGCGGAAUCAAGUAAUCUAACCCCCAACUUAGCCAAACGAUGCACAUCAUGAGCCAAUUCUUUCUUAUCAUUCUCUACAUGAACUAUACUACCCAUAACAACCUGCUAAGAGCAUCUGCCACAGCAUUGGCCUUGCCCGGGUGAUCCAUCACACUCAUAUCAUAGUCUUUUAGAAACUCUAACCAUCUUCUUUGUCUAAGUUUCAACUCCCUCUGUGUAAACACAUACUGCAGGUUUUUAUAAUCAGUAAACAGAUCAACAUGAACACCAUAAAAAUAAUGUCUCCAGAUUUUCAAAGUAAAAACUACAGUUACUAAUUCAAGAUCAUGGGUUGGGUAAUUCUUCUCAUGAGGCUUCAACUGUCUAGAGGCAUAAUAUAUAACUUUACCUCUCUACAUUAACACACAACCCAGACCAACUCUAGAAGCAUACAUAUACCACAAGACCAUCAGUACCAUCGGGUAAGGCUGACACUGGGGCUGAAGUGAGUCGAGUCUUCAACUCUUUAAAACUCUUCUCAUAGGCAUCUGUCCACUAGAACUUAACUUUAUUAUGGAUCAGUCGGGUCAUGGGGGACAUGAUAGAGGAGAAGCCCUCAAUAAAAAGACGGUAGUAACCAGCUAGACCCAAGAAACUCCUAAUAUCAGACGGGGAGGUAAGUCAAGGCCAAUUCUUCACAUCUUUUGUCUUUUGAGGAUCAACUCUAAUACCUUCGAAAGAAAUAAUGUGACUUAGAAAAGAAACUGACCUUAACCAAAAUUCACACUUUAUAAAAGUUAGCGAAUAAUUUAUGAUCUCUAAGGGUUUCCAACACGAUUCGAAGAUGAUUCGCAUGGUCAUCCUUACUUUGAGAAUAUACAAGAAUAUUAUCUAUGAACACAAUAACAAACAAAUACAGAUACCGCUUGAAGACUCAGUUCAUAAGAUCCAUGAAAGCUGCUGGAGCAUUGGUUAACCCAAAGGACAUGACAAGAAAAUUAAAAUGACCAUAGCGGGUUCGGAAAGUUGUGUUUGGAAUAUCACACUCUCUCACUUUAAGCUAAUGAUAGCUGGAUCUAAGGUCUACUUUUGAGAAAUAACUUGAACCCUAUAGCUGAUCAAAUAAAUCAUCGAUUCUAGGAAGAGAGUAAUUGUUCUUAAUAGUCACCUUGUUGAGUUGACGAUAGUCAAUGCACAUACGAAAUGUACUAUUUUUAUUCCACACAAAUAGAACAGGUGCACCCCAUGGGGAAACACUGAGUCUGUUAAGCCAUUUUAUAAUAGGUCUUUGAGUUGCUCCUUCAACUCUUUAAGUUCUUCGGGAGCCAUACGGUAUGGAGGGAUGGAAAUAGGCUGAGUGCUAGGAAGGAGAUCAAUCCUGAAUUCUAUUUCUCUAUCAGGUGGGACCCAUGGAAGGUCUUCUAGGAAAACAUCAGGAAACUCUUUAACAAUGCUAACUGAUUGAAUAGUCGGAGUCUCAGACUUGAGGUCUUUAACUCGAACUAGAUGAUCGAUGCAACCCUUGAAAAUCAACUUCCUACUUUGAGGUAGGAUAUGAAAUGGCUCUUCGGAGUUACAGAACUCCCGAACCACUCAAACACGGGUUCGUUAGGAAACUAAAACUUGACCACUCGGGUAUGACAAUCUAUAGAUGCAUAGCAUGAGUGAAACCAAUCUAUACCCAGAAUAAUGUCAAAAUCAACCAUAUCUAGCUCAAUCAAAUCAGCACAUAUGACCCGAUGAAGGACAGUAACAAGACACUUCUUAUACACUCGCUUAGCAAUAACAAACUCUCCUAUCGGGGUAGAAACUAGAAUAGGCUAAGGAAUCCGUUUAGGGUCCAUCUCAAAAUUUAUAGCAACUAGAGGUGUCACAUAAGAGAAACUCGAACUGGGAUCCAUCAAUGCAUACACAUCAAAAUAAAAGACAUGGAGCAUGCCCGUUACAACAUCUGGAGAAUCCACUUACUCUUGGCAAGGUGGUAUAGCAUAGAAGCAAUUUUGGCGUGAACUGCCAACAGUACUAGAAGAGGCGCCCUGAGAAGGAACUGGGUGGACUACGAGAGCGGGGGCACUAGUAGCCUAACUCUGGGGACGAGCAUCUUGACUCCCCUGUCUAGCAUAUGGAUAAUCUCUAAGUUGGUGGCCCAACAUGCCACAACCAAAGAAACCUCUCUGAUCAACAAAACACUCACCAAAAUGAUCUCUACCACACUUGGCAUAUGAAGGAGGAUGAGGUCUGUGACUUACACUUUCCUGAUACCUGGAUGGGAUAGGCCUGUUCCCCUACUCCUACCUGCUUCUAGGUACGAGAGCACUAAUUGAGGAAGGCGCGGGCAUAAAUGGACAUAUCUAGAAUUAAGGGCGGCCCCCUCCAUAGAAUCUGGACUGACCGAAUCCCUGCUUCUCUGAUCUAGCUCUUUAAUUCCCUCUUACUCUCUCCCUCUCUUUCACCUUAUCAGCUUCAAUCUGUUGGGCAUGUAUCAUCAACUGAGAAAUGUCCAUCUCCUUAUUAAGCAUAGAAUAUUUACACUCUUUAACAAUGUAACUCGAAACACCAGUCACAAACUUACUCAUUAUGGUACUGGAGUCAGCCAUCAUACUAGGUGCAUAUUUGGACAAAUGAUUAAAUCUAAGGCAAUACUCUUUAACAGUCAUAGAUCAUUUUCUCAAAUUCAUGAAUUCCUCUAUCAUUGCUUCCCUCAUCUCAAAAGGAAAGAAUCUGUCCAAGAACGCAUCCUGGAAUAACUGCCAAGUCAUGGGAGCAACAUCCUCCCCUCUACUUUCCCUCUACACAUCCACCCAAUCAUAUGCAACAUCUUUCAUUCAAUAGGAAGCCAAUUCAACACUCUCCCCCUCAGUCACGUGCAUAAUCAGGGUGAUCUUUCUCACUUCAUCCAAGUACAUCUGUGGGUCUUCACCUACCUUCGACCCAUAGAUCCCAUAGAUCUCAGGUGGAUUCAUCCACAUAAAGUCUCUAACCUGAGCUGUAGAAGAAUUAUUCUCUUGUGGAGGCGGAACAGUAGACUGGUUGUUAGCUUAAGUAUUGGCAGUAAUUGCCUAGGGUAGCACCUGAAAAGCUGCCUAGAAAUCUGUAUGUGACACAUGCUCGUUCAGGGGAUCAACAGGUUGAGGUUGGUCGUUGUUUCUACGAGCUCAAUGAGGAGCUAUUUUCUAUCAUAAGAAAGCAUGAAUUAAUAGCAGAGAGAAACAGUCGUAGGUAUGAUAGACUUUUGAAAUAAAAAAAUGACAUUUCCUAUAAUGUCCCGUAGCCUUUUACUCAUAGAUGUGGCGCGCUACACACCGAUGAUCAAGACUCUAUGUAACGCGGCUUUCUAGACUCCCUAGGACUCUUCAAACCUUAAGCUCUGAUACCAAGCUUGUAACGCCCGAAGAUCCCAUCCCGAGAUGUCACACGGUGCUUAAGGCCACAUGCGGCCUCAAGCUCCCUCUAAACCUGUCAUAAAUUCUAGAACUCACUUUGACAAUAGUCAUGCUAAUAUAAGAGAGAAUGACAUAUCAUAAACAUACUGGAAUAAGAUACGAAACUAUCUUGUACAAUCCAAACUACUAAAAUUGUGCACAUACCAACCCUUUAGCCUAACAAAGCCUCUAUACAUCAAAAUCAAGGAGAAAUUGGGACAAACCCCCAACUGACUCAAACAGUACUGAAAGCCAUAACAACAAAAUGGUAUCACAAAAUUAUAAACACGGUCCUCGAACCAUGAGGACUUACCACUAAGCAGACGAAAAGAGACACCCGAAUAUCGCUAAUGCAGCUGAGUAGCUAAACCUACAUUACAAAAAAAUGUAGCCCAUAGUAAAAUAUAUGGGUCAGCACUUUGGAAUGUACUGAGUAUGUGGGGGUGCAUGGAACAAUGUAAAUAUCGUCAUCAAUUUCAUGAAAAUAUUCAUAUGUACAAUGAUGGCUCACUUGGCUUGAGUUAGAUUGAAACAUACUUUUCAUGAUAUCAUCAUAAAUAAAUCGUAUGAUAAAAACCUCAUAAAUCAUCAUAAACAACUCAACUUUUCAACUCAAGACUCAGAGUGACCUGUAAUUCAAGAAACUCAACUCUUAUGAACAUAGGAGGUUCUUAUAACUGACAUAAACCAUGUGAGCUACAUGGAGUCCAACAUUUUUCCCCCCUAAGGAGAGAAACCCACAAAAGCGGGAGCGUCCUACUCUUUCCAGGGAGUACAACCUAAAUUUAGUGAUCAAAAUCUCAUAUUCGGCCACCGGCCCACAAUUAUCAAUAUCAAUCCUACGGUGGCAUGUAGUUUUGGAGAAAAUACCAUAUUUUCCGGUCGGUGCUAAAUAUUACUCCCAGACACAAGCUCAGAACGCGUUAGAAAAUCUACCACAAACAUCUCGAGGGUCUAUCAUGAAGACCAAAUCAAAUCUCUUUCUCAUUUAUCAAAUCAUAAUCAAUAUGUGGAUUCCUAACUCGGCUCAAAUUAAAUCAAUCUUUCUCAAUAUCAAAAUGCAUCAAUUCAUUAAGUCAUGGCAACAUCAAUAAUUUUGAGGAAAUAUCAAGAUUCAUUGUAACAACUCAAUUCUCAUGAAUCAAUAUACUCAAUAAUCCAAUUUGUCAAAAGGAAGCUUAAAGCUUGACACAUAUCUUGAAAGCACUUGAAAUACCAACUCGUAAUAGAAAAUAGAAAUUCACAAUAUUAAAUAUCAAGUCAUAACUUGGAAAUUUUAAAAUAAUCAUGUAUAACAAAGUUUGAAUGAUUUAUAUUCUCAUAAUCUCAUGAUGAAGUAAUUUGGGUAUAAACCCACUUGCAAAAUCAUAUAAAUUCAAAAUAAAAAUCAAAGCUUUGACCACAAGAACAAAAGAAUUGCUAUUGUUUAAAACCCCACAUACCUUAAUCUUUGAAAUUGGUUGAACUUUAGUGCUUGAGACUUUACUCACACUUGUAAUAAAAAAAAUUCUUGAAGCCCACUCUAUGAGGAACUUGAUUCUUGAAGGAAUCUUGAAGAUUUAAGGAUGAUUUUUGGAAGAUUAAUUUCCUUAAAUAAAACCCUAGAUAUAUUUCUUAAGAGAAUUGGAAGAGAGAAAUGAAGAAAUUAGGUUUUGGAUGAGGAUUCUCAUAUAUAUAGAGGCCUCCAAAAAUGGGAAAUGACUAAAAUACCCUUCCAAAAAUCGUCUAUCAAUUGCUGAGAAAAAUAGAUGACGACAUCCGUGAUAAGUUGUUAGGCCCGUGAUAGGCCGACACUAAUUGUCAUCACAAAAAGGGUAGCCCGUGAUAGGCCGACACUAAUUGUCAUCACAAAAAGGGUAGAUUUUAUGACUUUCUGCAUUAAGGUGACGACAUUUUGUAAUGGGCUAUCAGGUUUGUGACAAGUCAUCACAAAAGGUCGUCACGAAUUUUCCAGGCUGACAUGCUACAGUAAAAUAAGCAUAACUCUUUGCUCUGAUAUCGGAUUUUGACGAACUGGGUAUAGUUGGAAAGAAAAUUCAAUUAUCUAUCUUUUGGUAGGUCAUGAUAUAAAUAAUUCAUAGUACAACGGGAGAUAGCCUCAUUUAAAUUUGACUAUGCCAAAAUCCUUCUCAAGAAUUCAAUCGGUAAAGAAUGUUUUGAUUCGCCCAAGCGUUAGGACACCUUUAAAGGCUUAAUACACAUCACCCUUGACCAGAAAACAACCAGAAAACUAUAAUUUAUUUCUCAUGGGCUUGAGUCAUGUCGGCACUAUUGGUUAGAAUCUUAGGGUAUUACAUUAUUACUUUUAAUUAUCUUUGCUAUUUACCUUUCUGCAAAUAUAAUGAAAAUUUAUAUUAUAACGUUAUAAUUCAAUCAAAAAAAAUAUUUGAGAUUAACCACAUAUUUUUGAUAUUAAAUGAUGUAUUAUUAUUAUUAGUAGUAGUAGUAGUAGUCGUAGUAGUGGUAAAUAUGUAUGUUCUACUAUUACUACUAAUAUUAUAAGUUAUCUUUUAAUAAUUAUUAUAACUUAUUUAAUAUUUUAAUAUAAUUGAAAUAUAUAAAUUUAUGAUAUAAUUGGAGAUGUCUUAGGUCUUUACAACUAUGAUUUUUUUUAAUUUUAAACUAAUGAAUUAUUUUUUAAAAUUUUCAAAGCCUACUAUUUUGAAGUUCAUAUAUUUCUGUUAACAUAGUGAAUUACUUAUGUAGGACUUAAUUACCUGUAUAGCUCACUGCUAAACUAACUACUAAAAAAUACGCUACUACCUACAUUAAUAAGAUAUAGAUAAUCCCUAAAUUAAAAAAACUGCAUAACUCUAUUUGAGGCCCUUUCAUUAUUUACUUUUUGCUUCUUAGAUUUAAGUGGGUAAACAGAUGAAAAGAAAAAAGAAAAGACUCUCACAACUAGUUCCCCCAGAAGCACCUCUUUAGAAGAACGGUGAUGUUGAAGCAACUCAUUUUCAGAUUCAAGCAGUCUUUUGUUUUGUUCCUCCUCAGAAACAAAAGCAUGAGCUGGGGCAACCAUUUUCUUUUCUCACAGGAGAUGAAGAACAAGAAAAACACUGCAAUUUAAAAUUAGGCUUUAAAUUUCAAAAACAAAAUAAGAAAUUAUGAUAGCAAAAGGGGAAAACAAAGUGCAUAAAGACCUCACCAAUUGUAGGAUACAAAGGAUGAGAGAGAAAGAGGAAAGAGGGUUAUAUUAAAAAUGGAACGAAUACAGUGGAGGCAGAGCACAUCUAUCAAAUAUUCUUUAAAAACACACUAGCUACAUCACCGACGUCUCAAAAUCAAGGAAACUUUUUAUCCUGUUCAAAAAAAAAUUUCAAAGUGUGUGUGUAGGACUGAGGUUGUCUUAACUGCGUAAUUGAUUUGCCCUCUUAAAAUCUUUAUUUUUAUAUUUCUUUUAAUUGAACACAAUUUUAAGAGGCCAAACUAAUUUACGCAGUUAAGACAACCUCAAUCCUACUCACACAUUUUGAAUUUUUUUUUAAAUAAGAAAAACAACUGCCUUGAUUUUGAAACAUAGGUGAUGUAGCUGGUGUGUUUUUAAAGAAAAUUGAUAGAUGUGCUCUGCCUCUGCUGUAUUCGUUCCAUUUUUCAUAUAACCCUCCUUCCCCUCUCUCUUGUACAUUGUAUCCUAGUACUGGUAAGGUCUUUUUGCACUUUGUUUUUGCCUUUUUACUCUCUUGAUUUCUCAUUUUAUUUAUGAGAUUUAAAGCCUGGUUUUAAAAUUGUAGUGUUCAUCUUGCGCUUCAUCUGCUGUAAGAAAAGGAAAUGUCUGCCACGGCUCAUGCUUUUGUUUUUUAGGAGGAACAAAAUAUAAGAUUGUUCGAAUCUGAAAAGUAGUUGCUUCAAUAGCACCCUUCGUCUAAAAUGGUGCUUCUAGGGAAACUAGAUGUGAGAGCCUUUUCUUUUCUCUUUCCAUCUGUUUACCCACUUAAACCUAAGAAGCCAAAAGUAAAUCACAAAGGGGCUUCAUUUAGAGUUAUGCAAGUUUUUUUACUGUAGGAAUUAUCGAAGUGGAAAUCUAUAUAUUAUUUAUUCAUGUAUUAACGUAUUGCUUGGUAGUUGAUUUAGCAUUGAGUUAUGCAGGUAAUUAAGUCCUACAUAGUUAAUAUUCAAAUAUUAGUAGUUGGUUUAGCCUACGUUUACUCCUAUUAACAUAGAAUAACCCUCUAGACCCCAAAGAAGGCCCAUAAAAAUCCAUCUACCAAAUAGAUGGCUCUGUAGCCUUUCUCAACUGGUUUGAUGGCCCACUUUUAGGGCCCAAAUAUGGAUGAACAUAGUUAUGCUAUUCAAGAAAAUUAUAGUAUUACUACUGGGACUUUGAAUUAAAAGGAACAAAUAAGUUGUCUAAUUAAGUGAGAAUCCUUCAAGUUUUUAAAAUUACGUUGGAGAGACAAAAAAAUUUUGAUUUUUUUUAAAGUUUUUUCGUUCCAACAACUUCUCCCAGUUGUCGAACAACUUUGAUAGUUGUUCGAAAACUUCUAGAAGUUGCUCAACAACUAUCAAAGUUGUUCACAACUGCGCAAAGUUGUUCAAUAACUAGGCGAAGUUGUUCGGAAACUGGGAGAAGUUGUUCCACAACUGUGUCAAAUUGUUGAGACAACUAAUGUAGUUGUCGAACAACUGUCCCAUUUGUUCAAAUGACUUAAUUUUUUUAAAAGGGACAAGUUGCGGGACCCACUUGUCCCCUUUUCUUAAUUGGAAACUUGGGAGGUCUACUGAUUCAUUUUUCUCACUUAAGUAUUUAAGUUGUAUAUAUCAUGAAGUAGUUAGCUUAUAUUUGUGUUGUAAAUUGUAAUAUUAAGUGUAUAGAUAGUCCUAUAUACGUUUAGUACGUCAAAGAGAGCUACUCGCAAACAUUGUGCAAUUCAAUUUGUCAUAAGAAUCACUUAAUCAUCAUGCAAAUACUUAUUGGUUCCGAAUAUUUACCCCUAAUCAAUGAUUUUAAUACUAAUGAAUUAAGAAUAUAAGAUCAUUCAAUCAUGAUAACAAAUAUUAUUUAUAAAAGAUAUUAUCUUGUAAUAGUGGGUAUAAGGAGAGGUAGAUGUAGGCUGAGGAGGUCUUUGUAAAGGUCAUUAGAUUAGGUAUCUGUAGCUUUUCGAGGAUAUCAUCUAGAUAUAAAAAUACGGAGAUCAAGGAUGUGGUUAGUGGGUGGCUGAGCGUUGUCUAAUUUCCCUAUUAAGUAUUAUUUUUGUUAUUACAUUCAUACUAUCUUAUUCUUCUAUAUUAGAAUAAUUUGUUUGUUUUUAGUUCAGUUAUCAUAUUAAUUGUUUGUUGUUGCUACCAUUUUCAGAUAUACUAUUUUAUUUGUUUUACAUGCCUAACUUUUUUUUAUAUAUUUUACUUGUGUCGAGAGUCAAGAGUCAACCGAGAACAACAUCUCUAUCUUCACAAGGCAGAAGUACAUGUCUAUACUACCUCUCCAAAAUCCACGUGUAAUUUUAUGUAUGUCAUUAUUGUAUAUAUCUUGAAUUGAUUUGUCAAAUGUAAAUACCCGUUGUUGAGGUAUACUUAUACCCAUGGGCGGAGGGAUGAUCUUAGAAAAAGGGUGAUUUGAUGCACAUCUUUUAGCAAAAGAUUAUAUAGUGUACAGAAGCUUAAUAUUAGCUAUUAUACGUCUAUAUUAAAUUUUGUACCUCCUUAACACACUAAAAAGAAAAUAUGCACACUCCUCGUCAAAUUUCUGACAACGACACUGCUACUGCCUCAACUGUGUACGUGUAAAGAUGACGCCAUAUAGCAUUUGUCAUCUGCAUGACGCCCAAACUCUUUUAUCAGUGGAGCUACCCAACCUGUCACCUCCUCUUCUGCUUUUAUAAUUGCAUAUCCUUCCAAAUUUCAUACACCAUCCAUUUCAUUUUAAUUAGAUUAAAAAUAACUAUUUUAAUUUAUUUGUGUAAUUUAUAAAAUUAUAAACGAAUAUAUAAAUGCUAGUUUCAUUAAAUCCGUAUUCCGUACUAAGCUCCAAUCCAAACAACUCUACAUAUAAAUUAUAAUUAAUAUAAUUUAAUGACCGAUAUAUUAAAUAUAUUUUAUUAAAAGAUUUUAUAAUUAUUAAAGUUCUUAAUCACAUAAUUGGAUAAUUUUUUUAAAAAAAUUAUUUGUAUGGAAGAAAGUAUUACAUGAGAAUUAGAAUAUAACAAGAGACCACAAGUAAUUUAAUAUUUUAUAAAAUAACAUGAUAUAACAACAACAAUAACAACAUACGCAGUGGAUUCCCACAUAGAGGGGCUUGAGGAGGGUAGAGUGUACGCAGAUCAUACACUACCUAAGAUGAAGUAGAGAGUCUUUUUCCGACAGACCCUCGGCUUAGGACAGAUAGCUGUAUAACAAACACAAAACAUAAAUGCAUAAAAACAUGUACAAUCUGCAAAAUAAACUAACGUCACUAGCCAUAAGAUAAUACUACAGUCACAAGAUAAUACUAAAAAAACCUAUCCGAAAUCAUAGACAUCACUCAACAAAACGAACAAGAAACUUCAAACACAAAUAAAGAAUACUCCCGUAUUGUUACUGACCCACUCUCAACCCCUAAUCGGCAUUCUCCACACCAUCCUAAUCCCAUCCCUCGAAUAUUUGUUUGGUCUACCUCUACCCCGCCUAAAAUCAUCCAUAGCCAGUGUCUCACACCUCCGCACUAGAGCAUCAAAGCCCCUCUUCAUCACAUCCUCGUACCAGCAUAAUCUUACUCGUAUCUUAUUCUCCACCGAGGCCACUCCUACCUCUCCCGAAUAAUCUCAUUUUUAACCUUAUCUUUCCUAGUAUGGACACACAUCCAUCACAAUAUUAUCAUCUCUGCCACCUUAUCUUCAUACAACAUAGUCGGCCGGACUGCCACUCUGUAGAACUUCCCUUUAAGCUUCGAGGGCAUCUUCUUAUCACAUAAAACUCCCAAAGCGGGCCUUCAUUUAAACCACCUAGCCCCAGUAUGAUGUGUGACAUCCUCGUCAAUCUCACCAUUGCCUUAAUCAUAGACCCAGAUACUUGAAACUCUCCUUCUUCUGAAUGGCCUGAGAGUCUAGUUUCACAACCAUGUCAACCUCGUACGACACAUCACUAAACUUACACUUCAAGUAUUCCAUCUUUGUCCUGCUUAACCGAAAUCCUUUAGACUCAAGGGUCUGUCUCAAAAUCUCCAACUUAUCAUUAACUCCUCCCGGAGUCUUGUUAAGCAGUACCACAUUAUCAGCAAAUAACAUACACCAAGGCACCUCUUCUUGAAUAUGUCUUGUCAAAACAUUCAUCACCAAGGCAAAUAAAAAAGGGCUAAGAGUCAAACCCUGAUGCAACCCUACCAAAAUAAAAAAAUGCUCUGAAUCUCCACCUACCAUCCUCACCUGAUUCUUUGCGCCAUCAUACAUGUCCUAAAUCGACCUAGUGUAUGCCACAGGCACCCCUCUAGCCUCCAAACACCUCAAGAGAAUCUCCUUGGGAACUCUAUCAUAAGCCUUCUCAAGAUCAAUAAACACCAUGUGAAAGUCCUUCUUUAUCUCCCAAAACUGUUCCACUAAUCUUCUCACAAGGUGAAAGGCCUCAGUAGUCGAGCGACCUAGCAUGAAAUUGAACUGAUUCUUAGCGAUAAUCACGCUCCUUCUCAGCCCCAACUCUACCACCCUUUCCCAAAUUUUCAUAGUAUGACUUAACAACUUAAUACCUCUAUAGUUGUGGCAACUUUGGAUUUCUCCCUUGUUCUUAUAUAAUGGAAUCAUUGCACUCUACCUCCAUGCUUCAGGCAUCCUUCCUGCCCUAAAAAUAAUGUUAAGAACCUUGUAAGCCACUCCAAAGCUGGCCCGCCAGUGUGUUCUAAAAAACUAUUGGAAUCUAGUCUGGCCUCAUUGCCCUACCUCGACCCAUCCUGCGAAUAGCCCUCUUGACAUCCUUAACCUCAAUAUGCCUAUAAUAACUAUAGUCGUGACACUCUUCAAAUUUAUCCAAGUCUCCAAACACGAAACCUUUGUCCCCCUUAUCGUUCAAAAGUUUAUGAAAAUAGGACUGCCACCUUUUUUUAACGAAGGCAUCCUCAACCAACAUAGUACCAUCCUCAACCUUGAUGAACAUAUCCCUACCUUUCUCCUUUAAUUCCACAUUCAAGCUCUCAAAAGAUACCAUUUUAGCAACUGUAACCACUAACUUAGCCUCUCACCUAGCAAUAGCUUAUACUCUUCCUUAUUCGUCCGCCUCUCUUGAUCAUUCUUGCUCACAACCAAUUUAGCAUAAGCUAGGUUAUAAUUAUAAUGCAAUGCUGAUUAAAAAUAGAAAAAUAUUGAUUUUAAUGAAUUUAUGGGUACAAAAUUUCUCAGUUAUAAAUAAAAAUAAAUUUAUUUUAAUAUUUAUUAUUUUAUUUUCACCUAUAAUUUCAUGUGACAAGAAUUGUAAAAUUCAAUGUUUUCAUCUAAUACAACAAAGUAUUUCAAUCACUUCAAGUAUAUAUAAAAAUAGUUACAACAUUAAUUUAGAACCUUUACAAGAACUAUCUUAAUUGUGAUCUAUAAGGAUAUUAAAUAAUAAUUAAAUUACAUUAAUCGAUUAUUCCAUUCGGUCCAUUUUCUUAUCGUGUUAAUUUUUUAAACACCCUUUAAAAAUAUUCUAAUUAUUGAUUUAUCUUUUUUCAUGUUUGCUAAGAAAAGUAAUUAAGGCAUUGUACUAUUUAUUAUUGAUUAAGUUAUCCUAUUUAAUACUCCUUCCAUUUCACAAUAAGUGAAUUAUUGGAGUAAUUUUAGUGUUUCAAAAUAAGUGAAUGAUUCACAAUUCAAAGUAGAUGUUGGAAAUUUUUUACAAAUUUACCCUCCAUUAAAUGUGCACUGGGAGUGAUGUAUCAUGUAUAUUUGCUUUUUGAAGAGGGUAAAAAUGAAAAAAUAUAAUAAAUUUAUGUCUUUCCUUUUUUCUUUCUUAACAUGUGUGCCGAAAUUCAACAAUUAACUUAUUGUGAAACGGAGGGAGUACUAUAUUUUUUUUAAGAAGUGAACAUCAGUGACUAUAAGGGUGUAGUUGAAAAUUAUGACUAACUUUAAUUUUAUGUGAAAAGUUAUUUCUUAAUAAGUUUUUUGAGCAAAAAUGAUUAUUAAUUUAAAAUGAAGGAAAUUUUAAUUAAAAGACAACCUGUGGCAAUAAAAAAUCAGUUACAAAUACACAAGUGGAAAUGGUCUUAACAAAAAGAAUAAAGAUAAAAAUAAAAAAAUUUAGCAAAAGAACAUCAUCAAUCCUUGUGAGUACGACCGAAAAUUGAGAUCCUCCCUUUUAUAUAAUAGUAAAUUGUACAAAUUGUAGUCACAAUGCAAAUAAAAUAUGAAAAAAUAAGAAUUUUAUUGAUAAAUGAUAUGGAUAUAAUUUUGUUACUCCCUUGAUUCUUCUUUCUUUAUUUUUCUCCGUAAUUCAAGGACCAUUAGUAGCAUAUUUCUCGAAUGUAGAAAGAUUUAAAUUUGAUAUGAUGUUUUAGUGUAUUUCUCGAAUGUAAAAAGAUUUGAAUGUGAUAUGAUUUUUUUUGUAAUUCAAGGGUCGUUAGUAGCGUAUUUCUUGAAUGUAAGAAGAUUUAGAUUUGAUAUGGAUUUUCUUCGUAAUUCGAAGGCCAUUAAUAACAUAUUUCUUGAACAUAGAAAUAUUUGAAUUUGAUCUCCAUAAAAGAAGGGUUUAUGGAUCUUCUUGAUAUAUUUGAUUAUCAAAAAAAAGAGAGUGAUAUUCGAUGAGUUUAUGAAAUUAUCAGGAGAUGAUUAAUCUCUUUAUUAAGGGUUUAGAGUAAAGUAGCCACCAAGUUAGGUUUGGCGUAAAGUAACCCCUAAUAACUUUAACAAAAAUUGAAUUCUUUUUAUAGAGUUCACAAAAUUUUGAUGUCUAUAAACGCUUUGAAUUGUCAGACGUUAUGACUACAAAAUCCUUUGUUGAAAUGUCAAAAUUCAAUUAUUUUUCUUCUUUGAGAUGAUGAAUGAAGUACGUGUUAAUUUAGUGGAGUCACUUAGCUCAAGUCAUUUGCGGCGUACCAUGAAAUCAGAAAACUACAUCAAUCUAGGAGAAGAGAAAAGCAAUAACAAAAAUACCAUAUUUAGCACAUUUUCAUAGCUCAAACUUCUGACCCCUUGAAAACACAUCAAAAAGAUAUACUUCCUCAGUUGUAUUUUAUACGGCAUAUUUUGAUCGGGCACAAAGUUUAAGAAGGAAUGACAAUUGUCCUUUAUUAAAAAAUAUAUUACUACUAUCUUUAAUUAAAUGAGACUAAUAAGGAUAAAAGUAAAUUUCUAUCUUUAAUAGUUACCAAAUAAGAAAAUAUGACAUUCUUUUUGGGACGGACAAAAAGAAAAUGACGACAUAUAAAAUGGGGCAGAGGAAGUGUGUUAAUACUAAAAGGGCAGCUUGAUGUGGCGGUGGAAGUAUAUUAAUACUAAAAGGGUAGCUCGGUGUACUAAAGCUUCUUGCUAUAAGGGACUGCGGAGAAGGGUUGGAUGCAAGAAUUUUAUUGUGCGCAGCAUUAUCUUGCAUUUCUGACAGAGGCUGUUUCUAUGACUUGAACUCGGGACUUCCUAAUCACAUGACAAUAAUUUUAUUAGUUAUUCUAAAUCUUCCCUUCAUAUUUUUUUUUCGAUUUGAUAAAAAUAUUAAAGAUACGCAAAAUAUAAAAGCUACGCAUAUAAUUCUUUUUACAAACCCACUUAUAUGGAGUAAUAAAAACUUAUAAGGUAUCAAAAAUGAUAUAUGCAUGGGAUUUCCCUUUUGGUUAAAGUUUUAAUAGGUUAAUUUCAUGUAUAAUUGUAGACUUUUACUCAUUAAUGACAAAAUUAUUGAACUUUACCUCUUUAAUAAAGUAGUAGAUUUAAUGGCAUUAAAAAUCAUUAAUGAGUUUUUAUUAUGUGAUUACAUAUAUUGAGUAAAAGAAGUGAUAGACUUAUCUCAAACUAAAUCAAUCAAUUAGAAAAAAAAAUUCUACUCCAAUGGAGAAGUUCCUCCAUGUUCACCUUUUGAUUUCAAUUAUUUUCUCAAUUUUGCUUGUAAAUUUAUGCAAUGAACAUUCUUUUUCAUCCCUUAACACCACUUAUAUUAUGGAAUAUGUCUAUUGAUCCAACGAAGCUUCCCGAUCCUCCGAUGUCAUCCUAUACACUCACCAUUUACAAUCUCUAUUUAUUUGAAAAGUCAAAAUUCAAGGACUAUGACUCAUUAGUCGGAAAUAGGUUCGCCGGUUGUCAAGCUAUAGUAAAUCAUUUGGCAUCGGUUCUUGAAAAUGGUGACACGAUUAGUGCGAAUGGAACUCUGGUAAGGCCACACGACGAGCAUGAGAGUAAAGUGGCAAACGAAAAGGUUCUGGUAACAAGUACACAUUCCAUAUGUCAGUAUGUUGCAUCUUUUACUCUUUUUUUUUGGUUUUCCAUCCGGUAUUCGAUGCCCGCAUUGGAUCCCCAACUAAUCCGGAUCACACGUUGCAGUGCCCAUUAAGGUGGCAACGCUCGUAACAUAAUUUUUUCCAUAUCCAGGGUCGAACCUUGGACCUCUGGUUAAGGGUGGAGCAGUCUCAUCCACUGCACCACAACCCAUAUUGGUGCAUCUUGAACUCACUGAAUAAGUUAAAAGUUACUUGCUAAUAGACAGAGGUAGUGAUUUAGUUUGGUGGCCCGUUUUGACCAACUAAAUGGUCCCUCCGACCCCAACAACCCACACUCCCAUUUGGCUCAGCCUGCCUGGGAGCACUUGGUCCAUUUUCUUCUUAAAACAUACUCGGUCACUGGGCCCACCCCCAGAACCGUGAGUUAUAUCACACUGAUUUAGCCCAAGAAUGGCCCAUUUGCAUCGUUUCACUUAUUUGACCACCCAAAUAUCCCAGCCAACCCCAACGACCAACACUAUCCAACUUUUAAGCCUGCCUUGGUGCCUCUGGUCGAUUUUCAGACCAAAACACGCUCGAUACCCUAGCCAACCCCUAAAACCGUUAGUUAAAGCACGUCUAUUUGGCCCAAAAAACAGCAUGUUUUUGACGUUUUGCCUGUUUGACCACCCAAAUGGCCUCACCGACCCAAACGACCCACCUUUUUAUUUAUCAGUCUACUUGGAAACUUUGAUUGAUUUUCGACCUAAAACAUGCUCGAACCCUGGGUCCACCCCAAACUGUGAGCUAUAACACACCGAUUAUGCUUGAAAAUGACCCAUUUGCGUUGAUAUUCCAAUUGGACCACCCAAACAGCCCCGUUGACCUCUAUGACCCAUACUUCCCCACUCGUCAGCCUACCUGAGAGCCCCUAGUUGAUUUUUUACCCAAAACAUGCCUAGGACCACCCUGAAAUCGUGAGCUAUAGCUCACCAAUUUGGCCCAAAAAUGGCCCAUUUGCGCCGUUUUGCUCGUUUGACCAACCAAACAGUCCCGCCGACCUCAAUCACCCAUAAUUACCCGCUCCUCGACCUACUUGGGAGCCCUCAAUUGAUUUUUGAUCCAAAACACAUUUGGGCUCUAGGACAACCCUCGGAAUUGUGAGCUAUAACACACCGAUUUGGCCCGAAAAUGGCCUGUUCGCAUCAUUUUGCCUGUUUAAUAACCCACACUACCCAACCGACCCCAACAACCCACACUCCCUGCUUUUCAGCUAACCUAGGAGCCGAGAUCAAUUUUCAGUCAAAAACACGCGUGGGCCUUAGGCACAUCCUCUGAACUGUGAGGUAUAGCAUCCCAAUUUCUGCAAAAAAUAGCCCAUUUACACUAUUUCAUCCGUUUGAUCACACAAGCGGCCCAUCGCCACCCAACGGUGCACACUCUUUUGCUUAUAAGCCUUCCUAGGAUCCUUUGGUUUAUUUUCAGUCUAAAACAUGCCGAUGCCCUGUACCCACGCCCAGAAUCGUGAGCUAUAACACACCGAUUUGGCCUAAAAAUGGUCUAUUUAUGCCAUUUUGCCCGUUUGACCACCCAAAUUGCCCCACUGACCCCAACGACCUAUAAUCUCUCUCUCCUCGGCCUACUUGGGAGCCUCCGAUCAAUUUUUAGACUAAAACACACCUGAUCCCUGGGUCUACCCCUGAAACUAUGAGCUAUAGGACAAUGAUUUGGCCUGAAAAUAGCACGUUUACACCGUAUCGCCCAUUUGGCCAUCCAACUGGCCUCGGGGAAUUUUUGGACAAAAUAUGGUUGGGACUCGGGUGGGACCUUCAGAAUCGUGAGCUACAUCACAUCGAUUUGGCCCAAAAAUGGCCCGUUCAUGUCGUUUCGUCUGUUUGACCCCCUAAACAGCCCCACUGACCCCAACAGCCCACACUCCCUCACUUGUUAGCCUGCCUUGGAGCCCCUGAUCGAUUUUUAUCCCAAACAAGCCCCAUCCCUAAGCACACCCCAGAACCGUGUGCUAUAGUAGACCGAUUAGGCCCGAAAAAUGGCCCAUUGGCGCAUUUUGCUUGUUUGAUCUCCCAAACGGCCCCGUCGACCCAAACAACUAUGACUUGCUCGCUCCUCAACUCGCCUGGGUUCCCCUGAUUGAUAUUUGGCCCAAAAUAUAUGACCAAACACCGGUCCACUCCCAGAACCAUGAGGUAAAGCAUACCAAUUUACCCCAAAAAUGGCCCAUUUAUGCCGAUUCACCCUUUUGACCCCCUAAAUGGCCCCGUCGAUCCCAACCACCCAUACUCCCCUUCUCUUCAGCCUGCCCGAGAGCCUCCGAUCAAUUUUUGACCCAAUCCACACCCGGUACCUUCACUCACUUCAUAAUCGUAGGCUAUAUCACACCGAUUUUGCUCAGAAAUGGUCCGUUCGUGCCCUUUUUCCUAUUUGACCAACCAAAUAGCCCUACCGACCACCGCCAAUCCCAACGACCCAUACACCCCUGUUCUACAGCAUGCCUAGGAGCCUCCAGUCAAUUUUCAGCCUAAAAUAUGCCUGGGCGCCAGGCUCAUCUCUAAAACUGUGUGCUAUAGCACACCAAUUUGAUAAGAAAUUGGUUCGUUCGUGCCGUUUCACUUGUUUUACCACUCAAAUGGCCCCACCGACCCCAACGACCCACACUUCUCCACUCCUCAGCCUGCCUAGGACUCCCGAUUAAUUUUUUGCCUAAAACAUGCCCGAGUCCAAGGCCCACUCCCAAAACUAUGAUCUAUAAUACACCAAUUUGGCCUAAAAAUGCUUCAUUCGCGCCAUUCAGCCGGUUUGACCACUCAAAUAGCCCCGUCGAACCCAAUGACCCACAUUCUCCUGCUCUUCUUCCUACCUGGGAGCCCCCGACCAAUGUUUGACCUAAAAUAGGCUCGAGCCCCAAUCCCACCCUCAAAAUCGUGAUCUAUAGCUCACCUAUUUAGCUAGAAAAUUACCCGUUCAUGCCUUUUCACCUAUUUGAGGACCCAAACAGCCCUGUCGACCCCAACAGACCAUACUCUCUCUCUCCUCCGCCUGUCUAGGAUCCCUCACUUAACUUUUUAUCCAAAAAACUUUUGGGCCUUGGGCCCACCCCAAGAAUAAUGAGUUAUAACACACUAAUUUGGCUUGAAAAUACUCUGUUCACAUCGUUUAGCCCGUUUGACAACACAAACAGCCUCAUCGACCCCAACGAACCACUCUCCCCACUUUUCAGCCUACCUAGGAGCCCUCGAUUGAUUUUCAGUCCAAACAUUUUUGAGUCCUAAGCCUACCCCCAAAAUCGUGAGCUAUAACACACCAAUUUCGCCCAAAAAUGGUCUAUUUGCAUUGUUUCAUCUCGUUUAACCACCCAAAUGGUCCCACCGACCCAAAAAUUCCACACUCCCUUGCUCUUCAGUCUUCCUGGGAUCCCUUAGUCAAUUUUUAGCCCAAAACACGCUCGACCCUGGGCCUACCACAAAAACCAUGGGUUAUAGGACACCGAUGCACUAGCAUUUCAUUAUGUGUUCGAUCCCGCUCAUAUUUCUUCGGUCUACAUCUACCCUACCUAAGACCAUCCAUAACCAGUCUUUCACACCUCCGUACUGAAGAAUCAGAGCCCCUCUUCAUCACGUGGCCAUACCAACGUAACCUCAUAUUUCGCAUCUUGUCCUCCAUCGAAGCAACAAAUAAUUUCAUUCCUCACCUUAUCUUUCCUAGUAUGUCCACACAUCCAUCGCAAUAUUCUGAUCUCUUCCACCUGCAAUUUUAGAUAUGAGAGUUCUUAACUGGUCAACACACCGUUACAUACAACAUAGCCAGCCGAACUACCACUCUGUAGAACUUACUUUUAAGUUUCGAGGGCACCUUCUAAUCACAUAGAACUCCCGAAGCAAACCUUUAUUUCAACCACCCUUCACCAAUAUGAUGUGUUACAUCCUCGUUAAUCUCAUCAUUAUCCUGCAUCAUAGACUCUAGAUACUUGAAACUCUCCCUCUUAUGAAUGUCCUGAGAGUCCAUCUUCACAACCACUCCAGCCUCCUAGGAUAUAUCACAAAACUUAUACUCCAAGUACUCUGUCUUGGUUCUUCUUAACCGAAAUUCUUUAGACUCAAGCGUCUAUCUCCAAAUCUCCAACUUAUCAUUAACUUCUCUCCAAGUCUCGUCAUCAUCUGCAAAUAACAUACACCAAGGCACUUUUUUCUUGAAUAUGUUACGUCAAAACAUCCAUCACCAAGGCAAAUAAAAAUGCGCUAAGAGUCUAUCCCUAGUGCAACCCUAUCAAAAUUCGGAAGUGUUCCGAAUCUCCACCUACCGUCCUUAUAUGAGUCUAAUCCCCAUCAUCCACAUCCUGAAUCAACCUAGUGUACACCACGGGCCUCCCCCUAGCCUCUAAGAACCUCCACAAAAUCUCCUUAUAAACUCUGUCAUAUACCUUCUCAAGAUCAAUAAACACCAUGUGCAAGUCCUUCUUCCUCUCCCAAAACUGCUCCACUAAUCUCCUCCCAAGGUGAAUAACCUUAGUGGUCGAGCGCCCUGGCAUGAAACCGAACUGAUUCUUAGAGAUCGUCACGAUCCUUAUCAUCCUCAACUUUACCAUCCUUUUCCAAACCUUCAUAUCAAGAAUCAACAACUUAAUACCUCUAUAGUUUUUACAACUCUAGAUGUCUCUCUUGUUCUUAUACACUGGGAUCAUAGUACUCCACCCCCACGCUUCAGGCAUCUUAGUCGCCGUAAAAAUACUAUUAAAUAACCUUGUCAACCACUCCAAACCUACCCUGCUAGUGCUCUUCCAAAAAUCCACUAUAAUCUCGUCUGUCCCCGUUGCCUUACCCCGCUGCAUCCUGUGAAUAGCUCCCUUGACCUCCCAAACCUUGAUAUGCCUACAAUAACCAUAAUCGCGACACUCCAAAGAUUUGUUCAAUUGUAUUUCAAACACUAAAAGUACUUACUUAUAUUAAUUACGGAAAUUCUAAUUUCAAAUCUUAAAUUUCAUUUAGUCUCAAUUCAAAAAUUAAGUGCAUAAAAUUUAGGGAAAAUUUCAGAAAUAGCAACUUUGUAGCCUUAAUUAUAACUUUUAUAGCAACAGUUUCAUAAUUACGAAACAUAGAAAAUUGUAUUUUUAUUUAAGUAAAAUGUUUCUAUAUAAAUACAUAUACAAAUAUAUAUGUAUUACUCAUAAAUACAUAUGCACAACUGAAAAAUACAUAUUCUUCUAUUACUAUGAAGUGGGUAAAAUAUUGUUACUUUUGCUAUAAGUUGUAAUUUUGAAAAAGUGUUGCUAUUUAUUGUAAUUAUAGUCUUAAGGAUGCUAGUUUCUGUAAUUUUAAUUUAUUUUAAAUUUUCAGAUAUUGUUCUAUUGCUUAUUGUUUUUACAAUGAUCAAUUUUAUGAUUAAUAUCUUUAAUUAUUUUAUUUAUACAUCUUAUUGUAUCUGCUAAGUUAAUUUAAUCAAGAUCUCUCAAAUAACUCUCAAAAUCACCACCCCACCAAAUACUACACCCACCUCCUAGCCUUACCCUACAGCCACCACCCCGCCUCCCUAGUUUUUAUUAUAUUUUACUUUAUCAGAUUUUUUGUAAAAUAUUUUUCUCACAUCACCCAUCUCUUAUCGCCAAGCCACCCUCCACCAACAAAAAAUAUUUUAUUUUUCAUUAAAAUAAAAUUUUAUAUUGCUCCCAACCCUACUCUCCAUUACCCAUUCGACACCCUACCUAAUACACACACAAAAAAAUUAUUUUUGAUUUUUUUCUAAAAAAGAAUCUUUCCACCUUUCUGUCCUGACUCCCAAGAAAAAUAAAUUUUUUUAUCUUUUAAGAAUCUCUUUUUCUACUCCACAACUCUAACCCCUACCUAAACCACCACCCGCCUACCCCACCUACCUACCUCACCCAUACCCCAUCUCAACCACCAUAAUCUCUUGUUCUUCCCCUCAUCCAUCACUUUGCCUCAAUGCAAUUUAUAAUUUUGUGUUAAGUAUACAAAAAUGCUAUUAGAAAAUAUCUUUUAUUUACUGAUAAAAUAUCAAUUAUCGAUUUAUUUCAGCAUACAUGCAAUUAGUAAUGUGAAAUAAUCACAUCAAAUAAAAUUAUCUAUUUUUUAAGCUCAAAAUGAACUAAUAGCUACUAAUUAGUAUUUUUAUUAUCCUAAAUUUUUUGUAAAAAUAUUUACCUGAUUAAGUUCAAGCAUUUUAUAUCCCUCAAACAAAUUAUGCUUUUUGUUAUCUACGGAAAAUAAUUUGAGACGUAGGGGAUUAAUUCAUCAUCGAAUGAAAUAAAAUAUAUAAGCAUACACCAUUAAAGAUGACCAUGAAAGCAUAUACGAAGAUUAAGAUUAAACAUUAAGCAAUAUAUGUUCAAAGAAAUCUUUCUGAGAAAAUUAACACCUGAAUUCAUAAAAAGAAAUAUUUAUAAUUAACUUUAACAAACAUGAAAGCAAUAGAAAAAAAUGAUGGCAGAGAUAUAUGAUUACGAUGAUAAAAAAGAGUAGUCAAAAACAUGAAAGCAAUAGAAAGAGAUAAUGGACUCUGAUACCAUGAUAAUGAAAUGAACCUUGGACCUAACUCAACGUCAAAAGCUAGCUCAGGAGGUGAGGAGUGUCCAAGAUCAUAUAAGGAGACUAAGGACUCUUUAAUCCAUCGAUGUGGGACUCUCCCCUCCCUCUCCUUUCACGCCAAGACUGGACAUCUGAAGCAUAGACAAUAUAAGAUGGGGACUCAACAUUGAAAAUAAUGAAUUGGGUAGGCCUGACUCUGAUACCAUGCUGAAGUGUGUGACCAUCUCAUCGAAAAGUUUAACUACUAGAGAGAGUACACUUUUACUAUUUAAUUAUAUUCUCAACAGUUACUUAAUAUGCUAUUUUGGCAUUGAACAAAUGAAAUUUACGUGGCAUUGCAAACUGAAGAAAGACACAAAAUUUUUGUUUCAAAUAGUUCAAGAAAGAAUCUUUUGUCCUUUUGAAACAAUGAAAUAGAGUCACAUUUGUUGGCUUGUUUUCUCCCUACAGUUGAACUAAGAGCACUUUGAGUGGAGGUUUUUUCUAUUAUUAUGGAUGUCCAAUUUUGAAAAAGUACUACUCCUUUCGUUUAAUAAAGAAUGGUAGACCAAACAACAUAUUAAUUUUAUACAUUAUAUUAACUCCUAAGUAGCUAUCAAACCUGGAAUUACUUAUGUAGGAUUCCUACAUAACUCAUUGCUAAGCCAGCUACCAAAUGACCCCUCAAUACCUUCUUUCUUUAUUCAUUGAGAAGACAGAGACCAAUGCAAGCAUAAUUCAAUUUAUGUGUAUAAUAUAUUCAGAACCAAGGUGCAGAAUAAAUACUUUACAUAAAUACAAAUUUCCUAAAUGAGUUGACCCAAUGCAAUUAAUAUUUUAAAAUUUAAAUUAAGAUUAUAAAAAUAAUAUAUUUUAGAAAAUGGGCUGGCCCGUGAAGGCCCACAACCCAUAGUGUGACGGGUUGGGCUUGCUAUUUUCUAGUCUGUCAUGUUGAUGGGUCAGCCUGGCCAGGCCCGUCAAACUUUAAAGCCCAUGUGAUCUAGCUCGGAUGAGCUGGUCCGAUCCAUAUUAACAACUCUAGGAGCAGUUAUAUAACGAUAACAAUCCAAUUAGAACUGUUUAGUAUUAUAACUAUCUGCUUCUAAUAUGUAACUUUAUAUUUUUUUAAUAUUAUUUUAAAUUUAAAGUUAACAAUUUAUUUGUAACGCCCCAAGAUCCCAUCCCGAGAUGUCACACGGUGCUUAAGGCAACACGCGGCCUCAAGCUAACCCUCUAAACCUGUCAUCACUUCUAUAACUCAAUUUGACAAUAGUCAUGCUAAUAUAAGAGAUAAUGACAUAUCAUAAACAUACGGGAUAAAUUGUGAAACUAGCAUGUACAAUCCAAAAUACUGAAUUUUUGUACCUACCAACCCUUUAGCCUGACAAAGCAUCUAUACAUCAAAAUCAAGGAGACAUUGGGACAAAUCCCCAACUGACUCAAGUAGUACUGAAACCCAUACCAACAAAACGGUAUCACAAAAUUAUAAACACGGUCCUUGAACCAUGAGGACUCACCACUGAGCAGAUGAAAAAAGGCACCCAAAUAUCGCUAACGCGGCUGAGUACCUGGACAUAUAUUAUGAGAAAAUGUAGCCCUUAAAAAAAUAUGUGGGUCAGCACUUUGGAAUGUACUAAGUAUAUGGGGGUGCAUGCAACAAUGUAAAUAUCGUCAUCAAUUUCAUGACAUUAUGCAUAUGUACAAUGAUGGUUCAUUUGGCUUGAGUUAGAUUGAAACAUACUUUUCAUAAUCUCAUCGUAAAUAAAUCAUAAGAUAAAAACCUCAUAAAUCAUCAUAAAAAACUCAACUCUUCAACUCAAGACUCGAAGUGACUCUGUAAUUUAAGAAACUCGACUCUUAUGGACAUGGUAGGUUCUUAUAACCGACAUAAACCAUGUGAGCUACAUGGAGUCUAAUAUUUUUCCCUCCUAAGGAGAGAACCCCACAUUGGCGGGAGCGUCGUACUCUUUCCAGGGAGUACAACCUAAAUGUUGUGAUCAGAAACUCAUACUCGGGCUCCAGCCUACAAUUAUUAAUAUCAAUCCUACGAUGGCAUGUAGUUUCGGGGGAAAUACCACAUUUCCUGAUCGGUGCUAAAUACUACUCCCAGACACAAGUUUAGAACGUGUUAGGAAAUCCACCACAAACAUCACAAGGGUCUAUCAUGAUGACCAAAUCAAAUCUCUUUCUCAUUUAUCAAAUCCAAAUCAAUUUGUGAAUUCCUAACUAGACUCAAAUCAAAUCAAUAUUUCUCAAUAUCAAAAUGCAUCAAUUCAUUAAGUCAUAGAAACAUCAAUAACUUUGAGGAAAUAUCAAGACUCUUUGUAACAACUCAAUUAUCUUGAAUCAAUGUACUCAAUAAUCCAAUUUGUCAUAAGGAAGCUUAAAGCUUGACACAUAUCUUGAAAGCAAUUGAAAUAAUAACUCAUGGUAGAAACUUGAAAUUCACAUUAUUAAAUAUCAAGUCAUAGCUUGAAAAUUGUAAAAUAAUCAUGUAUAACAAAUCUUGAACGAUUGAUCUUCUCAUAAUCUCAUGAUGAAGUAAUUUGGGUACAAACCCACUUGCAAAAUCAUAUAAAUCCAUAAUAAAAAUCAAAGCUUUGAGCACAAGAACAAAAGAAUUGCUCAUGUUCGAAACCCCACAUACCUUAAUCUUUGAAAUUGGUUGAACUCUAGUGCUUGAGACUUUACUCACACUUGUAAUAAAAAAAUUCUUGAAGCCCACUCUAUGAGGAACUUGAUUCUUGAAGGAAUCUUGAAGAUUUAUGGAUGAUUUUUGGAAGAUUAAUUCCCUAAAAUAAAACCCUAGAUAUAUUUCUAAAGAGAAUUGGAAGAGAGAAAUGAAGAAAUUAGGUUUUGGAUGAGGAUUCUCAUAUAUAUAGAGGCCUCUAAAAAUGGUACAUGACUAAAGUACCCUUUUGAAAAUAGUCCAUCAAUUGCUGAAAAAAAUAGUUGACGACAUCCAUGACGACAUCCAUCAACUUAACUUUUUCCCUAGCCUUGAACACAACAUCCCUCCCAAUCACAGAUGCUUCUCCUACUUCAAACCAAUCUAUGAGCGAUCUACAUCUUCUCCCAUACAAGGCUUCGAACGGGGCCAUCUGAAUACUAGCAUGGAAACUAUUAUUAUAUGCAAAUUCGAUCAACGGCAAGUGAUCAUCCCAACUACCUUUGAAAUCAAGCGUGCAUGCCCUCAACAUGUCCUCCAAAGUUACUCAGCCGGACCAUCAGUGUGCAGAUGGAAAGAAGAACUUAGACGAACUAGGGUACCGAGACCUUUCUGAAAAGCCCUCCAAAACUGGGAAGUAAACUGAGUACCCCUAUCAGAGAUGAUAGCUAAAGGAACUUCAUGCAAUUUGACUAACCCAUAGAUAUACAAUCUAUCAUAAUCCUCAGCUAUAUAAGACGAAUGCACUGGCAAGAAAUGAGCUAAUUUACUCAACCGGUCUAUUACAAUCCAAAUGGAAUCAUAAUGAAGAUGAGACGGAGGCAAACCAAUUACGAAAUCCAUAUUCACUUCUUUCCACUUUCAAGUAGGAAUGCCAAACUCUUGCAUUACACCACCGGCCCUCUGGUGCUAUAGCGUAACUUGUUGACAAGUACAAUACUUUGCCCUAAAUCCUACAAUGUCUUUCUUCAUACCGUUCCACCAAUAGAUUUCUCGUAAAUCGCGGUACAUCUUGGUAGCACCAGGAUGAAUAGAAUAUCGCUCACUAUGCACUUCAGCCAUAAUUCUCUACCUCAAAUCAUCAACAUUUGGAACACACAGUCUACCUUGCAAUCUCAACACACUAUCUCCCCCUUAGGAGAAAACCUCUACCUUCUUGUCCUUAACUGACUCCUUCAAUCUGACCAAACUAGGAUCCCCGUCCUGCUUCUCAUUUACCUCUGAGACCAAAGAGGACCUGAAACCUCUCUGAACUAACAUACUCCCUUCAGCUGAAUCAAGCAAUCUAACACCCAACCUAGCCAAACAAUGCACAUCACGAGCCAAUUCUUUCUUAUCAUUUUCUACAUGAGCUAUACUACCCAUAGACAACCUGCUAAGAGCAUCUACCAUAACAUUGGCCUUACCCAGGUGAUAUAUCACACUCAUAUCGUAGUCUUUUAGAAACUCUAACCAUAUUCUUUGUCUAAGUUUCAACUCCCUCUGAGUAAACACAUACUGUAGGCUUUUGUGAUCAGUAAACACAUCAACAUGAAAACCAUACAAAUAAUGUCUCCAGAUUUUCAAAGCAAAAACUACAGCUACUAAUUCAAGAUCAUGGGUUGGAUAAUUCUUCUUAUGAAGCUUCAACUGUCUAGAGGCAUAAGCUAUAACUUUACCCCUCUGCAUCAACACACAACCCAGACCAACUCUAGAAGCAUCGCAGUACACCAUAAGACCAUCAGUACCAUCGGGUAAAGCUAACACUGGGGCUGAAGUGAGUCGAGUCUCCAACUCUUAAAAACUCUUCUCAUAGGCAUCUGUCCACUGGAACUUAACUUUCUUUUGAGUCAACCGGAUCAUGGGGGUUGCGAUAGAAGAGAAUCCCUCAAUAAAAUAACAGUAGUAACAAGCUAGACUUAAGAAACUCCUAAUAUCAGAUGGGGAGGUAAGCCUAGGCCAAUUCUUCAUAGCUUCUGUCUUUUGAUGAUCAACUCUAAUACCUUCGAAAAAAACAAUAUGACUCAGAAAACCAACUAACCUUAACCGAAAUUCACACUUGCUAAAUUUAGAGAAUAAUUAAUGAGCUCUAAGGGUUUUCAACACAAUUCAAAGAUGAUCGGCAUGGUCAUCCUUACUUCGAGAAUAUACAAGAAUAUCAUCUAUGAACACAAUAACAAACAAAUCCAGAUACUGCUUAAAUACUUGGUUCAUAAGAUCCGUGAAAGCCGCUGGAGCAUCGGUUAACCCAAAAGACAUGACAAAAAACUCAAAAUGACCAUAGUGGGUUCGGAAAGUUGUCUUUGGAAUAUCACACUCUCUCACUUUAAGCUGAUAAUAGAUGGAUCUAAGGUUUAUCUUUGAGAAAUAACUUGCACCGUAUAACUGAUCAAGUAAAUCAUCGAUUCUAGGAAGAGGGUACUUGUUCUUAAUAGUCACCUUUUUUAGUUGACGGUAGUUAAUGCACAUAUGCAAUGUACCAUCUUUCUUCCACACAAAUAAAAUAGGUUCUCCCCAUGGAGAAAUACUGGGUCCGAUAAAGCCUUUUUCUAAGAGAUCUUUGAGUUGCUCCUUCAACUCUUUAAGUUCUAUGGGAGCCAUACAGUAUGAAGGGAUAGAAAUUGGCUGAGUGUCAGGGAAGAGAUCAAUCCCAAAUUCUAUUUCUCUAUCAGGUGGGACCCCUGGAAGGUCUUCCGAGAAAACGUCAGGAAACUUUUCAACAAUGCUAACUGACAGAAUAGUCGGAGUCUCAAACUUAAUGUCUUUAACUCAAACUAGAUGAUAGAUGCAUCCCUUGGAAAUCAAAUUCCUAGCUUUGAGGUAGGAUAUGAAAUGUCUCUUCUGAGUUACAAAACUCCCGAACCACUCAAACUUUGUUUCAUUAGGAAAGUAAAACUUGACCACUCGGGUACGAUAAUCUAUAGAUACAUAGCACGAGUGAAACCAAUCUAUACCCAGAAUGACAUCAAAAUCAACCAUAUCUAGCUCAAUAAAAUUAGGACAUAUGACCCCAUAAAGGACAGUAAUAGGAUACUUCUUAUACACUCGCUAAGCAAUAACAGACUCUCCUACCAGGGUAGAAACCAGAAUAGGCUCAGGAAUCCAUUCAGGUCCAUCUUAAAAUUUAUAGCAACUAGAGGUGUCACAUAAGAGAAACUCGAAUCGGGGUCCAUCAAUACAUACACAUCAAAAUGAAAGACAUGAAGAAUACCUGUGACAAUAUCUGGAGAAUCCUCCUGCUCCUUGCGAGGUGGUAUAGUAUAGAAGCAAUUCUGGUGUGAACCACCAAUAGUACUAGAAGAGGUGCCCUGAGGAGGAACUGGGCAAACUACGGGAGCGAGGGUACUGGUAGCUUGACUCUAGGGAUGAGUAUCUCAACUUCCCUUUCUAGCAUACAGAUAAUCUCUAAGUUGGUGGCCCAACUUUCAACAACCAAAGCUAUCUCUCUGAUCAACAAAACACUCACAAAAAUGAUCUCUACCAUACUUGGCAUAUGAAGGAGGGUGAGGUCUGUUACUUAUACUUUUCUAAUACCUAGAUGGGAUAGGCUUGUUCCCCUACUCCGGCCUGGUUCUAGGUGCAGGAGCACUAACUAAGGAAGGCACGGGCAUAAACGAACGUCUCUGGAAUUGAGGGUGGUCCCCUCCAUAGAAUCUGGACUGACAAAAUCCCCACUGCUCUGAUCUAGCUCUUUUAUUCCCUUUUACUCUCUCCUUAUCUUUCACCAUAUCAGCUUCAAUCCGUUAGACAUGUAUCAUCAACUGAGAAAGGUCCAUCUCCCUAUUAAACAUAGCAGAUCUACACUCUUUCACAACGUAACUCGACACACCGAUCAUGAACUUACUCAUAAUGGUCCUGGAGUCAGCCAUCAUACUAGGUGCAUAAUUGGACAACUGAUUGAAUCUAAGGCAAUACUUCUUAACAGUCAUGGAGCCUUAUCUCAAAUUUAUUAAUUUCUAUAUCUUUGCUUCCCUCAUCUCAAGAGGAAAUAAUCUGUGCAAGAACGCAUCCAGGAAUAACUGCUAAGUCAUAGGAGCGACAUCCUCCCCUCUACCUUCAAUCCACAUUUCUACCCAAUCAUAUGCAACAUCUUUUAUUUGAUAGGCAGCCAAUUCAACACUCUCCUCCUUAGUCAGGUACAUAAUCUGGGUGAUCUUUCUCACUUCAUCCAAGUACAUCUGUGGGUCUCCACCUAACUUCGACCUAUAGAACUCAGGAAGAUUCAUCCGCAUAAAGUCGUGAACUCGAGCAGUAGUAGAAUUAUUCUCUUAUAGAGAUGGAACAGUAGCAUGGUUGUCACCUUGAGUAUUGGCGAUAACUGCCUGGGCUAGCACCUGAAAAGCUGCCCAAAAUUCUGCAUGUGACACAUGCUCGUUCAGGGGAUCAGUGGGUUGAGGUUGCUCAUUGUUUUUAUGAGCAUGAUAAGGAGGGAUUUUCUGUCAUAAGAGAGAACGAAUUAAUAGCAGAGAGAAACAGUCGUUGGCAUGAUAUACUUUUGAAAGAAAAAAAUGACUUUUCCUAAAACGUCUCGUAGCCUCUUGCUCAUAGAUAUAGUGCGCUACAAACCGGUGAUCAAGAUUCUACAUAAUGCGGCUUGCCAAACACCCUAGGACUCUUUUAACCUUAGGCUCUGAUACCAAGCUUGUAACGCCCCAAGAUCCCAUCCCGAGACGUCACACGGUGCUUAAGGCCAUACGUGGCAUCAAGCUAACCCUCUAAACUUGUCAUCACUUCUAGAACUGACUUAGACAAUAGUCAUGCAAAUAUAAGACAGAAUGACAUCAUAAACAUACUGGAAUAAGAUAUGAAACUAGCCUGUACAAUCCAAAAUAUUGAAAUUCUUACAUACCAACCUUUUAGACUGACAAAGCCUCUACACAUCAAAAUCAAGGAGACAUUGGGAAAAACCCCCAACUGACUUAAACAGUACUAAAAGCCAUAAUAACAAAACGGUAUCAUAAAAUUAUAAACACGAUCCUCAAAACAUGAGGACUCACCACUGAGCAGACGAAAAGAGGCACCCGAAUAUUGCUAACGCAGCUGAGUACCUGAGCCUACAUUACGAGAAAAUGUAGCCCAUAGAAAAAUAUAUGGGUUAGCACUUUAGAAAGUCCUGAGUAUAUAGGGGUGCAUGUAACAAUGUAAAUAUCUUCAUCAAUCUCAUGAAAAUAUGCAUAUGUACGAUGAUGGCUCACUUUUCUUAAGCUAGAUUGAAACAUACUUAUCAUUAUCUCAUCGUAAAUAAAUCAUAUCAUAAAAACCUCAUAUAUCAUCAUAAACAACUAAACUCUUCAACUCAAGACUCGGAUUGACCUGUAAUUCAGGAAACUCAACUCUUAUGGAUAUGGAAGGUUCUUAGAAAUAACCUAAAUCAUAUGAGCUACAUGGAGUCCAAUGUUUUGCCUUCCUACGGAGAGAACCCCCCAUUGGUAGGAGCAUCGUACUCUUGCCAGGGAGUACAAACUAAAUUUAGCAAUCACAAUCUCAUACUUGGCCUCCGGCCCACAAUUAUCAAUAGCAAUCCUACGGUGUCACGUAGUUUCGGGGGAAAUACCACAUUUACUGCUCGGUGCUAAAUACAACUCCCAGACACAAGCUCAAAUGCGUUAUGAAAUCCACCACAAAUAUCACAAGGGUCUAUCAUAAAGACCAAAUCAAAUAUCUUUCUUAUUUAUCAAAUCAUAAUCAAUUUGUGGAUUUCUAACUUGACUCAAAUCAAAUCAAUCUUUCUCAAUAUCAAAAUGCAUCAGUUCAUUAAGACAUGGAAAUAUCAAUAACUUUGAGGAAAUAUCAAGACUCAUUGUAACAACUCAAUUCUCAUGAAUCAAUAAACUAAAUAAUCCAAUUUGUCAUAAGGAAGCUUAAAGCUUGACACAUAUCUUGAAAGCACUUGAAAUACCAACUCAUGGUAGAAACUUGAAAUUCACAAUAUUAAAUAUCAAGUCAUGACUUGGAAAUUGUAAAAUAAUCAUGUAUAACAAAGCUUGAACGAUUUACAUUCUCAUAAUCUCAUGAUGAAGUAAUUUGGGUAUAAAUCCACUUGCAAAAUCAUAUAAUCCAUUGUAAAAAUCAAAGCUUUGAGCAUAAGAACGAAAGAAUUGCUCUUGUUCAAAACCCCACAUACCUUAAUCUUUGAAAUUGGUUGAACUCUAGUGCUUGAGACUUUACUCACACUUGUAAUAAAAAAAUUCUUGAAGCCCACUCUAUGAGGAACUUGAUUCUUGAAGGAAUCUUGAAGAUUUAUAGAUUAUUUUUGGAAGAUUAAUUUCCUUAAAUAAAACCCUAGAUAUAUUUCUUAAGAGAAUUGGAAAAGAGAAAUAAAGAAAUUAGGUUUGGAUGAGGAUUCUCAUAUAUAUAGAGGCCUCCAAAAAUGGGAAAUGACUAAAAUACCCUUGCAAAAAUCGUCCAUCAAUUGCUAAAAAAAUAGCUGACGACAUCCGUGAUAAGCUGCCAGGCACGUGAUAGGCCGUCACGAAUUAUCGUCACAAAAAGGGUGGAUUUUGUGGCUUUCUUCCUUAAGGUGACGACAUUUUGUGACGAGCCGUCAGUCUUGUGACAAGUCAUCAGAAAAGGUCUUAACGGAUUUUCCAGGAUGACAUGCUGGAGUAAAAUAAGCAUAACUCUUUACUCUGAUAUCGAAUUUUGACGAAAUGGGUAUCUUUGGCAAGCUAAUUCAAUUAUCUAUCUUUUGGAAGGUGAUGAGCUCAAUAAUUAGUAGUACAACUGGAGAUAUGCUCAUUUGAAGUUGACUAUGCCAAAAUCCUUCUCAAGAAUUCAAUUGGUAAAGAAUAUUUUGAUUCGCCCAAGCAUUAGGAUAUCUUUAAAGCCUUAAUACACAUCACCUUUGACCAGAAAAAAACCAAAACACUAUAAUUUAUUUCUCAUGGGCUUGAGUCAUGGCGGCACUAUUGGUUAGAAUCCGGGGUAUUACAUUAUUACUUUUAAUUAUCUUUGCUAUUUACCUUUUGCAAAUAUAAUGCAAAUUUAUCUUAUAGUGUUAUAAUUGAAUUAAAAAAAAUAUUUGAGAUCAACCACAUAUUUUUGAAAGUAAAUGAUGUAUUAUUAUUAUUAUUAUUAUUAUUAUUAUUAUUAUUAUUAUUAUUAUUAUUAUUAUUAUUAUUAUUAUUAUUAUUAUUAUCAUUAUUUAUUUUAUUAUUAUUAUUAGUAGAUAUGUAUGUUCUACUACUACUACUAAUAUAAUAAGUUAUCUUUUAAUUAUUAUUAUAUUUUAUUUAAUAUUUAAAUAUAUUACCUGCAUAACUCACUGCUAAACUAACUACAAAAAAAUAUGCUACUACCUGCAUACAAAAACAUGAGCUGAGGCAACAAUUUUCUUUUCUCACAAGAAAUGAAGAACAAGAAGAACACUGCAAUUUAAAACCAGGCUUUAAAUUUCAAAAACAAAAUAAGAAAUCAUGAGCGCAUAAUGGGAAAAACAAAGUGCAAAAAGACCUCACCAGUAGUAGGAUACGAAGGAUGAGAGAGAGAGGGAGGAAGGAGGGUUAUAUUAAAAAUAGUAUUAAUACAGUGGAGGAAGAACACAUCUAUCAAUUAUUCUUCAAAAACACACUAGUUACAUCACUGACGUUUUCAAAAUCAAGGUAACUUUUUAUCCUGUUCAGAAAAAAAUUUCAAAGUGUGUGAGUAGGAUUGAGGUUGUCUUAACUGCGUAAAUUGGUUUUCCCUCUUAAAAUCUUCAUUAUUAUAUUUCUUUUAAUUGAACACAAUUUUAAGAGGUCAAACUAAUUUAUGCAGUUAAGACAACCUUAAUCCUACUCUCACACUUUGAAUUUUAUUUUUUGGAUAGGACAAAAAGUUGCAUUGAUUUUGAAACAUUGGUGAUGUAGCUGGUGUGUUUUUAAAGAAAUUUGAUAGAUGUGCUCUGCCUCUACUGUAUUCGUUCCAUUUUUCAUGUAACCCUCCUUCCCCUCUCUCUUUCUUUGUAUCCUAGUACUGGUGAGGUUUUUUUGCACUUUGUUUUUCCCUUUUUGCUCUCAUGAUUUCUUAUUUUGUUUAUGAGAUUUAAAGCCUGGUUUUAAAAUUGCAGUGUUCUUCUUUUUCUUCAUCUGCUGUAAGAAAAGGAAAUGGCUGCCCCGCUCAUGCUUCUGUUUUUGAGGAGGAAAAAACUAAAAGAUUGUUCAAAUCUGAAAAUGAGUUACUUCAAUAGCGCCCUUCUUCUAAAAAUGUGCUUCUAGGGAAACUAGAUGUGAGAACCUUUUCUUUUCUCUUUUCAUUUGUUUACCCACUUAAACCUAAGAAGCCAAAAGUAAACAACAAAGGGGCCUCAAUUAGAAUAAUGUAAGUUUUUGUAUUGUAGGGAUUAUCGAUGUGGAAAUCCAUAUAUUAUUUAUGCAUGUAUUAACGUAUUACUUGGUAGUUGAUUUAGUAGUGAGUUAUGAAGGUAAUUAAGUCCUACAUAGUUAAUAUUCAAAUAUUAGUAGUUGGUUUAGCUUAUGUAUACAACUAUUAACAUAGAAUAACCCUCGAGACCCCAAAGAAGGCCAUAAAAAUCCAUCUACCAAAUAGAUGGCUCUGUAGCCUUUCUCAACUGGUUUGAUGGCCCACUUUUAGGGCCCAAAUAUGGAUGAACAUAGUUAUGCUAUUCAAUAAAAUUAUAGUAGUACUACUGGGACUUAGGAUUAAAAGGGAAGAAUAAGUUGUCUAAUUAAGUGAGAAUCCUUCAAGUUUUUAAAAUUAGGUGGGAGGGACAAAAUUUUAUUGAUUUCAUUUUUUAAGUUUUUUCGUUCCAACAACUUCUCCCAGUUGUCGAAAAACUUUGAUAGUUUUUCGACAACUUCUAGCAGUUGUUCAACAACUAUCAAAGUUGUUCGACAACUGCACUAAGUUAUUCAACAACUAGGCGAAGUUGUGGGAGAAGUUGUUCAACAACUGUGUGAAGUUGUUGAGACAACUAAUGUAAUUGACGAACAACUGUCCCAGUUGUUCAAAUGACUUAAUUUUUUUAAAAGGGACAAGUUGCGGGACCCACUUGUCCCCUUUUCUUAAUUGGAAACUUGGGAGGUCUAUAGAUUCAUUUUUCUCACUUAAGUAUUUAAGUUGUAUAUAUCAUGAAGUAGUUAGCUUAUAUUUGCGUUGUAAAUUAUAAUAUUAAGUGUAGAGAUAGUCCUAUAUACGUUUAGUACGUCAAAGAGAGUUGCUCACAAACAUUGUGCAAUUCAAUUUGUCGCAAGAAGCACUUAAUCAUCACUCAAACACUUAUUGGUUCCGAAUAUUUACCCCUAAUAAAUGAUUUUAAUUCUAAUGAAUUAAGAAUAUAAUAUCAUUCAAUCAUGUUAACAAAAAUAAUUUAUAAAAGAUAUUAUCUUGUAAUAGUGGGUAUAAAAGGAGAGGUAGAUUUACGCUGAGGACGUUUUGGUAAAGGUGAUUAGAUUAGGUAUCUGUAGCUUUUUGAGGAUAUGAUCUAGAUAUAAAAAUAUGGAGAUCAAGGAUGUGGUUAGUGGGUGGAUGAGCGUUGUCUAAUUUGCCUAUUAAGUACUAUUUUUGUUAUUACUUUCAUACUAUCUUAUUCUUCUAUAUUAGAAUAAUUUGUUUGUUUUUAGUUCAGUUAUCAUAUUAAUUGUUUGUCGUUGCUACCAUUUUCAGAUUUACAAUUUUAUUUGUUUUACAUGCCUAAUUUUUUUUUUAUAUGUUUUAAUUGAUUCGAGAGUCGAGAGUCAAUCAAGAACAACCUCCCUAUCUUCACAAGGAAGAAGUACAUGUCCAUACUACCUCUCCAAACUCCACGUGUAAUAUUAUGUAUGUUAUUAUUGUAUAUAUCUUGAAUCGAUUGAUCAAAUAUAAAUACCCGAUGUUGUGGUGUACUUGUACCCAUUGGCGGAGGGAUGAUCUUAGGAAAAGAGUGAUUUGAUGCACAUCUUUUGUCAAAAGAUUAUAUAGUGUACAGAAGCUUAAUAUUAGCUAUUAUAUGUCGAUAUUAAAUUUUGUACAUUCUUAACACAACUAAAAUGAAAAUAUGCACACUCCUCGUCAAAUUUCUGACAAUGACACUGCUACUGCCUCAACUGUGUACGUGCAAAGAAGACGCCAUAUAGCAUUUGUCAUCUGCAUGACGCCCAAACUCUUUUAUCAGUGUACCUACCCAACCUGUCACCUCAUUUUCAACUUUUAUAAUUGCAUAUCCAUCCAAAUUUCAUACACCGUCCAUUUCAUUUUAAUUUUAUUAAAAAUAACUAUUUUAAUUUAUUUGUGUAAUUUAUAAAAUUAUAAAAAAAAAAGAUUAUUACGUGAAGUAUUAAAUGAAGUGAAAGGUGUAUUCUACGAAUAUAUAAAUGCUUGUUUCAUUAAAUCCGUAUUCCGUACUAAGCUCGGAUCCAAACAACUCUUUUAUAAUUAAUAUAAUUUAAUGAUCGAUAUAUUAAAUAUAUUUUAUUAAAAUUUUUUAGAAUUAUUCAAUUUCUUAGUCGCAUAAUUGGAUAAUUUUUUUUAAAAAAAUAUUUGUCGGAAGAAAGUAUUACAGGAGAAUUAAAACAUAACAAGAGACCACAAGUAAUUUAAUAUUUUAUAAAAUAACAUGAUACAACAACAACAAUAACAACAUACCCAGUGGAUUCUCACAUAGAGGGGUCUGGGCAGGGUAGAGUGUACACAGAUCAUACCACUACUUAAGAUGAAGUAGAGAGUCUGUUUCCGACAGACCCCCGGCUUAGGACCAACAGCAGUAUAACAUACACAAAUCAUAAAUGCAUAAAAACUAAUACAAUUUGCAAAGUAAACUAACGUCACUAGCCAUAAGAUAAUACUAUAGUCACAAGAUAAUACUAAAACUAUCUAUCCGAAAUCAUAGACAUCACUCAACACCACGAACAAGAAACUUCAAACACAAAUAAAGAAUGCUCCUCUAUUGUUACCAACACACUCUCAACCCCUAACCCUCUACCCUAAUCGGCAUUCUUCACACCUUCGUAAUCACAUCCCUCCAAUAUUUGUUCGGUCUACCUCUACCCCACCUAAAAUCAUCCAUAGCUAGUGUCUCACACCUCCGCACUGGAGCAUCAGAGCCCCUCUUCAUCAUAUGCUCACACUAACGUAACAUUACUUCUCGUAUCUUGUCCUCCACCGAGGCCACUCCCACCUCUCCUGAAUAAUCUCAUUUCUUAGCUUAUCUUUCCUAGUAUGGCCACACAUCUAUUGCAAUAUUCUCAUCUCCGCCACCUCCAACUUUUGGAUACGGGAGUUCUUAACUGGCCAAUACUCUCGAUACAACAUGGUCGGCCAGACUUCCACUCUGUGGAACUUCCCUUUAAGCUUUUGGGGAAUCUUCUUAUCACAUAAAACACCCAAAGCAAGCCGUUAUUUAAACCACCUAGCCCUAAUAUGAUGUGUGGCGUCCUUAUCAAUCUUACAAUUGCCUUAAAUCAUAGACCCCAGAUACUUGAAACUCUCCUUCUUCUGAAUGGCCUUAGAGUCUAGCUUCAUAACCAUGUCAGCCUCCUACGACAUAUCACUAAACUUACACUUCAAGUACUCCGUCUUGGUCCUGCUCAACCAAAAUCCUUUAAAUUCAAGGGUCUGUCUCAAAAUCUCCUAUCAUUAACUCCUUCCCGAGUUUUGUUAAGCAGUACCAUAUUAUCAACAAAUAACAUACACCAAGGCACCUCCUCUUGAAUAUUUUUUUUCAAAACAUUCAUCACCAAGGCAAAUAAAAUGGGCUAAGAGUCAAACCCAGAUGCAACCUUACCAAAAUCGAAACGUGCUCUGAAUCUCCACCUACCGUCCUCACCCAAGUCUUUGCGCCAUUAUACAUGUCCUAAAUCGACCUAGUGUAUGCCACAGACACCCCUUUAGAAUCCAAACACCUCCGGAGAAUCUCCUUAGGAACUCUGUCAUAAGCUUUCUCAAGGUCAAUAAACACCAUGUGAAAGUCCUUCUUCAUCACCCCAAACUGUUCCACUAAUCUCCUUACAAGGUGAAUAGCGUCAUUAGUCAAGCAACCUACCAUGAAAUCGAACUAAUUCUCAGCGAUAAUCAUCCUCCUUCUCAGCCUCAACUCUACCACCCUUUCCUAAAUCCUCAUAGUAUGACUCAACAACUUAAUACUUCUAUAGUUGUUGCAACUUUGGAUGUCUCCCUUGUUCUUAUACAAUGAAAUUAUUGUACUCCACCUCCAUGCUUCAGGCAUCCUUCCUGGCCUAAAAAUGAUGUUAAGAACCUAUUCAACCACUCCAAACCUGCCCCACUAGUGCGUUCCAAAAAUCUACUGGAAUCUCGUCUGGCCCCAUCGCCCUACCUCGAUGCAUCCUGCGAAUAGCCCUCAUGACCACCUUAACCUAAAUAUGCCUAUAAUAACCAUAGUCGUGACACUCCUCAAAUUUAUCCAAGUCCCCAAACACAAAACCUUUAUCUCCCUUAUCGCUCAAAAAUUUAUGAAAAUAGGACUGGCAUAUUUUUUUAAUGAGGGCAUCCUCAACCAAUAUAGUACCAUCCUCAAACUUGAUGCACUUAUCCCUGCCUUUCUCCUUCAAAGCCACAUACAAGCUCUCAAAAUCUAUCAUUUUAUCCACUGUAACCGCUAUCUUAGCCUCUCACCUAGCUAUAACUUGUACUCUUCCUUAUUCGUCGGCCUCUCUUGAUCAUUGUUUCUCUCAACCAAUUUAACAUAAGCCACCUUCUUAGACUCCACCUUCCUCUUAACCUCUUCAUUCCACCACUAGUCCCCUCGAUGUUUUCUAAAUUAACCUCUCAAGACACUAAUACCUCUCUAGCGAUCUCCUUAAUGCAACUGGCAAUCGUAUCCCACAUACUAUCCACAUCCCUUCUACUCUUCCAAGCCCCCUGCUUCUCAACUUUUCCCCUAUCUUCAAAGAAUUAGCUAAAGUUAAGCUACCUUACUAAAUCUUAGGCUGAACCUUCACACUCCUCUUCUUUCAGCCUUUAUUGAUUACCAAGUUCAUCACCAACAACCUAUGUUUAGUCAAAAGAUUAUCUCUAGGUAUGACUUUACAAUCUUUACAUAGUUUUCUAUCACUCUUCUUAAGGAGCUAAAAGUCUAUCUGAGUCUUGGCCACUAAACUACAAAAUAUUUCAAAAAUCUCAAAUCCAUUAUCCACAACCCAAAAGCCCUAGAAAAAUCCAAAAGAGAAGCACGUCCUUUAUUCCUCUACCCAAAAUCAAAAUCUCCAUGCAUAUCAUCAUAACCUCUUGAGGAAGACCCAAUAUGCCCAUUGAAUUCUUCUCUCAUGAAAAGUUUCUCAGUGCUCGGGACGCCCCUCACCAUCUCAUUCAAAACCUCCAAAAGCCCUUCUUCUCUUCCUCGUCCAAACCUAAUUGCGGAGAAUAAACACUAAUAACGUUCACCGCAGUUCCUCCCAUGACCAACUUAAUAGACAUCAACCUAUCACUGACUCUUUUAACCUCUACCACCCGCUCUCUAAGUUCUUCAUCUACUAAAAUACCUACCACAUUUCUAUGUCUCAUGAUACCUGAGUACCAUAACUUAUAUCCAUCUACAUCUUUCACCUUAGUGCCUACCAUUUAGUUUCCUAGACACACGCUAUACUAACCAUCCAUUUUCCAAGAAUCUUCACCAGCUCUAUAGAUUUACCUUGAAGCAUCUCUAUGUUCCAGGACCCAACUAUCAACCUAUAAGCACCCUUAUCCAACUUAGCCCUACUAUCCCUCGCCCUCAACCCAAGACGGGAAUAUAGACUCGACACCAAUCCCUACCUCGACCUAUGACAUGACCCUAGUCCAUCAUCUAUCUCCCCAACCACCACUCAAAGGGAUACGAUAGAAGAAAAUGGAAAUGGUCUUAACAAAAAGAAUAAGGACAACAAAAAUAAUAUUUAGCAAAAGAACAUCAUCAAUCCUUGUGAGGACUACCAAAAAUUGAGAUCAUCCCUUAUAUAUAAUAGUAAAUUGUAUUCUUUUUUCAUAUUGUUUACACUAUUUGCAAUAAAGAUUACAGUGAUAGAAACAAAUUACAGUCACAUGCAAAUAAAAUAUGAAAAAAUAUGAAUUUUAUUGAUAAAUGAUAUGGGUAUAAUUCUGUUACUCCCUUGAGUCUUCUUUUUUUUAUUUUUCUCCGUAAUUUGAGUACCAUUAAUAGCGUAUUUCUCGAAUGUAGAAAGAUUUAAAUUUGAUAUGAAUUUUUAGAAUACUUCUCGAAUGUAAAAAGAUUUGAAUUUGAUAUGAUUAUUUUGUAAUUCAAGGGUCGUUAGUAGCGUAUUUCUUGAAUGUAAGAAGAUUUAGAUUUGAUAUGGAUUUUCUUCAUAAUUUGAAGGCCGUUAAUAACAUAUUUCUUAAACGUAGAAAUCUUUGAAUUUGAUCUCCAUAAAAGAAGGGUUUAUGGAUCUUGUUGAUAUAUUUGACUAUCAAAAAGAGAGUGAUAUUCAAUGAGUUUAUGAAAUUAUCGGGGGAUGAUUAAUCUCUUUAUUAAGGGUUUAGAGUAGAGUAGCCUCCAAGUUAGUUUUAGCGUAAAGUAACCCCUAAUAACUCUAAGAGAAAUUAAAUUCUUAUUAUAGAGUUCAUAAAAUUAUGAUGUCUAUUAAAGCUUUGUAUUUUCAGAUGUUAUGACUACAAAAUCGUUUGCUGAAAUGUCAAAAUACAAUUAUUUUUCUUCUUUGAGAUGAUGAAUGAAGUACAUGUUAAUUUAGUGGAGUCACUUAGUUCAAUUCAUUCGUGCAGGGUACCAUAAAAUCAGAAAACUACAUCAAGCUAGUAGAAGAGAAAAGCAAUAACAAAAAUACCAUAUUUAGCACAGUUUCAUAGCUCGAACUCGUGACCCCCUGAUCACAUGGAGGGAACUAUCCAUAAUAAUUUAGACAAAUACUUCUCAGAGAUAAUCACAAAUUUCCAAGCAAGACUAAAUCUUUUAAGAAUUUUACUACACACAAAGACAAAAACAAAGGGCUGUCCGGUGCACUAAGAUACCGUUAUGUGUUGGGUCCCAGGAAAAAACUGGACCACAAAGGUCUAUUAUACACAGUCUUACCACUGUGGACCCCUCUUUCCACAGCUUGGACCUAUGACCUUCUGGUCACACGACAAUAACUUUACUAGUUACGACAAGGCUCUUUGUCUUACACACACAAAUAACAUUUGUAAAAAUGAAAUCUUUAGCAAUUUUUUCAAAUUCUUUCUACCCAAAUUUCCAAGUUAAGCUAAAACAUAACACUGAUAAAAUAUGGUUAAAUAAACAAUAAGCAAAAAAUGCAAACUACCCAAAACAAUUCAGGAAAAUAAAACUUGGAAUACAUCAUGAUUAAUUUUGAACAAUAUCUUAAAACAAAUCUCACUUUCUCACAACUGAAUAAUGAAAUUCCAAUUUUGCCCUUAACAUUAUGGCUCCAUUGAUGAUGGGUAUUGUAGCAUUAAGAGCUAAUUUCUUUCCUUUUCUGGUAGUUGGUCAGUAUUCGAGCAGUAUCAUCUUCUACAAAAAUGAACAGGAUAAUAUCACUUUAGCCCCCAAAAGAUCUAGCUAUUACAUAUAGACCCCUUUACCUUAUAAUUUUAGAAUGAUAUUACUCUUCUUGAACAAUUUAAAUGCCCCAAAAGUUGAUCUAAUAAACAAAAAAAUAAUUCCUUCGUUCGGUUUUACUUGUCACAUUUUAAAUUGACAUAUUUACUAAAAAAAUAAUUAAUAACAUACAGUUACUUUACCAUAAUACCCCUAUUAAAUGAUGUUUAUAUUGUAUCUUAAAAAUAAUUUGGAGAAAAGACAAUUAAUGCUAAGGGUAAAAUAGGAAAAAGAAGUUGUCUUUUCUUGAUAUGUCAAUAAUGAUAAGUAAAAAUAGAAAUACAAUUAGGAAAUUAGUGACAAUUAAAAUCAAACGGUUGGAGUAACACUGAAAACACUUCAAAAAGAUAUACUUCCUCGGUUGUAUUUUAUGCUGCAUAUUUUGAUCGGGCACAAAGUUUAAGAAGGAAUGAAAAUUGUCUUUUAUUAAAAAAUAUAUUAAUACUAUCUUUAAUUAUAUGAGACUAAUAGGGAUAAAAGUGAAAUUGUAUUUUUAAAUAGUUACCAAAUAAGGAAAUAUGACAUUCAUUUUAGGAUGGACAAAAAGAAAAUGACGACAUAUAAAAUGAGGCAGAGGAAGUAUGUUAAUACUAAAAGGGUAGCUUGAUGUGGCGAUGGAAGUAUGUUAAUACUAAAAGGGCAGCUCGGUUUACUAAAGCUUCUUGCUUUAAGGGACUGCGGAGAAGGGCUGUACUGCAAGAAUUUUAUUGUGCGUAACAUUAUCUUGCAUUUCUGACAGAGGCUGUUUCUAUGACUUGAACUCGUGACUUCCUAAUCAUAUGACAAUAAUUUUAUUAGUUACUCUAAAACUCCCCUUCAUAUUUUUUUUUCGAUUUGUUAAAAAUAUUAAAGAUACACAAAAUAUAGAAGAUAUGCAUAUAAUUCUUUUUGCAAACCCACUUAUAUGGAGUAAUAAAAGCUUAUAAGGUAUCAAAAAUGAUAUAUGCAUGGGAUUUCCCUUUUGGUUAAAGUUUUAACUGGUUUAUUUCAUGUAUAAUUGUAGAGUUUUACUCAUUAAUGACAAAAUAAUUGAACUUUACCUAUUUAAUAAAGUAGUAGAUUUAAUGGCAUUAAAAAUCAUUAAUGAGUUUUUAUUAUGUUUUUUUAUAUAUUGAGUACAAGAAGUGCUAGACAUAUCUCAAACUGAAUCAAUCAAUUAGAAAAACAAUUUCUGUUCCAAUGGAGAAGUUCCUCCAUGUUCACCUUUUGAUUUCAAUUAUUUUCUCAAUUUUGCCUGUAAUUUUAUGCAAUGAACAUUAUUUUCCAUCCCUUAACACCACUUAUAUUAUGGAAUAUGUCUAUUGAUCCAACGAAGCUUCCCGAUACUUCGAUGCCAUCCUAUACACUCACCAUUUACAAUCUCUAUUUAUUUGAAAAGUCAAAAUUUAAGGACCAUGACUCGUUAUUCAGAAAUAGGUUCGCCGAUUGUCAUGCUAGAGCAAAUCAUUUGGCAUCGGUUCUUCAAAAUGGUGACGCGAUUAGUACAAAUCGAACUCUGGUAAGGCCACACGACGAGCAUGAGAGUAAAGUGGCCAACGAAAAGGUUCCAGUAAAAAUAAGUACACAUUUCAUAUGUCAGUAUGUUGCAUCUUUUACUUCUUUUUUUUUUUGGUUUCGCAUCCGGUGCCAGCAUUGGAGCCCCGACUAAUCUAGAUCAUAUGUUGCAGGGCCUAUUAAGGUGGCAGCACUCCCAACAGAAUUUUCUCCAUACCAAGGGUCGAACCCUGGACCUCUGGUUAAGGGUGGAGCAGCCUCAUCCACUGCACCACAACCCAUAUUGGUGCAUCUUUUACUCACUAAACAAGUUAAAAGUUACUUUCUAAUAGACACUGGUAGUGAUUUAGUUUGGUGCAAAUGUGGACCAUGUAACACUACAACAUUUUAAGCUUUUGGGCACACUAAUUCUAGACCACACUUGUAAAGUGUGGCCGAUAUCAUUAAAGACUACGCUUUUAAAGCGUAGCCUUAUUUUUUAGCUUUGACCACAUUAAUUUUGGCAACACUUUAAGAGCGUGGUCCGUAAUGGUAUAGGCCACACUUUACAAGAGUUGACAAAUCAUGAUUUAAUUGGAAACGCUUAUUCACAAAUAUGACUACACUUUUAAAUGUGGUAUUAUUAUAAUUUAAAAGACAAUACUUUUGAAAUAUGGCCUAAGAUUUUUAUUGAAAUAUUUCACUACCCCUCAAAAUAGUUGUAGGGUUUCACUCUUCUACCCAAAUAUUUCACUCUCCCUCCAAAUAGUUCUAGGGUUACAAGAAAGCACAGAUUAAGGGCAAAAUUCUUUUUGGGCAAAAAUAUGGGUUGCAAGAAAACAUAGAUUACAGAUAAAAUUAUUGAUUCCUUAACUUAAUGUCUCAAUUGUUGCAGUUAUGAUAGAGGAAGAAGAUUAAAGACUGUCGUCAAUGAGGAAGAGACAUCCUCACUGCCGUGAGGAGAAGGGGUUGGUGCUUAUCGUCCACCAGAAGGGUAUGUUAAUUUCUUUAUUAAUUUCCCAAUUUAGCCCAUAAUCUUACUGUAUUUUGCUGUUCUUGUAACUAUUUCUUCUGUGGGGUUAUUGAUUUAGUUCAUUGUCUUACUCUAUUUUUGCUUCUUGUUUGCUAUUCUAGUAGCCAUUUCUGUUUUAGGGUUCUUUAUUUCGCUCAUAUAUUACAAUAUAUUUGCUUAUUGUUUGUUGUUCUUGUAGUCAUUUCUGUUGUGGGGUUCUUGAUUUAGUUCAUAUCUUACACAAUAGAAAGAGGCUUUACAUCUAUUAGUACUGGAGGUGAUGAGUUUUUGAUAAAUAAUUUUUUUUAAAAUUUUAUGCAAAAUUUUCCCAUCUUGGAUAUGUUUUUUUUUUUGUGUCAAUUUCAUUCUAAGUUUAAUGAUCUAAUCUUUAUUGCAUGUGCCGUUGUUUUAGUGCUAAUUUUCCCAUUUGGGGUUUUUUUAUUUUUGUUAAAUUUCAAUUCUUGAUAUCCUAGAUGGUAGUUUGAGCAUAUUAGAUAUGUGUUUUAUUUGCCAAGGGUAAAAUUCUGUAUGAUGAACAAACUGGAGAGGUUAUGGGGUUGUUCUUUAUAUCGAGUUGUUCUAUGCUUCUCAGUUUUACAAUUACUGCCUAUCUAGUAGCCUGUUUUGUCAUAUCCCUGGGCUAGGUUGUCAUCUAAUUUGGAGCCUUCAACGAUAGCUUGUGUCAUCUACAAUUCUUCACUCCAGUUUAUAUCCUCAGGUCCCUCUCUUAUAUCUCCAUUAUCUAUUACUUGGUUCCUUAUAUUAGGAUUGUAGUUGAAAAGAACAUUUCAUAAUCAAGAGAAUACCUGUUCAUUUUUUUGAAGAGAUGAUCUAAACUCACUAAAAUUAACAAACAAUACAAUUUAGUUUCACAAUCUUGUUUCUCUCAGUAAGCAAUAUGCUCAGAACUUGCGAGGAAGAUUCAUACUCGGGUGAUCAAAUAGCGAAAGACAAGGCUUCCCUUCAUGUCUACUCUCUCACACUCCAUCGCAACUUGAAAGAAUGGAACAUGUCCAAGUUAGUAUAUCUAGUUAUAUUUUUGCUGAAGCGCCUAUUUACUUCUUAAAAAAUAACUUAUACUUCAAGCCUUUACCGUUAAAGAACCAACACUGGUUAUUUCUCCUGGAAAAUAUAUUUGAACGUCAAUGCAAGAAGACUACCUGCAUCUAGAAAUUUACAAUAUCUGUUGACUUGGAUUAUAAGUUUGCAUCAAAUCCUAUUUUUCAUGCGCAGUUAUAGAAGCAAAAAGUAUGAAAUGUCAUGCCUUGUCCUCUUACUCCAUCUUAGUAUCACAAUUGAGAUUCCCUUCGUAUAUCAGCUGUGAUAAAAAAAAUAUGUAAAACAUAAAGGAGUUUUAAAUUUAGUAGUUGAGUCUGUUUGAAAAUAAUUGCUCAUAUAAUAGUUAUUGUUCCCUUAUUAUGUUCCAAUUUCAUCCUACGAUAUUGUUCUUGUGUUUGGUUUGAUCGAAACAUGGAUUGAAAUUGCACAACAGAUCUUUUGAUACACUCUUUAGCUUUUUUCCUACUGGCUUGGAAGAAAUCCUCCUCCAUAUCAUUGGGUUUGUGAUUAACUACUUGACUGGACUAGAGUUGAAGCUCAUGAAAACCUUUUUUCUUCAAACACCAACGAAAUAUUGCCUUUUCAAGCACCCUGACCGAAUUAUCUCCAGGUAAUGCCUUCAGACAUGGAAACCACUGAACACAGUCCACAUGACCAGAGGCAGGUUCCAUUAAUAAUGGAUCAUGUUAUUCUGUCAGUUUUAUGGAAAAGUCAAAGAGUAAUUGGGAAAACUUGCUAAGUUAUCAUUCUUGUAAGAAAUUCUCAAUCAUAUUAACUCAUGUUUGUUGUAGAUGUAUAUCAUCAAUUCAUUUAGUUCUGUCUCAAUUUCAUUUUCAGAGGAGUUAACUCAAAUAAUUUCACCGGUGAGAUCCCACCAAUUCUUGAUAAUCUGUCAAAACUCUGCUGGCUUGAUCUAGCAGAUAAUCAGUUAAUCGGAUUGAUUCCUGUUUCACCCUCCUCAUGUUUGGUCUUGGACCUUCUAAAGAAAGAAGAACACUUACGAGUAAACUAUAUCUAUUCGUAUUACAUGCUAUCCGUUUCAACUGAUAGGAAAUCAAAUGAAUGUUGUUUGCCAAUUAUGAUGUUGUUGGUUGAUGGAAAUUGUAUAUUAGUUAGUAUUAUGCAGAUAACUUUUGUUCAUCUUGCUCCAAUGUGGUUAACUGGUAUCGUCACUAUUGCAGAUAUACUAAAAUUUUAUUUUUCAUCUCUGUUCUUGUUGCUUUGAGCUUUAAAAAUAUUCUGUAGUACUUUUCUUUUGGUGCACCUAUGUAGUUUCUGUUUGUAUAGACUAUGGAGGAUUGGAUGUCCUUUUGAGUGAAGCUCAGAAACACCCUCUAUAGCUCCAUGGAUCGAUACUCAUUGGUCCCAAGUUGUAGCUGCUAACGUUAAAUUGCUUGCAUUGUAUGGUGUAAUCCCCCUUCUUCUCAAUUGACAUUAAUAUAUCAAAUCUCCUCAUUUUUAAGCUUGUAAAGUAACAAGAGUAAGUUAAAUAAUUCAUGAGAGAAUAUCAACACACAUUCACAGUUUGUUCACAUUCUAUAUACACUUUUUUAAACAUCAAAUAAAGCUGCUUUGGUUUUGUUUUUCCUCCCAGCCUGUGCAACAACUAUUAUAACUUUUCUUUAUAGAAAAAAUCAAAUAAAUGGCAGCUAGCAUUGUAUAAUUAACAUUAGUAUAUUAGCGUUUCAGAAUAGUGAAAUAAUACAUAGUAAUAGACUUUGUACCAAUUUGACAGAUGAGCACUUUGGUACGUUAUUCAAUUUCCAAAGUGAAAUAUUUGUUAAUGAACUUACUAUUUAGCAUCUCACGAUGUGCUGUACUUUAUCAAAAACACUAUUACAAUUGUGAAAUAAGUUCCAAAUUGGCAGUAAAUGAAAUCACUUCAUGCUUUUUGACGUGUUUAAAAACUCCAAUUAGUAAUAGAAUUCCUAGAAACAUUUCAUCGGCGUAAGUUAAGUUUCUCCUAACAGCUUACUGUCUUGCAGGUUCAAGUGUAACCUAUUCGUGGACUUCCUCUUUUUUUCAAAGACAAAUCCGAGCAUCUUUCAAAAAUUGUUGACAUACUUGUAUAACUCCUGACUGAUCCGAGCAUCUUUCAAAAAUUGUUGACAUACUUGUAUAACUCCUGACUGCUGGUAUAGAAAUCUCUUAGUCUUUCCAUCAAGAAAUGUUGAUUAUGAGAAAGGAUAUGUGAUCUUGACUUCUUUUUCUGCUUUUACGGAGGAAAAUAUGGCACGUGAUACAGUAAACAAAGCCCUUUUGUCCUUUUUAAGGCAAUACGUAAAUAGUAUGUUGAUUCUUUCGUAAUGACAUUGAGACCAUACACAUAGGAACUAUCUGUAAAUAUAUUCAUCUUAAAUUGAGUUAAGAAAUUAAAUUGCUGAACUAAUCAAACUGCUCUUUCUUUCCUCUUCUGGAUGCUAUUUCAUGUUUUCUGGUAUCACUCUCUAAGAAAAAAGGUAGAAUGAUAGAUACAUUAUAAUCUGGUCAAGACAAGAAGCUCAUCCCUCGUGGGUCACCUAACAUGUUUCAUUACCUACUUUGGAUAAAUCAGCAAAUUUAUUAAUGCAGUGCACAUUUUAUCUUGCAUUUGAUGCACCAUUAUGCAUUAGCAAGCAUGCUCUUUUGUUCAAUACCUGGGAGCUGUAUACCAGGGUUUUGCAGCAAUUUAUAUGCCAUAUUAAAAUACCUCUUCUUAUUACACUUAUCUGAAGUAGGAAUUAUACUAAUCAAAUCCUUUUAGGACAAUAUUCUAUUUUCCCAAUUUAUAAUCAACUUUAACAAGAGCUCAAGUGUAGCUAUGUGGAUAUAUCAACUACAGAAAAAUAUUUAUACUUUAGUAUGACACUGCUGAAGGAUGUGGUGCACAUUUGUGCUUUCAAAAGAAGGAAGAGAAGAUGUCCCAUAAAAUGUAGACAUGUAGUUAUAUGGGUACUUUCCAUAGAAAUAAAUAAGAGAGAAUUUGAAGGACUAAAGAAUGAUUUUUUAAUUUAAUAUUCUAAAAAGAAAAGGGGCUACCCUGAGAAACAGAAAAUCAAUUGGAACAAAAAGUAAGCAAAAAAGAAAAUUAGAGACACAAUAACUCACCAGAUUAUAGAGCGAAGAGAGGAAGAACAGGAGAGAUAAAAGAAAAUUACUUGCGAAAAACAUAAAAGUGAAGCACCUUAUAUAUGGCAUUCAGUUGUGCAUGCAUCUUUUCUUGGAUUGGAACUAGUGGUGAUAUUGAUCCAUUACUGUGAUAUGUUCAUUUUUUUUCUGUUGUUUCACUUGUGUCUCUAUGUUACCUGUUGGAUUCAUUAUUGUGAUAUUAAUCCAUUACUGUGAUAUGUUCAUUCUUUUCCUGUUGUUUCACCUGUGUCUCCAUGUUACCUUCUAGAUUCUCCUUGUCAACUACUUCUUGGAUGGAAUAUCUUAAUUUGGUGUGCAUAGAGAUAGAAGAACGUCCAGCCUCUAAAUAUACAGUUUAAGCAAGUAGCGACCAAUAAAAAGCUUAAAAUUUUGAUGUGUGUUGAAACCAUUCUUCAGAUUUGAGCAAUUGUGGAUGAUAAACUAAGAGGAUGACUUGUUUUAUUGCAUCAGUAGAAUACUACUUAGUCUAAGUGGAAAAAUCAACCUUGUUUUGUUGCAUCAGUAGAAAACUACUUAGUAAAGUUGACUAGUCCUUUCAAUCGAGCAGAAUAUGCAUAUAGAUAGAAGAAAAGCUAUUGACCGUUGGCUACAACACCACUUGACUGGAGUUGUUUCACUGGAUUUGUUGAUGCAAUUGUAUUGACGCACAGUGAAUUCCUGAAUCUAUCAUGUUAAGAGCCAUUUAUGUAUUGGCAAUGUGAUAUUUAAAGCUUUGUUCAGUGGUAUUUAUGGUCUUUUCUGGGGACGUAUGCUCCUAUUUGGUAGAAAAGGACAGUGCAAAUAUUUUUCAGGGUUUUUCCAUAUGUAUUAUUGGUAAGAGAGAACCUUAACAGAUAUCUAUUGCUCUCUCUAUUUUAGAAUGGAUUCCCAAGUCUUGAGGAACUGAAAUAAUAUGUUUUGACUUUAAGAGACUGAUUCAUUCCCAGGAGUAUUAUAGGUAAGAAAGUUCAUUAAUUUUACCGUGGGACUGAGGGGAAUUCUUUUGAAAUAUAUCUUAUAUAUACUGCAUUAUUUCUUCUCCAGACAACUAUUGUUUUAAUUUUUUGACAGUCUAAACUAGAGAAUCAUCACAAUGCUGGGAAAACACCAGAUGAUACAUUCACGGUAGUGUUUGGAAAGGAGAAACCUGGUCGAGUUAGAGGUUAUGGAAGAUCAGUGACAACAACAUCUCUAAAAAAAGAUGAGGAAAUGAACGAGCAUAAACAAAAGCAUGCUAAUGAAGUCAUUUCUAUGAAGAAGAAAUUAUAAGUAAAAUGAGAGAAAUGCGACAAGUUUUUUAGUCAAUCGGUCCAAAACAAUCCUGGAUUGAAUUUUCAUGAUAUACUAGGGAGUGACGGAUGUAACAUUUCUUCACCUGAUGCGAGUAAUGCACAAGCUGUAAGAGAAAAAAUUCUUUCAAAUUCUUUCGGCUCAGCUCAUGCUUCGGUUCAUGGAAAGGUACUUUAUCUUAGAAAUUCACAAGAAAUUUAAAUCCUAAACUUUUAACUUUAUUGAAUGAAUGAAAGAAACUUUGGAUUCGCAUACUUCGUCAUAUCAAGAUUGAAAUUUUUUUUGUAUAUUUGUGAGCAUAAUUUAACUUCGUUUGUUUCAGUUUGAAUGUAGGAUCAAUACGGGGGAUCAAAUUUGAAUGGUGGGCCCACAACUCAACUUGAUCGAGAUUGAAGUGAAUGAUGAAGAAUUUUUGAAAUAUUUUGAUAUAAGUUUAUAUACAUUUGGUUUUGUGUGGACCUUGAUACAAUUUUUACUAUGUUGUUUUCUUAUUAGUGUGUAAAAGACAUGUUUUUUUUAAAUCAAAUCUAUGCACUUCAAUUAUUCAUUAGGUUAUUAGUGCAUGCGUGAGAUUAUGUAUAAAUAUGUAUGUUUAUGUAAUAUGCUUAGUGAUACAUAAAUUUCGAUCAAAAUAAUUAUUUUUUAAUUAGAAAUUACGUACGAGCAUUUUAUAUGCCUAAUGCCAUUUCAGUAAAAUGUGGUCUGAAAUGUCAAAUUUUAGGCAAUAUUGCUACACUUCAAAAGUGUAGCUAAAACAUGCUUACACUUUAUAAGUGUUGUCAUAGAGGAUAUAUAAAAGGCUAUGUUUUUGAAGUGUGGCUAGUAAUAAAGAAAAGACCACAUUUUUUAAGUGUUGUUAUAGAGGUGCUACAAAAGGCUAUGCUUGUGAAGCAUGCCCAAUAGUAAAACAAAGACAAGAUUUGUAAGUGUUAUUAUAGAAGUGCUACAAAAGGCUAUGCUUGUGAAGCGUGCCCAAUAGCAAAACAAUGGCAACACUUGUAAGUGUAGCUUUAUCAAAUAAAAGUUUUGCCAAUGACAAGCUACAAAGCGUGUCCUUUGUACCUUAAUGGCCAUGCUCUUUAAAUGUAGCUGAUAUGGCAACACUACGAUGAAAGCAUACACAAAGAUUAAGAUUGAACAUUCAGCAAUAUAUUUUCAAAGAAAUCUUUCUGGGAAAAUUAACACUUGAAUUCAUAAAAAGAAAUCAUUAUAAUUAACUUUAACAAACAUGAAAGAAAUAGAAAAAGAUGAUGGCAGAGAUAUAUGAUUAUGAUGAUGAAAAAGAGUUGCCAAAAAAAUAAAAGCAAUAGAAAGAGAUGAUGGAAUCUGAUACCAUGAUAAUGAAAUGAACCUUGGACCUAACUCAACGUCAAAAGCUAGCUCAUGAGGUGAGGAUUGCCCAAGAUCAUAUUAAGAGACUACAGACUCUUUAAUCCACUGAUGUGGGACUCUCCUCUCCCUCUCCUUGCACGCCAAGACUGGACAUCUGAAGCGUAGGCAAUAUAAGAUGGGGGACUCAACAAUGAAAAUAAUGAAUUGGAUAGGCCUGACUCUGAUACCAUGCUGAAGUGUGUGACCAUCUCAUCUAAAAGUUUAACUAUUAGAGAGAGUACACUUUUACUAUUUAAUUAUAUUCUCAACAGUUACUUAAUAUGCUAUUUUGGCGUUAAACAAAUGAACUUUACGUGGCAUUGCAAACUGAAGAAAGACACAAAAUUUUUGUUUCAAACAGUUCAAGAAAGAAUCUUUUGUCCUUUUGAUACAAAGAAAUAGAGUCACAUUUGUUGCCUUGUUUUCUCCAUAUAGUUGAACUAAGAGCACUUUGAGUGGAGGUUUUUUCUAUUAUUAAGGAUGUCCAAUUUUUGAAAAGUACUACUCCUUUCGUUUAAAAAAGAAUGGUAGACAAAACAACAUAUUAAUUUUAUACAUUAUAUUAACUCCUAAGUAGCUACCAAACCUGGAAUUACUUAUGCAGGAUUCCUACAUAACUCGUUGCUAAGCCAGCAACUAAAUGACCCCUUAAUACCUUCUUUCUUUGUUCAUUGAGAAGACAGAGACCAAUGCAAGCAUAAUUCAAUUUAUCUGUAUAAUAUGUUCAAAACCAAGGUACAAAAUAAAUACUUUACAUAAAUACAAAACUUCCUAAAUGAGUUUACCCAAUUGAUAUAAAUGGUUUGAUUUACUCUGCUCCUGAUCCAUCAAUUGAUCACUACCGUAUUUUUCAUGAGAUCUGGCAGGUAGUUUUUUUUUAUAACCAGAUUUUUUCUUUAACAAAAAAAAAUGUACCACUAAUGUCUCUGCAACAACAAAAUCUUUUGAAGCAUAAAGUUGAGAGACUCUCUCCUCGACUAUAGCUUUUGGUGAAUCUCUGGCUGAAAUUGAUGAAAAUUAUUCACCAUCAUUUCGACCUAUUUUGUCAUUUUUCUCAUUUUUAGUUCUCUUUAUAAAAGUCAUUAUUGGAUAUUUCCCUAGCAAUUUAAUGGUUAAUCUAAGAAUGGAGCAACUUUUUCAGGUGCAGCUUGGCGGUGGAAGCUCACCAGUGUUGGCAUUUGCAGGCAAAUUGGAAAAUCCAAUUAAGGAUGGACCAACUUCCUUCAAAAUAAACAAGAUUCAAGAUGGAUCAUUUUGACUGAUCCUUUUUCCCUAUCUAUGUGCGACGAACAUGUUGAUAAUAGUAGGUAUCAUAAUCUAGGUCCAACUGCUAGGUUAGAUAGAACCUCAAGAAUCUUUUAUCAAUUAUCCUUUCUUAAGAACCCUAAAAAAUAAAUAACACUCAAGUAGAAAAAAGCAAACUCAGACACAACAAAUGCUGAUUGUAUGAGAAGUUAUACAAAGUGGGGUUUGUAUAAAUACUCAAAUUUCGGACCAAAAUUGGGAAAAAAUUGAUUGACAUGAAUAAUACUUCAAAUUGUAAUCUCCACUUGGAUUCACUCACAUUUACUGCGUUUUUCUCAAAUUUUGGGUUUAAAAUCCUUAAGUUUUUUCAAGGUGUUUGUGCUUUUCUCAGGUAUUGUUACUUGAACAAUUAUGUUAUUUAGGACUUGAACUAAUGAACUCUACGUGGCAUAAUAAACUGAAGAAUGACACAAAAGUUUUGUUUCAAAUAGUUUAAGAAAGAAUCUUUUGUCUUUUUGAAACAAAGAUAUAGAGCCACAUUUCUUUGACUGAUUUCUCCACUCAUUGUGCUCUUAGUUCAGCUGUAGGGACAAAACACUUCAACAGAUGUGACUCUAUUUCUUUGUUUGAAAAAGUCAAAAGAUUCUUUCUUGAACUGUUUGAAACAAAACUUUUGUGUCUUUCUUUAGUUUGUUAUGCCACGUAGGGUUCAUUAGUUCAAUGCCAAAACAACGUAACUGUUCAAGUAGCAUUACCUGAGAAGAGCACAAACAGCCUAAAAAACUAAAGGAUUUUAAACCCAACAUUUAAGAAAAAUGCAAUAAAUGUGAGUGAAUCCAAGUGGAGAUUACAAUUUGAAGUGUUUAUUCAUGUCAGUCAAUUUUUUCCCAAUUUUAGUCGUAAAUUUGAGUAUAUACACAAACCCCACUUUGUAUAACCUCUCAUACAAUCUAGAUUUAUUGUGUUUGAGUUUACUUUUUUCUACUCGAGUGUUAUAUAUUUUUGGGGGUUCUUGAGAAAAAGGAAUUGAUAAGAGAUUCUUGAGUUACUAUCUAACCUAGUAGCUGGACUUAGAUUGUGAUAUCUAUUAUUAUCAACAUGUUCCUUGCAUAUAGCUAGGGAAGAAUGAUCUUUCAAAAUGAUCCAUCUUGAAUCUUGUUUAUUUUGAAGAAAGUUGGUCCAUCCUUACAUGGAUCUUCCAACUUUCCUGGAAAUGCCGACUCUGGUAAGCUUUCAUUGCAUGUUGCACCUGAAAAAAUUGCUUUAUUCUUAGAUCAAUCACUUAAAUUGAUAGGGGAGGAUCUAAUAAUGACUUCUAUAAAGAGAUGUAAAAAGGAGAAAGAUGACAAAAUAGGUCAAAAGGAUGGUGUAGAAUUUUCAUCAAUUUCAGCAAGAGAUUCACCAAGUGCAAUAGCCGAGAAAAGAGUCUCUUAACUUUCAUUGGAUGCUUCAGAAGACUUUGCUGCUAUGGAGGCAUUAGUGGUGCAUUUUAUUAUUUUUUAGUUAUCGAAAAAACCUUACCUUCCAGAUCCCGUGAAAAAGAUGAGAUAUAUGAUACUGGACUCCCAUCUCAAUCAGUAGGAAAGGGCCCAAAAUCUCUCACCUUUUCAUUGCUGAUGAUCUAACUCUGUGUGCUAUUACUAAUGAAAGAAACUAUGAAACCAUCCAAGCCACACUUAGCAGCUUCACCUUCCACCCUGGACAAAAAAUUAACACUCUCAAAUGUAAAUUAAUCUUCUCUAGAAACUGUGCUAAGGAGACCAAAGAUAGUUUGUCUCAUAUCUUAGGCAUCCAAUCCAAAGACAAGUUUGGCAAAUAUCUUGGUUUUCCCAUCUUCCACAAAAAACCUUGCAAUAGAGAUUUCCAAUUCAUCCUAGACAAUCUCAUCACUAAGUUGGCUAGAUGGAAAACUAAAUUCCUCAAUAUGGCUGGCAGAAUCACCCUUACCAAGUCCUCCCUCGCUAGUAUUCCCGCUCAUGUCAUGUAAUUCAUCUUGAUCCCCUCUAAAAUCCACUAAUUGACUGACAGAAACGAAAAGAACUCUCUCUAGGGCACCACCCCUGAUAAUAAUAAAAUGCAUCUAAUCAAUUGGGAAACCUUGACUAAUGCUAAAGAUAAUAGGGACCUGGUCCUCCAGAAAGCUUCCGUUAGGAACACCACUAUGUUAUCCAGUCUAGCCUGGAGACUUUACAAGCAUCCCAAUAGUCUCUGGGCAAAAAUUCUUUAAAAUAAAUUAGCCCCCAUGGAAUAUCCCUCAAAGCCAACAACUUUAGAACUUGGAAAAGUGUCUCUGUGGGUUGGGAAAUUUGUAAAACUGCCUCCUCUUGGAACAUAAAGGAUCUUCUGGUUGAAAUCCCUGAUGAUCUCAUCCAAAAUUUCACCACCUCUAUUUUCCCCAAUCCCAGAGCCCAUACUAAUGAGGUCAUUUGGAAUCUCACUGGUAAUUGUCUUUUUUUCCAGCAGAAGUGCCUAUAAUCAUAUAGAAAAAACCACUGAGAUCAAUUACUCCUCUAAUUUCAACUAGAUAUGGAAGGAUAAAUCCUCUAAAAUGUCAAAACCUUUCUUUGGAUAAGCCAGUAUGAUAGGUUCCCCAAUAACCUCAACCUCUCCAAGAGAGGAGUGAGACAAAAUAUUAGUUGUAAUAUCUACAAUCAUCAUCAGGAAGACAAAUCCCAUAUUUUCUUUAAGUGUCCGAUCCUCACAAAUUUUGGAGUGCAAACUAUCCACAAGAUGACCCAGUCCAAACAACCUCCUAUUACCAGUCUCCUACCCUCUUACUGGCACACUAUCCGGAUAUCUGUUCAACACUCCUAAUUCAACAAACUAAUCCACUGUCACGACAUCAUUCCUUUCAGCUUCUAGACAAUCUGGAACACCAGGAACUGUAAUACCUUCAAUAACAAAAGGGACCAUCCUAAUUUUAAUCAUACUUACUCCCAAACUAUUGAGUAUAAACAUCUUACACAAAAGAAUACCCCAAUCAAGCAAAACCAAAUCAUCAACGUUAAGUUAAAUCCUCCCACCAGCCACACCUUCAAGCUCAAUACUGAUAAUUCUUGCCUUAGAAACCUUGGCAAGGGUUGAAUAGAAGGGGUAGUCAGAUCCAUUAAUAGAGGCUGAGUAUUAGGUUUUAAAAAAAACUUUCACCGGACUACCAACAACAUGAUGGAACUUAUGGCUCUCAUUGAAAGAUUAAAACUGGUAGAGCAAAAUAAUCUUCUCCCCAUUGAAAUUAACAUUGAUUCCUUGCAAGUUAUAUCUAUGUUAACUAAUGGGCACCUCUACUAUGAUACUUUGAUUUCAGAAUGUAGGUCAAAAUUAAAAAAGGUAAGGAAUCCGAAAGUCAAGCACUAUUAUAAAGAACAAAAUGGAGUGGCGGAUGCUCUAGCAAAGACGGAGCAAGGGCAAGCGGGUUUCAGGAGACUACUCUUUUUGAAGUUCCAUCGAUAUGUGCAAAAGAUGCAGUUUGAACAGAUAUGUCAGAAACUUUUUGAGAGAACAAUUAGCUCUUGUACUGAUUAUUUUAACUGGACAGGCCAGAACUAUUCCUUUUUCAACCCUGACUAAUCGUCAAAAAUUGAAACUUAAACUGCGUUCUCUUUUAUAUUAAUGCAUGUCCUUUCUACCAAAAAAAAAUAAUAUUAUUUCGCAUAUUGAAUCAUUGAAAAAGAAGAGAUAUUUAUAUCAAUUUAAAUUGAUGGACCUUGAACAUUCACAAACAAAGAUAAGUUGAAAAUGUUAUAUCAUUUCUGCAUAUCGAAAGAAUGUUAUCAAAUCAAGAAUAAUUUUUUUAAAUGAAAAAUUAAAAAAAGCAGUAAAUAAAUUCACGAAUAAAGCUAAUGAUAGAGAAGUAUAUGUAAGAAAGGCUAAGUGAUAGAAUUUCAUUUAUAUUCAAAUUUCAUUUAAAUACAAAUUCAAAUAUCACAUAUGUUUAUUUAAAUAAGAUUAAUUUAUUAUUCUUCCUUAUCCUUAUUCUUACAUUUUUCAAAUACAAUAUAUAUUUAAAAUUAAUAUAGAUUUGAGUUGAGAUAAAUAUUGAAAUCAAUGAGACAAUACUAAUACUAAUACUAAUACUAAUAAAAAUAAUAACAUUUUAACUAUUUUUACUUUACCAAUAUUAGAUUGCACUACUAUUACUAUUACUAUUAUUAUUUGUUCAUUGUUAUUUGAGAUAAAUAUGAAGAUAAAUCGUGUAGCAAAAAAAAUUGUGUUCCAUGAUUACUAAUUAAGUACAUCUAAAUUAUAAGUUUAUCUUUGAAAGUAUGUUUUAUCUCCAAUUUAAAUUUAAAAAAAUAUGAUAGAAUAACCAAUAUCUUAGAUGAGCGGUUAAAACUGUCAAUAUAGGCAAGGCUCGUUGAGAUGGCCCAGCCCAGCCUGUAAUUUGAUAGGACAGGGCUACAAUUUUUAUAGCCCAUUUAAGAAUAGGGAUUUUUAGCCCUUCAUGAAUAAAUCUAUUGACCCGUCGGCUUGAGCAAUAUGGGUUUGCGUAACCCGUGGUUCAAAUAAAAAUAAUUAAAAAAAAAAAAUAAUACUAAGAAUAAAAAAAGGAGUCCAAACUCAAAGUCUAUAUGAACCAUCAUAUAUAUAAAUUUAAAUAUUAAUUAUUUUUAUAAAAUAUAUAAAUAAUUAACAUAUAAAAUAUAAUUUUUUUAAGAAAUCAAACAUGUUUGAUGAAAAUGACGUGGCGAUGUUGAAUACUCCAUAAAUGCCAUGAGAGUUUUCUUCAAAGCGUUUAUUUUACUUUUAAUGGACAAAACAUUUACAUUUCUUUUUGUUUUAUUGUGUUCAAUUAAAACAAAAUUAGGUUAAUAUUGUUAUUUAGCGAGUUAUAUUAUUACUCAUUAAUCAUUUUAGUUAUUUUUCAAUAUCUCUAUAUGAUUUUAAUUUGGUGUCAAAAGUUAUUCAAUUGCACAGAUUAGUAGGAUCUUUUUGUAAAUUUGAGACUUGAUUAAUGAGUAGUAACUUCAAGCACUAUUAUAUAGUAACUAUUUAUGAAAUUUAUAUUUUAAAAUAUAAAUUAAGACUAUAAAAUAAUAUAUUUUAAAAAAUAGGCUAGCCCGUGGAGGCCCAAAACCCAUAGUGUGAUGGGUUGGGCUUGCUAUUUUCUAGUCUGUCAUGUUGAUGGGUCAGGUUGGCCGAGCCCGUCAAACUCUAAAUCCCGUGUGAACUAGCUUGGAUGAGCUGGUCCGAUCCAUAUUAACAACUCUAGGAGCAGUUAUAUAAAGAUAAGAAUCCAAUUAAAACUGUUUAGUAUUAUAACUAUCUACUUCUAAUAUGUAAUUUUAUAUUUUUUUAAUAUUAUUUUAAAUUUAAAGUCAACAAUUUAUGUGUAAUGCCCCCAGAUCCUAUCCCGAGACGUCACACGGUGCUUAAGGCCACACACGGCCUCAAGCUAACCCUCUAAACCUGUCAUCACUUCUAGAACUCACUUUGACAAUAGUCAUGCUAAUAUAAGAGAGAAUAACAUAUCAUAAACAAACUAGAAUAAGGUAUGAAACUAGCAUGUACAAUCCAAAAUACUGAAAUUUUGUACGACCAACCCUUUAGUCUGACAAAGCCUCUAUACAUCAAAAGCAAGGCGACAUUGGGACAAACCCCCCAACUGACUCAAAUAGUACUGAAAGCCAAAACAACAAAAUGGUAUCACAAAAUUAUAAACACAGUCCUCGAACCAUGAGGACUCACCACUGAGCAGACGAAAAGAGGCACCCGAAUAUCGCUAACGCGGCUGAGUACCUGAACCUACAUUACGAGAAAAUAUAGCACUUAGGAAAAUAUAUGGUUCAGCACUUUUGAAAGUACUGAGUAUGUGGGGGUGCAUGCAACAAUGUAAAUAUCGUCAUCAAUUUCAUGAAAAUAUGCAUAUGUACAAUGAUGGCACACUUGGCUUGAGUUAGAUUAAAACAUACUUUUCAUGAUCUCAUCGUAAAUAAAUCAUCAGAUAAAAACCUCAUAAAUCAUCAUAAACAACUCAACUCUACAACUCAAGACUCGGAGUGACUCUGUAAUUCAAGAAACUCGACUCUUAUGCACAUGGGAGGUUCUUAUAACCGACAUAAACCAUGUGAGCUACAUGGAGUCCAACGUUUUUCCCUCCUAAGGAGAGAACCCCACAUUGGAGGGAGCUUCGUACUCUUGCCAGGGAGUACAACUUAAACUUAGUGAUCACAGUAUCAUACUCGGCCUCUGGCCCACAAUUAUCAAUAUCAAUCCUACGGUGGCACGUAUUUUUGGGGGAACUACCACAUUUCUUGCUCGGUACUAAAUACUACUCCCAGAAACAUCACAAGGGUCUAUCAUGAAGACUAAAUCAAAUAUUUUUCUCAUUUAUAAAAUCAUAAUCAAUUUGUGGAUUCCUAACUCGACUCAAAUAAAAUCAAUCGUUCUCAAUAUUAAAAUGCAGCGAUUCAUUAAGUCAUGGCAACAUCAAUAACUUUGAGGAAAUAUCUAGACUCAUUGUAACAACUCAAUUCUCUUGAAUCAAUAGACUCAAUAAUCCAAUUUGUCAUAAGGAAGCUUAAAGCUUGACACAUAUCUUGAAAGCACUUAAAAUACCAACUCAUGGUAGAAACUUGAAAUUCACAAUAUUAAAUAUCGUCAUAACUUGGAAAUUGUAAAAUAAUCAUGUAUAACAAUGCUUGAACGAUUUAUAUUCUCAUAAUCUCAUUAUGAAGUAAUUUGGGUAUAAACCCACUUGGAAAUUCAUAUAAAUCCAUAAUAAAAAUCAAAUCUUUGAGCACAAGAACGAAAGAAUUGCUCUUGUUCAAAACCCCACAUCCCUUAAUCUUUGAAAUUGGUUGAAGUCUAGUGCUUGAGACUUUACUCACACUUGUAAUAAAAAAAUUCUUGAAGCCCACCCACUGAGGAAAUUGAUUCUUGAAGGAAUCUUGAAGAUUUAUGGAUGAUUUUUGAAAGAUUAAUUUCCAUAAAUAAAACCCUAGAUAGAUUUCUUAAGAGAACUGGAAGAGAGAAAUGAAGAAAUUAGGUUUUGGAUGAGGAUUCUCAUAUAUAUAGAGGCCUCCAAAAAUGGGAAAUGACUAAAAUACCCUUGCAAAAAUCGUCCAUCAAUUGCUGAAAAAAUUAGCUGACGACAUCCAUCAACUUAACUUUUUCCAUAUCCUUGAAAACAGCAUCCGGCCCAAUCACAGAUGCUUCUCCUACUUCAAACCAACCUAUGGGCGAUCUACAUCCUCUCCCAUACAAAGCUUCGGAUGGGGCAAUCUGAGUACUAGCAUGGAAACUAUUAUUAUACGCAAAUUCGAUCAAUGGCAAGUGCUCAUCCCAACUACCUUUGAAAUCGAGCGUACAUGCCCUCAACAUGUCCUCCAGACCGAGUGGUAAGGCCAUGAUCCGCAGGGGAACAGAUCACUCAUUCUUCCAUUGGGGACAGGUGCACGAACGACAUACAUCUUGGUUGGUUCCACCACCACUAGAGAUUGGACAUAUAUAUAAUCUUUCUUCUAAAAAAGGGAUUCUUAUAUAUAUAUUUUGAAAAUAGCUGCAAGACCAAAACCGAAAGCCCUUCGUUUAUUGUUGUUCCUCCCAGAUACAUGGCUUACAUACCCGGCUCAACAUUCUUGGAAAACAAUCGAAUCGAGGGUUCGGAGGAGAAUUGGCCAUUCAAUCUUGUGAACUGAAUCUAGUUGAAAUUGGAAAAAGAGAUACGAACGGAGAGGAAUAACCAAUCGAUGAAAGAACAUGAAACCAUUCUGUUUCAAUAGAGGUACGAGAAACGGUUGGGGGCAAUGAAGUAGGUGAAGUGGUUGGAUUUUGCGAGCUGUUCCAACCACUGCUGGAUGUGAUUCCAAGAGCCGAACGAGAAUGAAUACCACACAGAAGAGUCAAGACCAGGCUACCUAAUGGAAUGUUUAACCGAUCCAUUCCGGAUCGACCGAAUUGGUACGGAAGUUGUAACAUGGGAAAACCACGGAAAACACGACUUAUUUGAAUAACCCGGUGACCUACCAAUUGUAGAAGUAGGAUUUUUGGCAAGCAAUAAGCACUUAAAUAAUACAAUUCAAGUGUACCAUCUUCUUUCUCAUUUCGAGGAAAAGGUGCGGAAGGAAAAGGAAACAACGGAGGGAUCCGAAUCGGACCUAAAUGGGACUUACUAUAACUAGUUAUUUCGGUUUUCUAUUAGCGGCUUUAACUAUAACCUCAGCUCUAUUUAUUGGUCUGAUAUUCCUCUCAAUCGGUCUGCGGAUGAAAAGAAGAACUUAGAUGAACUAGGGUACCGAGACCCUUCUGAAAAGCCCUCCAAAACUAGGAAGUAUACUGAGUAUCCCUAUUAGAGAUGAUAGCCAAAGGAACUCCAUGAAAUCUAACUAACUCAUGGAUAUACAAUCUAGCAUAAUCCUCAGCUGUAUAAAACGAAUGCACUGGCAAGAAAUGAGCUGAUUUAGUCAACCGCUCUACGACAAUCCAAAUCGAAUCAUGAUGACGACGAGAAGGAGGCAAACCAAUUAUGAAAAUUCACUUCUUCCCACUUCUAAGUAGGAAUACCAAACUCUUGCAUUACACCACCAACCCUCUCCUUCUCUCCCUUAACUUGUUGACAAGUAGAACGCUUUUCCACAAAUCCUGCUAUGUCUUUCUUCAUACCGUUCCACUAAUAGAUUUCCCGCAAAUUACGGUACAUCUUGGUAGCACCGGGAUGAAUAUAAUAUCGUGCACCAUGUGCUUCAGCCAUAAUUAUCUGCCUCAAAUCAUCAACAUUCGGAACACACAGUCUACCUUGCAAUCUCAACACACUAUCUCCCCCUUGGGAGAAAACCUCUACCUUCUUGUCCUUAACUGACUCCUUCAGUCUGACCAAACUAGGAUCCCUGUCCUGCUUCUCCUUUACCUCUGAGACCAAAGAGGACUCGGAACUACUCUGAACUAAUAUAAUCCCCUCAGUGUAAUCAAGCAAUCUAACACCCAACCUAGCCAAAUGAUGCAUAUAACGAGCCAAUUCUUUCUUAUCAUUCUCUACAUGAGCUACACUACCCAUAGAAAACCUGCUAAUAGCAUCUGCCACAAUAUUGGCCUUGCCUGGGUGAUACAUCACACUCAUAUCGUAGUCUUUUAGAAAAUUUGACCAUAUUCUUUGUCUAAGGUUCAGCUCCCUCUGAGUAAACACAUACUGCAAGCUUUUUUGAUUAGUAAAUACAUCAACAUAAACACCAUACAAAUAAUGUCUCCAGAUUUUCAAAGCAAAAACUACAGCUGUUAAUUCAAGAUCAUAGGUUGGGUAAUUCUUCUUAUGAGGCAUCAACUGUCUAGAGGCAUAAGCUAUAACUUUACACCUCUGCAUUAACAUAUAACCCAGACCAACUCUAGAAGCAUCGCAGUACACCACAAACCUAUCAGUACCAUUGGGUAAAGCUAACACUGGGGCUUAAGUGAGUCGAGUCUUCAACACUUGAAAACUCUUCUCAUAGGCAUCUGUCCACUGGAACUUAACUUUUCUUUGGGUCAACUAGGUCAUGGGGGAUGCGAUAGAAGAUAAUCCCUCAACAAAAUGACGGUAGUAACCAGCUAGACCUAAGAAAUUCCUAAUAUUUGAUGGGGAGGUAAGUCGAGGCCAUUUUUUCAUAUUUUACGUCUUUUGAGGAUAAACUCUAAUUACUUUGAAAGAAAUAAUAUGACUCAGAAAACCAACUGAACUUAACAAAAAUUCACACUUGCUAAAUUUAGUGAAUUAUCAAUGAGCUCUAAGGGUUUCCAACACGAUUCAAAGAUGAUCUGCAUGGUAAUCCUCACUUCGAUAAUAUACAAGAAUAUCAUCUAUGAACACAAUAACAAACAAAUCCAGAUACCGCUUAAAUACUCUGUUCAUAAGAUCCAUGAAAGCUGCUGGAGCAUUGGUUAACCCAAAGGACAUAACAAGAAACUCAAAAUGACCAUAGCGGGUUUGGAAAGCUAUCUUUGGAAUAUCACACUCUCUCACUUUAAGCUGAUGAUAGCCGGAUCUAAGGUCUAUCUUUGAGAAAUAACUUGCACCCUGCAGCUGAUCAAAUAAAUCAUCGAUUCUAGGAAGAGGGUACUUGUUCUUAAUAGUCACCUUGUUGAGUUGAUGGUUGUCAAUGCACAUACGCAAUGUACGAUCUUUCUUCCACAGAAAUAGAACAGGUGCUCCCUAUGGGGAAACACUGGCUCUGAUAAAGCCUUUUUCUAAGAGAUCUUUGAAUUGCUCCAUCAACUCUUUAAGUUCUACGGGAGCCAUAUGGUAUGAAGGGAUGGAAAUAGCUGAGUGCUAGGAAGGAGAUUAAUCCCAAAUUCUAUUUCUCUAUCAGGUGGAACCCUUGGAAAGUCUUUCGAGAAAACAUUGGGAAACUCUUUAACAAUGCUAACUGAUUGAAUAGUCGGAGUCUUGGACUUGAGGUCUUUAACUCAAACUAGAUGAUAGAUGCAACCCUUGGAAAUCAACUUCCUAGCUUCGAGGUAGAAUAUGAAAUGGCUCUUUGGAGUUACAGAACUCCUGAACCACUCAAACACGAGUUCAUUAGGAAACAGAAACUUGACCACUUGGGUACGACAAUCUAUAUACGCAUAGCACGAGUGAAGCCAAUCUAUACCAAGAAUGACGUUAAAUUAACCAUAUCUAGCCAAUCAAAUCAGCACAUAUGACCCAAUAAAGGAAAGUAAUAGGACACUUCUUAUACACUUGCUUAGCUAUAACAAACCCUCUUACUGGGGUAGAAACCAGAAGAGGCUCAAGAAUCCAUUCAGGGUCCAUCACAAAAUUUAUAGCAACUAGAGGUGUCACAUAAGAGAAACUCAAACCAGGGUCCAUCAAUACAUACACAUCAAAGUGAAUGACACAGAGCAUACCAGUGACAACAUCUGGAGAAUCCUCCUACUCCUGGCGAGGCAGAAUAGAAUAGAAGCAAUUCUGGCAUAAACCACCAACAGUACUAGAAGAGGCACCUUGAUGAGGAACUGGGCGGACUACUGGAGUAGGCGUAUUAGUAGCUUGACUCUGGGGAUGAGCAUCUCGACUCCCCUAUCUAGCAUACGGAUAAUCUCUAAGUCGGUGGCCCAACUUGACACAACCAAAGCAAUCUCUCUGGUCAACAAAACACUCAUCAAAAUGAUCUCUACCAUACUUGGCAUAUGAAGGAGGACGAGGUCUUUUACUUACACUUUCCUAAGACCUGGAUGGGAUAUGCUUGUUCCCAUGCUCCUGCCUGCUUCUAGGUACGGAAGCACUAACUGAGGAAGGAACGGGCAUAAACGGAUGUCUCUGGAAUUGAGGGUGGUCCCCGCCAUAGAAUCUGGACUGAACGAAUCCUCGCUGCUCUAAUCUAGCUCUUUUAUUCCCUCUUACUCUCUCAUUCUCUUUCACCUAAUCAACUUUAAUCUAUUGGACAUGUAUCAUCAACCAAGAAAGGUCCAUCUCCUUAUUAAGCAUAGUAGAUCUACCCUCUUUCACAACUUAACUCGACACACCGAUCACGAACUUACUCAUGAUGGUCCUGGAGUCAGCCAUCAUACUAGGUGCAUAUUUGGACAACUAAUUGAAUCUAAGGCAAUAAUCCUUAACAGUCAUGGAGUCUUGUCUCAAAUUCAUGAAUUACUCUGUCUUUGCUUCCCUUAUCUCAAGAGGAAAGAAUCUAUCCAAGAAUGCAUCUAGAAUAACUGCCAAGUCAUAGGAGAAGCAUCCUUCCCUCUACUUUCCCACCACACUUUGACAAUAGUCAAGAUAAUAUAAGAGAGAAUGACAUAUCAUAAACAUACUGGAAUAAGAUACGAAACUAGCCUGAACAAUCCAAAAUACUAAAAUUCUGUACAUACCAACCUUUUAGCCUGACAAAGCCUCUAUACAUCAAAAUCAAGGAGAUAUUGGGACAAACCCCCAACUGACUCAAACAGUACUGAAAGCCAUAAAAACAAAAUGGUAUCACAAAAUUAUAAACACGAGCCUCGAAACAUGAGGACUCACCACUGAGCAGACAAAAAGAGGCACCCAAAUAUCGCUAACGCGACUGAGUACCUGAACCUACAUUAAGAGAAAAUGUAGCCCAUAGAAAAAUAUGUGGGUCAGCACUUUGGAAAGUACUGAGUAUAUACAGGUGCAUGCAACAAUGUAAAUAUCUUCAUCAAUGUCAUGAAAAUAUGCAUAUGUACAAUGAUGGAUCACUUGGCUUGAGUAAGAUUGAAACAUAAUUUUCAUGAUCUCAUCUUAAAUAAAUCAUAUGAUAAAAACCUCAUAUAUCAUCAUAAACAACUCCACUCUUCAACUCAAGACUCAGAUUGACCUGUAAUUCAAGAAACUAGACUCUUAUGGACAUAGGAGGUUCUUAUAACCAACAUAAACUAUGUGAGCUACAUGGAGUCCAAUGUUUUUCCCUCCUAAGGAGAGAACCCCACAUUGGCGGGAGCAUCGUACUCUUGUCAGGGAGUACAACCUAAAUUUAGUGGUCACAAACUCAUACUCGGUCUCCGGCCCACAAUUAUCAAUAUCAAUCAUACGGUGUCACGUAGUUUCAGGGGAAAUACCAUAUUUCUCGCUCGGUGCUAAAUACUACUCCCAGACACAAGCUCAGAAUGCAUUAGAAAAUCCACCACAAAUAUCACAAGAGUCUGUUAUGAAGAUCAAAUCAAAUCUCAUUCUCAUUUGUCAAAUCAUAAUCAAUUUGUUGAUUCCUAACUCGACCCAAAUCAAAUCAAUCUUUCUCAAUAUCAAAAUGCAUCAAUUCAUUAAGUGAUGAAAACAUCAAUAACUUUGAGGAAAUAUCAAGACUCAUUGUAACAACUCAAUUCUCAUGAAUCAAUAUACCCAAUAAUCCAAUUUGUCAUAAGGAAGCUAAACGCUUGACACAUAUCUUGGAAGCACUUGAAAUACCAACUCAUGGUAGAAACUUGAAAUUCACAAUAUUAAAUAUCAAGUCAUAACUUGGAAAUAGUAAAAUAAUCAUGUAUAACAAAGCUUGAACGAUUUAUAUUCUCAUAAUCUCAUGAUGAAGUAAUUUGGGUAUAAACCCACUUGCAAAAUCAUAUAAAUCCAUUAUAAAAAUCAAACCUUUGAGCACAAGAACGAAAGAAUUGCUCUUGUUCAAAACCCCACAUACCUUAAUCUUUGAAAUUGGUUGAACUCUAGUGCUUGAAACUUUACUCACACUUGUAAUAAAAAAAUUCUUCAACCCCACUCUAUGACGAACUUGAUUCUUGAAGGAAUCUUAAAGAUUUAUGGAGGAUUUUUGGAAGAUUAAUUUCCUUAAAUAAUUCCCGAGAUAUAUUUCUUAAGAGAAUUGGAAGAAAGAUAUGAAGAAAUUAGAUUUUGAAUAAGGAUUCUCAUAUAUAUAGAGGCCUCCAAAAAUGGGAAAUGACUAAAAUUUCCUUGCAAAAAUCAUCCAUCAAUUGCUGAAAAAAAUAGCUGACGACAUCCGUGAUAAGCUGUCAGGCCCGUGAUAGGCCGUCACGAAUUGUCGUCACAAAAAGGGUGGAUUUUGUGACUUUCUACCUUAAGGUGACGACAUUUUGUGACGGGCAGUCAGUUUUGUGACAAGUCGUCUCAAAAGAUCGUCACGGAUUUUCUAGGCUGACAUGUUGGAGUAAAAUAAGUAUAACUCUUUGCUCCGAUAUUGGAUUUUGAUGAAAUGGGUAUCGUUGGAAAGCUAAUUCAAUUAUAUAUCUUUUUGUAGGUCAUGAGAUCAAUAAUUCCUAUUACAACUCGAGCUAUGCUCAUUUGAAGUUUACUAUGCCAAAAUCCUUCUCAAGAGUUCAAUCGGUAAAGAGUUUUUGUUUUGCCCAAGCGUUAGGACAUCUUUAAAACCUUAAUACACAUCACCCUUGACUAGAAAACAACCAAAACACUAUAAUUUAUUUCUCAUGGACUUGAUUCAUGGCGGCACUAUUAGUUAGAAUCUCGGGGUAUUACAAUAUUACUUUUAAUUAUCUUUGCUAUAUACCUUUCUGUAAAUAUAAUGCAAAUUUAUCUUAUAUUGUUAUAAUUGAAUUAAAAAAAUAUUUGAGAUGAGCCACAUAUUUUUUAAAGUAAAUUAUGUAUUAUUAUUGUUAUUAUUAUUAUUAUUAUUAUUAUCAUUAUUUUUAUUAUUAUUAGUAGUAGUAGUAGAUAUGUAUGUUUUACUACUACUACUACUAAUAUUAUAAGUUAUAUUUUAAUUAUUAUUAUUAUAUUUUAUUUAAUAUUUAAAUAUAUUCAAAAUAUAUAAAUUUAUGAUAUAAUUAGAGAUGUUUUAGGUCUUUUCAACUAUGAUUUUUUAAUUUUAAACUAAUAAAUUAUUUUUAAAAUUUUCAAAUCCUACUAUUUUCAAAUUCAUAUAUUUCUAUUAACAUAGUGAAUUACUUAUGUAAGACUUAAUUACCUGCAUAACUCACUGCUAAACUAACUAAAAAAAAAUACGCUACUACCUGCAUAAAUAAUAUAUAGAUAAUCCCUAAAUUAAAAAAAUCUGCAUAACUCUAAUUGACGUCCUUUCAUUAUUUACUUUUUGCUUCUUAGGUUUAAGUGGGUAAAUAGAUGAAAAGAGAAAAUAAAAGACUCUCAUAUCUUGUUUCCCCAGAAGCACCUCUUUAGAAGAAGGGUGUUGUUGAAGCAACUCAUUUUCAGAUUCAAGCAGUCUUUUGUUUUGUUCCUCUUCAAAAACAAAAGCAUGAGCCGAGGCAACCAUUUUCUUUUCUCACAGGAAAUGAAGAACAAGAAGAAAACUGCAAUUUAAAACCAGGCUUUAAAUUUCAAAAACAAUAUAAAAAAUCAUGAAAGCAAAAGGGGAAAGCCAAAGUGCAAAAAGAACUCACCAGUAGUAAGAUACAAAGGAUGAGAGUGAGAGAGGAAGGAGGGUUAUAUUAAAAAUGGAAUGAAUACAGAGGUGGCAGAACACAUCUAUCAAAUAUUCUUUAACAACACACUAGCUACAUCACCGACAUUUCAAAAUCGAGGCAACUUUUUAUCUUGUUUAAAAAAAAAUUUCAAAGAGUGUGAGUAGGACUGAGGUUAUCUUAACUGUGUCAAUUGGUUUGCCCUCUUAAAAUCUUCAUUUUCUAUUUCUUUUAAUUGAACACAAUUUUAAGAUGGCAAACUAAUUUACGCAGUUAAGACAACCUCAAUCCUACUCUCACACUUUGAAUUUUUUUUCUGGAUAGGACAAAAAGUUGCCUUGAUUUUAAAACAUCGGUGAUGUAGCUGGUGUAUUUUUAAAGAAAUUUGAUAGAUGUGCUCUGCCUCUGCUGUAUUCGUUCCACUUUUCAUAUAACCCUCCUUCCCUUCUCUCUCGUCCUUUGUAUCCUAGUAUUGGUGAGGUCUUUUUGCACUUUGUUUUUCCCUUUUUGCUCUCAUGAUUUCUUAUUUUGUUUAUGAGAUCUAAAGCCUGGUUUUAAAAUUUCAGUGUUCUUCUUGUUCUUCAUCUGCUGUAAGAAAAGGAAAUGGCUACCCCGGCUCAUGCUUUUGUUUAUGAGGAAGAACAAAAUAAAAGAUUGUUCUAAUCUGAAAAUGAGUUGCUUCAAUAGCACCCUUCUUCUAAAAAUGUGCUUCUAGGGAAACUAGAUGUGAAGCCUUUCUUUUCUCUUUCCAUCUGUUUACCCACUUAAACCUAGGAAGCCAAAAGUAAAUAACAAAGGGGCCUCAAUUAGAGUUAUGCAAGUUUUUUUACUGUAGGGAUUAUCGAUGUGGAAAUCUAUAUAUUAUUUAUGCAUGUAUUAAUGUAUUUCUUGGUAGUUGAUUUAGCAGUGGGUUAUGCAGGUAAUUAAGUCCUACAUAGUUAAUAUUAAAAUAUUAUUAGUUGGUUUAGCUUACGUUUACUCCUAUUAACAUAGAAUAACCCUCGAAACCCUAAAGAAGGCCCAUGAAAACCCAUCUACCAAAUAGAUGGCUCGGUAGCCUUUCUCAACUGGUUUGAUGGCCCGCUUUUAGGGCGCAAAUAUGGAUGAACAUGAUUAUGCUAUUCAAGAAAAUUAUAGUAGUACUACUGGGAGUUUGGAUUAAAAGGGACAAAUAAGUUGUCUAAUUAAGUGAGAAUCCUUCAAGUUUUUAAAAUUAGGUGGGAGGGACAAAAUUUUUUUGAUUUUUUUUUAAAGUUUUUUCGUUCCAACAACUUCUCCCAAUUGUCGAACAACUUUGAUAGCUGUUCGACAACUUCUAGCAGUUGUUCAACAACUAUCAAAGUUGUUCGACAGCUACGCUAAGUUGUUCAACAACUAGGCGAAGUUGUUCGGCAACUGGGAGAUGUUGUUCAACAACUGCAUGAAGUUGUUGAGACAACUAAUGUAGUUGCCGAAAACUGUCACAGUUGUUCAAAUAGCUUAAUUUUUUUAAAAGGGACAAGUUACGGGACCCAUUGUCCCCUUUUCUUAAUUGGAAACUUAUGAGGUCUAUUGAUUCAUUUUUCUCACUUAAGUAUUUAAGUUGUAUAUAUCAUGAAGUAGUUAGCUUAUAUUUGCACUGUAAAUUGUAAUAUUAAGUGUAGAGAUAGUCCUAUAUACGUUUAGUACGUCAAAGAGAGCUACUCGCAAACAUUGUGCAAUUCAAUUUGUCGCAAGAAGCACUUAAUCAUCAUGCAAAUACUUAUUGGUUCCGAAUAUUUACCCCUAAUCAAUGAUUUUAGUAAUAAUAAAUUAAGAAUAUAAGAUCAUUCAAUCAUGAUAACAAAAAUAAUUUAUAAAAGAUAUUAUCUUGUAAUACUGGGUAUAAAGAGAGGUAGAUGUAGGCUGAGGAGGUCUACGUAAAGGUGAUUAGAUUAGGUAUUUGUAGCUUUUCGAGGCUAUGAUCUAGUUAUAAAAAUACGGAGAUCAAGGAUGUGGUUAGUGGAUGGCUAAGCAUUGUCUAAUUUCCCUAUUAAGUAGUAUUUUUGUUUUUACUUUCAUACUAUCUUAUUCUUCUAUAUUAGAAUAAUUUGUUUGUUUUUAGUUCAGUUAUCAUCUUAAUUGUUUGUUGUUGCUACUAUUUUCAAAUUUACUAUUUUAUUUGUUUUACAUGCCUAAUUUUUUUUUAUAUGUUUUACUUGAGUCGAGAGUCAAGAGUCAAUCGAGAACAACCUCUCUAUCUUCACAAGGCAGAAGUACAUGUCCAUACUACCUCUCCAAACUCCACGUGUAAUAUUAUGUAUGUUAUUAUUGUGUAUAUCUUGAAUUGAUUGAUCAAAUGUAAAUACCCGAUGUUGAGGUAUACUUGUACCCAUUGGCAGAGGGAUAGGGAUAAUCUUAGGAAAAGGGUGAUUUGAUGUACAUCUUUUAUAAAAAAGAUUAUAUAGUGUGCAGAAGCUUAAUAUUAGCUAUUAUACGUCUAUAUUAAAUUUUGUACAUCCUUAACACAACUAAAAAGAAAAUAUGCACACUCCUCGACAAAUUUCUGACGACACUGCUACUGCCUUGCCUCAACUGUGUACAUGUAAAGAUGACGCCAUAUAGCAUUUGUCAUCUACAUGACGCCCAAACUCUUUUCUCAGUGUACCUACCCAACCUGUCACCUUAUUUUCUGCUUUUAUAAUUGCAUAUCCUUCCAAAUUUCAUACACCGUCCAUUUCAUUUUUAUUAGAUUAAAAAUAACUAUUUUAAUUUAUUUGUGUAAUUUAUAAAAUUAUAAAAAAAGAUUAUUACGUGAAGUAUUAAAUGAAGUGAAAGGUGUAUUCUACAAAUAAAUAAAUGCUAGUUUCAUUUAAUCCAUAUUCCGUACUAAGCUCGGAUCCAAACAACUCUACAUAUAAAUAAUAAUAAUUAAAUUUUAAAAUAUAAUUUAUAUUAUAUUUUUUAAUUUACAAUUAAUAUAAUUUAAUGACCGAUGUAUUAAAUAUAUUUUAUUAAAAUUUUUUAUAAUUAUUAAAGUUCUUAAUCACAUAAUUGGAUAAUUUUUUUAAAAAAUUAUUUGUACGGAAAAAGUAUUAGAGGAGAAUUAGAAUAUAACAAGAGACCACAAGUAAUUUAAUAUUUGAUAAAAUGAUAUGAUACAACAUCAACAAUAACAACAUACCCAGUGGAUUCCCACAUAGAGGGGUCUGGGCAGGGUUGAGUGUACGCAGAUCAUACCACUACCUAAGAUGAAGUAGAGAGUCUGUUUCCGACAGACCCCCGGCAUAGGACCGAUAGCAGUAUAACAAACACAAAACAUAAAUGCAAAAAAAAUAGUACAGUCUGCAAAAUAAACUAACGUCACUUGCCAUAAGAUAAUACUAUAGUCACAAAAUAAUACUAAAACUAUCUAUCCGAAAUCAUAGACAUCACUUAAUACCACGAACAAGAAACUUCAAACACAAAUAAAGAAUGCUCCCCUAUUGUUACCGACACACUCUCAACCCCUAACUCUCUACCCUAAUCGACAUUCUCCACACCUUCUUAAUCACAUCCCUCCAAUAUUUGUUCGGUCAACCUCUACCUCGCCUAAAAUCAGCCAUAGCCAAUAUCUCACACCUUCGCGCUGGAGCAUCAGAUCCCUUCUUCAUCAUAUGCUCACACCAACGUAACCUUACUUCUCGUAUGUUGUCCUUCACCGAGGCCAAUCCCACCUCUCCCAAAUAAUCCCAUUUCUUACCUUAUCUUUUCUAGUAUGGAGACACAUCCAUCGCAAUAUUCUCAUUUCCGCCACUUCAACUUUGGAUGUGGGAGUUCUUAACUGGCCAAUACUCUCCAUACAACAUAGUCGGCCAGACUGCCUCUCUAUAGAACUGACCUUUAAGCUUCGGGGGCAUCUUUCAUAUCACAUAAAACACCCAAAGUGAGCCUUUACUUAAACCACCCAGCCCCAAUAUAUUGUGUGACAUCCUCGUCAAUCUCACCAUUGCCUCAAAUCAUAGACCCCAGAUACUUGAAACUCUCCAUCUUCUGAAUGGCCUGAGAGUCUAACUUCACAACCACGUCAGCCUCCUACGACGUAUCACUAAAAUUACACUUCAAGUACUCCAUCUUGGUCCUGCUUAAUCGAAAUCCUUUAGACUCAAGGGUCUGUCUCAAAAUCUCCAACUUAUCAUUAACACCUCCCCGAGUCUUGUUAAGAAGUACCACAUUAUUAGCAAAUAACAUACACCAAGGAAGCUCCUCUUCAAUAUGUCUUGUCAAAAGAUUCAUCACCAAGACAAAUAAAAAAGGGAUAAGAGUCAAACCCUGAUGCAACCCUACCAAAAUUGAAAAAUGCUCUGAAUCUCCACCUACUGUCCUCACUUGAGUCUUUGUGCCAUUAUACACGUCCUAAAUCAACUUAGUGUACACCACAGGCACCCCUCUAGCCUCCAAAAACCUCCAGAGAAUCUCCUUGGGAACUCUGUCAUAAGCCUUCUCAAGAUCAAUAAACACCAUGUGCAAGUUCUUCUUUAUGUCCCAAAAUUGUUCCAUUAAUUUUCUCACAAAGUGAAUGGCCUUAUUAGUCGAGCAACCUAUCAUGAAAUCAAACUAAUUCACAGUGAUAAUCACACUCCUUCUUAGCAUCAACUCUACCACCCUUUCCUAAAGCUUCAUAGUCUGACUUAACAACUUAAUACCGCUAUAGUUGUUGCAACUUUGGAUAUCUCCCUUGUUUUUAUUCAAUGGAAUCAUUGUACUCCGACUUCAAGAUUCAGGCAUCCUUCCCGCCCUAAAAAUGAUGUUAAUAACCUUGUCAACCACUUUAAACCUGCCUCGCCAGUGCAUUCCAAAAAUCCACUGGAAUCUCGUCUGGCCCCAUCAACCUACGUCGACGCAUCCUGCGAAUAGCCCUCUUGACCUCCUUAACCUCGAUAUGCCUACAAUAACCAUAGUUGUGACACUCCUCAAAUUUCUCCAAGUCCCCAAACACGAAGCCUUUAUCCCCCUUAUCGUUCAAAAAUUUAUAAAAAUAAGACUGGCACUUUUUUAUAAUGAGGGCAUCCUCAACCAACAUAGUACCAUCCUCAACCUUGAUGCACUUAUCCCUGCUAUUCUCCUUUAAAGAUGCAUACAAGCUCUCAAAAUUUGUCAUUUUAUCCACUGUAACCACUAACUUAGCCUCUCACCUAGCUAGAGCUUAUACUCUUCCUUAUUUGUCCGCCUCUCUUGAUUAUUCUUGCUCUUGACCAAUUUAGCAUAAGCCACCUUUUUAGACUCCACCUUCCUCUUAAUCUCCUCAUUCUACCACUAGUACCCUCGAUGUUUACAAAAUUGACCUCUCAAGACACUAACACCUCUCUAGCGAUCUCCCUAAUGCAACUAGAAAUCGUCUCCCACAUACUAUCCACAUCCCCUCUACUUUUUCAAGCCCCCUGCUUCUCAACUUCUCCCCCAUCUUCAAAGAAUUAGCUAAAGUCAAACUACCCCACUUAAUCUUAGGUCGAACCUCCAUACUCCUCUUCUUUCAGCCCUUAUUGAUUACUAAGUUCAUCACCAACAACCUAUGUUUAGUCAAAAGAUUAUCUCUAUGUAUGACUUUACAAUCUUUACAUAGUUUUCUAUCACUCUUCAUAAGGAGCUAAAAGUCUAUCUGAGUCUUGGACACUGAAAUACAAAACAUUUCAAAAAUCUCAAAUUCGCUAUCCACAACCCAAAAGACCUAGAAAAAUCUAAAAGAGAAGCACUUUCUUUAUUUCUCUACCCUAAAUCAAAAUCUCCAUGCACGUCAUCAUAACCUCUCGACGAAGACACAAUAUGCCCAUUGAAGUCUCCGCUCACGAAACGUUUCUCAGUGCUUGGGACGCCCCUCACCAUCUCAUUCAAAACCUCCAAAAGCCCUUUUUUUCUUCCUCGUCCAAACCUAAUUGCAGAGCAUAAACACUAAUAACAUUCACCGUAGUUCCUCCUAUGACCAACUUAACAGACAUUAGUCUAUCACUGACUCUUUUAACCUUUACCACCUGCUCCUUAAGUUCUUCAUCUACUAAGAUACCUACCCAAUUUCUAUAUCUCAUGCUACUCGAGUACCAUAACUUAUAUACAUCCACAUCUCUCACCUUAGUGCCUACCAUUUAGUUUCCUGGACACACGCUAUCGAACCCUCCAUUUUCCAAGAAUCUUCAUCAGCUCUAUAGACUUAUCUUGAAGCAUCUCUAUGUUCCAGGACCCAACUUUCAACCUAUAAGCACCCUUAUCCAACUUAGACCUACUAUCCCUCGCCCUCAACCCAAGACUAGAACGUAGACUCGACCCCAACCCCAACCUCGACCUAUGACAUGACCCUAGUCCAUCAUCUAUCUCCCCAACCACCACUCAAAAAGAUACGAUAGAAGAAAAUGAACAAAAAAAAGCUGAAAACCACGAUGAGCAUAAGGGUAUGACUAAAAACAGCUAAAUCAGCAAACAAAAACUAGUAAGCAGGAUUGAUACUCACAAGCAACAACAAUUACUAUACUACUCACAAGCUACUAACACCUACUAAGUUACGGAGAAACCAUAACCAAUAAUCCUAUAGGAAUAAUUAAAAACUCAGGCAAGAAAUUAGGAUAGAAAAAGACACAAGAAGCAUAUACCAAAUAAACUAGAGAAGACUGAAAUGAGUGCACCUGAUACUGGGAGAAGACACAGUGAAAGAUGUUUUCCUGAUUGUUGUGUCGAAUUUCAGCACAUUGGUGCAGAAAUUGAUCGUCAGAAUUUGUUGUCACCACCUUUACCCUACUGCUGGACCGUAUCCCUGUACUUAGUCACCGGAGAAUGUGCUGGACGUCGAAAAAAUAAGCUAGACACCGAAAUCUUGAUGUCUCCUCCUGAAGUACGGGUUUGAACUUGGAGUACCUGAAAAGAUUUAUAAAGAAAAUAAAAGAGAAGAAAAGAAAAGCAACGAUCAAAUUGUAAAAAAUUGACGUCACUCACCAAAAAUUGAUGUGGUUGUUGGGCCUCAGAGAUAGGCCGUCGAAAAAGCCGCUAUCAUUUUAGUGGUCGGCACAAGAAGUGAGAGAGAAAAACACGAUGAUUGCGCCAAAAUCUGAUGGGAUCGCUGAAACUGAUAGGGUCGUUGGGACGUGUUUAUGGUAGCCGACAGAAGUAAUUUAAUUUCGUCGGCGCCGUCGAUUGAAUAAAUGGAAGAUUCUAAACCCUCAGCAUAUAUGACAACUAUUAAUGUCAUCAAUUUAACUUGAGAUGCCUAUUCAAUAAAAUAACAUGACAACAUUUUAAUAAUUAUAGUUCAAUGCUGAUUAAAAAUAGAAAAAUAUUGAUUUUAAUGAAUUUAUGGGUACAAAAUUUCUCAGUUUAUUAUUUUAUUUUCACCUAUUUCAUGUGACAAGAGUUGCAAAAUUCAUUUUUUCAUCUAAUACAACAAAGUAUUUCAAUCACUUCAAGUAUAUAUAAAAAUAGUUACAACAUUAAUUUAGACCCUUUACACAAACUAACUUAAUCAUGAUCUAUAAGGAUAUUGAAUAAUAAUUAAAUUACAUUAACGAUUAUUCCAUUCGGUCCAUUUACUUAUCGUGUUAAUUUUUUAAACACCCUUUAAAAAUAUUCUAUUCAUUCUUCUCUAAUUAUUGAUUUAUCCUUUUUCAUGUUAGCUAAGAAAAAUAUGUAAGGCAUUGUACUAUUUAUUAUUGAUUAAGUUAUCCUAUUUAAUACUCCCUCCGUUUCACAAUAAGUGAAUUAUUGGAGUAAUUUUAGUGUUUCAAAAUAAGUGAAUGAUUCACAAUUCAAGGUAGAUNNNNNNNNNNNNNNNNNNNNNNNNNNNNNNNNNNNNNNNNNNACAAAAAGAAUAAAGACAAAAAUAAAAAUAUUUAGCAAAAGAACAUCAUCAAUCCUUGUGAGGACUACCGAAAAUUGAUAUCCUCCCUUAUAUAUAAUAGUAAAUUGUAUUCUUUUUUCAUAUUGCUAACACUGUUUGCAAUAAAGAUUAUAGUGACAGAAACAAAUUCAGUCACAAUGCAAAUAAAAUAUGAAAAAAUAAGAAUUUUAUUGAUAAAUGAUAUGGAUAUAAUUCUGUUACUCCCUUGAUUCUUCUUUCUUUAUUUUUCUCCAUAAUUCUAGGACCAUUAGUAGCGUAUUUCUCGAAAGUAGAAAGAUUUAAAUUUGAUAUGAUUUUUUAGCGUAUUUCCCGAAUGUAAAAAGAUUUGAAUUUGAUAUGAUUUUUUUUUUGUAAUUCAAGGGUCGUUAGUAGCGUAUUUCUUGAAUAUAAGAAGAUUUAGAUUUGAUAUGGAUUUUCUUCGUAAUUCGAAGGCCGUUAAUAACAUAUUUCUUGAACGUAGAAAUAUUUGAAUUUGAUCUCCAUAAAAGAAGGGUUUAUGGAUCUUCUUGAUAUAUUUGAUUAUCAAAAAGAGAGUGAUAUUCAAUGAGUUUAUGAAAUUAUCGGGAGAUGAUAAAUCUCUUUAUUAAGGGCUUAGAGUAGAGUAGCCACCAAGUUAGGUUUAGCAUAAAGUAACCGCUAAUAACUCUAACAAAAAUUGAUUUUUUAUUAUAGAGUUCACAAAAUUAUGAUGUCUAUAAACGCUUUGUAUUGUCAGACAUUAUGACAACAAAAUCCUUUGCUGAAAUGUCAAAAUACAAUUAUUUUUCUUCUUUGAGAUGAUGAAUGAAGUACGUGUUAAUUUAGUGGAGUCACUUAGCUCAAGUCAUUCAUGCGGCAUACCAUGAAAUCAGAAAACUACAUCAAGCUAGGAGAAGAGAGCAAUCACAAAAAUACCAUAUUUAGCAUAUUUUCAUAGCUCAAACUCGUGACCCCCUGAUCAAAUGGAGGGAACUAUCCACAAUAAUUCAGACAAAUACUUCUCAUAGAUAAUCACAAAUGUCCAAGCAAGACUAAAUCUUUUAAGAAUUUUACUACACACAAAGACAAAACCAAAGGGCAGUCCGGUGCACUAAGAUCCCGUUAUGUGUUGGGUCCCAGGAAAAAAUUAGACCACAAAGGUCUAUUAUACACAGUCUUACAACUGUGGACCCCUCUUUCCAUAGCUCGGACCUAUGACCUUCUGGUCAUACGACAACAACUUUACCAGUUAUGACAAGGCUCCUUGUCUUACACAAAACAAAUAACAUUUGUAAAAAUGAAAUCUUUAGCAAUUUUUUAAAAUUCUUUAUACCCAAAUUUCAAAAAUAAGCUAAAAUAUAACACUGAUAACAUAUGGUUAAAUAAAUAAUAAGCAAAAAAUGCAAACUACCCAAAAAAAUUCAGGCAAAUAAAACUUGUAAUGCAUCAAGAUUAAUUUUGGACAAUAGCUUAAAAAUAAUCUCACUUUCUCACAGCUGAAUAAUGAAAUUCCAAUUUUUCCCUUAGCAUUAUGUCACCAUUGAUGAUGGAUACUGUAGCAUUAAGAGACAAUUUCUUUCCUUUUCUGGUAGUUGGUCAGUAUUUGAGCAGUAUCAUCUUCUACAAAAAUGAACAGGAUAAUCACUUUAGCCCCCAAAAGAUCUAGCUAUUACAUAUAGACCCCUUUACCUUAUAAUUUUAGAAUGAUAUUACUCUUCUUGACCUAUUUAAAUGCCCCCAAAGUUGCUCGAAUAAAGAAAAAGAUAAUUCCUUCGUUCGGUUUUACUUGUCACAUUUUAACUUGACAUAUUUACUAAAAAAUAAUUAAUAACAUAUAGUUAUUUUACCAUAAUACCCCUAUUAAAUGAUGUUUAUAUUGUAUCUUAAAAUUAAUUUGGAGAAAAGACAAUUAAUGCUAAGGGUAAAAUAGGAAAAAAGUUGUCUUUUCUUGAUAUGUCAAAAAUGAUAAGUAAAAAUAGAAAUACAAUUAGGAAAUUAGGGACAAGUAAAAGCGAACGGUGGGAGUAACACUGAAAACACAUCAAAAAGAUAUACUUCCUUGGUUGUAUUUUAUGCGGUAUAUUUUGAUCGGGCACAAAGUUUAAGAAGGAAUGACAAUUGUCCUUUAUUAAAAAAUAUAUUACUACUAUCUUUAAUUAAAUGCCACUAAUAAGGAUAAAUGUAAAAUUGUAUCUUUAAAUAGUUACCAAAUAAAGGAAUAUGACAUUCUUUUUCGGAUGGACAAAAAGAAAAUGACAACAUAUAAAAUGGGGCAGAUGAAGUAUGUUAAUACUAAAAGGGCAGCUUGAUGUGGCGGUGGAAGUAUGUUAAUACUAAAAGGGCAGCUCGGUGUACUAAAGCUUCGUGCUAUAAGGGACUGCGGAGAAGGGCUGGACUGCAAGAAUUUUAUUGUGCGCAACAUUAUCUUGCAUUUUAGACAGAGGUUGUUUCUAUGACUUGAACUCGUGACUUCCUAAUCACAUGGCAAUAAUUUUAUCAGUUACUCUAAAAAUCCCCUUCAUAUUUUUUUUCGAUUUCAUAAAAAUAUUAAAGAUAUGCAAAAUAUAAAAGAUACGCAUAUAAUUCUUUUUGCAAACCCACUUAUAUGGAGUAAUAAAAACUUAUAAGGUAUCAAAAAUGAUAUAUGCAUGGGAUUUCCCUUUUGAUUAAAGUUUUAAUAGGUUAAUUUCAUGUAUAAUUGUAGACUUUUACUCAUUAAUGACAAAAUUAUUGAACUUUAACUAUUUAAUAAAGUAGUAGAUUUAAUGACAUUAAAAAUCAUUAGAGUUUUUACUAUGUGUUUAGAUAUAUUGAGUACAAGAAGUGAUAGACAUAUCUCAAACUAAAUCAAUCAAUUAGAAAAACAAUUUCUAUUCCAAUGGAGAAGUUCCUCCAUGUUCACCUUUUGAUUUCAAUUAUUUUCUCAAUUUUUCUUGUAACUUUAUGCAAUGAACAUUAUUUUCCAUCCCUUAACACCACUUAUAUUAUGGAAUAUGUCUAUUGAUCCAACAAAGCUUCCCGAUCCUCCGAUUCCAUACUAUACACUCACCAUUUACAAUCUCUAUUUAUUUGAAAAGUCAAAAUUCAAGGACUAUGACUCGUUACUCGGAAAUAGGUUCGCCGGUCGUCAAGCUAGAGCAAAUAAUUUGGCAUCAGUUCUUGAAAAUGGUUAUGCAAUUAGUGGGAAUGGAACUCUUGUAAGGAUACAUGACGAGCAUGAGAGUAAAGUGGCCAACGAAAAGGUUCCGGUAACAACAAGUACACAUUUCAUAUGUCAGUAUGUUGCAUCUUUUACUCUUUUUUUUGGUUUCCCAUCUGGCAUUCGGUGCCUGCAUUGGAGCCCCGACUAAUCCAGAUCACAUGUUGCAGGGCCUAUUAAGGUGGUAGCACUCCCAACAGAAUUUUCUCCAUACCUAGGGCCGAACCCUGGACCUCUGAUUAAGGGUGGAGCUGCCCCAUCCACUGCACUACAACCUAUAUUGGUGAAUUUUUUACUCACUGAACAAUUUAAAAGUUACUUGCUAAUAGACACUGGUAGUGAUUUAGUUUGGUGGCAAUGUGGACCAUGUAACACUACAACAUUUUAGGCUUUUGGACACACUAAUUCUAGACCACACUUCUAAAGUGUGACCGAUAUCAUUAAAGACCACGCUUUUAAAGCGUAUCCUUUGUUUUUAGCUUUUGACCACAUUAAUUUUGACAACACUUUAAAAGCAUGGUCCUUAAUGGUAUAGGCCAUAGUUUACAAGCGUUGACACCAUGAUUUAAUUGGCAAUACGUAUUCACAAAUAUGACUACACUUUUAAAUGUGGUAUUAUUAUAAUUUAAGAGACAAUACUUUUAAAAUAUUGCCUAAGAUUUUUAUUGAAAUAUUUCACUAUUCCACCAAAUUAUUUCACUCUUCUACCCAAAUAUUUCACUCUCCCUCCAAAUAGUUCUAGGGUUACAAGAAAAUACAGAUUAAGGGCAAAAUUAUUUUUGGCCAAAAAUAUGGGUUGCAAGAAAACACAAAUUACGGAUAAAAUUAUUGGUUCCUCAACUCAAAGUCUCAAUUGUUGCAUCUAAGAUAGAGGAAUAAGAUUAAAGACUGUCGUCGGUGAGGAAGAGACAUCCUUACUCCCGUAAGGAGAAGGGGUCGGUGCUUAUCGUCCACCAGAAGGAUAUGUUAAUUUCUUUAUUCAUUUCCCAAUUUAGCUCAUAAUCUUACUGUAUUUUGUAACCAUUUCUUUUGUGGGGUUAUUGAUUUAGUUCAUUGUCUUACUCUGUUUUUGCUUCUUGUUUGCUGUUCUUGUAGCCAUUUCUGUUAUAGGGUUCUUUAUUUAGCUCAUAUAUUACAAUAUUUUUUCUUCUUGUUUGUUGUUCUUGCAGUCAUUUCUGUUGUGGGGUUCUUGAUUUAGUUCAUAUCUUACACAAUCGAAAGAGGCUUUAUAGCUAUUGGUACUGCAGGUGAUGAUUUUUUGAUAAAUAAUAUUUUUUUAAAUUUUAUGCUAAAUUUUUUCAUCUUGAAUAUGUUUUUUUUUUGUCAAUUUCAUUCUAAGUUUAAUGAUCUAUUCUUUAUUGCAUUUGCCGAUGUUUUAGUGCUGAUUUUCCCAUUUGGGGUUGUUUUAUUUUCAGUUAAAUUUCAAUUCUUGAUAUCCUAGUUGGUAGUUUGAGCAUAUUAGAUAUGUGUUUUAUUUUCCAAAUGGUGAAAUUCUAUAUGAUGAACAAACUGAAGAGGUUAUAGGGUUGUUCUUUAUAUCGAGUUGUUCUAUGUUGCUCAGUUUUACAAUUGCUAGCCUAUCUAGUAGCCUGUUUUGUCAUAUCCCUGGGCUAGGUCGUCAUCUAAUUUGGAGCCUUCAACGAUAGCUUGUGUCAUCUACAGGUCUUCACUCUAGUUUAUAUUCUCAGGUCCCUCUCUUAUAUCUCCAUUAUCUAUUACUUGGUUCCUCAUAUUAAGAUUGUAGUUGAAAAGAACAUUUCAUAAUCAAGAGAAUAUCUCUUCAUUUUUUGGAAGAGAUGAUCUAAACACACUAAAAUUAACAAACAAUAAAACUUAGUUUCACAAUCUUGUUUCUCUCAGUAAGUAAUAUGCUCAGAACUUGCGAGGAAGAUUCAUUCUUGGGAUGAUCAAAUAGCGAAAGACAAGGCUUCCCUUGAUGUCUACUCUCUCACACUCCAUCGCAACUUGAAACAAGGAAACACGUCCAAGUUAGUGUAUCUAGUUUUCUUUUUGCUGAAGCGCCUAUUUAAUUCUUGAAAAACAACUUAUACUUCAAGCCUUUACAGUUAAAGAACCAACACUGGUUAUUUCUCCUGGAAUAAAUAUUUGAACGUCAAUGCAAGAAGACUACCUGCAUCUAGAAAUUUAGAAUAUCUUUUGAUGUACGUAUUGACUUGGAUUAUAAGUUGGCAUCAAAUCCUAUUUUUUAUGUGCAGUGUCGUAGAAGCAAAAAAUAUGAAAUCUCAUGCCUUGUCCUCUUACUCCAUCUCAGUAUCAGGAUUGAGAUUCCCUUCGUAUAUCAGCUGUGAUGAAAAAAAUAUAGGUAAAACAUAAAGGAGUUUUAAAUUUAGUAGUCGAGUCUGUUUCAAAAUAAUUGCUAAUAUAACAAUUAUUGUUGCCUUAUUGUGUUCCAAUUUCAUCCUCCGAUAUUGUUCUUGUGUUUACUUUGAUCGAAACAUGGAUUGAACUCGCACAACAAAUCUUUCGAUACACUCUUCAGCUUUUUUCCUACUGGCUUGGAAGAAAUCCUCCUCCAUAUCAUCGGGUUUGUGAUUAACUACUUGACUAGACAGGAGUUGAAGCUCAUGAAGCCUUUUUUCUUCAAACACCAAUGAAAUAUUGCCUUUUCAAGCACCCUGACCAAAUUAUCUCCAGGUAAUGCCUUCGGACAUGGAAACCACUGAACACAGCCCGCAUGACCAGAGGCAGGUUCCAUUAAUAAUGGAUCAUGUUAUUCUGUCAGUUUUAUGGAAAAGUCAAAGAGUAAUUAGGAAAACUUGCUAAGUUAUCAUUCUUGUAAGAACUUCUCAAUCAUAUUAAUUCAUGUUUGUUGUAGAUGUAUAUCAUUAAUUCUUUUAGUUCCAUGUCAAUUCAUUUACACAGCAGUUAACUCAAAUAAUUUCACCGGUGAGAUCCCACCAAUUCAUGAUAAUCUGUCAAAACUCUACUGGCUUGAUCUAGCAGAUAAUCAGUUAAUCGGAUCGAUUCCCGUUUUAACCUCCUCAAGUUCGGGAUUGUAUCUUCUGAAGAAAGAAGAACACUUGCGAGUAAACUUUAUCUAUUCGUAUUACAUGCUAUCCUUUUCAACUGAUAGGAAAUCAAAUAAAUGUUGUUUUCCAAUAAUGAUGUAGCUGCUUGAUGGAAAUUGUACAUUAGUUGGUGUUAUGCAAAUAACUUUUGUUCAUAUUACUCCAAUGUGGUUAACUGGUAUCGUCACUGUUGCAGAUAUAUUAAAAUUGUAUUUUUCAUCUGUGUUCUUGUUACUUUGAGCUUUAAAAAUAUUCUGUAGUACUUUUCUUUUGGUGCACCUGUGUAGUUUCUUUUUGUAUAGACUAUGGAGGAUAGGGUGUCCUUUUGUAUGAAGCUCAGAAACACCCUCUAUACCUCCAUGGAUUGAUGCUCUUCGGUCCCAAGUUGUAGCUGCUAACGUUAAAUUGCUUGCAUUGUAUGGUGUAAUCCCCCUACUUCUCAAUUGACAUUAACAUAUAAAAUCUCCUCAUUUUUAAGCUCGUAAAGUAACAAGAGUAAGUUAAAUAAUUCGUGCAAGAAUAUCAACACACAUUCACACUUUGUUGACAUUCUAUAUACACUUUUUUAAACAUCAAAUUAAGUUGCUUUGGUUUCUUUUUUCCUCCAAGCCUGUGCAGCAAAUAUUAUAGCUUUUCUUUAAAGAAAAUAUCAAAGAAAGGGAAGCUAGCAUUUUAUAAUUAACAUUAGUAUAUUAGCGUUUCAGAAUAGUGAAAUAACACGUAGUAAUAGACUUUGAACCAAUUUGAUAGAUGAGCACUUUGGUACGUUAUUCAAUUUCAAAAGUCAAAUAUUUGUUAAUGAACUUAAUAUUUAGCAUCUCACAAUGUGUUGUACUUUAUCAAAAAUAUUAUUACAAUUAUGAAAUAAGUUCCAAAUUGGCAGUAAAUGAAAUCCCUUCAUGAUUUUUGACAGGUUUAAAAAAUCCAAUUAGUAAUAGAAUUUCUAGAAACAUUUCGUCGGCGUAAGUUAGGUUUCUCUUCACAGCUUACUGUCUUGCAGGUUCUAGUGCAACAUGUUCGUGGACUUCCUCUUUUUUGCAAAGACAAACCCGAGCAUCUUUCAAAAAUUGUUUAAAUACUUGUAUAACUCUUGACUUCUGGUAUAGAAAUCUCUUAGUCUUUCCAUCAAGAAAUGUUGAUUAUGAGAAAGGAUAUGUGAUCUUGACUUCUUUUUCUGCUUUUACAGUGGAAAAUAUGGCACGUGAUACAGUAAACAAAGCCCUUUUGUCCUUGUUAAGGCAAGACAUAAAAGGUUUGUUGAUUCUUUCCUAAUGACAUUGAGACCAUACACAUAGGAACUAUCUAUAAAUAUAUUCAUCUUAAAUUGAGUUAAGAAAUUAAAUUACUGAACUGAUCAAACUGCUAUUUCUUUCCUCUUCUGGAAGCUAUUUAAUGUUUCCUAGUAUCACUCUCUAAGAAAAAAGGUAGAACGAUAGAUACAUUAAAACCUAGUUAAGACAAGAAGCUCAUCCCUCGUGGGUCACCUAACAUGUUUCAUUACCUACAUUGGAUAAAUCAGCAAAUUUAUUAAUGCAGUGCACAUUUUAUCUUGCAUUUGAUGCACCGUUAUGCAUUAGCAAGCAUGCUCUUUUGUUCAAUGCCUGGCAGCUGUAUACCAGGGUUUUGCAGUAAUUGAUAUGCCAUAUUAAAAUACCUCUUCUUAUUUCAAUUAUCUGAAGUAGGAAUUAUGCUAAUCAAAUCCUUUUAGGACAAUAUUCUAUUGUCCCAAUUUAUAAUCAACUUUAACAAGAGCUCAAGUGUAGCUAUGUGGAUAUAUCAACUACAGAAAAAUAUUUAUACUUUAGUAUGACACUGCUGAAGGACGUGGUGCACAUUUGUGCUUUCAAAAGAAGGAAGAGAAGAUGUCCCAUAAAAUGUAGGCAUGUAGUUAUAUGGGUACUUUCGAUAGAAAUAAAUAAGAGAAAAUUUGAAGGACUAAAGAAUGAUUUUUUAAUUUAAUAUUCUACAAAGAAAAGGGGCUACCCUGAGAAACAGAAAAUCAGUUGGAACAAAAACUAAGUAGAAAAGAAAAUUAGAGACACAAUAACUCACCAGAUUACGGAGCGAAAAGAGGAAGAACAGGUAAGAUAAAUGAAAAGUGCUUGCGAAAAACAUAAAAGUGAAGCACCUUAUAUAUGGCAUUCAGCUGUGCAUGCAUCUUUUCUUGGAUUGGAACUAGUGGUGAUAUUGAUCCAUUACCAUGAUAUGUUCAUUCUUUUUCUGUUGUUUCACUUGUGUCUCUAUGUUACCUGUAGGGUGGGAUUCAUUACUGUGAUCUUGAUCCAUUACUGUGAUAUGUUCAUUCUUUUCCUAUUGUUUCACCUAUGUCUCCAUGUUACCUUCCAUAUUCUCCUUGUCAACUACUUGAGAGAAAUAUCUUAAUUUGGUGUGCACAGAGAUAGAAGAACGUCCAGCCUCUAAAUAUAUAGUUUAAGCAAGUAGUGACCAAUAUACAGCUUAAAAUUUUGAUGUGUGUUGAAACCAUUCUUCAGAUUUGAGCAAUUGUGGAUGAUAAACUAAGAGGAUGACUUGUUUUAUUGCAUCAGUAGAUUACUACUUAGUCUAAGUGGAAAAAGCAACCUUGUUUCGUUGCAUCAAUAGAAAACUACUAAGUAAAGUUGACUAGUCCUUUCAACCGAGCUGAAUAUGCAUAUAGAUAGAAGAAAAGGUAUUGACCAUUGGCUACAACACCACUUGACUGGAGUUGUUUCACUGGAUUUGUUGAUGCAGUUGUAUUGACGCAUAGUGAAUUCCGGAAUCUAUCAUGUUAAGAGCGAUUUAUGUAUUGGCAAUGUGAUAUUUAAAGCUUUGUUCAAUGGUAUUUAUGGUCUUUUUUGGGGACGUAUGCUCCUAUUUGGUAGAAAAGGACAUUCUAGGGAUGCAAAUAUUUUUUAGGGUUGUUCCUUAUGUAUUAUUAGUAAGAGAGAACCUUAACAGAGCAAUAGGAUAACACUAUUACCCUCUCUAUUUUAGAAUGGAUUCCCGAGUCUUGAGGAACUGAAAUAAUCUGCUUUGACUUUAGGAGCCUGAUUCAUUCCUAGGAGUAUUAUUGGUAAGAAAGUUCAUUAUUUUUGCCUUGGGACUGAGGGUCUUUCUUUUGAAAUAUAUCUUAUAUAUACUGCAUUAUUUCUUCUCCAGAUAGAUAUUGUUUUAAUUUUUUUACAGUCUAAACUAGAGAAUCAUCACAAUGCUGGGAAAACACCAGAUGAUGCAUUCACGGCAGUGUUUGGAAAGGAUAAACCUGGUCGAGUUAGAGGUUAUGGAAGAUCAGUGACAACAACUUCUCUAAAAGAAGAUGAGGAAAUGAAAAAGCUUAAACAAAAGCAUGCUAAUGAAGUCACUUCUAUGAAGAAGAAAUUAUAAGUGAAAUGAGAGAAAUGCGACAAGUUUUUUAGUCAAUUGGUGCAAAACAAUCCUGGAUUGAAUUUUCAAGAUAUACUAGGGAGUGUAAAAUUUCUUCACCUGAUGCGAGUAAUGCACAAGCUAUAAGAGAAAAAAUUCUUUCAAAUUAUUUUGGCUUAGCUCAUGCUUCGGUUCAUGAAAAGGUACUUUAUCUUAGAAAUUCACAAGAAAUUUAAAUCCUAAACUUUUAACUUUAUUGAAUGAAUUAAAGAAACUUUGGAUUCACAUAUUUCCUCAUAUCAAGAUUGAAAAAAUAUUUGUAUAUUUGUGAGCAUAAUUUUACUUCGUUUGUUUCAGUUUGAACGUAGGAUCAAUGCGGGGGAUCAAAUUUGAAUGGUGGGCGCCACAACUCAACUUGAUCGAGAUUGAAGUGAAUGAUGAAGAAUUUUGAAAUAUUUUGAUAUACGUUUAUAUACAUUUGGUUUUGUGUGGAAGUUGAUACAAUUUUUAUUAUGUUGUUUUCAUUAGUAUGUAAAAGACAUGUUUUUUUAAAUCAAAUCUAUGCACUUCAAUUAUUCAUUAGGUUAUUAGUGCAUGCGUGAGAUUGUAUAUAAAUAUGUAUUUUUAUGUAAUGUGCUUAGUGAUACAUACAUUUCGAUCAAAAUAAUUGUUUUUUAAUUAGAGAUUACGUACGAACAUUUUAUAUGCCUAAUGCCAUUUUAGUAAAAUGUGGUUUGAAAUGUCAAAUUUUAGGCAAUAUUGCUACACUUCAAAAGUGUUGCUAAAACAUGCUUACACUUUAUAAGUGUUGUCAUAGAGGAUAUAUAAAAGGCUAUUUUUUUGAAGUGUGGCUAGUAAUAAAGAAAAGGCCACGUUUUUUAAGUGUUGUUAUAGAGGUGCUACAAAAGCGUACGCUUGUGAAGCGUGCCCAAUAGUAAAACAAAGACAACGUUUUGUAAGUGUUAUUAUAGAGGUGCUACAAAAGGCUACGCUUGUGAAGCAAGCCCAAUAGCAAAACAAAUGCAACACUUGUAAGUAGCUUUAUCAAAUAAAAGUGUUGCCAAUGACAAGCUACAAAUCAUGGCCUUUGUACCUUAAUGGCCACGCUUUUUAAAUGUAGCUGAUAUGGCAACACUUGAAAAACAUGGCCUUUGAUCAAAGGUUACACCUCUUUAAGCCACCCCCUAAAAAGUGUUGCCUAAAGUCUGAAAGUGUAGCCUUUGAUCAAAGGCCACACUUCCUACUAUUUUAGGCCACGUUUUACAAGUGUGGCCUUAGGCCAAAAACGUUGUAGUAUAAUGCAAAUGUAUGUUACAAACAGAUAAAUAAUCCUUUAUAUGUUUCAACUAAUUCAAAAACAUAUCGAAAGCUCGAUUGCCUUGUAGAAAGUAGAAACUGUGAAAUCACGAAUAAGGAAUAUGAUUGUAGUAGUAUGGUAAUACGUGUCUGUAUGAUUACAAAUACGUCAAUGGAUCAAGAACAAGAGGCUGGAUUGCACACGACGUGAUUACUUUUGUUUUAGCCCGAAAGCAGGUAAGCAUUGUUUUUGGAUGUGGCAAAAAUCAAACUCAUGGAAAGCCUUUUAGUGGUCAAUUUUCUGGAAUUGCGGGCCCCGGACGUAAUCGGUGGUGGCAAUUAUUUUGCAUCACAAUUUGAAGUAGACAUAAUGUCCAUGUGCCUACCGGGAGCUCUCUCAACAAAAGGAUCAACACUAUUACAAGAUUUCAGAUUCCCUUCCAUUUACUUUGUCAACCUUUAUAAAGUUUUUAUUAACGAUAGGGAAGUCCCGUUGUUCCCAUCAUUGUCUAGGAAAUUCAGAACUUAUGCCACGAGUGAUAGCUGCAUCGUGGACAAAGGAACAUUUACUACCCGUUUUCCUCAUGAAUUUUAUAUUGUAUUUUGUUACACAUUCAGAUAAAAAGUAUGUGGUAUUCCUAUGGUUAAUGUUCCACCUGGAUCAGUUUAUGGCACAUGCUAUAAAGUUCAUACGACUAGUCUGGAUCCACAUUUCCCCGUUGUGACCAACCAAAUGGCCCCUUCAACCCCAACAACCCGCACUCCCUUUUGCCUCAGCCUGCCUGGGAGCACUUGGUCAAUUUUCUGCCCAUAACAUACUUGUUCACUGGGCCCACCCCCAGAACUGUGAGCUAUAACACACUGAUUUAGCCCAAGAAUGGCCCAUUUGGGUUGUUUCACUUGUUUAACCACCCAAAUAGCCUAGCUAACCCCAAUGACCCACACUAUCCCACUUUUGAGCCUACCUUGGUGCCUCUGAUCGAUUUUAAGACCAAAACACGCUCGAGCCCCAAGCCAACCCCUAAAACCAUGAGUUAUAGCAUGUCUAUUUGGCCCCAAAAAUAGCAUGUUUUGACAUUUUGUCUGUUUGAUCACCCAAAUGGCCCCGCCGACCCAAACGACCCACUAUCCCGUUCAUCAAUCUACUUGGAAGACUUGAUCGAUUUUCAACCAAAAACACUCCCGAACCCCGGGCCCACCCAGAACUGUGAGCUAUAGCACACCGAUUAUGCCUUAAAAUGACCCAUUCGCGUUGAUAUUGCUGUUUGACCACCCAAAAAACCCUGUUGACCCGUGCGACCAAUACUUCCCCGCUCUUCACCUUACCUGAGAUCCCUCAAUUAAUUUUUUACCCAAAACAUGCCCUGGACCAGCCCAAAAUCAUGAGCUAUAGCUCACUAAUUUGGCCCAAAAAUGGCUCGGUUGCGCCGUUUUGCUCGUUUGACCAACCAAAUAGUCCCGCCGACCUCAAUGACCCAUAAUUCCCCGCUCCUCGUCCUUCUUAGGAGCCCUCAAUAGAUUUUUAAUCCAAAACAUGCUUGGGCCCUAGGAUAACCCCUAGAAUUGUGAGCUAUAACACACCGAUUUGGCCCAAAAAUAGCCCGUUCGCAUCAUUUUGCCUAUUUAAUAACCCAAAUGGCCCCGCCGACCCCAACGGCCCACACUCCCUAAUUUUCAGCCUACCUGGGAGCCGCGAUCAAUUUUCAGUCAAAAAAAUUCAUGGGCCUUGGGAACACCCUCUUAACCGUGAGGUAUAACACCCCAAUUUUGCCAAAACAUAGCCCAUUCGCACUGUUUUAUCCGUUUGAUCACACAAAUGGCCCAUCGCCACCCAAUGGUCCAUACUCUUCUGCUUAUUAGCCUGCCUAGGAUCCUCUGGUCUAUUUUCAGCCUAAAACAAGCCUACGCCCUGGGCCCACGCCCGGAAUCGUGAGGUAUAACAUACUAAUUUAGCCCAAAAAUGGCCCGUUUAUGCUGAUUCACCCUUUUGACCCCCCAAAAGGCCCCGUCGACCCCAGCCACCCACACUCUCCUGCUUUUCAGCCUGCCUGAAAGCCCCCAAUAAAUUUUUGACCCAAACCACGCCCGUUCCCUUCACUCAACUUCAAAAUCAUGGCUACACCACACCGAUUUUUCUCAGAAAUGGUCCGUUCGCGCCCUUUUGCCUAUUUGACCAACCAAAUAGCCCUACCGACCACCGCCGACCCCAACGACCCAUACACCCCUAUUCCACAGUAUGCCUGGGAUCCUUUGGUCAAUUUUCAGCCUAAAACAUGUCUGGGCGCCAGGAUCACCUCUGAAACCGUGAGCUAUAGCACACCAAUUUGGCUAAAAAAUGGUUCGUUUGUGCUGUUUCACUCGGUUUACCACUCAAAUGUCCCCGCCAACCCCAACGAGCCACACUUCCCUGCUUCUCAGCCUACCUAAGAUCCUCGAUUAAUUUUUUUCCCAAAACAUGCCCGAGCCCUAGGCCUACUCUCAAAACUAUGAGCUAUAACACAUCGAUUUGGCCUAAAAAUGCUUUAUUUGCACCAUUCAGCUCGUUUGACCACUCAUACAGCCUCAUUGAACCCAAUGACCCACAUUUUCCCACUCUUCUUCCUGUCUGGGAGCCCCUGAGCAAAUUUUGAUCUAAAAUAGGCUCGAGCCCCAAGUGCACCUUCAAAACUGUGAGCUAUAGCUUACUGAUUUAGCCAGCAAAUUACUCGUUAGUGCCGUUUCGCCUAUUUGACCACCCAAACAGCCCUGUUGACCCCAAUAGAUGAUACUCUCUCACUUCUCAUCCUGUCUGGGAGCCCUCUCUUCAUUUUUGAUCCAAAACACGUCUGGGCCUUGGGCCCACCCCAAGAAUCGUCAGCUAUGACACACUGAUUUGGCUUGAAAAUGGUCUGUUCGCAUUGUUUAGCCUGUUUGACCACCCAAACAGCCCUGCCGACUCCAACGACCCACUCUCUCCCACUUCUCAGCCUGCCUGGGAUCCCUCAAUUUAUUUUCAAUCCAAAACAUUUUUGGGUCCCAAGCCCACCCCCAAAAUCGUGAGAUAUAACACGAUGAUUUGGCCAAAAAAUGGUCUAUUUUCCGUCAUUUCAUCUCGUUUGACCACCCAAACGGUCCCUCCAACCCAUAAGGUCCAUACUCCCUCGCUCUUCAGCCUUUUUGGGAGCCUACAGUCCAUUUUCAGCCCAAAACCCGCUUAGACCCUGGGCCUAACUCCAAAACCAUGAGUUAUAGCACGCCGAUGCACAAGGAUUUCGUUAUGUGUUCAGUCCCGCUUAUAUUUCUUCGGCCUACCUCUACCCCACCUAAAACCAUCCAUAACCAGUAUUUCACACCUCUACACUGAAGAAUCAGAGCCCCUAUUCAUCACAUGGCCAAACAAAUGUAACCUCACAUCUCAUAUGUUGUCCUCCACCGAAGCAACUCUCACCUUCUCUAGAAUAAUUUCAUUCCUUACCUUAUCUUUCUUGGUAUGUCCACACAUCCAUCGCAAUAUUCUUAUCUCUCCCACCUUCAAUUUUUAGAUAUGGGAGUUCUUAACUGGCCAACACACCGCUACGUACAACAUAGCCGGCCGGACUACCACUCUGUUGAACUUACCUUUAAGUUUCGAGGGCACCUUCUAAACACAUAGAACUCCUGAAGCGAGCCUUCUUUUCAGCCACCCUGCCCCAAUAUGAUACGUUAUAUCUUCGUUAAUCUCAUCAUUGCCCUGAAUCAUAGACUCUAGAUACUUGAAACUCUCCCUCUUAUGAAUGUCUUGAGAGUCCAUCUUCACAACCACUCCAGCCUCCUUCGACACAUCAAUGAACUUAUACUCCAAGUACUCUGUCUUGGUUCUAUUUAAUCAAAAUCCUUUAGACUGAAGCGUCUGUCUCCAAAUGUCCAACUUAUCAUUAACUUCUCUCCGAGUCUCAUCAAUCGGUACCACAUCAUCUGCAAAUAACAUACACCAAGGCACCUUUUUCUUGAAUAUGUCACGUCAAAACAUCCAUCACCAAGGCAAAUAAAAAUGGGCUAAAAGUCUAUCUCUUGUGCAACACUAUCAAAACUGGGAAGUUCUCCGAAUCUCCAUCUACCAUCCUCACACGAGUCUAAUUCCUAUCAUCCAUAUCCUGAAUCAACCUAGUGUAUGCCACAGGCCUCCCCCUAGCCUCUAAGCACCUCCAUAGAAUCUACGUGGAAACUCUGUUAUAUGUCUUCUCAAGAUCAAUAAACACCAUGUGCAAGUCCUUCUUCCUCUCCCAACACUACUCCACUAAUCUCCUCACAAGGUGAAUGGUCUUAGUGGUCGAGCGCCCUGGCAUGAAACAGAUUCUCAGAGAUCGUCACGAUCCUUAUCAUCCUUAACUUUACCACCCUUUUCCAAACCUUCAUAGUAUGAGUCAAUAACUUAAUACCUCUAUAGUUGUUGCAACUCUGGAUGUCUCUUUUGUUCUUAUACACUAGAAUCGUAGUACUCUACCUCCAUGCUUCAGGCAUCUUCGUCGCCCAAAAAAUACUAUUGAAUAACCUUGUCAACCACUCUAAACCUACGCCGCUAGUGCUCUUCCAAAAAUCCACUAGAAUCUCGUUUGUCCCCAUUCCCCUACCCCGCUGCAUCCUACGAAUAGCUCCCUUGACCUUCCCAACCUUGAUAUGCCUACGAUAACCAUAAUCGCGACACUCCUAAGAUUUCUUCAAUUGCAUUUCAAACACUAAAAGUACUUACUUUAUCAAUUACAGAACUUCUAAUUUCAAAUCUUAAAUUUCAUUUAGUCUCAAUUCAAAGUUAAGUGCAUAAAAUUUAUUAGUUUAUUUUAAAUUUUCAAAUAUUAUUCUAUUGCUCAUUAUUUUUACAAUCAUCAAUUUUAUGAUUAAUAUCUUUAAUUAUUUUAUUUAUACCUCUUAUUGUAUCUGCUAAGUUAAUUUAAUUAAGAUCUCUCAAAUCACUCUCAAAAUCACCAUCCCACCAAAUACUACACCCACCUCCUAGCCUUACCCUACAGCCACCACCCCACCUCCCUAGUUUUUAUUAUAUUUUACUUUAUCAGAUUUUUUGUAAAAUAUUUUUCUCACAUCACCCACCUCUUAUCCCCAAGCCACCCUCCACCAACAAAACAAUAUUUUAUUUUUGUUUAAAAUAAAAUUUUAUAUUGCACCCACCCCUACUCCCCAAUACCUAUUUGACACCCUACCUAAUACACAUACAAAAAAAAUUAUUUUUCACUUUUUUAUAAAAAACAAUCUUUCCACCCUUCUGUCCUGACUCCCAAGAAAAAUAAUUUUUUUUGUCUUUUAAGAAUCUUUUUUUCUACUCCACAACUCUAACCCCUACCUACACCACCACCCCGCCUACCCCACCUACCUAGCUCAUCCCUACCCCUUCUCAACCACCAUAAUCUCUUGUUAUUCCCCUCAUCCAUCACUUUUCCUCAAUGCAAUUUAUAAUUUUAUGUUAAGUACACACAAAUGCUAUUAGAAAAUAUCUUCUAUUUAUUAAUAAAAUAUCAAUUAUCAAUUUAUUUUAGCAUACAUGCUAUUACUAAUAUCAAAUAAUCACAUCAAAUAAAAUUAUCUAAGAAAAGAUUAACCAAGAGCUAUAGCCGAGAAGAGAGUCUCUCAACUUUCUUUGGAUACUUCAGAAGACUUUGCUGCUAUGGAGGCAUUAGUGGUACAUUUUAUUAUUUUUUAGUUAUCAAAAAAACCCUACCUUCUAGAUCCCAUGAUAAAAGAUGAGGUAUAUGAUAUUGGACUCCCAUCUCAAUCAGUAGGAAAGGGCCCAAAAUCUCUCACCUUUUCUUUUAUGAUGAUCUAACUCUGUGUGCUGUUGCGAAUGAAAGAAACUGUGAAACUAUCCGAGCCACACUUAGGAGCUUCACCUUCCACCCUGUCCUAAAAAUUAACACUCUCAAAGCUAAAGUAAUCUUCUCUAGAAACUGUGCUCAGGUGACCAAAGAUAGUUUAUCACACAUCUUAGGCAUCAAAUCCAAAGACAAGUUUAGCAAAUAUCAUGGUUUUCCCAUCUUCCACAAAAAACCUUGCAAUAGAGAUUUCUAAUUUAUCCUAGACAAUCUCAACACUAAGUUUGCUGGAUGGAAAACCAAAUUCCUCAAUAUGGCUGGAAGAACAACCCUUACCAAGUCCUCCCUUUCUAGUAUUCCCGCUCAUGUCAUGUAAUUCAUCUUGAUCCCCUCUAAAAUCCACUAAUUGAUUGAAAGAACCAAAAAGAACUUUUUCUGGGGCACCACCCCUAAUAAUAAGAAAGUACAUCUAAUCAAUUGGGAAACCUUGACUAAUUCUAAAGCUAAUGGGGGCCUGGGCCUCCAGAAAGCUUCUAUUAGGAACAACACUAUGUUAUCCAGUCUAGCCUGGAGACUUUACAAGCAUCCCAAUAGUCUCUGGGAAAAAAUUCUUUAAAAUAAAUUAGCCCCUAUGGUAUAUCCCUUAAAGUCGACAACUUUAGAACUUGGAAAAGUGUCCUUGUGAGUUGGGAAAUUUGUAAAACUGCCUCCUCUUAGAACAUCCAUAAGGAUGACAAGAUCAAUUUCUAGAAGGACAGAUGGAUGCCUCACUGUGAACUCCUUCUGUCAAUCAUCCAAGCCCUUCUUCCUUAUGAUUCCCAAGACAUUAACUCUCUGGGGUGUAGAAGAAUUGCUCCUGUAACCUCAAGGAUCUUCCGAUUGAAAUCCCUGAGGAUCUCAUUAAAACUUUCACCAACUUUGUUUUCCCCAAUCCCAGAGCAUAUACUAAUGAGCUCAUUUGGAAUCUCAUUUGUAAUUGUUUGUUCUCCAGUAGAACUGCUUAUAAUCAUAUAGCCAAAAACUCUGAGAUCAAUUACUCCUCUAAUUUCAACUAGAUAUGGAAGGAUAAAUCCCCUAAAAAGUCAAAACCUUUCUUUGGCUAAGCCUGUAUGAUAGGUUCCCCAAUAACCUCAACCUGUCCGUGAGAGGAGUGAGACAAAAUACUAGUUGUGCUAUCUGCAAUCAAAACCAGGAAGACAAAUCCCACAUUUUCUUUAAGUGUCCCAUCCUCAAAGAUUUUGGAGUGAAAAUUAUCCACAAGAUGACCCAGUCCAAACAACCUCCUAUUACCAGUCUCCUACUCUCUUACUGGCACACUAUCUGGAGAUCUCUUCAACACUCCUAAUUCAACAAACUAAUCCACUGGCAUGACAUCAUUCUUUUCAGCCUCUAGACAAUCUGGAACACCAGGAACACUAAUACCUUCAAUAACAAAAGGGACCAUCCCAAUUUUAACCAUGCUUACUCCCAAACUGUUGAGUAUAAACAUCUUACUCAAAAGAAUACCCCAAUCAAGCAAAACCAAAUCAUCAACGUUAAGUGGAAUCCUCCCACCAGCCACACCUUCAAGCUCAAUACUGAUAAUUCUUGCCUUAGAAACCUCAGGAAAGGUGGAAUAGGAGGGGUAGUUAGAUCCAGUAAUGGAGGCUAAGUGUUAGGUUUUAACAAAAACUUUCACCGGACUACCAACAACAUGAUAGAACUUAUGGAUCUCAUUGAAGGACUAAAACUGGUAGAGCAAGCUAAUCUUCUCCCUAUUGAAAUUAACAUUGAUUCCUUGGAAGUUAUAUCAAUGUUAACUAACGGGAACCUUCACUAUGAUACUUUGAUUUUGGAAUGCAGGUUAAAAUUAAAAAGGCUAAGGAAUCUGAAAGUUAAGCACUGUUAUAGAGAACAAAAUGGAGUGGUGGAUGCUCUGGCAAAAGAUGGAGCAAGGGCAAGCGGUUUUCAGGAGACUACCCUUUUUGAAGUUCCACCGAUAUGUGCAAAAGAUGCAGUUUGAGCAGACAUCUAAAAAACUUUUUGAGAGAAUAAUUAGCUCUUGCACUGAUGAUUUUAACUAGCCAGGCCAGAACUAUUCCUUUUUAAACCUUGACUAAUCGUCAAAAUUGAAACUUAAACUGCGUUCUCUUUUAUAUUAAUGCAUGUCCUUUCUACCAAAAAAAAUAAUAUUAUUUUGCAUAUUGAAUCAUCGAAAAGAAGAGAUAUUUAUAUCAAUUUAAAUUGAUGGACCUUGAACAUUCACAAAGAAAGAUAAAUUGAAAAAGUUAUAUCAUCCCAGCAUAUCGAAAGAAUGUUAUCAAAUCAAGAAUUAUUUUUUAAAAUGAAAAAUUAAAAAAUGCAGUAAAUAAAUUCACGAAUAAAGCUAAUGAUAGAGAGGUAUAUGUAAGAAAAGCUAAGUGAUAGAAUUUCAUUUAGAUACAAAUUCAUAUAUCACAUAUGUUUAUUAAAAUAAGAUUAAUUUAUUAUUCUUCCUUAUCCUUAUCCUAACAUUUUUCAAAUACAAUAUAUAUUUAAAAUUAAUAUAGAUUUGAGUUGAGAUAACUAUUGAAAUCAAUGAGACAAUACUAAUACUAAUACUAAUACUAAUACUAAUACUAAUACUAAUACUAAUAACAAUAACAACAUUUUAACUAUUUUUACUUUACCACUAUUAGAUUGCACUACUAUUACUAUUACUAUUAUUAUUUGUUCAUUGUUAUUUGAGAUAAAUAUUAAGAUACAUCGUGUAGCUAAAAAAAAACAUUGUGUUCCAUGAUUACUAAUUAAGUACAUCUAAAUUAUAAGUUUAUCUUUGAAAGUAUGUUUUAUUUCCAAUUUAAAUUAAAAAAAAAAUUAUAGAAUAACCAAUAUCUUAGAUGAGCGGUUAAAACCGUCAAUAUAGGUUAGGAUCGUUGGGAUGGCCCGGCCCAGCCUGUAAUUUGAUAGGGCUGGGCAACAAUUUUUAUAGCCCAUUUAAGAAUAGGGCUUUUUAGCCCUUCAUGAAUAAAUCUAUUGACCAGUCGGCUUGAGCAAUAUGGGUUUGGGUGACCCGUGGGUCAAAUAAAAAUAAUUAAAAAAUAAAAUAUAGUACUAAAAUUAUAUUUAAAUAUUAAUUAUAUUUAUAAAAUAUAUAAAUAAUUAACCCAAAAAUAGCCCGUUUAUGCCGAUUCACCCUUUUGACCCCCCAAACGGCCCUGUCAAUCCCAACUACCCUCACUUCCCCGCUCCUCAGCCUUCCCGAGAGCCCCCGAUCAAUUUUCGAUACAAACCACGCCCGGUCCCUUCACUCACCUUCAAAAUUGUGGGCUAUAUCACACCGAUUUUUCUCAGAAAUAAUCCGUUUGUGCCCUUUUUACUAUUUGACCAACCAAAUAGCCCUACCGACCACCACCGACCCCAACGACCUAUACACCUCUGUUCCACAGCAUGCCUGGGAGCCUCUGGUAAAUUUUUAUCCUAAAACAUGCCUGGGCGCUGGGGUCACCUCCGAAACUGUGAGCUAUAGCACACCAAUUUGGACAGAAAAUGGUUCAUUCAUGUCGUAUCACUCGUUUUACCACUCAAAUGGCCUCAUCGACCCUAACGACCCAUACUAUCCCACUCUUCAGACUGCCUAGGACCCCCGAUUAAUGUUUUACCAAAAAUAUGCCCAAUCCCUAGGCCCACUCUCAAAACUAUGAUCUAUAACGUAUCGAUUUGGCCUAAAAAUGCAUCAUUCGCGCCAUUCAGCCCGUUUGACAACUCAAACAGCCCUGUUGAACCCAAUGACCUAUAUUCUCCCACUUCUCUUCCUGCCUGGGAGUCGCCGAUCAAUUUUUGAACUAAAACAAGCUUGAACCCCAAGCCCACCUUCAAAACCGUGAGUUAUAGCUUACCGAUUUGCCAUAAAAUUACCUAUUCAUGCUAUUUCGCCUCUUUGACCACCCAAACAGCCCUAUUGACCCCAAAAGACCACACUCUCUCUCUUAUCAGCCUGUCUGGGAACCCUCACUUGAUAUUUGAUCCAAAACACGUCUAGGCCUCAGUCCCACCCAAGAAUCAUGAGCUAUAACACAUUGAUUUGGCUUGAAAAUGGUCUGUUCGCUUCAUUUAGCCCGUUUGACUACCCAAAUGGCCCCGCCGACCCUAAUGACCCACUUUUCCUCGCUUAUCAACCUGCCUGGGAUCCCUUGAUUGAUUUUCAGUCCAAAACAUUUUCGAGUCCCGAGCCCACCCCCAAAAUCGUGAGCUAUAACACACUGAUUUGGCCCAAAAAUGGUCUAUUUGUGUUGUUUCAUCUCGUUUGACCACACAAACAGCCCAGCCGACCCAAAAGUUCCACACUCCCUCGCUCUUCAGCUUGCCUGGGAGCCCCCAGUCCAUUUUUGGCCCCAAAUAUGCUCGGACCCUGGGUCUACCUCCAAAACCGUGACUUAUAGCACAACGAUGAACUUGGAUUUCGUUAUGUGUUCGGUCCCGCUCAUAUUUCUUCGGUCUACCUUUACCCCGCCUAAAACCAUCCAUAACCAGUAUUUCACACCUCUGCACUGAAGAAUCAUAGCCCCUCUUCAUCACGUGGCCAAACCAACGUAACCUCAUAUUUCGCAUCUUGUCCUCCACCGAAGCAACUGUCACCUUCUCUCGAAUAAUUUCAUUCCUCACCUUAUCUUUCCUGGUAUGUCCACAUAUCCAUCGCAAUAUUCUUAUCUCCUCCACCUUUAAUUUUUAGAUGUGAGAGUUCUUAACUGGCCAACACAUCGCUACGUACAUCAUAGCCGGCCGGACUGCCACUUUGUAGAACUUACCUUUAAGUUUUGAGGGCACCUUCUAAUCACAUAGAACUCCCGAAGACAGCCUUCAUUUCAACCACCCUGCCCCAAUAUAAUGCGUUACAUCCUCGUUAGUCUCAUCAUUGCCCUAAAUCAUAGACUCUAGAUACUUGAAACUCUCCCUCUUAUGAAUGGCCUAAGAGUCCAUCUUCACAACCACUCCAGCCUCCUGCGACACAUCACUGAACUUAUACUUCAAGUACUCUGUCUUGGUUCUACUUCAUCGAAAUCCUUUAGCCUCAAGCGUCUGUCUACAAAUCUCCAACUUAUCAUUAACUUCACUCCGAGUCUCAUCAUCAUCUACAAAUAACAUACACCAAGGAACCUUUUUCUUGAAUAUGUCACAUCAAAACAUCCAUAACCAAGGCAAACAAAAAUGGGCUAAGAGUCUAUCCCGGGUGCAACCCUAUCAAAACAGGAAAGUUCCUUGAGUUUCCACCUACCGUCCUCACACGAGUCUAAUCCCCAUCAUCCAUAUCCUGAAUCAACCUAGUGUACGCCACGGGCCUCCCCCUAGCCUCUAAGCACCUCUACAGAAUCUUCCCGGAAACUCUGUCGUAUUCAUUCUCAUGAUCAAUAAACACCAUGUGCAAGUCUUUCUUCCUCUCCCAAAACUGCUCCACUAAUCUCCUCACAAGGUGAAUGGCUUCAGUGGUCAAGCGCCCUAGCAUGUAACCGAACUGAUUCUCAGAGAUCGUCACGAUCCUUAUCAUCCUCAACUUUACCACCCUUUCCCAAACCUUCAUAGUAUGACUCAACAACUUAAUACCUCUAUAGUUGUUGCAACUCUGGAGGUCUCUCUUUUUCUUAUACACUGAAAUCAUAGUACUCCACCUCCACGCUUCAGGCAUCUUCAUCGCCCUAAAAAUACUAUUAAAUAACCUUGUCAACCACUCCAAACCUACCCCGCUAGUGAUCUUCCAAAAAUCCACUAGAAUCACAUUUGUCCCCGUUGCCUUACCCCGCUACAUCCUGCGAAUAGCUCCCUUGACCUCCCCAACCUUGAUAUACCUACAAUAACCAUAAUUGCGACACUUCUAAGAUUUCUUCAAUUGCAUUUCAAACAGUAAAAGUACUUAAUUGUAUCAAUUAUGGAACUUCUAGUUUCAAAUCUUAAUUUUCAUUUAGUCUCAAUUCAAAAAUUAAGUGCAUAAAAUUUAUUAGUUUAUUUUAAAUUUUCAGAUAUUGUUCUAUUGCUCAUUCAUAUUACAAUGAUCAAUUUUAUGAUUAAUAUCCUUAGUUAUUUUAUUUAUACAACUUGUUGUAUCUACUAAGUUAAUUUAAUUAAGAUCUCUCAAAUCACUCUCAAAAUCACCACCCCACCAAAUACUACACCCACCUCCUAGCCUUAUCCUUCAGCCACCACCCCGCCUCCCUAGUUUUUAUUAUAUUUUAGUUUAUUAGAUUUUUUGUAAAAUAUUUUUCUCACAUCACCAAUCUCUUAUCCCAAAUCCACCCUCCACCAACAAAAAAUAUUUUAUUUUUCUUUAAGAUAAAAUUUUAUAUUGCACCCACCCCUACUCCUUCAUACCCAUUCGACACACUACUUAAUACACACACAAAAAUAAUUACUUUUGAUUUUUUUCUAAAAAAAAAAAUUCCACCCUUCUGUCCUGACUCCCAAGAAAAAUAAUUUUUUUUAUCUUUUAAGAAUCAUUUUUUCUACUCCACAACUCUAACCCCUACCUACACUGCCACCCUACCUACCCCGCCUACCUAGCUCACCCCUACCCCAUCUCAACCACCAUAAUCUCUUGUUAUUCCCCUCAUCCAUCACUUUGCCUCAAUGCAAUUUAUAAUUUUGUGUUAACUAUACACAAGUUCUAUUAGAAAAUAUCUUUUAUUUACUGAUAAAAUAUCAAUUAUCAAUUUAUGUUAGCAUACAUGCUAUUACUAAUGUCAAAUAAUCACAUCAAAUAAAAUUAUCUAUUUUUUAAGCUCAAAAUGAACUAAUAGCUACUAAUUAAUAUUUUUACUAUCCUAAAUUUUUUGUAAAAAUAUUUACCAAAUUAAGUUCAAGCAUUUUAUAUCCCUCCAACAAAUUAUGCUUUUUGUUAUCUAUUGAAAAUAAUUUGAGACGUAGUGGAUUAAUUCAUCAUCAAAAUGAAAUAAAAUAUAUAAGCAUACACCAUUAGAUAUGACGAUGAAAGAAUAUACAAAGAUUAUGAUUAAACAUUCAGCAAUAUAUUUUCAAAGAAAUCUUUCUGAGAAAAUUAACACUUGAAUUCAUAAAAAGAAAUCGUUAUAAUUAACUUUAACAAAUAGGAAAGCAAUUGAAAAAGAUGAUGACAGAGAUAUAUGAUUAUGAUGAUAAAAAAUUGUAGUAAAAAAUAUGAAAGCAAUAGAAAGAGAUGAUGGACUCUGAUACCAUGAUAAUUAAAUGAACCUUGAACCUAACUCAACGUCAAAAGCUAGCACAUGAGGUGAGGAUUGUCCAAGAUCAUAUAAGGAGACUAAGGACUCAUUAAUCCACCGAUGUGGGACUUUCCCCUCCCUCUCCUUGCACGCCAAGACUGGACAUCUGAAGCAUAGGGAAUAUAAGAUGGGGAACUCAACAUUGAAAAUAAUGAAUUGGGUAGACCUGACUCUAAUACCAUGUUGAAGUGUGUGACCAUCUCAUCUAAAAGUUUAACUAUUAGAAAGAGUACACUUUUACUAUUUAAUUAUAUAUUCUCAACAGUUACUUAAUAUGCUAUUUUGGCAUUGAACAAAUGAACUUUACAUGGCAUUACAAACUGAAGCAAGAUACAAAAUUUUUGUUUCAAAUAGUUCAAGAAAGAAUCUUUUUUCCUUUUGAAACAAAGAAAUAGAGUCACAUUUGUUGGCUUGUUUUGUCCCCACAGUUGAACUAAGAGCACUUUGAGUGGAUGCAUUUUCUAUUAUUAAGGAUGUUCAAUAUUGGAAAAGUACUACUCCUUUCAUUUAAAAACGAAUGGUAGACCAAACAACAUAAUAAUUUCAUACAUUAUAUUAACUCCUAAGUAGCUACCAAACCUGAAAUUACUUAUGUCGGAUUCCUACAUAACUCGUUGCUAAGUCAGCUACCAAAUGACCCCUUAAUACCUUCUUUCUUUGUUCAUUGAGAAGACAAAGACCAAUGCAAGCAUAAUUCAAUUUAUCUGUAUAAUAUGUUCAAAACCAAGGUGCAGAAUAAAUACUUUACAUAAAUACAAAACUUCCUAAAUGAGUUUACCCAAUUGAUAUGAACGAUUUGAUUUACUCAGCUCCUGAUUCAUCAAUUGAUGACUAUCGUAUUUUUUCAUGAGAUCUGCCAGGUAGUUUUUUUUAUAACCAGAUUUUUAUAACAAAAAAAAAUGUACCACUACUACCUCUGCAGCAAUAAAAUCUUCUGAAGCAUCCAAUGAAAGUUGAGAGACUCGCUUCUCGUCUAUAGCUUUUGGUGAAUCAAUUGCUGAAAUUGAUGAAAAUUAUUCACCAUCAUUUCAACAUAUUUUGUCAUUUUUCUCAUUUUCAGUUCUCUUUAUAAAAGUCAUUAUUGGAUCUUUUCCCCUAGUAAUUGAAGUGGUUCUAAGAAUGGAGCAAAUUUUUCAGGUGCAGCUUGCGGUGGAAGCUCACAAGUGUCGGCAUUUGCAGGCAACUUAGAAGAUCUAGUUAAGGAUGGACCAACUUCCUUCAAAAUAAACAAGCUUCAAAAUGGAUCAUUUUGACUGAACCUUUUCCCUAUCUAUGUGCAAUGAAUAUGUUGAUAAUAGUAGGUAUCAUAAUCUUGGUCCAACUGUUAGGUUAGAUAGUAACUCAAGAAUCGUUUAUCAAUUCCCCUUUCUUAAGAACCCCAAAAAAUAUAUAACACUAGAACAGAAAAAAGUAAACUUAGACACAACAAAUGUUGAUUGUAUGAGAGGUUAUACAAAGUGAAGUUUUUAUAUAUAAUCAAAUUUAGGACCAAAAUUGGGAAAAAAAUUGAUUGACAUGAAUAAAUACUUCAAAUUGUAAUCUCCACUUGGAUUCACUCACAUUUAUUGCGUUUUUCUCAAAUUUUGGGUUUAAAAUCCUUCAGUUUUUUCAACGUGUUUGUGCUUUUCUCAGGUAUUGUUACUUGAACAAUUAUGUUAUUUUGGCCUUGAACUAAUGAACUCUAUGUGGCAUGAUAAACUGAAGAAUGACACAAAACUUUUGUUUCAAAAAGUUCAAGAAAGAAUAUUUUGUAUUUUUUAAACAAAGAAAUCAAGCCACAUUUCUUGGACUGAUUUGUCCACUCAUUGUGCUCUUAGUUCAACUGUAGGGACAAAAUAGUUCAACAAAUAUAGCUCUAUUUCUUUGUUUCAAAAAGUCAAAAGAUUCUUCCUUGAACUAUUUGAAACAAAACAUUUGUGUCUUUCUUUAGUUUGUUAUGCCACGUAGAGUUCAUUAGUUCAAUGCAUAAACAGCAUAACUGUUCAAGUAAUAUUACUUGAGAAAACGGCAAACACCCUAAAAAAUAUAAAAAUUUUAAACCGAACAUUUAAGAAAAACAUAAUAAAUGUGAGUGAAUACAAGUGGAGAUUACAAUUUGGAGUGUUUAUUCAUGUCAGUCAAUUUUGGUCAUAAAUUUGAGUAUAUGUACAAACCCCACUUUGUAUAACCUCUCAUACAAUCAACAUUUAUUGUGUUUGAGUUUACCUUUUUCUACUCGAGUGUUAUUUAUUUUUGGGGGUUCUUGAGAAAGGGGAAUUGAUAAGAGAUUCUUGAGUUACUACCUAACCUAGCAGCUGGACCUAGAUUGUGAUAUCUAUUAUUAUCAAUAUGUUCCAUGCAUAUAGCUAGGGAAGAAUGAUCUUUCAAAAUGAUCCAUCUUGAAUCUUGUUUAUUUCGAAGGAAAUUGGUCCAUCCUUACCUGGAUCUUCCAACCUGCCUGCAAAUGCCGACUCUGGUGACCUUCCACUGCAUGUUGCACCUGAAAAAAUUGCUCUAUUCUUAGAUCAAAUUAUUAGGGGAGGAUCCAAUAAUGACUUCUAUAAAGAGAUGUGAAAAUGAGAAAGAUGACAAAAUAGGUCAAAAUGAUGGUGUAGAAUUUUCAUCAAUUUCAGCAAGAGAUUCACCAAGAGCUAUAGCCGAGAAGAGAGUCUCUCAACUUUCAUUGGUUGCUUCAGAAGACUUUGCUGUUAUGGAGGCAUUAGUGGAACAUCUUAUUAUUUUUUAGUUAUCAAAAAAACCCUACCUUCCAGAUCCCAUGAUAAAAGACGAGAUAUAUGAUAUUGGACUCCCAUCUCAAUCAGUAGGAAAGGGCCCAAAAUCUCUCACCUUUUCUUUGUUGAUGAUCUAACUCUUUGUGCUGUUGCUAAUGAAAGAAACUGUGAAACCAUCCGAGCCACUCUUAGCAUCUUUACCUUCCACUCUAGCCAAAAAAUUAACAUUCUUAAAUCUAAAGUAAUCUUCUCUAGAAACUGUGCUCAGGAGACCAAAGAUAGUUUGUCUCACAUCUUAGGCAUCCAAUCCAAAGAAAAGUUCAGCAAAUAUCUUGGUUUUCCCGUCUUCAACAAAAAACCUUGCAAUAGAGAUUUGUAAUUCAUCCUAGACAAUCUCAACACUAAGUUGGCUGGAUGGAAAACCAAAUUUCCCAAUAUGACUGGUAGAAUCACCCUUACCAAAACCUCUCUGGCUUGUAAUCCCGCUCAUGUGAUGUAAUUCAUCUUGAUCCCCUUUAAAAUCAACUAAUUUAUUGAUAGAACCCAACAGACCUUUCUCUGGGGCACCACCCCUGAUAAUUAGAAAAUACAUCUAAUUAAUUGGGAAACCUUGAUUAAUGCUAAAGCUAAUGGGGGCCUGGGCCUCUAGAAAGCUUCCAUUAAGAACACCACUAUGUUAUCCAGUUUAGCCUGGAGAUUUUACAAACAUCCCAAUAGUCUCUGGGAAAAAAUUCUUUAAAAUAAAUUAGUCCCCAUGCCAUUUCCCUCAAAGCCAACAACUUUAGAACUUGGAAAAGUGUCCUUAUGGGUUGGGAAAUUUGUUAAACUGCCUCCUCUUGGAAUAUUCAUAAAGAUGAUAAGAUCAACUUCUGGAAGGAUAGAUGGAUGCCUCACUGUGAACUCCUUCUUUCCAUCAUCCAAGACCUUCUUCCAUAUCAUUCCCAAGACAUUAAACUCUAUGGGGUCUAAAGGAAUGACACCUGGAACUUCAAGGAUGUUACUUUUGAAAUCCAUGAGGAUCUCAUCCAAACUUUUACCAACAUUGAUUUCCCCAAUCCCAGAGGCCAUACUAAUGAGCUCAUUUGGAAUUUCACUGGUAAUUAUCUUUUCUCCAGCAGAAUUUCUUAUAAUCAUAUAGCCAAAACCUCUGAGAUCAAUUACUCCUCUAAUUUUAACUGGAUAUGGAAGGCUAAAUCCCCUAAAAAGGAAAACCUUUCUUUUGCUAAGCCAGUAUGAUAGGUACCCCAAUAACCUUAACCACUCUAAGAGAAGAGUGAGACAAAAUAGUAGUUGUGCUAUCUGCAAUCAUCACCAGGAAGACAAAUCCCACAUUUUCUUCAAGUGUCCCAUCCUCAAAUAUUUUGGAGUGCAAACUAUCCACAAGAUGACCCAGUCCAAACAACCUCCUAUUACUAGUCUCCUACCCUCUUACUGGCACACUAUCUGGAGAUCUCUUCAACACUCCCAAUUCAAUAGACUAAUCCACUAGCACGACAUUAUUCCUUUCGGCCUCUAGACAAUCUGGAACACCAGGAACUCUAAUACCUUUAAUAACAAAAGGGACCAUCCCAAUUUUAACUAUGCUUACUCCCAAACUAUUGAGUAUAAACAUCUUACUCAAAAGAAUACCCCAAUUAAGCAAAACCAAAUCAUCAACGUUAAGUGGAAUCCUCCCACCAGCCACACCUUCAAGCUCGAUACUGAUAAUUCUAGCCUUAGAAACCUCGAGAAGGGUGGAAUAGGAGCGGCAGUCAGAUCAAGUAAUGGAGGCUAAGUGUUAGGUUUGAACAAAAUUUAGCAAAUAAUUGAUGAGCUCUAAGGGUUUCCAACAAGAUUCAAAGAUGAUUCUCAUGGUCAUCCUCACUUCGAGAAUAUACAAGAAUAUCAUCUAUGAACACAAUAACAAAUAAAUACAGAUACCGCUUGAAGACUCGGUUCAUAAGAUCCAUGAAACCCGCUGGAGCAUUGGUUAACCCAAAAGACAUGACAAGAAACUCAAUAUGACCAUAGCGGGCUCGAAAAGAUGGCUUUGGAAUAUCACACUCUCUCACUUUAAGCGAAUGAUAGCCGGAUCUAAGGUCUAUCUCUGAGAAAUAACUUGCACCCUGUAGGUCAUCAAAUAAAUCAUCGAUUCUAGGAAGAGGGUACUUAUUCUUAAUAGUCACCUAGUUGAGUUGGUGGUAGUUAAUGCACAUACACAAUGUACCUUCUUUCUUCCACACAAAUAGAACAGGUGCAACCUACGGGGAAACACUGGGUCUGAUAAAGACUUUUUCUAAGAGGUCUUUGAGUUUCUCCGACAACUCUUUAAGUUCUGUGGGAGCCAUACGGUAUGGAGGGAUGGAAAUAGGCUGAGUUCCAGGAAGAAGAUCAAUCCUGAAUUCUAUUUCUCUAUCAGGUAGGACCCCUGGAAGGUCUUUCGGGAAAACAUUGGGAAACUCUUUAGCAAUGAUAACUGAACAAAUAGUUGGAGUCGCGAACUUAAGGUCUUUAACUCGAACUAGAUGAUAUAUACAACCCUUGGAAAUCAACUUCCUAGCUUUGAGGCAGGAUAUGAAAUGGCUCUUUGGAGUUAUAGAACUCCCAAACCACUCAAACCUAGGUUUGUUUCGAAACUAAAACUUGACCACUCAGGUAUGACAAUCUAUAGACGCAUAGCAUGAGUGAAACCAAUCUAUACCUAGAAUGACAUCAAAAUCAACCAUAUCUAUCUCAAUCAGAUCAACACAUAUGACCUGAUGAAGGACAGUAAUAGGACACUUCUUAUACACUCACAUAGCAAUAACAGACUCUCCUACCGGGGUAGAAACCAGAAUAGGUUCAGGAAUCCAUUCAGGGUCCAUCUCAAAAUUUAUAGAAACUAGAGGUGUCACAUAAGAGAAACUCAAACUGGGGUCCAUCAAUACAUACACAUCAAAAUGAAAGACACGGAGCAUACCAGUGACAACAUCUAGGGAAUCCUCCUACUCCUGGAGAAGUGGUAUAGCAUAGAAUCAAGUCUAGCGUGAACCACCAACAAUACUAGAAGAGGCACACUGAGGAGGAACUGGGUGGACUAUGGCAGCAGAGGCACUGGUAGCCUGACUCUGGGGACGAGCAUCUUGACCCCCUGUCUAGCAUACAGAUAAUCUCUAAGUCAGUGGCCCAACUUGCCACAACCAAAGCAAUAUCUCUGAUCAAUAAAACACUCACCAAAAUUAUCGCUACCAUACUUGGCAUAUGAAGGAGGACGAGGUAUGUUACUUACACUUUCUUGAGACGUGGAUGGGAUAGGCCUGUUCCCCUGCUCUUGCCUGCUUCUAGGUGCAGGAGCACUAACUGAGGAAGGUGCGGGCAUAAAUGAAAGUCUCUGGAACUGAAGGCGGUCCCCUUCAUAGAAUCUGGACUAACCGAAUACCUGCUACUCUGAUCUAGCUCUUUUAUUUUCUCUUACUCUCUCCCUCUCUUCCACCUUAUCAGCUUCAAUCUAUUGGGCAUGUAUCAUCAACCGAUAAAGGUUUAUCUUUCUAUUAAGCAUAGCAGAUUUACACUAUUUCAUAACGUAACUCAACACACUGGUCAUAAACUUACUCAUGAUGGUCCUGGAGACAGCCAUCAUACUAGGUGUAUAUUUGGACAACUGAUUGAAUCUAACACAAUACUCCUUAACAGUCAUGGAGCCUUGUCUCAAAUUUAUUAAUUCCUCUAUCUUUGCUUCCCUUAUCUCAAGAGGAAAGAAUUUGUCCAAGAACGCAUCUUGGAAUAACUGCCAAGUCAUGGGGCGGCAUCCUCCCCUCCACUUUCCCUCCAUACUUACACCCAAUCAUAUGCAAUAUCUUUCAUUCGAUAGGCAGCCAAUUCAACACUCUCCUCUUCAGUUAUGUGCAUAAUCUGGGUGAUCUUUCUCACUUCAUCCAAGUACAUCUGUGGGUCUUCACCUAUCUUUGACCCAUAGAACUCAGGAGGAUUCAUCUGCAUAAAGUCACAAAUCAAGCUGCAGCAGAAAUAAUCUCUUACGGAGGUGGAAUAGUAGCCUAGUUUUUAGCUUGAGUAUUGGCAGUAACUAACGAGGCUAGCACCUGAAAAUCUGCCCAGAAUUAUACAUGUGACACAUGCUCGUUCAGGGGUUCAACGGGUUGAGGUUGCUCAUUUUUUCUAUGAGCUCGAUAAGGAGGCAUUUUCUAUCAUAAGAGAGCAUGAAUUAAUAGCAGAGAGAAAUAGUCGUAGGACCGAUAGACUUUUGAAAGAAAAAAAUGACUUUUCCUAAAACGUCCCAUAGCCUCUUGCUCAUAUAUAUGGCACGCUACACAUCGAUGAUCACGACUCUACAUAACACGGCUUACCAGACUCCCUAGGACUCCUUAAACCAUAGGCCCUGAUACCAAGCUUGUAACACCCCAAGAUCCCAUCCCGAGACAUCACACGGUGCUAAAGGCCAUACGCGGCCUCAAGCUAACCCUCUAAACCUGUCAUUACUUUGAGAACUCACUUUUAAAAUAGUCAUGCUAAUAUAAUAGAGAAUGACAUAUCAUAAACAUACUGGAAUAAGUUACGAAACUAGCAUGUACAAUCUAAAAUACUGAAAUUCUGUACAUACUAACCCUUAAGCCUGACAAAGCCUCUAGACAUCAAAAUCAAGGAGACAUUGGGACAAACCCCCAACUGACUCACACAGUACUGAAAACCAUAAAAACAAAAUGGUAUCACAAAGUUAUAAACACAUUCCUCAAACUAUGAGGACUCACCACUGAGUAGACGAAAAGUGGCUCCUGAAUAUCGUUAACGCGGCUGUGUACCUGAACCUACAUUAUGAGAAAAUUUAGACCAUAGAAAAAUAUGUGGCUCAGCACUUUGAAAUGUACUGAGUAUGUCGGGGUGCAUGCAUAAUGUAAAUAUCGUCAUCAACUUCAUGAAAAUAUGCAUAUGUACAAUGAUGGCUUACUUGGCUUGAGUUAGAUUGAAACAUAAUUUUCAUGAUCUCACCGUAAAUAAAUCAUAUGAUAAAACCCUCAUAAAUCAUCAUAAACAACUCAACUAUUCAACUCAAGACUCGGAGUGACCUAUAAUUCAAGAAACUCGACUCUUAUGGACAUGGGAGGUUCUUAUAACUGACAUAAGCCAAGUGAGCUACAUGGAGUCCAACAUUUUGCCCUCCUAAGGAGAGAACCCCACAUUGACGAGAGCGUCAUACUCUUGACAGGGAGUACAACCUAAAUUAAGUGAUCACAAUCUCAUACUCGGCCAUCGACCCUCAAUUAUCAAUAUCAAUCCUACGGUGGAACAUAGUUUUGGGGGAAAUACAAUAUUUCCUAUUCGGUGCUAAAUACUACUCCCAGACAUAAGCUCGGAACGCAUUAGGAAAUCCACAACAAACAUCACAAGGGUCUAUCAUGAAGACCAAAUCAAAUCUCUUUCUCAUUUAUCAAAUCAUAAUCAAUAUGUGGAUUCCUAACUCGACUCAAAUCAAAUCAAUCUUUCUCAAUAUCAAAAUGCAUCAAUUCAUUAAGUCAUGGGAACAUCAAUAACUUUGAGAAAAUAUCAAGACUCAUUGUAACAACUCAAUUCUUAUGAAUCAAUAUACUCAAUAAUCCAAUUUGUCAUAAGGAAGCUUAAAGCUUGACACAUAUCUUGAAAGCACUUGAAAUACCAACUCAUGGUAGAAACUUGAAAUUCACAAUAUUAAAUAUCAAGUCAUAACUUGGAAAUUAUAAAAUAAUCAUGUAUAACAAAGCUUGAAAUAUUUAUAUUCUCAUAAUCUCAUGAUGAAGUAAUUUGGGUAUAAACCCACUUGCAAAAUUAUAUAAAUCCACUAUAAAAAUCAAAGCAUUGAGCACAAGAACGAAAGAAUUGCUCUUGUUCAAAACUCCACAUACCUUAAUCUUUGAAAUUGGUUGAACUAUAGUGCUUGAGACUUUACUCACACUUGUAAUAAAAAAAUUCUUGAUUCCCACUCUAUGAGGAACUUGAUUCUUGGAGGAAUCUUGAAGAUUUAUGGAUGAUUUUGUGGAGAUUAAUUUCCUUAAAUAAAACCCUAGAUAUAUUUCAUAAAAGAAUUAGAAGAGAGAAAUGAAGAAAUAAGGUUUUGGAUGACGAUUCUCAUAUAUAUAUAGGCCUCCGAAAAUAGGAAAUGACUAAAAUACCCUUGCAAAUAUCGUUCAUCAAUUGCUGAAAAAAAUAGCUGAUGAUAUCUGUGACAAGCUGUCAGGCCCGUGAUAGGUCUCCACCAAUUGUCAUCACAAAAAGGGUGGAUUUUGUGACGGGCCGUCAGGCUUUUGACAAGUCGUCACAAAAGGUCAUCACGAAUUCUCCAGGCUGACAUGCUGGAGUAAAAUAAGCAUAACUCUUUCCUGCGAUAUUGUAUUUUGACGAAAUGGGUAUCGUUGGCAAGAUAAUUCAAUUAUCUAUCUUUUGGUAGGUCAUUACCUCAAUAAUUCAUAGUACAACGGGAGAUAUGCUCAUUUGAAGUUGACUAUGCCAAAAUCCUUCUCAAGAAUUCAAUCAGUAAAGAAUGUUUUGAUUCACCCUAGCGUUAGGACAUCUUUAAAGUCUUAAUACACAUCACCCUUGACCAGAAAACAACCAAAACACUAUAAUUUAUUUCUUAUGGGCUUGUGUCAUUUCGGCAUUAUUGGUUAGAAUCUCGGGGUAUUACAUUAUUACUUUUAAUUAUCUUUGCUAUUUACCUUUCUACAAAUAUAAUGCAAAUUUAUCUUAUAAUGUUAUAAUUGAAUUUAAAUAAAAUAUUUGAGAUCAACCACAUAUAUUUGAUAGUAAAUUAUGUUUUAUUAUUAUUAUUAUUAUUAUUAUUAUCAUUAUUUUUAUUAUUAUUAUUAUUAGUAGUAGAUAGUUCAACUAUGAUUUUUUAAUUUUAAACUAAUGAAUUAUUUUUUUAAAUUUUCAAAGCCUACUAUUUUCAAAUUCAUAUAUUUCUAUUAACAUAGUGAAUUACUUAUGUAGGACUUAAUUACCUGCAUAACUCACUGCUAAACUAACUACCAAAAAAUACGCUACUACCUGCGUAAAUAAUAUAUAGAUAAUCCCUAAAUUAAAAAAAUCUGCAUCACUCUAAUUGAGGCCCUUUCAUUAUUUACUUACAGCUUCUUAGGUUUAAGUGGGUAAACAGAUGAAAAAAGAAAAGAAAAGACUCUCACAUCUAGUUUCUCCAGAAGCACCUCUUUAGAAGAAGGGUGUUGUUGAAGCAACUCAUUUUCAGAUUCAAGCAGUCUUUUGUUUUGUUCCUCCUCAGAAACAAAAGUAUGAGCCGGGGAAACCAUUUUUAUUUCUCACAGGAAAUGAAGAACAAGAAAAACACUGCAAUUUAAAACCAGGCUUUAAAUUUCAUAAACAAACUAUGAAAUCUUAAGAGCAAAAGGGGAAAAACAAAGUGCAAAAAGACCUCACCAGUAGUAGGAUACAAAGGAUGAGAGAGAGAGAGGAAGGAGGGUUAUAUUAAAAAUAGAACGAAUACAGUGGAGGUAGAGCACAUUUAUCAAAUAUUCUUUAAAAACACACUAGCUACAUCACCGACGUUUCAAAAUCAAGCCAAAGUUUUAUCCUGUUUAGAAAAAAAUUUCAAAGUGUGUGAGUAGGACUGAGGUUGUCUUAACUGCGUAAAUUGGUUUGCCCUCUUCAAAUCCUUAUUUUUAUAUUUCUUUUAAUUGAACACAAUUUUAAGAGGGCAAACUAAUUUACGCAGUUAAGACAACCUCAAUCCUACCCUCAUAUUAUGAAUUUUUUUCUAAAUAGCACAAAAAGUUGCCUUGAUUUUGAAACAUCGGUGAUGUAGCUGGUGUGUUUUUAAAUAAAUUUGAUAGAUGUGCUCUACCUCUACUGUAUUAGUUCCAUUUUUCAUAUAACCCUCCUUCCCCUCUCUCUGGUGCUUUGUAUCCUAGUACUGGUGAGGUCUUUUUGCACUUUGUUUUUCCCUUUUUUCUCUCAUGAUUUCUUAUUUUGUUUAUGAGAUUUAAAGCCUGGUUUUAAAUGUCCAGUGUUCUUCUAGUUCUUCAUCUUCUUUAAGAAAAGAAAAUGGCUACCCCGGCUCAUGCUUUUGUUUUUGAGGAGGAACAAAAUAAAAAGAUUGUUCGAAUCUGAAAAUGAGUUGCUUCAAUAUCACCCUUCUUCUAAAAAGGUGCUUAUAGGGAUACUAGAUGUGAGAGCCUUUUCUUUUCUCUUUCCAUCUGUUUACCCACUUAAAACUAAGAAGCCAAAAGUAAAUAACAAAGGGGCCUCAAUUAGAGUUAUGCAAGUUUUUGUACUGUAGGGAUUAUCGAUGUGGAAAUCUAUAUAUUAUUUAUGCAUGUAUUAACGUAUUUCUGGGUAGUCGAUUUAGCAUUGAGUUAUGCAGGUAAUUAAGUCCUACAUUGUUAAUAUUAAAAUAUUAGUAGUUGUUUUAGCCUAUGUUUACUCCUAUUAACAUAGAAUAACCCUCGAGACCGCAAAGAAGGCCCAUAAAAACCUAUCUACCAAAUAGAUGGCUCUGUAGCCUUUCUCAACUAGUUUGAUGGCCCACUUUUAGGGCCCAAUUAUGGAUGAACAUGGUUAUGCUAUUCAAGAAAAUUAUAGUAGUACUAUUGGGACUUUGGAUUAAAAGGGACAAAUAAGUUGUCUAGUUAAGUAACAAUCCUUCAAGUUUUUAAAAUUAGGUGGGAGGGACAAAAUUAUUUUGAUUUUUUUUUUUAGGUUUUUUCAUUCCAACAACUUCUCCCAAUUGUCAAACAACUUUGAUAGUUGUUCGACAACUUCUAGCAGUUGUUCAACAACUGUGUGAAGUUGUUGAGACAACUAAUGUAGUUGUCGAACAACUAUCCAAGUUGUUCAAAUGACUUAAUUUUUUUCAAAGGGAUAAGUUGCGGGAUCCACUUGUCCCCUUUUCUUAAUUGGAAACUUGGGAGGUCUAUUGAUUCAUUUUCCUCACUUAAGUUUUUAAUUUGUAUAUAUCAUGAAGUAGUUAGCUUAUAUUUACGUUGUAAAUUGUAAUAUUAAGUGUAGAGAUAUCCUAAAUACGUUUAGUACAUCAAAGGGAGCUACUCGCAAACAUUAUGCAAUUCAAUUUGUCGCAAGAAGAACUUAAUCAUCACACAAAUACUUAUUGGUUCCGAAUAUUUACCCCUAAUCAAUGAUUUUAAUUCUAAUGAUUUAAUAAUAUAAGAUCAUUCAAUCAUGAUAAAAAAAUAAAAAUUUAUAAAAGAUAUUAUCUUGUAAUAGUGGGUAUAAGGAGAGGUGGAUGUAGGCUGAGGAGGUCUUGGUAAUGGUGAUUACAUUAGGUAUUUGUAGCUUUUCGAGAAUAUGAUCUAGUUAUAAAAAUACGGAGAUCAAGGAUGUGGUUAGUGGGUGGCUGAGCGUUGUCUAAUUUCCCUAUUAAGUAGUAUUUUUGUUAUUACUUUCAUACUAUCUUAUUCUUCUAUAUUAGAAUAAUUUGUUUAUUUUUAAGUUCAGUUAUCAUAUUAAUUGUUUGUCGUUGCUACCAUUUUCAGAUUUACAAUUUUAUUUCUUUUACAUGCCUAAUUUUUUUUUAUAUGUUUUACUUGAGUCGAGAGUUGAGAGUCAAUUGAGAACAACCUCUCUAUCUUCACAAGGCAGAAGUACAUGUCCAUGCUACCUCUCCAAACUCCACAUGUAAUAUUAUGUAUGUUAUUAUUGUAUAUAUCUUGAAUUGAUAGAUCAAAUGUAAAUACCCAAUGUUGAGGUAUACUUAUACCCAUUGGCGGAGGGAUGAUCUUAGAAAAAGGGUGAUUUGAUGCACAUCUUUUAUCAAAAGAUUAUAUAGUGUACAGAAGGUUGAUAUUAGCUAUUAUACGUCUAUAUUAAAUUUUGUACAUCCUUAACACAACUAAAAAGAAAAUAUGCACACUCCUCGUCAAAUUUCUGACAACGACACUACUACUGCCUCAACUAUGUACGUGUAAAGAUGAUGCUAUAUAGCAUUUGUCAUUUGCAUGACGCCCAAACCCUUUUAUCAGUGGACCUACCCAACCUGUCACCUCAUUUUCUGCUUUUAUAAUUGCAUACCCUUCCAAAUUUCAUACACCAUCCAUUUCAUUUUAAUUAGANNNNNNNNNNNNNNNNNNNNNNNNNNNNNNNNNNAUUAAAUUUUAAAAUAUAAUUUAUAUUAUAUUUUUUACUUUAUAAUUAAUAUAAUUUAAUGACCGAUAUAUUAAAUAUAUUUUAUUAAAAAAUUGUAUAAUUAUUAAAGUUCUUAAUCACAUGAUUAGAUAAUUUUUUUUAAAAAUUAUUUGUAUGGAAGAAAGUACUACAGGAGAAUUAGAAUAUAAUAAGAGACACAAGUAAUUUAAUAUAUACAACAACAACAAUAACAACAUACCUAGUGGAUUCCCACAUAGAGGGGUCUGGGGAAGGGUAGAGUGUACGCAGAUCAUACCACUACCAAAGAUGAAGUUGAGAGUCUGUUUCCGACAGACCCCUGGCUUAGGACCGAUAGCAGUAUAACAAACACAAAACAUAAACGCAUAAAAACUAGUACAGUCUGCAAAAUAAACUAAUGUCACUAGCCAUAAGAUAAUACUACAGUCACAAGAUAAUACUAAAACUAUCUAUCUGAAAUCAUAGACAUCACUCAACCCUUAUUGAUUACCAAGUUCAUCACCAACAACCUAUGUUUAGUCAAAAGAUUAUCUCUAGGUAUGACUUUACAAUCUUUAUAUAAUGUUCUAUCACUCUUCUUAAGGAGCUAAAAGUCUAUAUAAGUCUUGGCCAUUGAACUACAAAACAUUUCUAAAAUCUCAAAUUCGUUAUCCACAACCCAAAAGCCCUAGAAAAAUCCAAAAGAGAAGAUCUUCCUUUAUUCCUCUACCCAAAAUCGAAAUCUCCAUGCAAUCUCAUUCAAAACCUCCAAAAGCCCUUCUUCUCCUCCUCGUCCAAACCUAAUUGCAGAGCAUAAACAAUAAUAACGUUCACCGUAGUUCCUCCCAUGACCAACUUAAUAGACAUCAACCUAUCACUUACUCUUUUAACCUCUACCACCUGCUCCCUAAGUUCUUCAUCUACUAAGAUACCUACCCCAUUUCAAUGUCUCAUGCUACCCGAGUACCAUAACUUAUAUCCAUCCACAUCUCUCACCUUAGUGCCUACCAUUUAGUUUUAUGGACAUACGCUAUACUAACCCUUCAUUUUCCAAGAAUCUUCACCAAUUCUAUAGACUUACCUUAAAGCGUCUCUAUGUUCCAGGUCCCAAUUUUCAACCUAUAAGCACCUUUAUACAACUUCGCCCUACUAUCUCUCGCCCUCAACCCAAGACUAGAACCUAGACGCAACCCCAACCCCGACCUCGACCUAUGAAAUGACCCUAGUCCAUCAUCUAUCACCACUUAAAAGGAUAUGAUAGAAGAAAAUAAAGAAAAAAAGAUGAAAAACACGAUGAGCAAAAGAGUAUGACUAAAAAUAGCUAAAUCAGCAAACAAAAACCAGUAAGAAGGAUUGAUACUCCCAAGCAACAACAAGUACUAUACUACUCACAAGCAAUGAACACCUACUAAGUUAUGGAGAAACCGUAACCAGUAAUCCCACAGGAAUAAUUUAAAAAAUUACAUAAGAAAUCAGGAUAGAAAAAGAGACAAGAAACAUAUACCAAAUAAACUAGAGAAGACUGAAAUGAGUGCACCAGAUACUGGGAGAAGACAUAGUGAAAGACGUUUUCCUGAUUGUUUUAUUGAAUUUUGGCUAAUUGGUGCAGAAAUUGGUAGUCAGAAUUUGUUGCCACCACCUUUACCCUACUGCUGGUACCGAAUCCCUGUACUUGGUCGCCGGAGAAUAUGCUGGUUGCCAAAACAAUGAGCAAGACUGUAACGCCCCGAAAAAUGGGUCCUGGAGCAUCACACGGUGCUUGAGGCUACGAGUAGCCCCAAGCUAACCCUUUGAGCCAUUUCUAUUCAGUUUAUCACAAAUCAACGGGGUUUCCAUAAAUAACCCUCAAAUAUCAAUAGAGUAAUCAUCGUUCAAAAAUAAAAGAAUUUCAGAAAGAUAACAAAAUAUGACUUAUUAGUCAACUCCCUACAUCUAUACUAGUCUGACAAGCCUCUAAGAAAAUCAAUAAAACUAGUGAGCCAUUGAGACAUGCCCCAACUAACUCAUACUCAGUUAUCAAAUGUAAACAAUUCCGUGAAACCAACAUCAGACAUCACGUCCUCAGAACAUGAGAAGCGUGCCCAAAGAAUCACUGUCGAACCUGGAACUUAGCACCUGAACCUACAUUCUGAGAAAAUGCAGCCCACAUCUAAAGAUGUGGGUCAGUACCAUGGAAAGGAACCGAGUAUAUAGGGGUGUAUGCAGUUGUAUAAACAUCAUCAUCAUAAAUAUUUAUAAGAAAUAUGCAGGAUAUAUGAAAGACUCACAUAGCUCGGAGAAAAUCAUCAUAAUCAUGAGAGAAUGAAAUAAGUACAAUAACACAUGUGAUUCAUUAUAUAGUUUGUCAAUAACUUUCAGUUCAUCAAGAAUAUCAAUUCUCAUAAUGUAAAUAUCAUUUAAAUCUUUCGAAAGAAUAACUUUUACAAUUCCACUUUCAAAUCAUUUCACCAUUCACCAUAGACACAAGGACACACACACACACUGGGGAUCCUAUAACCGACAUAAACCAUGUGAGCUACAUGGAGUCCAACGUACAANNNNNNNNNNNNNNNNNNNNNNNNNNNNNNNNNNNNNNNNNNNNNNNNNNNNNNNNNNNNNNNNNNNNNNNNNNNNNNNNNNNNNNNNNNNNNNNNNNNNNNNNNNNNNNNNNNNNNNNNNNNNNNNNNNNNNNNNNNNNNNNNNNNNNNNNNNNNNNNNNNNNNNNNNNNNNNNNNNNNNNNNNNNNNNNNNNNNNNNNNNNNNNNNNNNNNNNNNNNNNNNNNNNNNNNNNNNNNNNNNNNNNNNNNNNNNNNNNNNNNNNNNNNNNNNNNNNNNNNNNNNNNNNNNNNNNNNNNNNNNNNNNNNNNNNNNNNNNNNNNNNNNNNNNNNNNNNNNNNNNNNNNNNNNNNNNNNNNNNNNNNNNNNNNNNNNNNNNNNNNNNNNNNNNNNNNNNNNNNNNNNNNNNNNNNNNNNNNNNNNNNNNNNNNNNNNNNNNNNNNNNNNNNNNNNNNNNNNNNNNNNNNNNNNNNNNNNNNNNNNNNNNNNNNNNNNNNNNNNNNNNNNNNNNNNNNNNNNNNNNNNNNNNNNNNNNNNNNNNNNNNNNNNNNNNNNNNNNNNNNNNNNNNNNNNNNNNNNNNNNNNNNNNNNNNNNNNNNNNNNNNNNNNNNNNNNNNNNNNNNNNNNNNNNNNNNNNNNNNNNNNNNNNNNNNNNNNNNNNNNNNNNNNNNNNNNNNNNNNNNNNNNNNNNNNNNNNNNNNNNNNNNNNNNNNNNNNNNNNNNNNNNNNNNNNNNNNNNNNNNNNNNNNNNNNNNNNNNNNNNNNNNNNNNNNNNNNNNNNNNNNNNNNNNNNNNNNNNNNNNNNNNNNNNNNNNNNNNNNNNNNNNNNNNNNNNNNNNNNNNNNNNNNNNNNNNNNNNNNNNNNNNNNNNNNNNNNNNNNNNNNNNNNNNNNNNNNNNNNNNNNNNNNNNNNNNNNNNNNNNNNNNNNNNNNNNNNNNNNNNNNNNNNNNNNNNNNNNNNNNNNNNNNNNNNNNNNNNNNNNNNNNNNNNNNNNNNNNNNNNNNNNNNNNNNNNNNNNNNNNNNNNNNNNNNNNNNNNNNNNNNNNNNNNNNNNNNNNNNNNNNNNNNNNNNNNNNNNNNNNNNNNNNNNNNNNNNNNNNNNNNNNNNNNNNNNNNNNNNNNNNNNNNNNNNNNNNNNNNNNNNNNNNNNNNNNNNNNNNNNNNNNNNNNNNNNNNNNNNNNNNNNNNNNNNNNNNNNNNNNNNNNNNNNNNNNNNNNNNNNNNNNNNNNNNNNNNNNNNNNNNNNNNNNNNNNNNNNNNNNNNNNNNNNNNNNNNNNNNNNNNNNNNNNNNNNNNNNNNNNNNNNNNNNNNNNNNNNNNNNNNNNNNNNNNNNNNNNNNNNNNNNNNNNNNNNNNNNNNNNNNNNNNNNNNNNNNNNNNNNNNNNNNNNNNNNNNNNNNNNNNNNNNNNNNNNNNNNNNNNNNNNNNNNNNNNNNNNNNNNNNNNNNNNNNNNNNNNNNNNNNNNNNNNNNNNNNNNNNNNNNNNNNNNNNNNNNNNNNNNNNNNNNNNNNNNNNNNNNNNNNNNNNNNNNNNNNNNNNNNNNNNNNNNNNNNNNNNNNNNNNNNNNNNNNNNNNNNNNNNNNNNNNNNNNNNNNNNNNNNNNNNNNNNNNNNNNNNNNNNNNNNNNNNNNNNNNNNNNNNNNNNNNNNNNNNNNNNNNNNNNNNNNNNNNNNNNNNNNNNNNNNNNNNNNNNNNNNNNNNNNNNNNNNNNNNNNNNNNNNNNNNNNNNNNNNNNNNNNNNNNNNNNNNNNNNNNNNNNNNNNNNNNNNNNNNNNNNNNNNNNNNNNNNNNNNNNNNNNNNNNNNNNNNNNNNNNNNNNNNNNNNNNNNNNNNNNNNNNNNNNNNNNNNNNNNNNNNNNNNNNNNNNNNNNNNNNNNNNNNNNNNNNNNNNNNNNNNNNNNNNNNNNNNNNNNNNNNNNNNNNNNNNNNNNNNNNNNNNNNNNNNNNNNNNNNNNNNNNNNNNNNNNNNNNNNNNNNNNNNNNNNNNNNNNNNNNNNNNNNNNNNNNNNNNNNNNNNNNNNNNNNNNNNNNNNNNNNNNNNNNNNNNNNNNNNNNNNNNNNNNNNNNNNNNNNNNNNNNNNNNNNNNNNNNNNNNNNNNNNNNNNNNNNNNNNNNNNNNNNNNNNNNNNNNNNNNNNNNNNNNNNNNNNNNNNNNNNNNNNNNNNNNNNNNNNNNNNNNNNNNNNNNNNNNNNNNNNNNNNNNNNNNNNNNNNNNNNNNNNNNNNNNNNNNNNNNNNNNNNNNNNNNNNNNNNNNNNNNNNNNNNNNNNNNNNNNNNNNNNNNNNNNNNNNNNNNNNNNNNNNNNNNNNNNNNNNNNNNNNNNNNNNNNNNNNNNNNNNNNNNNNNNNNNNNNNNNNNNNNNNNNNNNNNNNNNNNNNNNNNNNNNNNNNNNNNNNNNNNNNNNNNNNNNNNNNNNNNNNNNNNNNNNNNNNNNNNNNNNNNNNNNNNNNNNNNNNNNNNNNNNNNNNNNNNNNNNNNNNNNNNNNNNNNNNNNNNNNNNNNNNNNNNNNNNNNNNNNNNNNNNNNNNNNNNNNNNNNNNNNNNNNNNNNNNNNNNNNNNNNNNNNNNNNNNNNNNNNNNNNNNNNNNNNNNNNNNNNNNNNNNNNNNNNNNNNNNNNNNNNNNNNNNNNNNNNNNNNNNNNNNNNNNNNNNNNNNNNNNNNNNNNNNNNNNNNNNNNNNNNNNNNNNNNNNNNNNNNNNNNNNNNNNNNNNNNNNNNNNNNNNNNNNNNNNNNNNNNNNNNNNNNNNNNNNNNNNNNNNNNNNNNNNNNNNNNNNNNNNNNNNNNNNNNNNNNNNNNNNNNNNNNNNNNNNNNNNNNNNNNNNNNNNNNNNNNNNNNNNNNNNNNNNNNNNNNNNNNNNNGGUAAGUGAUCAUCUCAAGUUCUCUUAAAGUCAAGUGCACAAGCUCUCAACAUAUCCUCUAAGGUCUGGAUGGUCCUCUCAGCCUGACCAUCGGUCUGCGGAUAAAAAGUAGAACUCAAAAGAACUUGGGUACCAAAACCCUUGUGAAAAACUUUCCAAAAUUGCGAUGUGAACUGAGUACCCCUAUAUGAAAUGAUAGACAAGGGAACUCCAUGCAGACUGACUAGCUCUCGGAUAUACAAUCUAGCGUAAUCCUUAGCAGUAUAUGAAGUAUGACUGGCAAGAAAUGAGUAGACUUAGUCAACCUAUAAACCACAACCCAAAUGGAAUCAUGAUGGCAUCGGAAAGGAGGUAAACCAAUCACGAAGUCCAUAUUUAUCUCUUCCCACUUCCAGGUGGGAAUACAAAACUCUUGCAUCAUACCACCAGGUCUUUGGCGUUCAACCUUAACCUAUUAGUAUGUUGCACACUUAGCUACAAACGCUGUUAUAUCUUCCUUCAUGCCACUCCACCAAUAGAUUUCCCGAAAGUCUCGGUACAUCUUGGUGGCACCAGGAUAAAUAGAAUAUCGCGCCCCGUGCACUUCAGCCAUAAUCCUCUAUCUCAGAUCAUCAACAUUCAGGACACACAAUCUACCCUGCAAUCUCAACACAUCAUCUCUCCCUUGGAAGAAAGCCUCUACUUUUUGGUCCUUGAUUGACUCCUUCAGUCUGACCAAACUAGCAUCUAAGUAUUGCUUUUCCUUCACUUCCGAAACCAAGGAGGAUUCGGAACUACUAUGAACCCCUAUACUACCUUCAGUAGAGUCAAACAACCUAACCCCCAAUCUAGAAAAACGAUGUACAUCACGAGCCAACUCUUUCUUACCUUCUACCACAUGCGAAACCCAUGGACACUCUACUUAGGGCAUCCGCCACAACAUUUGCCUUGCCCGGAUGGUACAUCACACUCAUAUCAUAGUCUUUUAACAAUUCUAACCAUCGUCUCUGCCUAAGAUUUAAUUCUCUCUGGGUAAAUACAUACUGUAGACUCUUAUGAUCAGUGAAAACAUCAACAUGGAGACCAUACAAAUUGUGUCUCCCUAUUUUCAAAGCAAACACAAUAGCAGCCAAUUCAAGGUCAUGGUUGGGGUAAUUUUUCUUAUGGGGUUUCAACUGUCUAGAAGCAUAUGCUAUCACCUUACCCUUCUGUAUCAAUAUGCAACCCAAUCCAACUCUCAAAGCAUCACAGUACACCACAAAACCAUCAACACCAUCAGGCAAAGUCAAGACAGGGGCUGAAGUGAGUCGAGCCUUCAACUCCUAAAAACAAGAACUUCACUUUCUUUUGGGUCAACCGAGUCAUAGGCGACGCUAUAGAGGAGAAACCCUCAACAAAAUGGCGAUAAUAUCCAGCUAAACCCAAGAAACAUCGGAUAUCAGUCGAAGAAAUAGGUCUAGGCCAAUUUCUAACAGCUUCGGUCUUUUGGGGAUCAACCCUAAAUACUCUCAAAAGAAAUGAUAUAACCUAGAAAAGCAACUGACCUUAGCCAAAACUCACACUUACUAAACUUGGCAAACAACUUGUGAUCUCUAAGGGUUUGCAAGACAGUUCGGAGAUGAUCAGAAUCUUCAUCCUCACUACGGGAGUACACCAGUAUAUCAUCGAUGAACACUAUGACAAACAUAUCUAGAUAUGGUCUGAACACUCGAUUCAUGAGGUCCAUGAAAGCUGCUGGGGCAUUAGUUAACCUGAAAGACAUAACAAGAAACUUAAAAUGGCCAUAACGAGUUCGGAAAGGGGUUUUUGGAAUGUCACACUCCCUAACUUUGAGUUGAUAAUAGCCGGAACGAAGGUCUAUCUUUGAGAAAUAACUUGCACCUUGAAAUUGGUCAAACAAAUCAUCUAUUCUUGGAAGGGGGUACUUUUUUUUUAUGGUGACUUUAUUCAAUUGGCGGUAGUCAAUGCACAUAUGCAAAGAGCCAUCUUUCUUUCUCACAAACAACAAGGAGCAUACUUUAAGCACGAUAGACUUCUGAAAGAAAGAAUCACACUUUUUCCUAAAAUGUCUUGUAGCCUCUUGCUCAUAGAUGUGGCGCGCUACAUACCGAUGAUAAAGACUCUACUUAACGCAGUUUGUCAGACUCCCUUGGACACCUUAAAACCUUAGGCUCUGAUACCAAGUUUGUAAUGCCCUGGAAAACGGGUCCCAGAGCAUCACACAGUACUUGAGGCUAUAUUUCGAGAAAAUACAGCCCACAUCUGAAGAUCUGGAACUGAGCACUCGAACCUACAUUCAAAGGAAAUACAGCCCAUAUCUGAAGAUGUGGGUCAGUACCAUGGAAAGGAACCAAGUAUAUGGGGGUGUAUGCAGUUGUAUAAACAUCGUCAUCAUAAAUAUUUAUAAGAAAUAUGUAGGAUGUAUGAAAGACUCACAUAGCCCGAAGAAAAUCAUCAUAAUCAUGAGAGGAUGAAAUAAGUACAAUAACACAUGUGAGUCAUCAUAUAAUUUGUCAAUCACUUUCAGGUCAUCAAUUCUCAUAAUGUAAAUAUCAUUUAAAUCUUUCGAAAGAAUAACUUUCAUAAUUCCACUUUCAAAUCACUUCACCAUUCACCAUACAUAUAAGGAAACACACACAUACUGGGGGAUCCUAUAACUGACAUAAACCAUGUGAGCUACAUGAAGUCCAACGUACAACUCACGUUGGGGAGAGCCGUCCUAUCCUUGCCAUCAGAGUAGGACUAUCAAUAUCAAAUCCACACAAACUAGUGAUCACUAUAUAAAUCAACCUCAGGCUCACUACUAUGGGGGCACGUAGUUCUAGAAAAGUACGGUUGCUUUAUACCUCUCCAUCGGUGCUAAAGAUUUCUUCCAGAAUUAGGUAAGANNNNNNNNNNNNNNNNNNNNNNNNNNNNNNNNNNNNNNNNNNNNNNNNNNNNNNNNNNNNNNNNNNNNNNNNNNNNNNNNNNNNNNNNNNNNNNNNNNNNNNNNNNNNNNNNNNNNNNNNNNNNNNNNNNNNNNNNNNNNNNNNNNNNNNNNNNNNNNNNNNNNNNNNNNNNNNNNNNNNNNNNNNNNNNNNNNNNNNNNNNNNNNNNNNNNNNNNNNNNNNNNNNNNNNNNNNNAAAAAAAUACAAUUUCCAAUGGGGAUUCACGACCCAAAUAUCAAAAUCAUGAUAAAUAUCGUUCAAGAUUCAUGCUUUAUAUCUCCACACAUGUAAAUUCAUAUUUUAAAAUCAUAAACAUCAAGAUUUCAUAAUAAUCAUCAUAAGAUAUAGGUUCAUGCUUCAAAUUUGUAAAAAUCAAAUAAAAAUCAUGCCUUUGUAAAGAAAAUUACUUUUGGGCACAAGAAUGAAAGAGAGUUCUUGUUGAAAAACCCCACAUACCUUGAAUGAUGAACUUUAGAUCGAUACUCAUUUUUGAGAUGUUAAUCGUGCCUUUGAAUGAUGGUUCUUGGAGUUCUUGAACUAGGAACUUGGAAUCUUGAAUAAAUUUGCAGAAUUAAUGGUGAACUUUGGAGGUUCUUGAAGCUGGAUAUAGGAGCUUAGGGUUUUCUUUUUGAGGGAAUUUGAUAAAAUAAAACAUAUAAUGCUUCUAAUAGGAUUUAAUAUAGGGUUUGGACGGAUUUUGGGUGAAGGGGAAUCACCAAAACGCCCCUAAAAAUAAAAAAAAUUCUCGAAUCUGUCCUCUGGUGGACUGUUUUGAUAGUAUGAAGUAGAUCAACCAUAACGUUUUACUCCGCUAUCCAAAUUGGAUGAAACCAAUUUCAUUAGAAAGAGGACUCUCAUAUCUUUCCAUUUAUAUAUAUUAUCUCACCCAGAUCAUUGUGUAUGAGGAGUUAUGAUCGUUUGAAGUUGACCUAAAAAUUCGCUUUUGAUAGGCUGAAGUAGAUCGACCAUAACUUUUUGCUCCGAUAGAAAAAUUGGAUGAAACCAAUUUUAUUGGAAAGAGGACUCGUAGAGAUUUCCGUUGAUAUAGAUCAUUAUGUACAAGGAGUUAUGAUAAUUUAAAGUUGAAGGAAAAAUACGCCAGGCCUCAGUACUUUUUCCUGCAGGUUUUACUGUUCACUACUAUUCAUGGUUUGAUCGGAAUGUUCAUAACUAAUCGCUCGGGUGUCCGUUUUGGAUGAUCCACAUAUCGUUGGAAAGAAUAUUCAAUACUAUACAUAAUGAUGGGUAAUAAUCUAAGACAUUCCACACAAAAAAUUUAUAAUUCAUUCUACAAAAUAGAACCCAACACGUUUACGCACAAAAUUUCAACAAAAAUUUUCUGGGGUAUUACAAAGACACCGGAAUCUUGAUAUCGCCGCCUGAAGUGCAGAUCUGAACUUGAAGUGCCUGAAAAGGGUUAUAAAGAAAAUAAAAGAGAAGAAAAGAAAAGCAACGAUCAAAUUGCCAAAAAUUAAUGUCACUGACCAAAAACUGAUGUGGUUGUUGAGCCACAGAGAUAGGCUGUCGAAAAAGUUGCUAUCGUUUUAGUGGUCGGAGGAAGAAGCGAGAGAGCAAAACAUGACGAUUGUGCCAAAAUCUGAUGGGGUCGACGAAAAUGAUAAGGUCAUCGGGACGUGUUUAUGGUGGCCGACACAAGUAAUUUACCGGUGGUGGAUUGGUAGUUCUCUGCUAUCGCCAGAAUCUUCAAGACACAAAGAGAUAGGAUAAUUUUGUUGGCGCUGUCGAUUGAAAAAUUGCAAGAUGCUAUACCCUCAACAUAUAUGACAACUAUUAAUGUCAUCAAUUUAACUUGAGACGCCCGUUCAGUAAAAUAACAUGACAAUAUUUUAAUAAUUACAAUUCAAUGCUGAUUAAAAAUAGAAAAACAUUGAUUUCAAUGAAUUUAUGGGUACAAAAUUUCUCAGUUAUAAAUAGAAAUAAAUUUAUUUUAAUAUUUAUUAUUUUAUUUUCACCUAUAAUUUCAUGUGACAAGAGUUGUAAAAUUCGUUGUUUUCAUCUAAUACAACAAAGUACUUCAAUCAUUUCAGACAACCUUCAAAAAUAUUCUAUUCAUUCUACUCUAAUUAUUGAUUUAUGCUUUUUCAUGUUUGAUAAGAAAAAUAAUACAUGCAUUGUACUAUUUAUUAUUGAUUAAGUUAUCAAAUUUAAUACUCCCUCCGUUUCACAAUAAGUGAAUUAUUGGAUUAAUUUUAGUGUUUCAAAAUAAGUGAAUGAUUCACAAUUCAAGGUAUGUUGGAAAUUUUUCCCAAAUUUACUCUCCAUUAAAUGUGCACUGUGAGUGAUGUAUCAUGUGUCUUUGCUUUUUGAAGAGGGUAAAAAUGAAAAAACAUGAUAAAUUUAUGUCUUUGCUUUUUUUUUUCCUUAACAUGUGUGCCGAUAUGGAUUUUCUUCGUAAUUCGAAGGCCGUUAAUAACAUAUUUCUUGAACGUAGAAAUAUUUGAAUCUGAUCUCCAUAAAAGAAGGGUUUAUGGAUCUUCUUGAUAUAUUUGAUUAGCAAAAAGGGAGUGAUAUUCAAUGAGUUUAUGAAAUUAUCAGGAGAUGAUUAAUCUCUUUAUUAAGGGUUUAAAGUAGAGUAGCCACCAAGUUAGGUUUAGCGUAAAGUAACCCCUAAUAACUCUAACAAAAAUUGAAUUCUUAUUAUAGACUUCACAAAAUUCUGAUGUCUAUAAACGCUUGGAAUUGUCAGGUAUUGUCAGACAUUAUGACUACAAAAUCCUUUGCUGAAAUAUCAAAAUAUAAUUAUUUUUCUUCUUUGAGAUGAUGAAUGAAGUACGUGUUAAUUUAGUGGAGUCACUUAUCUCAAGUCUUUCGUGCGGCAUACCAUGAAAUCAUAAAACUACAUCAAGCUAGGAGAAGAGAAAAGCAAUAACAAAAAUACCAUAUUUAGCACAUUAUCAUAGCUCAAACUCGUGACCCCCUGAUCACAUGGAAGGAACUAUCCACAAUAAUUCAGACAAAUACUUCUCAUAGAAAAUGUCACGACCCGAACCAGGGCCUGGCCGUGAUGAGGAUUUCGAACCAUUGUGGCCCGAAACACCCCUAUCUAUCUGGUAAUCAUGCACCUAAUUCAUAUGAUCAAAGAAAUACGGAAAAACACAAUAAUUCAGAAACAUGGUCAUAAAUAUGAAAAGAGACAAUAACGGGGAGAUAAGGUUCCCUCAACAUCAAUUAUCCUCUAAACAAUUGUCUACAAAAAUCUCUAAUAAAUGACUGAAACAAUGUCUAUCUGAAAACUGAGACAAGGCCCACAGUAGACCCUAAAACUGAAUAUAAGAUAAAAGGACUGCAGGACAUAAGACCUUUCGAAACAUAGAAGGCUCACCACUUGUCUUUACAGCUCUGUCUGAAAGUUCUACUGAUUCUCUUAACCCCUAGACUGGGCCUCUGAACCUGAGAGGUUGGAGAGGGGAGGGGGGUCAGCACAAAAGUACUGGCACGUAGAGAUAUCAAAGCAAAACAUAAUAUUUUUACACUAUAUAGUUUAGAGACAUUAUAAAGCAAUUCCAUAUCAAAUCAUUUGAAAACACAUGGGUGUAAUGCAACAGUUUUUCUCAACAAUAAUGAAAUGCAACUGAGCUAGGUGGAAUACCCUACAUAAUUUACACCAACUGUCAAACUUCAGUUGCCGCCGAGAUUAGAGUAUAAGUGAGGGAGAGACACUCAAGACCACACAGCAUGGUGUCUCAACCCAAUGGUAGCGCCCAAGAUCACUUGGCUCGGGCUCCUACCUAUAGUACCAAUUUGGAAUUGACAUAAAGUCAAGUACACAAAAUCAGUUAGCCUGGUACCAAUAUUUCGUAUCGGCAAACACGUUUUUCCAGUGAUGACCCCUUGUGUCUCAAAGGCCUUCUUCAGGCAUCCACCUAUCUCAUGUAAAAUCAAUGCAUUCAAACUUCAUUUAAUUCAAUCAUGUAUCGUGUUCUGUAGGGUAUCAUCAUACCUGACUUGCAAGUCAUCAAUAUCACAUCUACAUAUGCAUAACCAUGUAAAAACCAAGGUGCUUCAUCAUUUAAAAGUUGUGAACAAUAUUUAUUUCAAAUUCAUGCUCUCUUUUGUUGAUCAUAAUAUAAUAUGGAGUAUCGAAACAUUAUCAUGGGAAUUUGAAAACAAUUUAUCAUUCAUAUUUAUCAAACUUCCAUGGAAAAUCUCAAAUCACACAUGCAUGGUUUCAACCAUUGAAGUAAAGAAAGAUGACUUAUAAAUCAUAUUGAAAGCAACUUAUUAGCAUUUGAUUGAAAACCCCCAUUUAAAAGCAUGCAUGUUCAUAAAAACUGCACCCAUGAGAUUUAAGGAUAACCCCACGUACCUCUAUUUCCAAGGAUAAUAGAUGUUUCUUGAAGCUGGCGGAUUGGUGAUUCCAAAUAUGUAAUUAUUUUUGAAAACCUACGGUCAAAUCUUGAACUAGUUAGGUUUUUAUUUUGAAACCCAAAGGAGAAUCUUGAGCACUUUUGAAGAAAGAAUAUGUAUUUUGGGGUCCUUGGAACUAAAUCUCGUGUUUUAGGGCUUAGUAAGGGUGGAAAAGGACCACUUUGUCCUCAACACAGAGUGUUUAAAUCACCAGAAUUCCUAACAUACGCGCCGCCCAUCCCGUUGCCUAUGUUCACAUAGGAGCCGCCUAGGAUAUCGCCUAUGUUUGCAUAGGCGUCACCUAGGCUAUCGCCUAUGUUUACAUAGGCGCCGCCUAGGCUAUUGCCUAUGCUUUUUAGUGGGCAUGGGCUAUUGGUUAGGCGACGCUUAUCACUUUGAAGGGCCAUAACUUCUUGCUCGGGUGUCGGAUUUUAGCCAAAUUAGUAUCAUUGGAAAGCUAACUCGAAUACCUAUUAUUUGACACAUAGUAGGCUUCCAAAUUCGAAAUAUACAAAGAUUUAUGGUCGAUGGAAGCUGACACACUUUACAAUGUCAACUAAAACUUAGUCGGUCGAAAUAGUUUCAACUCUUCCUUGAGUUGAAGGACCUCUAUGGUCUAAAUUCAAGCUUGAGCGGAUUCACAUGCUACACUAUAAUUAACAUGCCGUAUUGGCAUACGAUUUUAUGGCUUCGGGAUUAGCAACGCAUCGAAAUCAUGGUCUAUAUUGUAGCCCGAAUUACGGGGCGUUACAGAUAAUCACAAAUUUCUAAACAAGACUAAUCUUUUAAGAAUUUUACUACACACAAAGACAAAAACAAAGGGCAGUCAGGUGCACUAAGCUCUCGUUAUGUGUUGGGUCCCAGGAAAAAAUUGGACCACAAAGGUCUAUUAUACACAGUCUUACCACUUUGGACCCCUCUUUCCACAACUUGGACCUAUAACCUUCUGGUCACACGACAACAACUUUACCAGUUACGACAAGACUCCUUGUCUUACAUACACAAAUAACAUUUCUUAAAAUGAAAUCUUUAGCAAUUUUUUAAAAUUCUUUCUACCCAAAUUUCCAAGAUAAGCUAAAAUAUAACACUGAUAACAUAUCGUUAAAUAAACAAUAAGCAAAAAAUGUAAACUACCCAAAAAAAUUCAAGCAAAUAAAACUUGUAAUACAUCAAGAUUAAUUUUGAACAAUAGCUUUAAAAAAAUCUCACUUUCUCAUAGCUGAAUAAUGAAAUUCCAAUUUUUCCCUUAACAUUAUGUCUCCAUUGAUGAUGGAUACUAUAGCAUUAAGAGCCAAUUUCUUUCCUUUUCUGGUAGUUGGUAAGUAUUUGAACAGUAUCAUCUUCUACAAAAAUGAACAGGAUAAUGUCACUUUAGCCCCCAAAAGAUCUAGCUAUUACAUAUAGACCCCUUGACCUUAUAAUUUUAGAAUGAUAUUACUCUUCUUGAACAAUUUAAAUGGCCAAAAAGUUGCUUGAAUAAACAAAAAGAUAAUUCCUUCGUUCGGUUUUACUUGUCCCAUUUUAACUUGACAUAUUUAUUAAAAAAAUAAUUAAUAACAUAUAGUUAUUUUACCAUAAUACCCCUAUUAAAUGAUGUUUAUAUUAUAUCUUAAAAUUAAUUUGAAGAAAAGACAAUUAAUGCUAAGGGUAAAAUAGGAAAAAAGAAGUUGUCUUUUCUUGAUAUGUCAAAAAUGAUAAGUAAAAAUAGAAAUACAAUUAGGAAAUUAGUGAUAAGUAAAAGCGAACGGUAGGAGUAACACUGAAAACACAUCAAAAAGAUAUACUUCCUCGGUUGUAUUUUAUGUGGCAUAUUUUGAUCGGGCACAAAGUUUAAGAAGAAAUGAGAAUUGUCCUUUAUUAAACAAAUAUAUUACUACUAUCUUUAAUUAAAUGAGACUAAAAAGGAUAAAUGUAAAAUUGUAUCUUUAAAUAGUUACCAAAUAAGGAAAUAUGACAUUUUUUUGGGACAGACAAAAAGAAAAUGACGACACAUAAAUUGGGGCAGAGGAAGUAUGUUAAUACUAAAAGGGUAGCUUGAUGUGGCGGUGGAAGUAUGUUAAUACUAAAAGGGCAGCUCAGUGUACUAAAGGUUCUUGCUAUAAGGGUCUGCGUAGAAGGGAUGGACUGGAAAAAUUUUACUGUGCGCAGCAUUAUCUUGCAUUUCUGAUGGAGGUUGUUUCUAUGACUUGAACUCGUGACUUCCUAAUCACAUGACAAUAAUUUUAUCAGUACUCUAAAACUUCCCUUCAUAUAUUUUUUUUCGAUUUGAUAAAAAUAUUAAAGAUACGCAAAAUAUAAAAGAUACGCAUAUAAUUCUUUUUGUAAACCCACUUAUAUGGAGUAAUAAAAACAUAUAAGGUAUCAAAAAUUAUAUAUGCAUGGGAUUUCCCUUCUGGUUAAAGUUUUAACAGGUUAAUUUCAUGUAUAAUUGUAAACUUUUACUCAUUAUGACAAAAUUAUUGAACUUUACCUCUUUAAUAAUGUAGUUGAUUUAAUGGCAUUAAAAAUCAUUAAUGAGUUUUUAUUAUGUUUUUAUAUAUAUUGAGUAUAAGAAGUGAUAGACAUAUCUCAAACUAAAUCAAUCAAUUAGAAAAAACAAUUUCUAUUCCAAUGGAGAAGUUCCUCCAUCUUCACCUUUUGAUUUUAAUUAUUUUCUCAAUUUUGCUUGUAAUUUUAUGCAAUGAACAUUCUUUUUCAUCCCUUAACACCACUUAUAUUAUGGAAUAUGUCUAUUGAUCCAACGAAGUUUCCCGAUCCUCCGAUACCAUCAUAUACACUCACCAUUUACAAUCUCUCUUUAUUUGAAAAGUUAAAAUUCAAGGACUAUGACUCGUUACUCGAAAAUAGGUUCGCCGGUUGUCAAGCUAGAGCAAAUCAUUUGGCAUCGGUUCUUGAAAAUGGUGACGCGAUUAGUGCGAAUGGAACUCUGGUAAGUCCACACGACGAGCAUGAGAGUAAAGUGGACAAUUAAAAGGUUCUGGUAACAACAAGUACACAUUUCAUAUGUCAGUAUGUUGCAUCUUUUACUCUUUUUUUUGUUUCCCAUCCGGCAUCCGAUGCCCGCAUUGGAGCCCCGACUAAUCCGGAUCAAACGUUGCAGGGCUCAUUAAGGUGGCAACGCUCCCAAUAGAAUUUUCUCCAUACCCAAGGUCGAACCCUGGACCUUUGGUUAAGGGUGGAGCAUUUUCAUCCACUACACUACAACCCAUAUUGGUGCAUCUUUGACUCAUUGAACAAGUUAAAAGUUACUUGCUAAUAGACACUGGUAGUGAUUUAGCUUGGUGGCAAUGUGGACCAUGUAAUGCAAAUAGAUGUAACAAACAGAUAAAUAAUCCUUUAUAUGUUUUAACUAAUUCAAAAAUAUAUCAAAAGCUCGAUUGCCUUGUAGAAAGUAGAAACUGUGAAAUCACAAAUAAGGAAUAUGAUUAUAUUCCGUAUGGUAAUACGUGUAUGUAUGAUUACAAAUACGUCGAUGGAUUACAUACACCAAGGAACCUUUUUCUUGAAUAUGUCAUGUCAAAACAUCCAUCACCAAAGCAAAUAAAAAUGGGCUAAGAGUCUAUCCCUGGUGCAACCCUAUCAAAACUAGAAAGUGCUCUGAAUCUCCACCUACCGUCCUCACACGAGUCUAAUACCCAUCAUCCAUAUCCUGAAUCAAGCUAGUGUACGCCACGGGCCUCCCCCUAGCCUCUAAGCACCUCCAUAGAAUCUCCCUGGAAACUCUGUCAUAUGCUUUCUCAAGAACAAUAAACACCAAGUGUAAGUCCUUCCUCCGCCUAAACUGUUCCACUAAUAUCCUCAAAAGGUGAAAGGCCUCAGUAGUCGAGCGCCCUGGCAUGUAACCGAACUGAUUUUCAGAGAUAGUCACGAUCCUUAUCAUCCUCAACUUUACCACCCUUUCCCAAACCUUCAUAGUAUGACUCAACAAUUUAAUACCUCUAUAGUUGUUGCAACUCUGGAUGUCUCUCUUGUUCUUAUACACUAGAAUCAUAGUACUCCACCUCCACUCUUCAGGCAUCUUCGUCGCCCUAAAAAUACUAUUAAAUAACCUUGUCAACCACUCCAAACCUACCCCGCUAGUUCUCUUCCAAAAAUCCACUAGAAUCUCGUCUGUCCCCGUUGCCCUACCCCGCUGCAUCCUGCGAAUAGCUCCUUUGACCUCCCCAACCUUGAUAUGCCUACAAUAACCAUAAUCGCGACACUCCUAAGAUUUCUUCAACUGUAUUUCAAACACUAAAAGUACUUACUUGUAUCAAUUACGGAAUUUCUAAUUUCAAAUCUUAAAUUUCAUUUAGUCUCAAUUCAAAAAUUAAGUACAUAAAAUUUUUUAGUUUAUUUUAAAUUUUCAGAUAUUGUUCUAUUGCUCAUUAUUUUUACAAUGAUCAAUUUUAUGAUUAAUAUCUUUAAUUAUUUUAUUUAUACAUCUUAUUGUAUCUGCUAAGUUAAUUUAAUUAAGCUCUCUCAAAUCACUCUCAAAAUCACCACCCCACCAAAUAUACACCGACCUCCUAGCCUUACCCUAGAGCCACUACCCCGCCUCCCUAGUUUUUAUUAUAUUUUACUUUAUCAGAUUUUUUGUAAAAUAUUUUUCUCACAUCACCCAUCUAUUAUACCCAAUCCACCUUCCACCAACAAAAAAUAUUUUAUUUUUCUUUAAAAUAAAAUUUUAUAUUGCACCCACCCCUACUCCCCAAUACCCAUUCGACACCCUACCUAAUACACAUACAAAAAAAAAUAUUUUUGAUUUUUUUCUAAAAAAAAAUCUUUCCACCCUUUUGUCCUGAAUCCCAAGAAAAAUAAUUUUUUUUAAUCUUUUUUCUACCUAUCUCGCCCCUACCCCAUCUCAACGACCAUAAUAUCUUGUUCUUCCCCUCAUCCACCACUUUGCCUCAAUGCAAUUUAUAAUUUUGUGUUAAGUAUACACAAAUGCUAUUAGAAAAUAUCUUUUAUUUACUAAUAAAAUAUCAAUUAUCAAUUUAUUUUAGCAUCCAUGCUAUUACUAAUGUCAAAUAAUCACAUCAAAUAAAAUUAUCUAUUUUUUAAGCUCAAAAUGAACUAAUAUCUACUAAUUAGUAUUUUUAUUAUCCUAAAUUGUUUGUAAAAAUAUUUACCUGAUUAAGUUCAAGCAUUUUAUAUCCCUCCAAUAAAUUAUGCUUUUUGUUAUCUAUUGAAAAUAAUUGGAGACGUAGCAGAUUAAUUCAUCAUCGAAAUGAAAUAAAAUAUAUAAGCAUACACCAUUAAAGAUGACGAUGAAAGCAUAUACAAAGAUUAAGAUUAAACAUUCAGCAAUAUAUUUUCAAAGAAAUCUUUCUAAGAAAAUUAACACUUGAAUUCAUAAAAAGAAAUCUUUAUAAUUAACUUUAACAAACAUGAAAGCAAUAGAAAAAGAUGAUGGUAGAGAUAUUUGAUUAUGAUGAUAAAAAAGAGUAGUCAAAAACAUGAAAGUAAUAGAAAGAGAUGAUGGACUCUGAUACCAUGAUAAUGAAAUGAACCUUGGACCUAACUCAACAUCAAAAGCUAGCUAAUUAGGUGAGGAUUGCUCAAGAUCAUAUAAGAAGACUAAGGACUCUUUAAUUCAUCGAUGUGGGACUCUCCCCUCCCUCUCCUUGCAUACCAAGACUGGACAUCUGAAGCGUAUGCAAUAUAGGAAGGGGGACUCAACAUUGAAAACAAUGAAUUGGGAAGGCUUGACUAUGAUACCAUGUUGAAGGGUGUGACCAUUUCAUCUAAAAGUUUAACUAUUAGAGAGAGUACACUAUUACUAUUUAAUUAUAUUCUCAACAGUUACUUAAUAUGCUAUUUUGGCAUUGAACAAAUGAACUUUACGUGGCAUUGCAAACUGAACAAAGACACAAAAGUUUUCUUUCAAACAGUUCAAGAAAGAAUAUUUUGUCCUUUUGAAACAAAGAAAUAGAGUCACAUUUUUUGGCUUGUUUUGUCCCUACAGUUUAUUAAGAGCACUUUGAGUGGAGGUUUUUCUAUUAUUAAGGAUGUCCAAUUUUGGAAAAGUACUACUCCUUUCAUUUAAAAAGGAAUGGUAGACGAAACAACAUAUUAAUUUUAUACAUUAUAUUAACUCCUAAGUAGCAACAAACCUUGGAAUUACUUAUGUAGGAUUCCUACAUAAAUCGUUGCUAAGCCAGCUACCAAAUGACCCCUUAAUACCUUCUUUAUUUGUUCAUUGAGAAGUUAGAGACCAAUGCAAGCAUAAUUCAAUUUAUGUGUAUAAUAUGUUCAGAACCAAGGUGCAGAAUAAAUACUUCACAUAAAUACAAAACUUACUAAAUGAAUUGACCCAAUUGAUAUAAACGGCUUGAUUUACUCAACUCCUGAUUCAUCAAUUGAUGACUAUCGUAUUUUUUCAUGAGAUCUGGCAGGUAGGUUUUUUUUAUAACCAGAUUUUUUUUAUAAAAAAAAAAUGUACCACUAAUGCCUCUGCAGCAACAAAAUCUUCUGAAGCAUCCAAUGAAAGUUAAGAGACUCUCUUCUCGGCUAUAGCUUUUGGUGAAUCUCUUGCUGAAAUUGAUGAAAAUUAUUCACCAUCAUUUCGACCUAUUUUGUCAUUUUUCUCAUUUUCAGUUCACUUUAUUAAAGUCAUUAUUGGAUCUUUCCCUCAAGAUGGAUCAUUUUGACUGAACCUUUUUCCCUAUCUAUGUGCAACGAAUAUGUUGAUAAUAGUAGGUAUCAUAAUCUAGGUCGAACUGUUAGGUUAGAUAGUAACUCAAGAAUCUUUUAUCAAUUCCCCUUUCUUAAGAACCCCAAAACAAAAAUAUCACUCGAACAAAAAAAAACUAAACUCAGACACCACAAAUGCUGGUUGUAUGAGAGGUUAUACAAAGUGGGGCUUGUAUAUAUACUAAAAUUUAGGACCAAAAUUGGGAAAAAAAUUGAAUGACAUGAAUAAAUACUUCAAAUUGUAAUAUCCACUUGGAUUCAAUCACAUUUAUUGCGUUUUUCUCAAAUUUUGGGUUUAAAAUCCUUAUGCUUUUUCAAGGUGUUUGUGCUUUUCUCAAGUAUUGUUACUUGAACAAUUAUUUUAUUUUGGCGUUGAGCUAAUGAACUCUACGUGGCAUAAUAAACUGAAGAAUUGUGUCAAAAAGUUCUAGAAAGAAUGUUUUGUCUUUCUGAAACAAAGAAAUAGAGCCACAUUUCUUGGACUGAUUUGUCCACUCAUGGUGCUCUUUGUUCUACUGUAGGGACAAAACAGUUCAACAAAUGUGGCUAUAUUUCUUUGUUUCAAAAAGUCAAAAUAUUCUUUCUUGAACUAUUCGAAACACAACUUUUGUGUCUUUCUUUAGUUUGUUAUGCCACGUAGAGUUCAUUAGUUCAAUGCCAAAACAACAUAACAGUUCAAGUAACAUUACCUGAGAAAAGCACAAAUACCCUAAAAAACUUGAGGAUUUUAAACCCGACAUUUAAUAAAAAUGCAAUAAAUGUGAGUGAAUCCAAGUGGAAAUUACAAUUUGGAGUGUUUAUUCAUGUCAGUCAAUUUUUUCCCAAUUUUGGUCCUAAAUAUAAUUAUAUGUACAAACCCCACUUUGUAUAACCUCUCAUACAAUCAACAUUUACUAUGUCUGUGUUUACCUUUUUCUUCUGGAGUGUUAUUUAUUUUUGGGGGUUCUUGAGAAAGGGGAAUUGAUAAGAGAUUCUUGAGUUACUACCUAACCUAGCAGCUGGACCUAGAUUGUGAUAUCUAUUAUUAUCAACAUUUUCCUUGCAUAUAGCUAGGGAAGAAUGAUCUUUUAAAAUGAUCCAUCUUGAAUCUUGUUUAUUUUGAAGGAAGUUGGUCCAUCCUUACCUGGAUCUUCAACUUGCCUGCAAAUGCCGAUUUUAGUGAGCUUCCACUGCAUGUUGCACCUGAAAAAAUUGCUCCAUUCUUAGAUCAAUCACUUAAAUUGUUAUGGGGGGAUCCAAUAAUGACUUCUAUAAAGAGAUGUGAAAAGGAGAAAGAUGACAAAAUAGGUCAAAAUGAUGGUGUAGAAUUUUCUUCAAUUUCAGCAAGAGAUUCACCAAGAGCUAUAGCCGAGAAGAGAGUCUCUCAACUUUCAUUGGAUGCUUCAGAAGACUUUGCUGCUAUGGAGGCAUUAGUGGAUAUUUUAUUAUUUUUUAGUUAUCAAAAAAACCCUACCUUCCAUAUCCCGUGAUAAAAGACGAGAUAUAUGAUAUUGGAAUCUCAUCUCAAUCAGUAGGAAAGGACCUAAAAUCUCUCACCUUUUCAUUGCUGAUGAUCUAACACUGUGUGCUGCUGCUAAUGAAAGAGACUGUGAAACCAUCCGAGCCACUCUUAGCAGCUUCACCUUCCACUCUGGCCAAAAAAUUAAUACUCUCAAAUCUAAAGUAAUCUUCUCUAGAAACUGUGCUCAGGAGACCAAAGAUAGUUUGUCUCACAUCUUAGGCAUCCAAUCCAAAGACAAGUUUGGCAAAUAUCUUGGUUUUCCCAUCUUCCACAAAAAUCCUUGCAAUAGAGAUUUCCAAUUCAUCUUAUACAGUCUAAACACUAAAUUGGCUGGACGCAAAAUCAAAUUCAUCAAUAUGGCUGGCAGAAUUACCCUUACCAAAUCCUCCCUUGCUAGUAUUCCCGCUCAUGUCAUGUAAUUCAUCUUGUUCCCCUCUAAAAUCCACUAAUUGAUUGACAGAACCCUAAAUAACUUUCUUUGAGGCACCACCCCUGAUAAUAAGAAAAUCCAUCUAAUCAAUUGGGAAACAUUGACUAAUGCUAAUGCUAAUGGGGGCCUGGGCCUCAAAAAUCUUCCAUAAGGAACACCACUAUGCUAUCUAGUCUAGCUUGGAGACUUUGCAAGCGCCCCAACAGUCUCUGGGCAAAAAUUCUUUAAAAUAAAUUAGCCCCCAUGGCAUAUCCCUCAAAGACAACUAAUGACUCUACAGCAACAAAUCUUCUGAAGCAUCCAGUAAAAGUUGAGAAACUCUCUUGUCGGCUAAAGCUUUUGGUGAAUCUCUUGUUGAAAUUGAUGAAAAUUAUUCACCAUCAUUUCGAGCUAUUUUGUCAUUUUUCUCAUUUUCAGUUCUCUUUAUAAAAUUCAUUAUUGGAUCUUUUCCCCUAGCAAUUUAAGUGGUUGAUCUAAGAAUGGAGCAACGUUUUCAGGUGCAGCUUAUGGUGGAAGCUCACCAGUGUUGGCAUUUGUAGGCAACUUAGAAGAUCCAGCUAAGAAUGGACCAACUUCCUUCAAAAUAAACAAGAUUCAAGAUGGGUCAUUUAGACUGAUCCUUUUUCCCUAUCUAUGUGCAACGAACAUGUUGAUAAUAGUAGGUAUUAUAAUAUAGGUCCAACUUCUAGGUUAGAUAGUAACUCAAGAAUCUUUUAUCAAUUCCCCUUUCUUAAGAACCCCAAAAAAUAAAUAACACUCGAGCAGAAAAAGUAAGCUCAGACACAACAAAUCCUGAUUGUGUGAGAGUUUAUACAAUGUGGGGUUUGUAUAUAUACUCAAAUUUAGGACCAAAAUUUGGAAAAAAAAUUGAUUGACAUGAAUAAAUACUUCAAAUUGUAAUCUCCACUAGGAUUCACUCACAUUUAUUGCGUUUUUCUCAAAUUUUGGGUUUAAAAUCCAUAAGUUUUUUCAAGGUGUUUGUGCUUUUCUCAGGUAUUGUUACUUGAACAAUUAUGUUAUUUUGUCCUUGAACUAAUAAACUCUAUGUGGCAUAAUAAAUUGAAGAAUGACACAAGUUUUGUUUCAAACAGUUCAAAAAAGAAUGUUUUGUCUUUUUGAAACAAAGAAAUAGAGCCACAUUUCUUGGACUGAUUUGUCCACUCAUAGUGCUCUUGCUUUUCCCGUCUUCCACAAAAAACCUUACAAUAGAGAUUUCCAAUUCAUCCUAGACAAUUUCAACACUAAGUUGGCUGGAUGGAAAACCAAAUUCCUCAAUAUGGCUGGCAGAAUCACCCUUACCAAGUCUUCCCUUGCUAGUAUUCCCGCUCAUGUCAUGUAAUUCAUCUUGAUCUACUAAUUGAUUGAUAGAACCCAAAAGAACUUUUUCUGGGGCACCACCCUUGAUAAUAAGAAAAUUUAUCUAAUCAAUUGGGAAACAUUGACUAAUAAUAAAGCUAAUGGUGGCCUGGGCCUCCAGAAAGCUUCCAUUAGGAAUACCAUUAUGUUAUCCAGUCUAGCCUGUGACUUUACAAGCAUCCUAACAGUCUCUGGGCAAAAAUUCUUUAAAAUAAAUUAGCCCCCAUGGCAUAUCUGUCAAAGCCAACAACUUUAGAACAUGGAAAAGUGUCCUUGUGGGUUGGGAAAUUUGUAAAACUGCCUCCUCUUGGAACAUCCAUAUGGAUGACUAGAUCAACUUCUGGAAGGACAGAUGGAUGCCUCACUGUGAACUCCUUUUUUCCAUCAUCCAAGCCCUUCUUCCUUAUCAUUCCCAAGACAUUAAACUCUCUAGGGUCUAGAGGAAUGGCUCCUGGAACCUCAAGGAUCUUCCGGUUGAAAUCCCUAAGGAUCUUAUUCAAACUUUCACCAACUCUGUUUUCCCCAAUCGCGAAGCCCAUAUUGAUAAGCUCAUUUGGAAUCUCACUAGUAAUUGUCUGUUCUCCAGCAGCAGAAGUGCUUAUAAUCAUAUAGCCAAAACCUCUGAGAUCAAUUACUCCUCUAAUUUCAACUGGAUAUCGAAGGCUGAAUCCCCUAAAAAUUCAAAACCUUUCUUUGGCUAAGACAGCAUAAUAGGUUCCCCAAUAACCUUAACCUCUCCAAGAGAGGAGUGAGACAAAAUACUAGUUGUGUUAUCUGCAAUCAUCCUCAAAGAUUUUGGAGUGCAAUCUAUCCAGAAGAUAACCCAGUCCAAACUACCUCCUAUUACCAGUGUCCUACCCUCUUACUGGCAUACUAUCUGAAGAUCUCUUCAACACUCCCAAUUCAAUAGACUAAUCCACUGGCACGACAUCAUUUCUUUCAGCCUCUAGACAAUAUGGAACACCAGGAACUCUAAUACCUUCAAUAACAAAAGGGACCAUCCCAAUUUUAACCAUGCUUACCCCCAAACUAUUGAGUAUAAACAUCUUACUCAAAAUAAUACCCCAAUCAAGAAAAACCAAAUCAUCAACGUUAAGAGGAAUCCUCCCACCAACCACACCUUCAAGAUCAAUACUGAUAAUUCUUGCCUUAGAAACCUCGGGAAGGGUGGAAUAGGAAAGGUAUUCAGAUCCAGUAAUGGAGGCUGAGUGUUAGGUUUUACAAAAACUUUCACCAGACUACCAACAACAUGAUGGAACUUAUGGCUCUCAUUGAAGGAUUAAAACUGGUAGAGCAAAAUAAUCUUCUCCCCAUUGAAAUUAACAUUGAUUCCUUGGAAGUUAUAUCUAUGUUAACUAACGGAAACCUCCACUAUGAUACUUUGAUUUUGGAAAGCAGGUCAAAUUAAAAAAGGCUAAGGAAUGCGGAAGUCAAGCACUGUUAUAGAGAACAAAAAAAGUGGCGGAUGCUCUAGAAAAAGACGGAGCAAGGGCAAGCGGGUUUCAGGAGACUACUCUUUUGGAAGUUCCAUCGAUAUGUGCAAAAGAUGCAGUUUGAGCAGACAUCUCCGAAUCUUUUUUAGAGAACAAUUAGCUCUUGUACUGAUGAUUAUAACGGGCCAGUCCAGAAAUAUUCCUUUUUGAACCCUGACUAAUUGUCAAAAAUUAAAACUUAAACUGUGUUCUCUUUUAUAUUAAUGCAUGUCCUUUCUACCAAAAAAAAAAUAUUAUUUCGCUUAUUGAAUCAUCGAAAAGAAGAGAUAUUUAUAUCAAUUUAAAUUUAUGGACCUUGAACAUUCAAAAAGAAAGAUAAGUUGAAAAUGUUAUAUCAUUCCUCCAUAUCGAAAGAAUGUUAUCAAAUCAAGAAUAAUUUUUUUAAAUGAAAAAUUAAAAAAUGCUGUAAGUAAAUUCAUGAAUAAAGCAAAUGAUAGAGAAGUAUAUAUAAGAAAGGCUAAGUGAUAGAAUUUCAUUUAUAUUCAGAUUUCAUUUAAAUACAAAUUCAAAUAUCCCAUAUGUUUAUUAAAAUAAGAUUAAUUUAUUAUUCUUCCUUAUCCUUAUCCUAACAUUUUUCAAAUACAAUAUAUAUUUAAAAUUAAGAUAGAUUUGAGUUGAGAUAAAUAUUGAAAUCAAUGAGACAAUACUAAUACUAAUACUAAUACUAAUACUAAUACUAAUAUUAAUACUAAUACUAAUACAAAUACUAAUACUAAUACUAAUACUAAUACGAAUUACAAUAAUAACAUUUUAACUAUUUUUACUUUACCACUAUUAGAUUGCACUACUAUUACUAUUACUAUUAUUAUUUGUUCAUUAUUAUUUGAGAUAUAUAUUAAGAUAAAUCGUAUAGCAAAAAAAAAAAAUUGUGACCCACGAUUACUAAUUAAGUACCUCUAAAUUAUAAGUUUAUCUUUGAAAGUAUGUUUUAUCUCCAAUUUAAAUUCAAAAAAAUUUGAUAGAAUAACGAAUAUCUUAGAUGAGCAGUUAAAACCGUCAAUAUAGGUCAAGCACGUUGAGAUGGCCCAGCCCAGCCUGUAAUUAGAUAGGCUGGGCUACAAUUUUUAUAGCCUAUUUAAGAAUAGGGCUUUUUAGCCCUUCGUGAAUAAGUUUAUUGACCCGUCGGCUUAAGCAAUAUGGGUUUGGAUAACCCGUGGGUCAAAUAAAAAUAAUUAAAAAAUAAAAUAUAGUACUAAGAAAAAAAAAGGAGUCCAAACUCAAAGUCUAUAUGAACCAUCAUAUAUAUAUUUAAAUAUUAAUUAUAUUUAUAAAAUAUAUAAAUAAUUAACAUAUAAAAUAUAAUUUUUUUAAGAAAUCAAACAUGUUUGAUGAAAAUGACUUGGCAAUGUUGAAUACUCCAUAAAUGCCAUGAGAGUUUUCUUCAAAGCGUUUAUUUUACUUUUAAUGGACAAAACAUUGACAUUUCUUUUUGUUUUAUUGUGAUCAAUUAAAACAAAAUUAGGUUAAUAUUGUUAUUUAGUGAGUUGUAUUAUUACUCAUUAAUUAUUUUAGUUAUUUUUCAAUAUCUCUAUUUGAUUUUAAUUUGGUGUCAAAAGUUAUUCAAUUUCACAGAUUAGUAGGAUCUUUUUGUAAAUUUGAGACUUGAUUAAUGAGUAGUAACUUCAAGCACUAUUAAUGGCUCACUUGGCUUGAGUUAGAUUAAAACAUACUUUUCAUGAUCUAAUCGUAAAUAAAUCAUCAGAUAAAACCUCAUAAAUCAUCAUAAACAACUCAACUCUACAACUCAAGACUCGGAGUGACUCUGUAAUUCAAGAAACUCGACUCUUAUGCACAUGGGAGGUUCUUAUAACCGAUAAACUAUGUGAGCUACAUGGAGUCCAACGUUUUUCCCUCCUAAGGAGAGAACCCCACAUUGGUGGGAGCUUCGUACUCUUGCCAGGGAGUACAACCUAAACUUAGUGAUCACAAUAUCAUACUCGGCCUCCGGCCCACAAUUAUAAAUAUCAAUCCUAUGGUGGCACGUAUUUUCGGGGGAACUACCAAUAUAUAAUUUUAUAUUUUUUUAAUAUUAUUUUAAAUUUAAAGUCAACAAUUUAUUUGUACCGCCCCAAGAUCCCAUCCCGAGACGUCACACGGUGCUUAAGGCCACACGCGGCCUCAAGCUUAUCCUCUAAACCUAUCAUCACUUCGUGAAUUCAUUUUGACAAUAGUCAUGCUAAUUUAAGAGAGAAUGACAUAUCAUAAACAUACUGGAAUAAGAUACAAAACUAGCAUGUACAAUCCAAAAUACUGAAAUUCUGUACAUACUAACCUUUUAGCCUGACAAAGCCUCUAUACAUCAAAAUCAAGGAGACAUUGGAAAAAAACCCCAACUGACUCAAACAGUACUGAAAGCCAUAACAACAAAACGGUAUCACAAAAUUAUAAACACGGUCCUCGAACCAUAAGGACUCACCAGUGAGCAGACGAAAAAAGGCACCCAUAUAUCGCUAAUGUGACUGAGUACCUGAACCUACAUUAAGAGAAUAUGUAGCCCCUAGGAAAAUAUGUGGGUCAGGACUUUGGAAUGUACUGAGUAUGUGGGGGUGCAUGCAACAAUGUAAAUAUCGUCAUCAAUUUCAUAAAAAUAUGCAUAUGUACAAUGAUGGCUCACUUGGCCUGAGUUAGAUUGAAAUAUACUUUUCAUGAUCUCAUAGUAAAUAAAUCAUAUGAUAAAAAACUCAUAAAUCAUCAAAAACAACUCAACUCUCCAACUCAAGACUCGGAGUUACUCUAUAAUUCAAGAAACAUGACUCUUAUGGACAUGGGAGGUUCUUAUAACCGAUAUAAAUCAUAUGAGCUACAUGGAGUCCAACGUUUUACCCUCCUAAUGAGAGAACCCCACAUUGGCGGGAGCAUCGUACUCUUGUCAGGGAGUACAACCUAAAUUUAGUGAUCACAAUCUCAUACUCGGCCUCUGGCCCACAAUUAUCAAUAUCAAUCCUACGAUGGCACGUAGUUUCNNNNNNNNNNNNNNNNNNNNNGUGCUAAAUACUACUCCCAGACACAAGCUCAGAACGCGUUAGAAAAUCCACCACAAACAUCACAAGGGUCUAUCAUGAACACCAAAUCAAAUCUCUUUCUCAUUUAUCAAAUCAUAAUCAAUUUGUGGAUUCCUAACUCGACUCAAAUCAAAUCAAUCUUUCUCAAUAUCAAAAUGCAUCAAUUCAUUAAGUCAUGGCAACAUCAAUAACUUUGAGUAAAUAUAAAGACUCAUUGUAACAAUUCAAUUCUCAUGAAUCAAUAUACUCUAUAGUCCAAUUUGUCAUAAGGAAGCUUAAAGCUUGACACAUAUCUUAAAAGCACUUGAAAUACCACCUCAUGGUAGAAACUUGAAAUUCACAAUAUUAAAUAUCAAGUCAUACUUGGAAAUUAUAAAAUAAUCAUGUAUAACAAAGCUUGAACGAUUUAUAUUCUCAUAAUCUCAUGAUGAAGUAAUUUGGGUAUAAACCCACUUGAAAAAUCAUAUAAAUCCAUAAUAAAAAUCAAAGCUUUAAGCACAAGAAUGAAAGAAUUUCUCUUGUGUAAAACCCCACAUACCUUAAUCUUUGAAAUUGGUUGAACUCUAGUGCUGGAGACUUUACUAACACUUGUAAUAAAAAAAUUCUUGAAGCCCACUCUAUGAGAAACUUGAUUCUUAAAGGAAUCUUGAAGAUUUAUGGAUGAUUUUUGGAAGAUUAAUUUCCUUAAAUAAAAUCGUAGAUAUAUUUCUUAAGAGAAUUGAAAGAGAGAAAUGAAGAAAUUAUGUUUUGGAUGAGGAUUCUCAUAUAUAGAGAGGCCUCCAAAAAUGAGAAAUGACUAAAAUACCCUUUAAAAAAUUGCCCAUCAAUUGCUGAAAAAAUAGCUAACGACAUCCAUGACAAGUUGUCAGGCCCGUGAUAGGCCGUCACGAAUUGUCGUCACAAAAAGGGUGGAUUUUGUGACUUUCUGCCUUAAGGUGACGACAUUUUGUUGCAGGCCAUCAGGCUUGUGACAAGUCGUCACAAAAGGUCGUCACGGAUUUUCCAGGUUGAUAUGCUAGAGUAAAAUAAGCAUCUCUUUGCUCCGAAUUUGGAUUUUGACGAAAUAGGUAUCGUUGGAAAGCUAAUUCAAUUAUAUAUCUUUUGGUAGAUCAUGAGCUCAAUAAUUAGUAGUACAGUGGGAGAUAUGCUCAUUUGAAUUUGACUAUGCCAAAAUCAUUCUCAAGAAUUCAAUCGGUAAAGAAUGUUUUGAUUAGCCCAAGCGUUAGGACAUCUUUAAAGCCUUAAUACACAUCACCCUUGACCAGAAAACAACCAAAACACUAUAAUUUAUUUCUCAUGGGCUUGAGUCAUGGAGGCACUAUUGGUUAGAAUCUCGGGGUAUUACAAUACCUCCUCCUUGGAAACAUUUGUCCUCGAAUGUUGCUAGAUAGGCCAAAAACAAGAGAAAAAUGAGGACGUAUAGAUGGAACGACUCACUCAAUAGACUUUCUUAACUCUAUACCUUCGAAUACAUUAGAAAAUACACGAAUUCAUGAUGAAAGUAGACACACUGCUGAAUCUUUAAUAAAAAGGGGGCUGAAUAGAGAAAGAAUGAUACCUUCUUCUCGCUCCAAACUCAAAAAAAAGAGGUGAGUGUACUUGGCUCGCAUAUCAGCUUUGUCUUCCCGAGUAUCACUCUCAACAGAUUGAUUUCCCCAAAGCACUUUAACCAAAAAAACUUCUUUGUUCCUUAGCCUACAGAUCUGAAAAUCCAAAAUCUCAACCAGAAUCUCCUCGAAUGAAAGGCUAUCCUGAAUAUCUAAGCUUUCCGAAGAAUCAACCAUGACAGAAUCACCAAUACACUUCUUAAGCAUAGAAAUAUGAAAUACCGGAUGAAUGCUAGACAACUCCGCAGGUAAAUCCACCUCAUAAGCUACUUUCCCAACACGGCUCAAAACCCUGUGUAGACCAACAUAACGGGGACUAAGCUUUCCCUUCUUUCCAAAUCUCUUCACCCCUUUCAUGGGUGAAACCUUCAAGUACACCAAAUCACUAACAUUAAGCUCAAGAUCUUUUCUUCUCACAUCCGCAUACGACUUCUGAUAACUUUGAGCGGUUUUCAAUCUUUCUCAAAUCAACUUAUCUUUUUCCAUAGCCUCGAACACAGUAUCCGGCCCAAUUACAGCUGCUUCUCCUACUUCAAACCAAUAUAUGGGCGAUCUACAUCUUCUCCCAUACAAAGCUUUAAACGGGGCAAUCUGAAUACUAGCAUGGAAACUAUUAUUAUACACAAAUUCGAUCAAUGGCAAGUGCUCAUCCCAACUACCUUUGAAAUCAAGCGUACAUGCCCUCAACAUGUCCUUCAAAGUCUUAAUAGCCCUCUCAUCCUGACCAUCGGUCUGCGGAUGGAAAGCAGAACUUAAACGAACUAGGGUACUAAGACCCUUCUGAAAAGCCCUCCAAAACUGGGAAGUAAAUUGAGUACCCCUAUCAGAGAUGAUAGCCAAAGGAACUCCAUGCAAUCUGACUAACUCACGGAUACACAAUCUAGCAUAAUCCUCAGCUAUAUAAGAUGAAUGCACUGGCAAGAAAUAAGCUGAUUUAGUCAACCGGUCUACGACAAUCCAAAUCGAAUCAAGAUGACGACCAGAAGGGGGAAAACCAAUGACGAAAUCCAUAUUCACUUCUUCCCACUUCCAAGUAAGAAUGCUAAUAAGAAAAUAUGCACACUCCUCGUCAAAUUUCUGACAACGACACUGCUACUGCCUCAACUGUGUACGUGUAAAGAUGACGCCAUAUAGCAUUUGUCAUCUUCAUGAUGCCCAAACUCUUUUAUCAGCGGACCUACCCAACCUGUCACCUCAUUUUCUGCUUUUAUAAUGGCAUAUCCUUCAAGGUUUAAUACACCAUCCAUUUUAUUUUAAUUAGAUAAAUAAUAUCUAUUUUAAUUUAUUUGUGUAAUUUAUAAAAUUAUAAAAAAAAUUAUUACGUGAAGUAUUAAAUGAAGUGAAAGGUGUACUCUACUAAUAUGUAAAUGCUAGUUUCAUUAAUCUGUAUUCCGUAAUAAGCUCAGAUCCAAAAAACUCUACAUAUAAAUAAUAAUAAUUAAAUUUUAAAAAAUAAAUUAUAUUAUAUUUUUUACUUUAUAAUUAAUAUAAUUUAAUGAUCGAUAUAUUAAAUAUAUAUUUUAUUUAAAAUUUUUAUAAUUAUUAAAGUUCUUAAUCACAUAAUUGGAUAAUUUUUUAAAAAAAUUAUUUGUAUGGAAGAAAGUAUUACAGGAGAAUUAGAAUAUAACAAGAGACCACAAGUAAUUUAAUAUUUUAUAAAAUAACAUGAUACAACAACAACAAUAACAACAUACCCACUGGAUUUCAACAUAGAGGGGUCUGAGGAAGGGUAGAGUGUACGCAGAUCAUACCACUACGUAAGAUGAAUUAGAGAGUCUGUUUUCGACAGACCACCGGCUUAGGACCGAUAGCAGUAUAACGAACACAAAACAUCAAUGCAUAAAAACUAGUAUAGUCUGCAAAAUAAACUAACGUCACUAGCCAUAAGAUAAUACUAUAGUCACAACAUAAUACUAAAACUAUCUAUCCGAAAUCAUAGACAUCACUCAACACCAUGAACAACAAACUUCAAACACAAAUAAAGAAUGCUCCCCUAUUGUCACCGACACACUCUCAACCCCAAACCCUCUACCCUAAUCGGCAUUCUCCACACCUUCCUAAUACUAUCCCUCAAAUAUUUGUGCGGUCUACCUCUACCCCACCUAAAAUCAUCCAUAUCCAGUGUCUCACACCUCUGCACUGGAGCAUCAGAGCCCCUCUUCAUCACAUGCUCGCACCAACGUAACCAUGCUUCUCGUAUCUUGUCCUCCACCAAGGCCACUCCUACCUCUCCCGAAUAAUCUCAUUUCUUACCUUAUCUUUCCUAGUAUGGCCUCAUAUCUAUCGCAAUAUUCUCAUCUUCUCCACCUUCAACUUUUGAAAGUGGGAGUUCUUAACUGGCCAAUACUUUCCAUACAACAUAGUCGGCCGGACUGCCACUCUGUAGAACUUCCCUUUAACCUUCGGGGGCAUCUUCUUAUCACAUAAAACUCCCAAAGAGAGCCUUCAUUUAAACCACCCAGCCCUAAUAUGAUGUGUGACAUCUUCGUUAAUCUCACGAUUGCCUUAAAUCAUAGACCCCAGAUACUUGAAACUCUCCUUCUUCUGAAUGGUCUGAGAGUCUAGCUUCACAACCAUGUCAGCCUCCUACGACACAUCUCUAAACUUACACUUCAAGUACUCUCUAUUGGUCCUGCUUAACCAAAAUCCUUCAGACUCAAUGGUCUGUCUCAAAAUCUCCAACUUAUCAUUAACUCCUCCCCGAGUCUUGUUAAGCAGUACCACAUUAUCAGCAAAUAAUAUACACCAAGGCACCUCCUCUUGAAUAUGUCUUGUCAAAACAUUCAUCACCAAGGCAAAUAAAAAAGGGCUAAGUGUCAAACCCUGAUGCAACCCUACCAAAAUCAUAAAAUGCUCUGAAUCUCCACCUACCGUCCUCACCUGAGUCUUUGUGCCAUCAUACAUGUCCUAAAUCAACCUAGUGUAUGCCACAUGCACCUCUCUAGCCUCCAAACAACUCCAAAGAAUCUCUUUGGGAACUCUGUCAUAAGCCUUCUCAAGAUCAAUAAACACCAUGUGAAAGUCCUUCUUCAUCUCCCAAAACUGUUCCACUAAAUUCCUCACAAGGUGAAUGUCCUCACUUGUCGAGCGACCUAGCAUGAAAUCAAACUAAUUCUCAGCGAUAAUAACGCUCCUUCUCAGCCUCAACUCUACCACCUAUUCCCAAAUCUUUAUAGUAUGACUCAACAACUUAAUACCUCUAUAGUUAUUACAACUUUGGAUGUCUCCCUUGUUCUUACACAAUGGAAUCAUUGUACUCUACCUCCAUGCUUUAGGCAUCCUUCCCGCUCUAAAAAUGAUGCUAAGAACCUUGUCAACCACUCCUAACCUGCCCUACCAGUGCAUUGUAAAAAUCCACUAGAAUCUCGUCUGGCCCCAUCGCCCUACCUCAACGCAUCCUGCGAAUAGCCCUCUUGACCUCCUUAACCUCGAUAUAUCUACAAAAACCAUAGUCGUGACACUCCUCAAAUUUCUCCAAGUCCCCAAACACGAAACCUUUGUCCCUUUUAUCGUUCAAAAGUUUUGAAAAUAGGACUGCCACCUUUUUUUAAUGACGGCAUCAUCUACCAACAUAGUACCAUCCUCAACCUUGAUGUACUUAUCCCUGCCUUUCUCCUUUAAAGUUGCAUACAAGCUCUCAAAAGCUAUCAUUUUAGCCACUGUAACUGCUAACUUAGUCUCUCACUUAUCUAUAGCUUAUACUCUUCCUUAUUUGUCCACCUCUCUUGAUCAUUCUUGCUCUCAACCAAUUUAACAUAAGCCACCUUCUUAGACUCAACCUUCCUCAUAACCUCUUCAUUCCACCACUAGUCCCCUCGAUGUUUGCCAAAUUGACCUCUCAAGACACUAACACCUCUCUAGUGAUCUCCUUAAUCCAACUGGCAAUCAUCUCCCACAAACUAUCCACAUCCCCUCUACUCUUCCAAGACCCCUGCUUCUCAACAUCUCCCCUAUGUUCAAAGCAUUAGCGAAAGUCAAGCUACCCCACUUAAUCUUAGGCCAAACCUCUACACUCCUCUUUUUUCAUCCCUUAUUGAUUACCAAGGUCAUCACCAACAACCUAUGUUUAGUCAAAAGAUUAUCUCUAGGUAUGACUUUACAAUCUUUACACAGUGUUCUAUCACUCUUCUUAAGGAGCUAAAAGUAUAUCUGAGUCUUGGUCACUAAACUACGAAACAUUUUGAAAAUCUCAAAUUCGUUAUCCAUAACCCAAAAGCCUUAGAAAAAUCCAAAAAAGAAGCACUUUCUUUAUUCCUCUACCCAAAAUUGAAAUCUCCAUACACAUCAUCAUAACCUCUCGAUGAAGGCCCAAUAUGCCCAUUGAGGUCUCCUCUCACAAAAAGUUUCUCAGUGCUCGGGACGCCCCUCACCAUCUCAUUCAAAACCUCCAAAAACCCUUCUUCUCUUCCUCAUCCAAACCUAAUUGCGGAGCAUAAACACUAAUAACAUUCACCAUUAUUUGUCCCAUGACCAACUUAAUAGGCAUCAACCUAUCACUGACUCUUUUAACCUCUACCACCUGCUCCCUAAGUUCUUCAUCUACUAAGAUACCUAUCCCAUUUCUAUGUCUUAUGCUACCCGAGUACCAUAACUUAUAUCCAUCCACAUCUCUCACCUUAGUAACUACCAUUUAGUUUCCUGGGCACACGCUAUACUAACCCUCCGUUUUCCAAGAAUCUUCACCAGCUCUAUAGACUUACCUUGAAGCAUUUCUAUGUUCCAGGACCUAACUUUCAACCUAUAAGCACCCUUAUCCAACUUAGCCCUACUAUCCCUCGCUCUCAACCCAAGACUAGAACCUAGACUCGACCCCAACCCCAACCUCGACCUAUGUCAUGACCCUAGUUCAUCAUCUAUCAACCCAACCACCACUCAAAAGGAUAUGAUAGAAGAAAAUAAAGGAAAAAAAUCCAAAAAACAUGAUAUGAAAAAGAGUAUGACUAAAAAUAGCUAAAUCAACAAACAAAAACCAGUAAGCAGGAUUGAUACUCACAAGCAACAACAAGUACUAUACUAAUCACAAUCAAUGAACACUUAAUAAGUUACAGAGAAACCGUAACCAAUAAUAAAAAAAAUCAAACAACAAAUCAGGAUUAAAAAAAGACAAGAAGCAUAUACCAAAUAAACUAGAGAAGAAUGAAAUGAGUGCACCUGAUACUGGGAGAAGACAUAGUGAAAGACAUUUUGUCGAUUGUUUUGUCAAAUUCCGACAAAUUGGUGCAGAAAUUGGUUGUCAGAAUUUGUUACCACCACUUUUACCCUACUGCUGGUACCACAUCCCCGUACUUGGUCGCUGAAGAAUGUGUUGGUCACCAAAAAAAUGAGCUAGAAACCGAAAUCUUGAUGUCGCUGCCUGAAGUGCGUAUCUGAACUUGAAAAGGGUUAUAAAGAAAAUAAAAGAGAAGAAAAUAAAAGCGAUGAUAAAAUUGCCAAAAAUUGAUAUCACUCACCAAAAACUGAUGUGGUUGUUGGGCCACAUAGAUAGGAAUCCGAAAAAGCCUCUAUCAUUUUAGUGGUCGGCGCAAGAAGCAAUAGAGAAAAAGACGACGAUUACGCCAGAAUCUGAUAGGGUCGCCGAAACUGAUAGGUUUAUCGAGAUGUUUUUAUGGUGGCUGACGCAAGUAAUUUAUCGGCGGCAGAUUGGUGGUUCUCUACUAUCGCCAAAAUCUUCAAAACACGAAGAGAUAGGUUAAUUUCGUCGGCGCCGUUGAUUGAAAAUUUGAAAAAUGCUAAACCCUCAGCAUAUAUGACAACUAUUAAUGUCAUCAAUUUAACUUGAGACGCCCAUUCAAUAAAAUAACAUGAUAAUAUUUUAAUAAUUACAAGUCAACGCUGAUUAAAAAUAGAAAAAUAUUGAUUUUAAUGAAUUUAUGGGUACAAAAUUUCUCAGUUAUAAAUAGAAAUAAAUUUAUUUUAAUAUUUAAUAUUUUAUUUUCAAUUUCAUGUGACAAGAGUUGCAAAAUUCAUUGUUUUCUUCUAAUACAACAAAGUAUUUCAACCACUUCAAGUAUAUAUAAAAAUAGUUACAACAUUAAUUUAGAACCUUUACACAAACUAACUUAAUCGUGAUCUAUAAGGAUAUUAAAUAAUAAUUAAAUUACAUUAACCGAUUAUUCCAUUCGGUCCAUUUACUUAUCAUGUUAAUUUUUUAAACACCCUUUAAAAAUAUUCUAUUCAUUCUACUCUAAUUAUUGAUUUAUCCUUUUUCAUGUUUGCUAAGAAAAAUAAUAAAGGCAUUGUACUAUUUAUUAUUGAUUAAGUUAUCCUAUUUAAUACUCCCUCCAUUUCACAAUAAGUGAAUUAUUGGAGUAAUUUUAGUGUUACAAAAUAAGUGAAUGAUUCACAAUUUAGGGUAGAUGUUGAAAUUUUUUUCCAAAUUUAUCCUCCAUUAAAUGUGCACUGGGAGUGAUGUAUCAUGUGUCUUUGCUUUUUGAAGAGGGUAAAAAUAAAAAAGCAUGAUAAAUUUAUGUCUUUGCUUUUUUUUUUUCUUAACAUGUGUGCCGAAAUUCAACAAUAAACUUAUUGUGGAACGGAGGGAGUACUAUAUCUUUUUUAAGAAGUGACCAUCAGUGACUAUAAGGGUGUAGUUGAAAAUUAUUACUACCUUUAAUUUUAUGUGAAAAGUUAUUUCUAAAUAAGUUUUUGGAGCAAAAAUAAUUAUUAAUUUAAAAUGAAGGAAAUUUUAAUUAAAAGACACCCUAUGGCAAGAAAAAAUCAGUUGCAAAUACACAAGUGAAAAUGGUCUUAACAAAAAGAAUAAGGAGAAAAAUAAAAAUAUUUAGCAAAAGAACAUCAUCAACCCUUGUGAGGACUACCGAAAAUUGAGAUCCUGUCUUAUAUAUAAUAGUUAAUUGUAUUCUUUUUUUCAUAUUGUUAACACUAUUUACAAUAAAGAUUACAGUGACAGGAACAAAUUCCAGUCACAAUGCAAAUAAAUUGUUAAAAAAUAAGAAUUUUAUUGAUAAAUGAUAUGGAUAUAAUUCUGUUACUCCUUUGAUUCUUCUUUCUUUAUUUUUCUCCGUAAUUCGAGGACGAUUAGUAGCGUAUUUCUCGAAUGUAGAAAGAUUUAAAUUUGAUAUGAAUUUUUAGCGUAUUUCUCAAAUGUAAAAAGAUUUGAAUUAGAUAUGAUUUUUUUUGUAAUUCAAAGGUCAUUAGUAGCGUGUUUCUUGAAUGUAAGAAGAUUUAGAUUUGAUAUAGAUUUUCUUCAUAAUUCGAAGGCCGUUAAUAAUAUAUUUCUUGAAUGUAGAAAUAUUUGAAUUUGAUCUCCAUAAAAGAAGGGUUUAUGGAUCUUCUUGAUAUAUUUGAUUUUCAAAAAGGGAGUGAUAUUCAAUGAGUUUAUGAAAUUAUCGGGAGAUGAUUAAUCUCUUUAUUAAGGGUUUAGAGUAGACUAGCCACCAAGUUAGGUUUAGUGUAAAGUAACCCCUAAUAACUCUAAUAAGAAUUGACUUCUUAUUAUAGAGUUCACAAAAUUAUGAUGUCUAUAAACGUUUUGUAUUGUCAGACGUUAUGACUACAAAAUCCUUUGCUGAAAUCUCAAAAUACAAUUAUUUUACUUCUUUGAGAUGAUGAAUGAAGUACGUGUUAAUUUAGUGGAGUCACUUAGCUUAAGUCAUUCAUGCGGAGUACCAUGAAAUCAGAAAACUAAAUCAUGCUAGGAGAAGAGAAAAGCAAUAAAAAAAAUACCAUAUUUAGCACAUUUUCAUAGCUCGAACUCGUGAUCCCCUGAUCACAUGGAGGGAACUAUCCAUAAUAAUUCAUACAAAUACUUCUCAAAGAUAAUCACAAAUUUCCAAGCAAGACUAAAUCUUUUAAGAAUUUUACUACACACAAAGACAAAAACAAAGGGCAGUCUGGCGCACUAAGCUCCCAUUAUGUGCUAGGUCCCAGGAAAAAACUGGACCACAAAGGUCUAUUAUACACAGUCUUACCACUAUGGACCCCUCUUUCCACAGCUCGAACCUAUGACUUUCUGGUCAUACGAAAACAACUUUACCAGCUACGACAAGGCUCCUUGUCUUACACAAAAAAAUAACAUUUGUAAAAAUGAAAUCUUUAGCAAUUUUUUAAAAUUCUUUCUACCCAAAUUUCCAAGAUAAGCUAAAAUAUAACACUGAUAACAUAUGGUUAAAUAAACAAUAAUCAAAACAUGCAAACUACUAAAAAAAAUUCAGGCAAAUAAAACUUGUUAUACAUCAAGAUUAAUUUUGAACAAUAGCUUAAAAAAAAUAUCACUUUCUCACAGCUGAAUAAUGAAAUUCGAAUUUCGCCCUUAACAUUAUGUCUCCAUUGAUGAUGGAUACUGUAGCAUUAAGAGCCAAUUUCUUUCCUUUUCUGGUAGUUGGUCAGUACUUGAGCAGUAUCAUCUUCUAUAAAAACGAACAGGAUAAUAUCAAUUUAGCCCCCAAAAGAUCUAGCUAUUACAUAUAGACCCCUUUACCUUAUAAUUUUAGAAUGAUAUUACUCUUCUUGAACAAUUUAAAUGGUCCAAAAAUUGCUCUAAUAAACAAAAAGAUAAUUCCUUCGUUUGGCUUUACUUGUCACAUUUUAACUUGACAUAUUUACUAAAAAAAUAAUUAAUAACAUACAAUUAUUGCUGGCCUCGGACGUAAUAGGUGGUGCAAAUUCUUUAGCAUCGCAAUUUGAAGCAGUCAUAAUGUCCAUGUGCCUACCGGGAGAUCUCUCCACAAAAGGAUCAACACUUAGCUUCCACACAACACCAUUUAAGAAAGCAACAUCAACAACGCUAUUACAAGAUUUCAGAUUCCCUUCCAUUUACUUUGUCAACCUUUAUAAAGUUUUUAUUAACGUUAGGGAAGUCUCGAUGUCCCAUCAUUGUCUAGGAUUUUCAGAAAUUAUGCCACGAACGGUAGCUUCAUCGUGGACACAGGAACAUUUAUUACCCAUUUUCCUCAUGAUUUUUAUAUUGUAUUUCAUUACACAUUUAGAUAACAAGUACGUGGUAUUCCUAUGGUUAAUGUUCCACGUGAAUCAGUUAAUGACACUUGCUAUAAUGUGGAUACGACUGGUCUGGAUCCACAUUUCCCCGUUGUGACCAACCAAAUGGCCCCUCCAACCCCAACAACCCACACUCUCCUUUGCCUAAGCCUGCCUGGGAGCACUUGGUCCAUUUUCUUCCCAAAACAUACUCGGUCACUGGGCCCACCCCUAGAACCGGAUCUAUAGCACACUGAUUUAGCCUCAGAAUGGCCCAUUUGCGUCGUUUCACUUGUUUGACCACCCAAAUAGCCUAGCCGAUCCCAACGACUCAUACUAUCCGACUUUUAAGCCUGCCUUGGUGCGUCUGGUCAAUUUUCAGACCAAAACACACUCGAUCCCCAAGCCAACCCCUAAAACCAUUAGUUAUAGCACAUCUAUUUGGCCUAAAAAAUAACAUAUUUUUUAUGUUUUACCUGUUUGACCACCCAAAUGCCCUGCCAACCCAAACGACCCACUUUCUCGUUCAUCAGUCUACUUGGAAGCCUUGAUCUAUUUUCGACACAAAACACACCCGAAACCCGGGGCCACCAAGAACUGUGAGCUAUAGCACACCGAUUAUACCUGAAAAUGACCCAUUCGCGUUGAUAUUCCUGUUUAACCACCCAAACAACCCCAUUGACCCCUACGACCAAUACUUCCCCGCUCUUCAGCCUACCUGAGGUCCCCCAUUUGAUUUUUGACCCAAAACAUGCCUAGGACCACCCCAAAAUCAUGAGCUAUAACUCACCAAUUUUCCCCAAAAAUGGUCCAUUUGCACCGUUUUGCACAUUUGACCAACCAAACGGUCCCGCCGACCUCAACAACCCAUAAUUCCCCAUUUCUCAGCCUGCUUGGGAUCCCUCAAUCGAUUUUUGUCCUAAAACACAUUUGGGCUCAAGGCCAAACCCCAAAAUUGUGCGCUAUAACACACCGAUUUGGCCCGAAAAUGGCCCGUUCGCAUCAUUUUGCCUGUUUAAUAAACCAAACGGCCCCGCCGACCCCAACGGCUCACAGUCCCCGCUUUUCAGAAAACCUAGGAGCCACGAUCAAUUUUUAGUCAAAAACGCAUGUGGGCCUUGGACACACCCUCUGAACCGUGAGGUAUAGUACCCCAAUUUUUCCAAAAACUAGGCCAUUCGCACCGUUUCAUCCAUUUGAUCACACAAACGGCCCAUCGCCACCCAACGAACCAUACUCUUCUGCUUAAUAGCCUUCCUAGGAUCUGCUGGUCUAUUUUAAGCCUAAAACACAUCUACUCCCUGGGCCCACACCCGGAAUCGUGAUCUAUAACAUACUGAUUUGGCCUAAAAAUGGUUCGUUUAUGACAUUUUGCCCGUUUGACCACCCAAACGGCCUCACUGACCCCAACGACCUAUACUCCCCCUCUCCUCAACCUGUUUGGGAGCCUCCGGUCAAUUUUGAGACUAAAACACACCUGAGCCCCGGGCCCAUCCCCAUAACCAUGAGUUGUAGCACAACGAUUUGGCCUGAAAAUAGCAUGUUCACAUCGUAUCGUUCAUUUGACUACCCAAAUGGCCUCGAGAAAUUUUCGGACAAAACAUGGUUGGGACUCGGGUGUGACCCUUAAAACCGUGAGCUAUAUCACAUCGAUUUGGCCCAAAAAUGGCCCAUUCAUGUCGUUUUGCCUGUUUAACCACCUAAACAGCCCCACCGACCCUAACAGCCCAAACUCCCUUACUUGUCAGCCUGCCUGGGAGCCCCCAAUCAAUUUUUUGCCCAAACACGCCCGGUCCCCGGGAAUACCCAAGAACCAUGAGCUAUAGCAUACCGAUUAGGCCUGAAAAAUGGCCCAUUGGCGUAGUCUGCUUGUUUUAUCACCCAAACGGCCCUGUAGACCCAAACAACCCUGACUCUCUCGCUUUUCCACCCGUGUGGGUGCCCCUGAUUGAUAUUUGGCCCAAAAAUAUAACCAAACCCUGGCCCACUCUCAGAACCGUGAGGUAUAUCAUACCUAUUUAGCCUAAAAAUGGCCCGUUUAUGUCGAUUCAUCCUUUUGACCCCCCAAACGGCCCUGUCGACCCCAACCACCCAUAUUUCCCUACUUUUCAGCCUACCUAAGAGCCCCCGAUCGAUUUUUGACCCAAACCACGCCCGGUCCCUUCACUUACCUUCAUAAUCGUGGGCUUAUAUCACAUCGAUUUUGCUUAAAAAUGGUCCGUUCGUGCCCUUUACUUAUUUGACCAACCAAAUAGCCCUACCGACCACCGCCGACCCCAAUGACCCAUACUUCCCAGCUCCUCAGCCUGCCUAGGACCCCCGAUCAAUUUUUUUCCCAAAACACACUUGAGCUCUAGGCCCACUCCCAAAACUAUGAGCUAUAAUACACCAAUUUGGCCUAAAAAUGCUUCAUUCGUGCCACUCAGCCAGUUUAACUACUCAAACAGCCCCGUCGAACCCAAUGACCCACAUUCUCGCACUCCUCUUCCUGUCUGGAAGCCCCGACCAAUUUUUAACCCAAAACAGGCUCGAGCCCCAAGCCCACCCUGAAACCCGUGAGCUAUAGCUCACCAAUUUAGCCAGAAAAUUACCCGUUCAUGCCAUUUCUUUUGUUUGACCACCCAAAAAGCCCUGUCGACCCCAACAGACCUCAGCCUGUCUGGGAUACCUCGCUUGAUUUUUUAUCCAAAACACAUCUGGGCCUUGUGCCCACCCUAAGAAUCGUGAGCUAUAACACAUUGAUUUUGCUUGAAAAUGGUCUGUUCGUAUCGUUUAGCUCGUUUAACCACACAAACGGCUCCGCCGACCCCAACGACCCACUCUUCCCUACUUCUUAACCUUCCUUAGAGCCCUCAAUUGAUUUUUAGUCCAAAACAUUUUUGGGUCCCGAGCCUACCCCCAAAAUCAUGAGCUAUAACAUACCGAUUUGGCCCAAAAAAGGUCUAUUUGUAUCGUUUCAUCUCGUUUGACCACCCAAACGGUCUCCUCGACCCGAAAGGUCCAUAGUCCCUCGCUCUUCAGCCUUCCUGGGAGACCCUAGUCUAUGUUUGGCCUAAAACAUGCUCGGACCCUGGGCCUACCUACAAAACCAUGAGUUACAGCACACCGAUGCACUAGGAUUUCGUUAUGUGUUCGGUCUUGCUCAUAUUUCUUCAGUCUACCUCUACCCCACCUAAAACAUCCAUAACUAGUAUUUCACACCUCCACUGAAGAAUCAGAGCCCCUCUUCAUCACGUGGCCGAACCAACGUAACCUCAUAUUUCGCAUCUUGUCCUCCACCGAAGCAACUCUCACCUUCUCUCGAAUAAUAUCAUUCCUCACCUUAUCUUUCCUGGUAUGUCCACACUUCCAUCACAAUAUUCUUAUAUCUGCCACCUUUAAUUUUUAGAUUGGGAGUUCUUAACUGGUCAACACACCACUGUAUACAACAUAGCCAGCCGAACUACCACUCUGUAGAACUUACCUUUAAGUUUCGAGGGCAACUUCUAAUCACAUAGAACUCCUUAAGCGAGUCAUCAUUUUAACCACCCUGCCCCAAUAUUAUCGUUACAUCCUCGUUAAUCUCAUUAUUGCCCUGACUCAUGGACUCUAGAUACUUUAAACUCUCCCUCUUAUGAAUGGCCUGAGAGUCUAUCUUCACAACCACUCCAGUCUCAUGCGACACAUUACUAAACUUAUACACCAAGUACUCUAGUCUAUAAACAUUUUGUAUUGUUAGACGUUAUGACUACAAAAUCCUUUGCUGAAAUCUCAAAAUACAAUUAUUUUUCUUCUUUUAGAUGAUGAUAGAAGUACGUGUUAAUUUAGAGAAGUCACUUAGCUCAUGUCAUUCAUGCGGCGUACCAUGAAAUCAGAAAACUACAUCAAGAUAGGAGAAGAGAAAAACAAUAACAAAAUACCAUAUUUAGCACAUUUUCAUAGAUCGAACUCAUGACCCCCUGAUCACAUGGAGGGAACUAUCCACAAUAAUUCAGAAAAAUACUUCUCAUAGAUAAUCACAAAUUUCCAAGCAAGACUAAAUCUUUUAAGAAUUUUACUACAAACAAAGACAAAAACAAAGGGCAGUCCGGUGCACUAAGUUCCCCUUAUGUGCUGGGUCCCAGGUAAAACUAGACCACAAAGGUCUAUUAUAUACAGUCUUACCACUGUGGAUCCCUCUUUCCACAGCUCGGACCUAUGACCUUCUGGCCAUACGACAACAACUUUACCAGUUACGACAAGGCUCCUUGUCUUACACACACAAAUAACAUUUGUAAAAAUGAAAUCUUUAGCAAAUUUUUAAAAUUCUUUCUACCUAAAUUUCCAAGAUAAGCUAAAAUAUAACACUGAUAACAUAUCGUUAAAAAAUAAACAAUAAGCAAAAAUUGAAACUACCCAAAAAAAAUUCAGGCAAAUAAAACUUGUAAUACAUCAAGAUUAAUUUUGAACAAUAGCUUAAAAGAAAAUCUCACUUCUCACAGCUGAAUAAUGAAAGUCCAAUUUUUCCCUUAACAUUAUGUCUCCAUUGAUGAUGGAUACUGUCGCAUUAAGAGUCAAUUUCUUUCCUUUUCUGGUAGUUGGUCUGUAUUUGAGCAGUAUCAUCUUCUACAAAAAUGAACAGGAUAAUAUCACUUUAGCCCCCAAAAGGUCUAGCUGUUACAUAUAGACCGCUUUACCUUAUAAUUUUAGAAUGAUAUUACUCUUCUUGAACAAUUUAAAUGCCCCAAAAGUUGCUCUAAUAAACAAAAAGAUAAUUCCUUCGUUUGGUUUUACUUGUCACAGUUUAAGUUGACAUGUUUACUAAAAAAAUAAUUAAUAACAUACAGUUAUUUUACCACAAUACCCCUAUUAAAUGAUGUUUAUAUUGUAUCUUAAAAUUAAUUUGGAGAAAAGACAACUAAUGCUAAGGGUAAAAUAGGAAAAACGUUGUCUUUUCUUGACAUAUCAAAAAUGAUAAGUAAAAAUAGAAAUACAAUUAGGAAAUUAGUGACAAGUAAAAGCGAACGGUGGGAGUAACACUGAAAACACAUCAAAAAGAUAUAUUUCCUCGGUUGUAUUUUAUGCGGCAUAUUUUGAUCGGGCACAAAGUUUAAGAAGGAAUGAAAAUUGUCCUUUAUUAAAAAAUAUAUUACUACUAUCUUUAAUUAAAUGAGACUAAAAAGGAUAAAUGUAAAAUUGUAUCUUUAAUUAGUUACCAAAUAAGGAAAUAUGACAUUCUUUUUGGGACGGACAAAGAGAAAAUGACAACAUAUAAAAUGGGGCAGUGGAAGUAUGUUAAUACUAAAAGGGCAGCUUGUUGUGGUUGUGGAAGUAUGUUAAUACUAAUAGGGCAGCUCGGUGUACUAAAACUUUUUGCUAUAAGGGACUGCGGAGAAGGGCUGGACUACAAGAAUUUUACUGUACGCAGCAUUAUCUUGCAUUUCUGAUAGAGGCUGUUUCUAUGACUUGAACUCGUGACUUCUUAAUCACAUGAAAAUAAUUUUAUCAGUUACUCUAAAGCUCCCCUUCAUAUUUUUUUUUCGAUUUGAUAAAAAUAUUAAAGAUACGCAAAAUAUAAAAGAUACGCAUAUAAUUCUUUUUGCAAACCCACUUAUAUGGAGUAAUAAAAACGUAUAUGGUAUCAAAAAUGAUAUAUGCAAGGGAUUUCCCUUUUGGUUAAAGUUUUAACAGGUUAAUUUCAUGUAUAAUUGUAGACUUUUACUCAUUAAUGAAAAAAUUAUUGAACUUUAACUCUUUAAUAAAGUAGUAGAUUUAAUGGCAUUAAAAAUCAUUAAUGAGUUUUUAUUACUCCCUCCGUCCUAUUUUACCCGUCCUAAAUUGGCUAAGUUGAUGUUCCAUUUUACUUGUCCCAUUUUACUUAUCAAGAUAAGACAAACUUUUCUUUCCAUGUUUUACUCUUUGCGUUAAUUACCUUUUCUUUAAAUUAAAAUUUAAACAUCAUUUAAUAGGGGUACUUUGGUAAACUAGCCAUGUUAUUUAUAAUUUUUUUAAUUGUUGUGCCAUCCCAAUUUGGGACAAGUAAAAUGGGAUGGAGGGAGUGUGUGUUUAUAUAUAUUGAGUACAAGAAGUGAUAGACAUAUGUCAAACUAAAUCAAUAAAUUAGAAAAAACAAUUUCUAUUCCAAUGGAGAAGUUCCUCCAUGUUCACCUUUUAAUUUCAAUUAUUUUCUCAAUUUUGCUUGUAAUUUUAUGCAAUGGACAUUCUUUUUCAUCCCUUAACACCACUUAUAUUAUGGAAUAUGUCUAUUGAUCCAACGAAGCUUCCCGAUCCUCCGAUGCCAUUCUAUACACUCACCAUUUACAAUCUCUUUUUAUUUGAAAAGUCAAAAUUCAUGGACUAUGACUCGUUACUCGGAAAUAGGUUCGACGGUUGUCAAGCUAGAGCAAAUCAUUUCGCAUCGGUUCUUGAAAAUGGUGAUGCGAUUAGUACGAAUGGAACUCUAUUAAGGCCACACGACAAGCAUGAGAGUAAAAUGGCCAACGAAAAGGUUCUGUUAACAAGAAGUACACAUUUCAUAUGUCAGUAUGUUGCAUCUUUAACUCUUUUUUUUUGUUUCCUAUCGGGCAUCCGGUGCCCGCAUUGGAGCCCCGACUAAUCUGGAUCACACGUUGCAGGGCCCAUCAAGGUGGCAGCACUCCUAACAGAAUUUUAUCUAUACCCAGGGUCAAACCCUAGACCUUUGGUUAAGGGUGGAGCAGCCUCAUCCACUGUACCACAACCUAUAUUGGUGCAUCUUUUACUCACUAAACAAGUUAAAAGUUACUAGCUAAUAGAUACUGGUAGUGAUUUAGUUUGGUGGUAAUGUGGACCAUGUAAUGCAAAUGGAUGUUACAAAAAAGAUAAAUAAUGCUUUAUAUGUUUUAACUAAUUCAAAAACAUAUCGAAAGCUCGAUUGCCUUGUAGAAAGUAGAAACAGUGAAAUCACGAAUAAGGAAUAUGAUUGUAGUCCGAAUGGUAAUACGUGUAUGUAUGAUUACAAAUACGUAAAUGGAUCAAGAACAAGAGGCUGGAUUGAACACAUCAUGAUUACUUUUAUUUUAGACCGAAAGCAUGUAAGCAUUGUUUUUGGAUAUGGCAAAGAUCAAACUCAUGGAAAGCCUUUUAGUGGUUAGUUUUCUGGAAUUGCUGGCCCCGGACGUAAUGGGUGGUCGAAAUUCUUUAGCAUCGUAAUUUGAAGCAGACAUAAUGUCCAUGUGCCUACCGGGAGCUCUCUCCACAAAAGGAUUAACACUUUAGCUUCCACACAACGCCAUUUAAGAAAACAACAUCAGCAACGCUAUUACAAGAUUUCAGAUUCCCUUCCGUUUACUUCGUCAACCUUUAUAAAGUUUUUAUUAACGAUAGGGAAUUACCGAUGUUCCCAUCAUUGUCUAGGAAUUUUAGAAAUUAUGCCACAAGAGGUACCGGCAUCGUGGACACAGCAACAUUUAUUACCCAUUUUCCUCAUGAUUUUUAUAUUGUAUUUUGUUACAUAUUCAGAUAACAAGUACGUGGUAUUCCUAUGGUUAAUGUUCCACCUGGAUCAGUUUAUGACACGUGCUAUCAAGUGGAUAUGACUGGUCUGGAUCCACAUUUCCCCGUUGUGACCAACCAAAUGGCCCCUCCGACCCCAACAACCCAUACUCUCUUUUGCCUAAGCCUACCUGGGAGCACUUGAUCCAUUUUCUGCCCAAAACAUACGCGGUCACUGGGCCCACCCCCAGAACCACGAGCUAUAGAACACUGAUUUAUCCCAAGAAUGGACCAUUUGCGUUGUUUCACUUGUUUGACCACCCAAAUAUCCUAGACGACCAAAAACAACCCAUAAUAUCCCACUUUUAAGCCUGCCUUGGUGCCUCUAGUCGAUUUUCAAACAAAAUCACGCUCGAGCCCCGAGCCAACCCCAAAAACCGUGUGUUAUACCACGUCUAUUUGGCCCCAAAAAUAGCAUGUUUUUAACGUUUCGACUGUUUGACCACCUAAAUGACCUCGCCGACCCAAACGACCCACUUUCCCAUUCAUCAGUCUACUUGGAAGACUUGAUCGAUUUUUGAUAUAAAACACGCCCGAACCCGGGCCCAAACAGAACUACAAGCUAUAGUACGCCGAUUAUGCCUGUAAAUUACCCAUUCGCAUUGAUAUUCCUGUUUGACCACCCAAAUAACCCCGUUGACCCAUACGACCCAUGCUUCCCCGCUUUUUAGCCUACCUGAGAGCCCCCAGUUGAUUUUUGACCCAAAACAUGCCCAGGACCACCCCAAAAUUGUACCAAUUUGGCCUAAAAAUGGCCCGUUUGCACCAUUUUGCUCGUUCGACCAACGAAACGGUCCCACCAUCCUCAACGACCCAUAAUUCCCCACUCCUCAGCCUGCUUGGGAGAUCACAAUCAAUUUUUGACCCAAAACAUGUUUGGGCUCUGGGACAACCCCCAGAAUUGUGAGUUAUAACACACCGAUUUGUCCCAAAAAUGACCCAUUCGCAUCAUAUUGCCUGUUUAAUAACACAAAUGGCCCCGCCAACCCCAACGACCCACACUCCCCGCUUUUCAGCCAACCUGGGAGCCGCGAUCGAUUUUCAGUCAAAAACAUGUGUGGGCCUUGGGCACACCCUCUGAACCAUGAGGUAUAGCACCCUAAUUUUACCAAAAAAUAGCCCAUUUACACUGCUUCAUCCGUUUGAUCACACAAAUGGCCCAUCACCACCCAACAGCCUACACUCUUCCACUUAUCGCCUAGGAUCUUCUGGUCUAAUUUCAUCCUAAAACACACCUACACCCUGGGCCCAUGCUCGAAAUCGUGAGCUAUAACAUACCGAUUUGGCCUAAAAAUGGUCAAACGACCUAUACUUCCUUGCUUCUCAGCCUGCUUGGGAGCCUCCGGUCAAUUUUUAGACUAAAACACACCAGAGCCUCAGGCCCACCCCUAGAACCAUGAGUUAUAGCACAAGGAUUGGGCCUGAAAAUAGCACGUUCAUGCCGUAUAGCCCGUUUGACCACCCAAAUGGCCUCGGAGAAUUUUUGGACAAAACAUGGUUGGGACUCGGGUAGGACCCUCGGAAUCGUAAGCUAUAUCACAUCGAUUUGGCCAAAAAAUGGUCCGUUCACGUCAUUCUGCCUGUUGAACCACCUAAAUAGCCCCACAGACCCUAACAGCCCACACACCCUCACUUGUCAGCCUACGUGGGAGCCCCCGAUCUAUUUUUGGCCCAAACACGCUAGGUCCCCGAGCACACCCCAGAACCGUGAGCUAUAGCACAUCAAUUAGGCUCAAAAAAGGCCCGUUGGCAUAGUUUUGCUUCUUUGAUUACCCAAACGGCCCUGUCGACCCAAACAACCCGGACUCCCUCACUCCUCAACCCACUUGGGUGCCCCUGAUUGAUAUUUGGCACAAAAAUAUGACCAAACCUCAGCCUACUCUCAGAACCGUGAGGUAUAGCAUACCAAUUUAGCCCAAAAAUGGCCUGUUUAUGCCGAUUCACCCUUGUGACACCCUAAAUGGCCCUGUUGACCCCAACCACACAUACUCCCGUGCUCCUCAGCCUGCCUGAGAGCCCCCGAUCGAUUUUUGACCCAAACCAUGCCCGGUUCCUUCACUCACCUUCCAAAUUGUGGGCUAUAUCACACCGAUUUUUCUUAGAAAUAGUCCGUUCAUGCCCUUUUGCCUGUUUGACCAACCAAAUAGCCCAACCGGCCACCACUGACCCCCAACGACCCAUACACCUCUAUUCCACAGUCUGCCUGGGAGCCUCCGAUUAAUUUUUAGCCUAAAACAUGCCUGGGCGUUGGGCUCACCUCCAAAAUCAUGAGCUAUAGCACACUAAUUUGACCAGAAAAUGGUUCGUUCAUGUCGUUCCACUCAUUUUACCACUCAAAUAGCCUCGCCGACCACAACGACCCACACUUCCUUGCUCCUUAGCCUUCCUAGGACCCCCGAUUAAUUUUUUACACAAAACACGCUCGAUCCCUAGGCCCACUCCCAAAACUAUUAUCUAUAACACACCAAUUUGGCCUAAAAUGCUUCAUUUACGCUAUUCAACCCAUUUGACCACUCAAAUAGCCCCAUCGAACACAAUGACCCAUAUCCUCUCACUUCUCUUCCUGUCUAGGAGGCCCCGACCAAUUUUUAACUCAAAACAGGCUCGAGCCCCAAGCCCACCCUUAAAACCGUGAGCUAUAGCUCACUGAUUUACCAAAAAAUUACCCGUUUGUGCCAUUUUUCCUGUUUGACCACCGAAACAGCCUUGUCGACCCCAACAGACCACACUCUCUCGCUCCUCAACCUGUCUGGGAGCCCUCCUUGAUUUUUGAUCCAAAACACGUCUGGGCCUUGGUCCCACCCCAAGAAUCGUGAGCUAUAACACACUAAUUUAGCUUGAAAAUGGUCUGUUCGAAUUGUUUAAGCUGUUUGACAACUAAAAUAGCCCCACCGACCCCAACGACCCACUCUCCCCCACUUCUCAGCCUGCCUGGGAGCCCUCAAUUAAUUUUUAGUCCAAAACAUUUUUUGGCCCUGAGCCCACCCCUAAAAUCAUGAGCUAUAACACAUCGAUUUGGCCCAAAAAUAGUCUAUUUGCAUCUUUUCAUCUUGUUUGACCACCCAAACGGUCCCUCUGACCGGAAAGGUCCAAACUCCCUCGCUCUUCAGCCUUCCUGGCCCCCAGUCAAUUUUCGGCCCAAAAUAUGCUCGAACCCUGGGCCUACCUCCAAAACAAUGAGUUAUAGCACACCGAUGCACUAGGAUUUUGUUAUGUGUUCUGUCCUACUCAUAUUUUUUUAGUCUACCUCUACCUUGCCUAAAACUAUCCAUAACCUGUAUUUCACACCUCUGCACUAAAGAAUCAAAGCCCCUCUUCAUCAUGUGGAUGAACCAACAUAACCUAACAUUUCACAUCUUAUCCUCUACCGAAGCAGCUCUCAACUUUUCUCGAAUAAUUUCAUUCCUCACCUUAUCUUUCCUGGUAUGUCCACACAUCCAUCGUAAUAUUCUUAUCUCCGCCACCUUCAAUUUUUAGAUGUGGGAGUUCUUAACUGGCCAACACACCACUACAUACAACAUAGCUGGCUGGACUACCAUUCUGUAGAACUUAGCUUUACGUUUUGAGAGCACCUUCUAUUCACAUAGAACUCCCAAAGCAAGACUUCAUUUCAACGACCCUUCCCUAAUAUGAUUUGUUACAACCUCAUUAAUCUCAUCAUUUCCCUGAAUCAAAGACUCUAGAUUCUUGAAACUCUCUCUCUUAUGAAUGGUCUGAGAUUCUAUCUUCACAACCACUCCACCUUUCUGCGACACAUCACUGAACUUAUACUCCAGGUACUCUAUCUUGGUUCUGCUCAAUCGAAAUCCUUUAGACUCAAGCGUCUGUCUCCAAAUCUCCAACUUAUCAUUAACUUCUCUCCAAGUCUAGUCAAUCAGUACCAUAUCAUCUGCAAAUAACAUACACCAAGGCACCUUUUUCUUGAAUAUGUCACAUCAAAACAUUCAUCUCCAGGGCAAAUAAAAAUGGGCUAAGAGUCUAUCCUUAGUUCAACCCUAUCAAAACUAGGAAGUGCUCCGAAUCUGCAUCUAUCGUCAUCACACGAGUCUAAUCCCCAUCAUCCAUAUCCUGAAUCGACCUAGUGUAUGCCAUAGGCCUCCUUCUAGCCUCUAAGCACCUCCACAGAAUCUCCCUGGAAACUCUAUCAUAUGCCUUCUUAAGAUCAAUAAACACCAUGUGCAAGUCCUUCUUCCUCUCCCAAAACUGCUCCACUAAUCUUCUCACAAGGUGAAUGGCCUCAGUGGUCGAGCGCCCUGUCAUGAAACCGAACUGAUUCUCAGAGAUCAUUACGAUCCUUAUCAUCCUCAACUUUACCACCUUUUCUGAAACCUUCAUAGUAUGACUCAACAACUUAAUACCUCAAUAGUUGUUGCAACUCUGGCUGUCUCUCUUGUUCUUAUACACUGAAAUCAUAGUACUCCACCUCCACGCUUCAAGCUUCUUUGUCGCCCUAAAAAUACUAUUAAAUAACCAUGUCAACCACUCCAAACCUACUCCAUUAGUGCUCUUCCAAAAAUCCACUAGAAUCUCGUCUGUCUCCGUUGUCUAACCCCGCUACAUCCUGCGAAUAGCUCCCUUGACCUCCCAAACCUUGAUAUGCCUACAAUAACCAUAAUCGCGACACUCCUAAGAUUUCAUCAAUUGCAUUUCAAACACUAAAAGUACUUACUUGUAUCAAUUACGGAACUUCUAAUUUCAAAUCUUAAAUUUCAUUUAGUCUCAAUUCAAAAAUUAAGUGCAUAAAAUUUAUUAGUUUAUUUUAAAUUUUCAGAUAUUGUUCUAUUGCUUAUUAUUUUUACAAUGACCAAUUUUAUGAUUAAUAUCUUUAAUUAUUUUAUUUAUACAUCUUAUUGUAUCUACUAAGUUAAUUUAAUUAAGAUCUCUCAAAUCACUGUCAAAAUCACCACCCCACAAAAUACUACACCCACUUCCUAGUCUUCCCCUACAGCCACCACCCCGCCUCCCUAGUUUUUAUUAUAUUUUACUUUAUCAGAUUUUUUGUAAAAUAUUUUUCUCACAUCACCCAUCUCUUAUCCCCAAGCCACCCUCCACCAACAAAAAAAUAUUUUAUUUUUGUUUAAAAUAAAAUUUUAUAUUGCACCCACCCCUACUCCCCAAUACCUAUUCGACACCCUACCUAAUACACAUACAAAAAAAUUAUUUUUGAUUUUUUUACCUACACCACCACCCUGCCUACCCGACCUACCUAGAUCACCCCUACCUCAUAUCAACCACCAUAAUCUCUUGUUCUUCCCCUCAUCUAUCACUUUGCCUCAAUGGAAUUUAUAAUUUUGUGUUAAGUAUACACAAAUGCUAUUAGAAUAUAUCUUUUAUUUACUGAUAAAAUAUCAAUUAUCAAUUUAUUUUAGCAUCCAUGCUAUUACUAAUGUCAAAUAAUCACAUCAAAUAAAAUUAUCUAUUUUUUAAGCUCAAAAUGAACUAAUAGCUACUACUUAGUAUUUUUAUUAUCCUAAAUUUUUUGUAAAAAUAUUUACCUGAUUAAGUUCAAGCAUUUUAUAUCCCUCCAAUAAAUUAUUCUUUUUGUUAUCUAUUGAAAAUAAUUUGAGACGCAGGGGAUUAAUUCAUUAUUGAAAUGAAAUAAAAUAUAUAAGCAUACACUAUUAAAGAUCACAAUGAAAUCAUAUACAAAGAUUAAGAUUAAACAUUCAGCAAUAUGAUUUCAAAGAAAUCUUUGUGAGAAAAUUAACUCUUGAAUUCAUAAAAAGAAAUCGUUAUAAUUAACUUUAACAAACAUCAAAGCAAUAGAAAAAGAUGAUGGCAGAGAUAUAUGAUUAUGAUGAUAAAAAAGAGUAGUCAAAAAUAUGAAAGUAAUGGAAAGAGAUGAUGGACUAUGAUACCAUGAUAAUGAAAUGAAUUUGGACCUAACUCAACGUCAAAAGCUAUCUCUUGAGGUGAGAAUUGCCCAAGAUCAUAUAAGGAGACUAAGGACUCUUUAAUCCACUGAUGUGGGAUUCUCCCCUCCUUCUCCUUGCAUGCCAAGACUGGACAUCUGAAGCGUAGGCAAUAUAAUAUGGGGGACUCAACAUUGAAAACAAUGAAUUGGGUAGGCCUGACUCUGAUACCAUGUUGAAGUAUGUGACCAUCUCAUCUAAAAGUUUAACUAUUAGAGAGAGUACAAUUUUACUAUUUAAUUAUAUUCUCAGCAGUUACUUAAUAUGCUAUUUUGGAAUUGAACAAAUGAACUUUACGUGGCAUUGCAAACUGAAGAAAGACACAAAAUUUUUGUUUCAAACAGUUCAAGAAAGAAUCUUUUGUCCUUUUGAAACAAAGAAAUAGAGUCACAUUUGAUGGCUUGUUUUGUCCCUACAGUUGAACUAAGAGCACUUUGAGUGGAGGUUUUUUCUAUUAUUAAGGAUGUUCAAUUUUGGAAAAGUACUACUCCUUUAGUUUAAAAAAGGAUGGUAGACCAAACAACAUAUUAAUUUUAUACAUUAUAUUAACUCCUAAGUAGCUACCAAACCUGGAAUUACUUAUGUAGGGUUCCUACAUAAUUCGUUGCUAAGCCAGCUACCAAAUGACCCCUUAAUACCUUCUUUCUUAGUUCAUUGAGAAGACAGACCAAUGCAAGCAUAAUUCUUUUUAUGUGUAUAAUAUGUUCAAAAUCAAGGUGCAGAAUAAAUACUUUACAUAAAUACAGAACUUCCUAAAUGAGUUGACCCAAUUGAUAUAAACGGUUUGAUUUACUCAACUUCUUAUUCAUCAAUUGAUGACUACCGUAUUUUUUCUUGAGAUAUGGCAGUUAGUUUUUUUUUAUAACAAGAUUUUUUUAUAACAAAAAACAAUGUACCACUAAUGCCUCUGCAGCAACAAAAUCUUCUGAAGCAUCCAAUGAAAGUUGAGAGACUCUCUUCUUGGCUAUAGCUUUUGGUGAAUCUCUUGCUGAAAUUGAUGAAAAUUAUUCACCAUUAUUUCGACCUAUUUUAUCAUUUUUCUCAAUUUUAGUUCUCUAUAUAAAAGUCAUUAUUGGUUCUUUCCCUAGUAAUUUAAGUAGUUGAUCUAAGAAUGGAGCAACUUUUUCAGGUGCAGCUUGCGGUGGAAGCUCACAAGUGUCGGUAUUUGCAGGCAACUUGGAAGUUCCAGUUAAGGAUGGACCAACUUCCUUCAAAAUAAACAAGUUUCAAGAUGGAUCAUUUUGACUGAUCCUUUUUCCCUAUCUAUGUGCAACGAAUAUGUUGAAAAUAGUAGGUAUCAUAAUCUAGGUCCAACUGCUAGGUUCGAUAGUAACUCAAGAAUCUUUUAUCAAUUCCCCUUUCUUAGGAACCCCAGAAAAUAAAUAACACUCGAAUAGAAAAAAGUAAACUCAGACACAACAAAUGCUGAUUGUAUGAGAGGUUAUACAAAGUGGGGUUUGGAUAUAUACUCAAAUUUAGAUCCAAAAUAGGGAAAAAAAUUGAUUGACAUGAAUAAAUACUUCAACUUGUAAUCUCCACUUGGAUUCACUCACAUUUAUUGCGUUUUUCCCAAAUUUUGGGUUUAAAAUCCUUAAGUUUUUUCAAGGUGUUUGUGCUUUUCUCAGGUAUUGUUACUUGAAAAAUUAUGUUAUUUUGGCCUUGAACUAAUGAACUCUAUGUGGCAUAAUAAACUGAGGAAUGACACAAAACUUUUGUUUCAAACAGUUCAAGAAAGAAUCUUUUGUCUUUUUUGAAACAAAGAAAUAGAGCCACAUUUCUUGGAAUGAUUUGUCCACUCAUGGUGCUCUUAGUUCAACUGUAGGGACAAAAUAUUUCAACAAAUGUGGCUCUAUUUCUUUGUUUCAAAAAGUCAAAAGAUUCUUUAUUGAACUGUUUGAAACAAAACUUGUGUCUUUCUUUAGUUUGUUACGCCACGUAGAGUUCAUUAGUUCAAUGCCAAAACAACAUAACUGUUCAAGUAACAUUACCUGAGAAAAGCACAAACACACUAAAAAACUUAGGGAUUUUAAACCCAAAAUUUAAGAAAAAAUGCAAUAAAUGUGAGUGAAUCCAAGUGGAGAUUACAAUUUGGAUUGUUUAUUCAUGUCAGUCAAUUUUUUCCCAAUUUUGGUCCUAAAUUUAAGUAUAUGUACAAGCCCCACUUUGUGUAACCUCUCAUACAAUCAACAUUUAUUGUGUCUGAGUUUACCUUUUUCUGGUCGAGUGUUAUUUAUUUUUGGGGGUUCUUGAGAAAGGGAAAUUGAUAAGAGAUUCUUGAGUUACUAUCUAACCUAGCAGCUGGACCUAGAUUGUGAUAUCUAUUAUUAUCAACAUGUUCCUUGCAUAUAGCUAGGGAAGAAUUAUCUUUCAAAAUGAUCCAUCUUGAAUCUUGUUUAUUUUGAAGAAGUUGGUCCAUCUUUACCUGGAUCUUCCAACUUGCCUGCAAAUGCCGACUCUGGUGAGCUUCCACUGCAUGUUGCACCUGAAAAAUUGCUCUAUUCUUAGAUCAAUCACUUAAAUUGUUAGGGAAGGAUCCAAUAAUUACUUCUAUAAAGAGAUAUGAAAAUGCGAAAGAUGACAAAAUAGAUCAAAAUGAUGGUGUAGAAUUUUUAUCAUUUCAGCAAGAGAUUUACCAAGAGCUAUAGCCGAGAAGAGAGUCUCUCAACUUUCAUUGGAUGCUUCAGAAGACUUUGCUUCUAUGGAGGCAUUAGUGGUAUAUUUUAUUAUUUUUUAGUUAUCAAAAAAACCCUACCUUCAGAUCCCGUGAUAAAAGAAGAAAGAUAGGAUAUUGGACUCCCAUCUCAUUUAGUAGGAAAGGGCCCAAAAUCUCUCACCUUUUCUUUACUGAUGAUCUAACUCUGUGUGCUAUUACUAAUGAAAGAAACUGUGAAACCGUCCGAGGCACUCUUAGCAGCUUCACCUUCCACUCUAUCCAAAAAAUUAACACUCUCAAAUCUAAAGUAAUCUUCUCUAGAAACUGUGGUCAGGAGACCAAAGAUAGUUUGUCUCACAUCUUAGGCAUCCAAUCCAAAGACGAGUUUGGCAAAUACCUUGGUUUUCCCGUGUUCCACAAAAAACCUUGCAAUAGAGAUUUCCAAUUCAUCCUAGACAAUCUCAACACUAAGUUGGCUGGAUGGAAAACCAAAUUCCUCAAUAUGGCUAGCAGAAUCACCCUUACCAAAUCCUCCCUUGCUAGUAUUCCCACUCAUGUCACGUAAUUCAUUUUGAUCCCCUCUAAAAUCCACUAAUUGAUUGACAGAAUCCAAAAGAACUUUCUCUCGGGCACCACCCCUGAUAAUAAGAAAAUGCAUCUAAUCAAUUGGGAAACCUUGACUAAUGCUAAAGCUAAUGGGGGACUGGGCCUCCAGAGAGCUUCUAUUAUGAACACCACUAUGCUAUCCAGUCUAGCCUGGAGAAUUUACAAGCGUCCCAACAGUAUCUGGGCAAAAAUUCUUUAAAAUAAAUUAGCCCCCAUGGCAUAUCCCUCAAAGCUAAAAACUUUAGAACUUUGAAAAGUGUCUUUGUGGGUUGGGAAAUUUGUAGAAAAUUUGUAGAACUGCCUCCUCUUGGAAUAUCCAUAAGGAUGACAAGAUCAACUUCUGGAAGGACAGAUGGAUGCCUCACUGUGAACUCCUUCUUUCCAUCAUCCAAUCCCUUCUUCCUUAUCAUUCCCAAGAUAUUAAAAUCUCUGGGGUCUAGAGAAAUGGCUCCUGGAACCUCAAGGAUCUUCCAGUUGAAAUCCCUGAGGAUCUCAUCCAAACUUUCACCAACUUCGUUUUCCCCAAUCCUAGAGCCAAUACUGAUGAGCUCAUUUGGCAUGUCACCGAUAAUUGUCUGUUCUCCAGCAGAAAUACUUAUAAUCAUAUAGCCAAAACCUUUGAGAUCAAUUACUCCUCUAAUUUCAACUGGAUAUGGAAGGCUAAAUCCCCUAAAAAGUCAAAACCUUUCUUUGGCUAGGCCAGCAUGAUAGGUUCCCCAAUAACCUCAACCUCUCCAAGUGAGGAGUGAGACAAAAUAUUAGUUGUGCUAUCUGCAAUCAUCACCAGGAAGACAAAUCCCACAUUUUCUUUAAGUGUCCCAUCCUCAAAGAUUUUGGAGUGCAAACUAUCCACAAGAUGACCCAGUCCAAAUAACUUCCUAUUACCAGUUUCCUACCCUCUUACUGGCACACUAUCUGGAGAUAUCUUCAACACUCCCAAUUUAAUAAACUAAUCCACUGGCACGAUAUCAUUCUUUUCAGCCUCUAGACAAUCUAGAACACCAGGAACUCUAAUACCUUCAAUAAUAAAAGGGAUCAUCCCAAUUUAAACUAUGCUUACUCCCAAGUUUUUGAGUAUAAAUAUCUUACUCAAAAGAAUACCCCAAUCAAGCAAAACCAAAUCAUCAACAUUAAGUGGAAUCCUCCCACCAGCCACACCUUUAAGCUCAAUACUGAUAAUUCUUGCCUUAGAAACCUCGGGAAGGGUGGAAUAGGAGAGAUAGUCAGAUCUAGUAAUGGAUGCUGUGUUAGGUUUUAACAAAAACUUUCACCGAACUCCCAACAACAUGAUAGAACUUAUGGCUCUCAUUGAAGGAUUAAACUGGUAGAGAAAAAUAAUCUUCUCCCCAUUGAAAUUAACAUUAAUUCCUUGGAAGUUAUAUCUAUGUUAACUAACGGGAACCUCUACUAUGAUACUUUGAUUUCGGAAUGCAGGUCAAAAUUAAGAAGGUUACGAAAUCCGGAAGCCAAGCACUGUUAUAGAGCACAAAAUGAAGUGGCGAAUGCUCUAGCAAAAGACGAAGCAUGGGCAAGCGGGUUUCAUGAGACUACCCUUUUGGAAGUUCCACCGAUAUGUGUAAAAGAUACAGUUUGAGCAGACAUCUCGAAAUUUUUUUGAGAGAACAAUUAGCUCUUAUAAUGAUGAUUUUAACUGGCCAGGCCAGAACUAUUCCUUUUUGAACCCUGACUAAUCGUCAAAAAUUGAAACUUAAACUGCGUUCUCUUUUAUAUUAAUGCAUGUCCUUUCUACCAAAAAAAUAAUAUUAUUUCGCAUAUUGAAUCAUUGAAAAAAAUGAUAUUUAUAUCAUUUAAAUUGAUGGACCUUGAACAUUCAUAAAGAAAGAUAAGUUGAAAAUGUUAUAUCAUUCCUGCAAAUCGAAAGAAUGUUAUCAAAUCAAGAAUAAUUUUUUAAAAUCAAAAAAUUAAAAAAUACAGUAAAUAAAAUCACCAAUAAAGCUAAUGAUAGAGAAGUAUAUGUAAGAAAGGCUAAGUGAAAGAAUUUUAUUUAUAUUCAGAUAUCAUUUAAAUACAAAUUCAAAUAUCACAUAUGUUUAUUAAAAUAAGAUUAAUUUAUUAUUCUUCCUUUUCCUUAUCCUUACAUUUUUCAAAUGCAAUAUAUAUUUAAAAUUAAUAUAGAUUUGAGUUGAGAUAAAUAUUGAAAUCAAUGAGACAAUACUAAUACUAAUUCUAAUACUAACACUAACACUAAUACUAAUACUAAUACUAAUACUAAUACUAAUACUAAUACUAAUACUAAUACUAAUACUAAUACUAAUACUAAUACUAAUACUAAUACUAAUACUAAUACUAAUACUAAUACUAAUACUAAUACUAAUACUAAUACUAAUACUAAUACUAAUACUAAUACUAAUACUAAUACUAAUACUAAUACUAAUACUAAUACUAAUACUAAUAACAAUAAUAACAUUUUAACUAUUUUUACUUUACCGCUAUUAGAUUGCACUACUAUUAUUAUUUGUUCAUUGUUAUUUGAGAUAAAUAUUAAGAUAAAUCGUGUAGCAAAAGAAAAAAAAUUGUGUGCCAUGAUUACUAAUUAAGUACAUCUAAAUUAUAAGUUUAUCUUUGAAAGUAUGUUUUAUCUCCAAUUUAAAUUCAAAAAAAAUUGAUAGAAUAACCAAUAUCUUAGAUGAGAGGUUAAAACCGUCAAUAAAGGUCAGGCUCAUUGGGAUGACCCGGCCCAGCUUGUAAUUUGAUAGGGCUAGGCUAUAAUUUUUAUAGCCCAUUUAAGAAUAGGGCCUUUUAGCCCUUCAUGAAUAAGUCUAUUGACCCGUCGGCUUGAGCAAUAUGGGUUUGGGUGACCCGUGGGUCAAAUAAAAAUAAUUAAAAAAUUAAAUAUAGUACAAAGAAUAAAAAAAGGAGUCUACAAUUUUUACAGUCCGUUUAAGAAUAGGCUUUUUAGCCCGACCCAUAUAAAUCAGUUGGUCCGUGAGACUUGAGCAAUAUGGGCCGGACUGGCCCGUGGGCCAAAUAAAAAAUAAUUAAAAAAUAAAAUAAAGUACUAAAAAUAAGAAAAAGAGUCCAAACUCAAAGUCUAUUUACACUGUCAUAUAUAUAUAUAUAUAUUUAAAUAUUAAUUAUAUUUAUAAAAUAUAUAAAUAAUUAACAUAUAAAAUAUAAUUUUUGUAAGAAAUCAAAUAUGUUUAAUGAAGAUGACGUGGCGAUGUUGAAUACACCAUAAAUGCCAUGAGAGUUUUCUUUAAAGCAUUUAUUUUACUUUUAAUGGACUAAAUAUUGACAUUUCAUUGUGUUUUAUUGUGAUCAAUUAAAACAAAAUUAGGUUAAUAUUGUUAUUUACCGAGUUAUAUUAUAAAUCAUUAAUUAUUUUAUUUAUUUUUCAACAUCUCUAUUUGAUUUUAAUUUGGUGUCAAAAGUUAUUCAAUUUCCCAGAUUAUUAGGAUCUUUUUGUAAAUUUGAGACUUAAUUAAUGAGUAGUAACUUCAAGCAAUAUUAUAUUGUAAAUAUAUAUGCAAUUAAUAUUUUAAAAUUUAAAUUAAGAUUAUAAAAAUAAUAUAUUUUAAAAAAUGGGCUGGCCCGUGGAGGCCCACAACCAUAGUGUGACGGGUUGGGCAUGCUAAUUUCUAGUCUGUCAUGUUGAUGGGUUAACCUAGCCGGGCCCGUCAAACUCUAAAGCCCGUGUGAGCUAGCCCGGAUAAGCUGGUUCGAUCCAUAUUAACAACUCUAGGAGCAGUUAUAUAACAAUAAGAAUCCAAUUAGAACUGUUUAGUGUUAUAACUAUGUACUUCUAGUAUGUAAUUUUAUAUUUUUUUAAUAUUAUAUUAAAUUUAAAGUCAACAAUUUAUUUGUAAUGCCCCAAGAUCCCAUCCUGAGACGCCACACGAUGCUUAAGGCCACACGUGGCCUCAAGCUAACCCUCUAAACCUGUCAUCACUUCUAGAAAUCACUUUGACAAUACUCAUGCUAAUAUAAGAGAGAAUGACAUAUGAUAUACAUACUGGAAUAAGAUACGAAACAGUAUAACAUCAAAAUCAAGGAGGCAUUGGGACAAACCCCCAACAGACUCAAACAGUACUGAAAGCCAUAACAAUAAUAUGAUAUCACAAAAUUAUAAACACGUUCCUCGAACCAUGAGGACUCACCACUGAGUAGCCAAAAAGAGGCACCCGAAUAUCACUAAUGCGGCUGACUACCUGAACCUACAUCACGAGAAAACAUAGCCCUUAGGAAAAUAUGUGGGUCAGCACUUUGGAAUGUACUGAGUAUGUGGGGGUGCAUGCAACAAUGUAAAUAUCUUCAUCAAUUUCAUGAAAAUAUGCAUAUGUACAAUGGCUCACUUGGCUUGAGUUAGAUUGAAACAUACUUUUCAUGAUCUCAUCGUAAAUCAUAUGAUAAAAACCUCAUAAUCAUCAUAAACAACUCAACUCUUCAACUCAAGAUUCGGAGUGACUCAAUAAUUCAAGAAACUCGACUCUUAUGGACAUGGGAGGUUCUUAUAACCGACAUAAACCAUGUGAGCUACAUAGAGUCCAAUGUUUUGCCCUCUUAAGGAUAGAAUCGCACAUUGGCGGGAGCGUCGUACUCUUGCCAGGGAGUACAACAUAAAUUUUGUGAUCACAAUCUCAUACUCGGCCUCCGGCCCACAAUUAUAAAUAUCAAUCCUAUGGUGGAACGUAGUUUCUGGGAAAAUACCACAUUUUCUGCUCGGUGCUAAAUACUACUCCCAUAAACAAGCUCAAAACGCGUUAGUAAAUCCACCACAAACAUCACAAGGGUCUAUCAUGAAGACGAAAUCAAAUCUCUUUCUAAUUUAUCAAAUCAUAAUCAAUUUGUGGAUUCCUAACUCAACUCAACUCAAAUCAAUCUUUCUCAAUAUCAAAAUGCAUCAAUUCAUUAAGUCAUGGCAACAUCAAUAACUUUGAGUAAAUAUAAAGUCUCAUUGUAACAAUUCAAUUCUCAUGAAUCAAUAUACUCUAUAGUUCAAUAUGUCAUAAGGAAGCUUAAAUAUUGANNNNNNNNNNNNNNNNNNNNNNNNNNNNNNNNNNNNNNNNNNNNNNNNNNNNNNNNNNNNNNNNNNNNNNNNNNNNNNNNNNNNAUGAAGUAAUUUGGGUAUAAACCCACUUGCAAAAUCAUAUAAAUCCAUUAUAAAAAUCAAAGCUAUGAGCACAAGAACGAAAGAAUUACUCUUGUUCAAAACCCCACAUACUUUAAUCUUUGAAAUUGGUUGAACUCUAGUGCUUGAGACUUUACUCACACUUGUAAUAAAAAAAUUCCUUGAAGCCCACUCUAUGAGGAACUUAUUCUUGAAGGAAUCUUGAAGAUUUAUGGAUGAUUUUUGGAAGAUUAAUUUCCUUAAAUAAAACCCUAGAUAUAUUUCUUAAGAGAAUUGGAAGAGAGAUAUGAAGAAAUUAGGUUUUGGAUGAGGAUUCUCAUAUAUAUAGAGGCCUCCAAAAAUGGGGAAUGACUAAAAUACGCUUGCAAAAAUCAUCCAUCAAUUGCUGAAGAAAAUAGUUGACGACAUCCGUAACAAGCUAUCCGGCCCAUGAUAGGCCGUCAUGAAUUUUCAUCAUAAAAAGGGUGGAUUUGGUGACUUUCUGCCUUAAGGUGAUGACAUUUUGUGACGGGCCGUCAGGCUUGUGACAAGUCAUCACAAAAGUUCAUCACGGAUUUUCCAGGCUGACAUGCGGGGGUAAAAUAAGCAUAACUCUUUGCUCCGAUAUCGGUUUUGACGAAAUGGGUAUCAUUGGGAAGCUAAUUCAACUAUCUAUAUUUUGGUAGGUCAGAAAAUCAGUAAUUCGUAGUAGAACGGAAGAUAUUCUCAUUUGAAGUUGACUAUGCCAAAAUCCUUCUCAAGAAUUCAAUCGGUAAAGAAUGUUUUGAUUCGCCCAAGCAUUAAGACAUAUUUAAAUCCUUAAUACACAUCACCCUUGACCAGAAAACAACCAAAACACUAUAAUUUAUUUCUCAUGGGAUUGAGUCAUGGAGGCACUAUUGAUUAGAAUCUCAGGGUAUUAACAACCCUCCCCUUGGAAACAUUCGUCCUUGAAUAUUGCCAGAUAGGCCAAGAAUAAGAGAAAAAUAAGGACGUAUAGCUGGAAAGACUCACUCAAAAGACUUACUUCACUCUAUACCUUCGAAUACUAUAGAAAAUGCACUAAUUCGUGAUGAAAGUAGACACACUGCUAGAUCUUUAAUAACCAGGGGGCGGAAUUAGGGAAGAAUGAUACUUGUUGCACGCUCCAAACUCACAGAAAAGAGGUGAGGAUACAUGGCUCGUAUAUCAGCUUCGUCUUCCCAAGUAUCACUCUCAACAUAUUGAUUUCUCCAAAGCACUUAAACCAAAGGAACUUCUUUGUUCCUUAGCUUACGGAUCCGAAAAUCCAAAAUCUCGACCAGAAUCUUCUCGAAUGAAAGGCUAUCCUGAAUAUCUAAUCUUUCGGAAGAAUCAACCACGACAGAAUCACCAAUACACUUCUUAAGCAUAGAAAUAUGAAAUACCGGAUGAACGCUAGACAACUCCGUGGGUAGAUCUACCUCAUAAGCUACUUUCCUAACACGGAUCACAACCCUAUAUGUACCAACAUAACGGGGACUAAGCUUUCCCUUCUUCCUAAAUCUCUUCACCUCUUUCAUGGGUAAAAUCUUCAAGUACACCAAAUCACUAACAUUAAGCUCAAGAUCUUUUCAUCUCACAUCAGCAUACGACUUCUGAUGACUUUGAGCAGUUUUCAAUCUUUCUUGAAUCAACUUAAAUUUUUCCAUAGCCUUGAACACAGCAUCCGGCCCAAUCACUACUGCUUCUCCUACUUCAAACCAACCUAUGGGCUAUCUACAUCUUCUCUCAUACAAAGCUUCGAACGGGGCCAUCUGAAUACUAGCAUGGAAACUAUUAAUAUAUGCAAAAUCGAUCAAUGGCAAGUGUUUAUCCCAACUACCUUUGAAAUCAAGAGCACAUGACCUCAACAUGUCCUCCAAAGUCUGAAUAGUCCUUUCAGCCUGACCAUCAGUCUACAGAUGAAAAGCAGAACUUAGAUGAACUAGGGUACCGAUACCAUUCUGAAAAGCCCUCCAAAACUGGGAAGUAAACUGAGUACCCCUAUCAGACAUGAUAGCCAAAGGAACUCCAUGCAAUUAGACUAACUCACGGAUAUACAAUCUAGCAUAAUCCUCAGUAGUAUAAGAUGAAUGCACUGGCAAGAAAUGAGCUGAUUUAGUCACUUGUUCUACGACAAUCCAAAUCAAAUCAUAAUGACGAUAAGAAGGAGGUAAACCAAUUACGAAAUCCAUAUUUACUUCUUCCCACUUCCAAGUAGGAAUGCUAAACUCUUGCAUUACAGCACCGAGCCUCUGGUGCUCUACCUUAACUUGUUGACAAGUAGAACACUUUGCCACAAAUCCUGCUAUGUCUUUCUUCAUACCAUUCCACCAAUAGAGUUCCCACAAAUUGCGGUACAUCUUGGUAGCACCAGGAUGAAUAAAAUAUCGCGCACCAUGUGCUUCAGCCAUAAUUCUCUUCCUCAAAUCAUCAACAUUUGGAACACACAGUCUACCUUGCAAUCUCAACAUACCAUCUCCCCCUUGGGAGAAAACCUCCACCUUCUGGUCCUUAACUGACUUCUUCAGUCUGACCAAACUAGGAUACCUGUCUUGCUUCUCCUUUACCUCGGAUACCAAAGAGGACUCGGAAAAACUCUGAGCUAACAUACUCCCUUCAGCGGAAUCAAGAAAUCUAACACCCAACCGUGCCAAACGAUGCUCAUCACAAGCUAAUUCUUUCUUAUCAUUCUGUACAUGUCCUAUACUACCCUUAGACAACCUAAUAAGAGCAUCUACUACAAUAUUGGCCAUGCCUGGGUGAUACAUUAUACUCAUGUCGUAGUCUUUUAGAAACUCUCAUCAUCUUCUUGUCUAAGGUUCAACUUCCUCUGAGUAAACACAUAUUCCAAGCUUUUGUGAUCAGUAAACACAUCAACAUGAACACCAUACAAAUAUUGUCUCCAGAUUUUCAAAGAAAAAUCUACAACUGAUAAUUUAAGAUCAUGGGUUGGGUAACUGUUCUCAUGAGGCUUCAACUGUCUAGAGGCAUAAGCUAUAACUUUACCCCUCUGUAUCAACACAAAACCUAGACCAACUUUAGAAGCAUCGCAGUACACCACAAGACCAUCAGAACCAUUGGGUAAAGUUAACACUAGGGCUAACGUGAGUCGAGUCUUCAACUCUAGAAAACUCUUCUCACAGGAAUCUAUCAACUAGAACUUAACUUUAUUUUGGGCCAACUGGGUCAUGGGAGACGUGAUAGAAGAGAAGCCCUCAACAAAAUGAUGGUAGUAACCAGGUAGACCCAAGAAACUCCAAAUAUUAUACGGGGAGGUAAGUCUAGGCCAAUUCUUCACAGCUUCUAUCUUUUGAGUAUCAAUUCUAAUACCUUUAGAAGAAACAAUAUGACUCAGAAAAGCAACUGACCUUAACCAAAAUUCACAGUUGCAAAAUUUGGCAAAUAAUUGAUGAGCUCUAAGGGUUUCCAACACAAUUCGAAGAUGAUUCGCAUGGUCAUCCUUACUUCAAGAAUAUACAAUAAUAUCAUCUAUGAAUACAAAAACAAACAAAUCCAAAUACCGCUUGAAUGCUCAGUUCAUAAGAUACAUGAAAGCCGCUGGAGCAUUGGUUAACCCAAAGGACAUGACAAGAAACUCAAAAUUGCCAUAGUGGGUUUGGAAAGCUGUCUUUGGAAUAUCAUACUCUCUCACUCUAAGCUGAUGAUAGCCGAAUCUAAGUUCUAUCUUUGAGAAAUAACUUACACCCUGUAGCUGAUCAAAUAAAUCAUCAAUUCUAGGAAGAGGGUACUUGUUAUUAAUAGUUACCUUGUUGAGUUGACGGUAGUCAAUGCACAUACGCAAUGUACCAUCUUUCUUCCACACAAAUAGAACAAGUGCACCCCAUGGGGAAACACUGGGUUUAAUAAAGGCUUUUCUAAGAGGUCUUUGAGUUGCUUCUUCAAAUCUUUAAGUUCUGUGGGAGCCAUAUGGUAUGGAGGGAUAGAAAUAGGCUGAGUGCUAGGAAGGAGAUCAAUCCCAAAUUGUAUUUCUCUAUCAGGUAGGACCCCUGGAAGGUCUUCCAGGAAAACAUCAGGAAACUCUUUAACAAUGCUAACUGACUGAAUAGUCGGAGUCUCGGACUUGAGGUCUUUAACUCAAACUAAAUGAUAAAUGCAACCCUUGGAAAUCAACUUCCUAGAUUUGAGGUAGGAUAUGAAAUGGCUCUUUGGAGUUAUAGAACUCCCGAACCACUCAAACAUGGCUUUAUUAGGAAACUAAAACUUGACCACUCGGGUAUGACAAUAUAUAGAUGCAUAGCACGAAUGAAGCCAAUAUAUACCCAGAAUGACGUCAAAAUUAACUAUAUCUAGCUCAAUUAAAUCAGCACAUAUGACCCAAUGAAGGACAGUAGCAAGAGACUUCUUAUACACUCGCUUAGCAAUAAUAGACUCUCCUACAGGGGUAGAAACUAAAAUAGGCUCAAGAAUCCGUUUAGGGUCCAUAACAAAAUUUAGAGCAAUCAAAGGUGUCACAUAAAAGAAACUUGAACCGAGGUCCAUCAAUACAUACACAUCAAAAUAAAAGAUGUGGAGCAUUCUAGUGACGACAUCUUGAGAAUCCUCCUGCUCCUUGCGAGGUGGUAUAGCAUAGAUGCAAUUCUAGCGUGAACUGCCAACAGUACUAUAAGAGGUGCCCUGAGGAGGAACUGGGCUGACUACGGGAGUGGGGUAACUAGUAGCCUAGCUCUGGGGAUGAGCAUCUCGACUCCCCUAUCUAGCAUACGGAUAAUCUCUAAGUCGGUGGGCAAACUUCCCACAACCAAAGCAACCUCUCUGAUCAACAAAACACUCACCAGAAAAAUCUAUGCCAUAUUUGGCAUAUGAAGAAGGAUGAGGUCUGUUAUUUAUACUUUCCUAAGACCUGGAUGGGAUAGUCCUGUUCCCCUACUCCUGCCUACUUCUAAGUGUGGAAGCACUAAAUGAGAAAGGCACGAGCAUAAACGCACAUCUCUAGAAUUGAGUGUGGUCCCCUUCAUAGAAUCUAGACUGACCGAAUCCUUGUUGCUCUGAUCUAGCUCUUCUAUUCCCUCUUACUCUCUCCCUCUCUUUCACCUUAACAACUUCAAUCUAUUAGACAUGUAUCAUCAACUGAGAAAGGUCCAUCUCUAUAUUAAGCAUAACGGAUCUACACUCUUUACAGACCGGUCACGAACUUACUCAUGAUGGUCCAGGAGUCAGCCAUCUUACUAGGUGCAUAUUUAGGCAACUGAUUGAAUCUAAGGAAAUACUCUUUAACAGUCAUGGAGCCUUGUCUCAAAUUCAUGAAUUUCUCUAUCUUCACUUCCCUCAUAUCAAGAGGAAAGAAUCUGUCCAAGAACGCAUCCAGAAAUAACAACCAAGUCAUGGCAACGUCUUAUAUUCGAUAGGCAGCCAAUUUAACACUCUCCUCCUCAAUCACAUGCAUAAUCUAGGUGAUUUUUCUCACUUCAUACAAGUACAUCUGUGGGCCAGCACCUACCUUCGACCCAUAGAACUCAGGCGGAUUCAUCCGCAUAAAGACACAAUCCUGAGCUACAGCAGCAUUAUUCUCUUGUGAAGGAAGAAUAGUAGCCUGGUUGUUAGCUUGAGUAUUGGCAAUAACUGCCUGGGCUAGCGCCUGAAAAACUGCUCGGAAUUCUACAUGUAACAUAUGCUCGUUCUGGGGAUCAACGGGUUGAGGUUGCUCGUUGUUUCUACGAGCUCGAUGAGGAAGUAUUUUCUGUCAUAAUAGAGCACGAAUUAGUAGAAGAAGGAAACAGUCGUAGGCACAAGAGACUUUUGAAAGAAAAAAAUGACUUUUCCUAAAACAUCCCGUAGCUUCUUGCUCAUAGAUGUGGCGCGCUACAUACCGAUGAUCAAGACUCAAUGUAAUACGGCUUGCCAGACUCCCUAGGACUCUUUAAACUGUAGGCUCUGAUACCAAGCUUGUAACACCCCAAAAUCUCAUCCCGAUACGUCAAACGGUGCUUAAGGCCACAUGCGGCCUCAAUCUAACCCUCUAAACCCGUCAUCACUUCUAUAACUCACUUUGACUAUAGUCAUGCUAUUAUAAGAGAGAAUGACAUAUCAUAAACAUACUGGAAUAAGAUACUAAACUAUCCUGUAUAAUCCAAAAUACUGAAAUUCUGUACAUACCAACACUUUAGUCUGACAAAGCCUCUAUACAUCAAAAUCAAGGAGACAUUGGGACAAACCCCCAACAAACUCAAACAGUACUGAAAACCAUUACAACAAAACGGUAGCACAAAAUUAUAAACAUGGUCCUUGAACCAUGAAGACUCACCACUGAGCAGACGAAAAGAGGCACCCGAAUAUCGCUAAUGCGGCUGAGUACCUGAACCUACAUUACGAGAAAAUGUAACCCAUAGAAAAAUAUGUAGGUCAUCUCCUUGGAAUGUACUGAGUAUGUGGGGGUGCAUGCAACAAUGUAAAUAUCAUCGCAUAUGUACAAUGAUGGCUCACUUGCCUUGAAUUGAUUGAAACAUAAUUUUUAUGAUCUCAUCGUGAAUAAAUCAUAUGAUAAAAACCUCAUAUAUCAUCAUAAACAACUCAACUCAAGAUUCAAGACUUGGAGUGACCUGUAAUUUAUGAAACUCGACUCUUAUGGACAUAGGAGGUUCUUAUAACCGACAUAAACCAUGUGAGCUACAUGGAGUCCAAUAUUUUGCCAUCCUAAGGAGAAAACUCGACAUUGUCGGGAGCGUCAUACUCUUGCUAGGGAGUACUACCUAAAUUUAGUGAUCACAAUCUCAUACUCGGCCUCUGGCCCACAAUUAUCAAUAUCAAUCCUACGGUGGCACGUAGUUUUGGGGGAAAUACCAUAUUUCCUGCUCGGUGCCCAAUACUACUCUCAGACAUGACUUCAGAACGCGUUAGGAAAUCCACCACAAACUUCACAAGGGUUUAUCAUGAAGAACAUAUCAAAUCUCUUUCUAAUUUAUCAAAUCCUAACCAAUUUGUGGAUUCCUAACUCGACUCAAAUCAAAUCAAUCUUUCUCAAUAUCAAAAUGCAUCAAUUCAUUUAGUCAUGGCAACAUCAAUAACUUUGAGGAAAUAUUAAGACUCAUUAUAACAACUCAAUUCUCAUGAAUCAAUAUACUCAAUAAUCCAAUUUUUCAUAAGGAAGCUUAAAGCUUGACACAUAUCUUGAAAGCACUUGAAAUAAAAACACAUGGUAGAAACUUGAAAUUCACUAUAUUAAAUAUCAAGUCAUAACUUGGAAAUUGUAAAAUAAUCAUGUAUAACAAAGCUUGAACGAUUUAUAUUCUCAUAAUCUCAUGAUGAAGUAAUUUGGGUAUAAACCAACUUGUAAAAUCAAAUAAAUCCAUAAUAAAAAUCAAAGCUUUGAGCACAAGAACGAAAGAAUUGCUCUUGUUUAAAACCCCACAUACCUUAAUCUUUGAAAUUGGUUGAACUCUAGUGCUUGAGACUUCACUCACACUUGUAAUAAAAAAAUUCUUGAAGCCCACUCUAUGAGGAACUUGAUUCUUGAAGGAAUCUUGAAGAUUUAUGGAUGAUUUUUGGAAUAAUAAUUUCCUUAAAUAAAACCCUAGAUAUAUUUCUUAAGAGAAUUGGAAGAGAAAAAUGAAGAAAUUAGGUUUUGGAUGAGGAUUCUCAUAUAUAUAGAGGCCUCCAAAAAUGAGAAAUGACUAAAAUACCCUUGCAAACAUCGUCCAUCAAUUGCUAAAAAAAAAUAGAUGACGACUUCCGUCAUAAGCUGUCAGGCGCGUGAUAGGCCGUCACGAAUUGUCGUCCUAAAAAUGGUGGAUUUUAUGACUUUCUGCCUUAAGGUGACGACAUUUUGUGAUAGGCCGUCAGGUUUGUAAUAAGUCAUCACAAAAGGUCGUCACGGAUUUUCAAACUCUGGAGUAAAAUAAAUAUAACUCUUUGCUCCGAUAUUGGAUUUUGAUGAUCUUUUGGUAGGUUAUGAGCUAAAUAUUCAUAGUACAACGGGACAUAUGCUCAUUUAAAGUUGACAAUGUCAAAAUCCUUCACAAGAAUUCAAUCGGUACAGAAUGUUUUGAUUCGCCCAAGUGUUAGGACAUAUUUAAAGCCUUAAUACACAUCACCCUUGACCAGAAAACAACCAAACCACUAUAAUUUAUUUCUCAUGGUCUUGAUUAGUUGCGGCACUAUUGGUUAGAAUCUCAGGGUAUUCUAUUUCUCUAUCUGGUGAGACCCCUGGAAGGUCUUUCGGGAAAACAUCGGUAAACUCUUUAACAAUGCUAACUGACUAAACAGUCGGAGUCUCGAACUUGAGGUCUUUAACUCAAACUAGAUGAUAGAUGCAACCCUUAGAAAUCAACUUCCUAGAUUUGAGGUAGGAUAUGAAACGACUCUUCGGAGUUACAGAACUCCCAAACCACUCAAAUACGGGUUCGUUAGGAAACUGAAACUUGACCACUUGGGUAUGACAAUGUAUAUAUGCAUAGCAUGAGUGAAGCCUAUCUAUACCCAGAAUGACAUCAAAAUUAACCAUAUCUGCUCAAUCAAAUCAACACAUAUGACCUGAUGAAGGAUAGUAAAAGGACGCUUCUUAUACACUCACUUAGCAAUAAUAGACUCUCCUGGUGGGGUAGAAACCAGAAUAGGCUCAGGAAUAUGUUCAGGGCCCAUCUCAAAAUUUAUAGCAACCAGAGAUGUCAUAUAAGAAAAAAUUGAAUAGGGGUCCAUCAAUACAUAUACAUCAAAAUAAAAGACACGGAGCAUACCAGUGACAACAUCUAGAGAAUCCUCCAGCUCCUGGCGAGGUGGUAUAUCAUAGAAGCAAUGAUGGCGUGAACCGCCAAUAGAAUAUGGGAGCGGGGGCACUGGUAGCCUGACUCUAGGGAUGAGCUUCUCGAAUCCCCUAUCUAGAAUACGAAUAAUCUCUAAGUCGGUGGCCCAACUUGCCAUAACUAAAGCAACAUCUCUGAUCAAUAAAACACUCGCCAAAAUGAUCUCUACCACACUUGGCAUAUGAAAGGGGAUGAGGUCUGUUACUCACACUCUCCUAAGUCCUGGAUAGGAUAGUCCUUUUCCCCUGCUCUUUCCUGCUUCUAGGUGCGGGAAAACUAACUGAGGAAGGCACGGUUAUAAAUGGACAUCUCUGGAAUUAAGGGCGGUCCCCUCUAUCAAAUUUGGACUGACCGAAUCCCUGCUUCCCUGAUCUACCUCUUUUAUUCCCUCUUACUAUCUCCCUCUCUUUUACCUUAUCAGCUUUAAUCUAUUGGGCAUGUAUCAUCAAUCGAGAAAGGUCCAUCUCUCUAUUAAGCAUAGAAGAUCUACACUCUUUAAUAAUGUAACUCGACACCUACGUCACGCCCUGGAGUCAGCCAUCAUACUAGGGGCAUAUUUGGACAACUGAUUGAAUCUAAGGCAAUACUCCUUAACAGUCAUGGAUCCUUGUCUCAAAUUCAUGAAUUCCUUUAUCCUUGCUUCUCUCAUCUCAAGAGGAAAGAAUCUAUCCAAGAAUGUAUCCUGGAAUAGCUUCCAAGUCAUGGGAGCGCCAUCCUUCGCUCUACUUUUCCUCCACACUUCCUCCCAAUCAUAUGCAAUAUCUUUCAUUCGAUAGGCAGCCAAUUCAACACUCUCCUCCUUAGUCAUGUGCAUAAUCUGGGUGAUCUUUCUCACUUCAUCCAAGUACAUCUGUGGGUCUUCACCUACCUUCGACCCAUAGAACUCAAGCGAAUUAAUAAGCAUAAAGUCACGAACCUGAGCUGCAGUAGAAUUAUUCUCUUGCGGAGGCGGAACAGUAGUAUGGUUGUUAUAAUGAGUAUUGGUGGUAACUUCCUAGGCUAGCACCUGAAAAGCUGCCCAAAAUUCUGCAUGUGAAACAUGCUCGUUUAGGGGAUCAACGGGUUAAGGUUGCUCAUUUUUUCUACGAGCUCGAUGAGGAGGUAUUUUCUGUCAUAAAAGAGCAUGAAUUAAUAGUAGAGAGAAAUAGUCAUAGGCACAAUAGAAUUUUAAAAGAAAACAAUGACUUUUCCUAAAACAUCCCAUAGCCUCUUGCUCAUAGAUAUGGCGUGCUACACACAAAUGAUCAAGACUCUACGUAACGCGGCAUGCUAGACACCCUAGGACUCUUUAAACCUUAGGAUAUGAAACCAAGCUUGUAACGCCCUAAGAUCCCAUCCCGAAACAUCACAUGGUGCUUAAGGCCAUACGCGGCCUCAAGCUAACCCUCUAAAACAAUCAUCACUUCUAGAACUCACUUUGACAAUAGUCAUGCUAAUAUAAGAGAGAAUGACAUAUCAUAAACAUACUGGAAUAAGAUAUGAAACUAGCCUGUACAAUCCAAAAUACUGAAAUUCUGUACUUACCAACCCUUUAGCCUGACAAAGCCUCUAUACAUUAAAAUCUAAAGGACAUUGGGACAAACCCCCAACUGACUAAAACAGUACUGAAAGCCAUAACAACAAAAAGGUAUCACAAAAUUAUAAACAUGGUCCUCGAACCAUGAGGACUCACCACUGAGCAGAAGAAAAGAGGCACCCGAUAUCGCUAACGCGUCUGAGUACCUGAAUAUACAUUACAAGAAAAUGUAGCUCAUAGAAAAAUAAAUGGGUCAGCACUUUGGAAUGUACUGAGUAUGUGGGGGUGCAUGCAACAAUGUAAAUAUCUUCAUCAAUUUCAUGAAAAUAUGUAUAUGUACAAUGAUGGCUCACUUGGCUUGAGUUAGAUUGAAACAUACUUUUCAUGAUCUCAUCGUAAAUAAAUCAUAUGAAAAAAACCUCAUAAAUCAUCAUAAACAACUCAAAUCAAGAUUCAAGACUCGGAGUGACCUGUAAUUUAUGAAACUCGACAUUUAUGGACAUGGGAGGUUCUUAUAACCGACAUAAACCAUGUAAGCUACAUGGAGUCAAAAUUUUUUCCCUCCUAAGGAAAGAACCCCACAUUAGCGGGAGCGUCGUACUCUUGCCAGGAAGUACAACCUAAAUUUAGUGAUCACAAUCUCAUACUUGGCCUCCGGCCCAUAAUUAUCAAUAUCAAUCCUAUAGUGGCACGUAGUUUCAGGGGAAAUACUACAUUUCCCACUCGGUGAUAAAUACUACUCCCAGACACAAGCUCAAAACGCGUUAGAAAAUCCCCCACAAAUAUCACAAGGGUCUAUCAUGAAGACCAAAUCAAAUCUCUUUCUCAUUUAUCAAAUCGUAAUCAAUUUGUGGAUUCCUAACUCGACUCAAAUCAAAUCGAUCUUUCUCAAUAUCAAAAUGCAUCAAUUCAUCAAGUCAUGGCAACAUCAAUAACUUUGAGGAAAUAUCAAGACUCAUUGUAACAACUCAAUUCUCAUUAAUCAGUAUACUCAAUAAUCCAAUUUUUUCAUAAGGAAGCUUACAACUUGACACAUAUCUUUAAAGUACUUGAAAUACCAAAUCAUGGUAGAAACUUGAAAUUCAGAAUAUUAAAUAUCAAGUCAUAACCUGGAAAUUGUAAACUAAUCAUGUAUAACAAUGCUUGAAUGAUUUAUAUUCUCAUAAUCUCAUGUUGAAGUAAUUUGGGUAUAAACCCACUAGCAAAAUCAUAUAAAUCCAUAAUAAAAAUCAAAGCAUUGAGCACAAGAACGAAAGAAUUGCUCUUGUUCAAAACCCCACAUACUUUAAUCUUUGAAAUUGGUUGAACUCUUGUUCUUUAGACUCUACUCACACUUGUAAUAAAAAAAUACUUGAAGCCCACUCUACGAGGAACUUGAUUCUUGAAGGAAUCUUGAAGAUUUAAGGAUGAUUUUUGGAAGAUUAAUUUCCUUAAAUAAAACCCUAGAUAUAUUUCUUAAGAGAAUUGGAAGAGAGAAAUGAAGAAAUUAGGUUUUGGAUGAGGAUUCUCAUAUAUAUAGAGGCCUCCAAAAAUGGGAAAUGACUAAAAUACCCUUGCAAAAAUCAUCCAUCAAUUGCUGAAAAAAAUAGUUGACGAUAUCCGUGACAAGCUGUCAGGCCCGUGAUAGGCAGUCACGAAUUGUCGUCACAAAAAGGGUGGAUUUUUUGACUUUCUACCUUAAGGUGACAACAGUUUGUGACGGGCCAUCAGGCUUGUGACAUGUCGUCACAAAAGGUCAUCACGGAUUUUCCAGGCUGACACGCUGGAGUAAAAUAAGCAUAACUCUUUGCUCCGAUAUCGAAUUUCGACAAAAUGGGUAUCCUUGGAAAGAUAAUUCAAUUAUGUAUAUUUUGGUAUGUCAUGACUCAAUAAUUCAUAAUAAAACGGGAGAUAUGCUCAUUUGAAGUUGACUAUGACAAAAUCCUUCUCAAGAAUUCAAUCGGUAAAGAAUAUUUUGAUUCGCCCAAGCGUUAGGACAUCUUUAAAGCCUUAAUACACAUCACCCUUGAACAGAAAACAACCAAAACAGUAUAAUUUAUUUCUCAUGGGCUUGAGUCAGGGCGGUACUAUUGAUUAGAAUCUCGGGGUAUUACAUUAUUACUUUUAAUUAUCUUUGCUAUUAACCUUUCUGCAAAUAUGAUGCAAAUUUAUCUUAUAAUGUUAUAAUUGAAUUAAAAAAAAUAUUUGAGAUCAACCACAUAUUUUUGAUAGUAAAUGAUGUAUUAUUAUUAUUAUUAUUAUUAUUAUUAUUAUUAUUAUUAUUAUUAUUAUUAUUAUUAUUAUUAUUAUUAUUAUUAUUAUCAUUAUUUAUUUUAUUAUUAUUAUUAGUAGAUAUGUAUGUUCUACUACUUAAUAUUAAAAUAUAUUUGAAAUAUAUAAAUUUAUGAUAUAGUUAGAGAUGUUUUAGGUCUUUUCAACUAUGAUAUUUUAAUUUUUAAACUAAUGAAUUAUUUUUUAAAAUUUUCAAAGCCUACUAUUUUCAAAUUCAUAUAUUUCUAUUAACAUAGUAAAUUACUUAUGUAGGACUUAAUUACCUGCAUAACUCACUGCUAAACUAACUACGAAAAAAAACGCUACUACCUGCAUAAAUAAUACAUAGAUAAUCCCUAAAUUAAAAAAAUUUGCAUAACUCUAAUUGAGGCCCUUUCAUUAUUUACUUUUGUCUUUUUAGGUUUGAGUGGGUAAAUAGAUGAAAAGAGAAAAUAAAAGACUCUCACAUCUAGUUUCCCUAGAAGCACCUCUUUAGAAGAAAGGUGCUGUUGAAGCAACUCAUUUUCAGAUUCAAACAGUCUUUUGUUUUGUUCCUCCUCAGAAACAAAAGCAUGAGCCGGGGAAACCAUUUUCUUUUCUCAAAGGAAAUGAAGAACACUACAAUUUAAUACCAGGCUUUAAAAUUCAAAAACAAAAUAAGAAAUUAUGAGAGAAAAAGGGGAAAAACAAAGUGCAAAAAGACCUCACCAGUAGUAGGAUACAAAAGAUGAGAGAGAGAGAAGAAGGAGGGUUAUAUAAAAAUGGAAUGAAUACAGUGGAGGUAGAGCAUAUCUAUCAAAUAUUUUUUAAAAACACACUAGCUACAUCACCGACGUUUCAAAAUCAAGGCAACUUUUUAUCCUGUUUAGAAAAAAAUUUCAAAUUGGUUUUCCCUCUUAAAAUUUUCAUUUUUAUAUUAAUUUUAAUUGAACACAAUUUUAAGAGGGCAAACUAAUUUACGCAGUUAAGACAACCUCAAUCCUACUCUCACAUUUUGAAUUUUUUUUCUGAAUAGGACAAAAAGUUGCCUUGAUUUUGAAACAUCGGUGAUGUAGCUGGUGUGUUUUUAAAGAAAUUUGAUAGAUGUGCUCUGCCUCUGCUGUAUUCGUUCCAUUUUUCAUAUAACCCUCCUUCCCCUCUCUCUCGUCCUUUGUAUCCUAGUACUGGUGAGGUCUUUUUGUACUUUGUUUUUCCCUUUUUUCUCUCCUGAUUUCUUAUUUUGUUUAUAAGAUUUAAAGCCUAGUUUUAAAAUUUCGGUGUUCUUUUUGUUCUUCAUUUGCUGUAAGAAAAGGAAAUCGCUGCCCCGGCUCAUGACUUUGUUUCUGAGGAGGAACAUAAUAAAAGAUUGUUCGAAUCUGUAAAUGAGUUGCUUCAUUAGCACCCUUUUUCUAAAAAGGUGCUUCUAGGGAAACUAGAUGUGAGAGCCUUUUCUUUUCUCUUUCCAUCUGUUUACCCACUUAAACCUAAGAAUCCAACAGUAAAUAACAAAGGGGCCUCAAUUAGAGUUAUGCAAGUUUUUGUACUGUAGGUAUUAUAGAUAUGGAAAUCUAUAUAUUAUUUAUGCAUGUAUUAACGUAUUGCUUGGUAGUUGAUUUACCAGUGAGUUAUGCAGGUAAUUAAGUCCUACAUAUUUAAUAUUCAAAUAUUAGUAGUUGGCUUAGCCUACGUUUACUCUUAUUAACAUAGAAUAAACGUCGAGACCCCAAAGAAGGCCCAUAAAAACCCAUCUACCAAAUAUAUGGCUUUGUAGCCUUUCUCAACUAGUUUGAUAGCCCGCUUUUAGGUCCAAAAUAUGGAUGAACAUAGUUAUGCUAUUCAAGAAAAUUAUAGUAGUACUACUGGGACUUUGGAUUAAAAGGGGAAAAUAAGUUGUCUAAUUAAGUGAGAAUCCUUCAAGUUUUUAAAAUUAGGUGGGAGGGACAAAAAUUUUUUGAUUUUUUUUUAAGUUUUUUCGUUCUAAUAACUUUUCCCAGUUGUCGACAACUUCUAGCAGUUGAACAACUAUCAAAGUUGUUCGACAACUGCGCUAAGUUGUUUGACAACUAGGCGAAGUUGUUCAGCAGUUGUUCAACAACUGUGUGAAGUUGUUGAGACAACUAAUGUAGUUGUCAAACAACUGUCCCAGUUGUUCAAAUGACUUAAUUUUUUUAAAAGGGACAAGUUGCGGAACCCUCUUGUCCCCUUUUCUUAAUUGGAAACUUGGGAGGUCUAUUGAUUCAUUUUUCUCACUUAAGUAUUUAAGCUGUAUAUAUCAUGAAGUAGUUAGCUUAUAUUUGCAUUGUAAAUUGUAAUAUUAAGUGUAGAGAUAGUCCUAUAUACGUUUAGUACGUCGAAGAGAGCUACUUGCAAACAUUGUGCAAUUCAAUUUGUCGCAAGAAGUACUUAAUCAUCACACAAAUACUUAUCGGUUCUGAAUAUUUACCCCUAAUCAAUGAUUUUAAUUCUAAUGAAUUAAGAAUAUAACAUCAUUCAAUCAUGAUAACAAAAAUAAUUUAUAAAAGAUAUUAUCUUGUAAUAGUGGGUAUAAGGAGAGGUAGAUGUAGGCUGAGGAGGUCUUGGUAAAGGUGAUUAGAUUAGGUAUCUAUAGCUUUUCGAGGAUAUGAUCUAGAUAUAAAAAUAUGGAGAUCAAGGAUUUGGUUAGGGAGUGGCUGAGCGUUGUCUAAUUUCCCUAUUAAGUAGUAUUUUUGUUAUUACUUUCUUACUAUCUUAUUCUUCUAUAUUAGAAUAAUUUGUUUGUUUUAAGUUCAGUUAUCAUAUUAAUUGUUUGUCGUUGCUACCAUUUUCAGAUUACUAUUUUAUUUGUUUUACAUGCCUAAUUUUUUUUUAUAUGUUUUACUUGAGUCGAGAGUCGAGAGUCAAUCGAGAACAACCUCUCUAUCUUCACAAGGGAGAAGUACAUGUCCAUACUACCUCUCGAAACUCCACGUGUAAUAUUAUGUAUGUUAUUAUUGUAUAUAUCUUGAAUUGAUUGAUCAAAUGUAAAUGCCCGAUGUUGAGGUAUACUUAUACCCAUUGGCGGAGGGAUAAUCUUAGAAAAAGGGUGAUUUGAUGCACAUCUUUUAUCAAAAGAUUAUAUAGUGUAUAGAAGCUUAAUAUUAGCUAUUAUACGUCUAUAUAUAAUUUUGUACAUCCUUAACACAACUAAAAAGAAAAUAGGCACACUCCUCGUCAAAUUUUUGACAACGACACUACUACUGCCUCAACUGUGUACAUUUAAAGAUGACGCCAUAUAGCAUUUGUCAUCUGCAUGACGCCCAAACUCUUUUAUCAGCGGACCUACCCAACCUGUCACCUCAGUUUCUUCUUUUAUAAUUGCAUGUCCUUCCAAAUUUCAUACACCAUCCAUUUCAUUUUAAUUAGAUUAAAAAUAACUAUUUUAAUUUAUUUGUGUAGUUUAUAAAAUUAUAAUAAAGAUUAUUACGUGAAGUAUUAAAUGAAGUGAAAGGUGUAUUCUACGAAUAUAUAAAUGCUAGUUUCAUUAAAUCCGUAUUCCGUACUAAGCUCAGAUCCAAACAACUCUACAUAUAAAUAAUAAUAAUUAAAUUUUAAAAUAUAAUUUAUAUUAUAUUAUUUACUUUAUAAUUAAUAUAAUUUAAUGACCGAUAUAUUAAAUAUAUUUUAUUAAAAUUUUUUAUAAUUAUUAAAGUUCUUAAUCACAUAAUUGGAUAAUUUUUUUAAAAAAUUAUUUGUAUGGAAGAAAGUAUUACAGGAUAAUUAGAAUAUAACAAGAGACCACAAGUAAUUUAAUAUUUUAUAAAAUAACAUGAUACAACAACAACAAUAACAACAUACCCAGUGGAUUCCCACAUAGAGGGGUCUGGGCAGGUAGUGUGUACGCAGAUCAUACCACUACCUAAGAUGAAGUAGAGAGUCUGUUUCUGACAGACCCCCGGCUUAGGACCGAUAGCAAUAUAACAAACACAAAAUAUAAAUACACAAAAACUAGUACAAUCUGCAAAAUAAACUAAAGUCACUAGCCAUAAGAUAAUACUACAGUCACAACAUAAUACUAAAAUUAUCUAUCCAAAAUCAUAGACAACACUCAACACCACGAACAAGAAACUUCAAACACAAAUAAAGAAUGCUCCCCUAUUGUUACCGACACACUCUCAACCCCUACCCCUCUACCCCAAUCGGCAUUCUCCACACCUUCCUAAUCAUAUCCCUCCAAUAUUUGUUUGGUCUACCUCUACCCCACCUAAAAUCAUCCAUAACUAGUGUCUCACACCUCCGCACUGGAGCAUCAGAGCCCCUUUUCAUCACAUGCUCGCUCCAACGUAACCUUACUUCUUGUAUCUUGUCCUCCAACGAGGCCACUCCCACCUCUCCCAAAUAAUCUCAUUUAUUACCUUAUCUUUCUUAGUAUGGCCACACAUCCAUCACAAUAUUCUCAUCUCUGCCACCUUCAACUUUUGGAUGUGGGAGUUCUCAACUGGAUAAUACUCUCCAUACAACUUAGUCGGUCGGACUGCCACUCUGUAGAACUUCACUUUAAGCUUCGGAGGCAUCUUCUUAUCACAUAAAACUCCCAAAGUGAGCCUUCAUUUAAACCACCCAGCCCCAAUAUGAUGUGUGACAUCCUUGUCAAUCUCACCAUUGCCUUAAAUCAUCGACCCCAUAUACUUAAAACUCUCCUUCUUCUGAAUGUCCUGAGAGUCUAGCUUCACAACCAUGUCAGCCUCCUAUGACACAUCACUAAAAUUAUACUUCAAGUACUCCGUCUUGGUCCUGCUUAACCGAAAUCCUUUAGACUCAAAGGUCUGUCUCAAAAUCUCUAACUUAUCAUUAACUCCUCCCCGAGUCUUGUUAAGCAGUACCAUAUUAUCAGCAAAUAACAUACACCAAGGCACCUCCUCUUGAAUAUGUCUUGUCAAAACAUUUAUCACCAAGGCAAAUAAAAAAGGGCUAAGAGUCAAACCCUGAUGCAACACUACCAAAAUUGAAAAAUGCUCUGAAUCUCCAGCUACAGUCCUCACCCUAGUCUUUGCGCCAUCAUACAUGUCCUAAAUCAACCUAGUGUAUACCACAGGCACCUCUCUAGCCUUCAAACACCUCUAGAGAAUCUCCUUGGGAACUCUGUCAUAAGCCUUCUCCAGAUCAAUAAAUACCAUGUGAAAGUCCUUCUUCAUCUCCCAAAACUGUUCCACUAAUCUCCUCACAAGGUAAUUGGCCUCAGUAGUUGAGAGACCUAGCAUGAAAUCAAAUUGAUUCUCAGUGAUAAUCACACUCCUUCUCAGCCUCAACUCUACCACCCUUUCCUAAAUCUUCAUAGUAUGACUCAACUGCUUAAUACCCCUAUAGUUGUUGCAACUUUGGAUGUCUCCCGUAUUCUUAUACAAUGGAAUUAUUGUACUCUACCUCCAUGCUUCAGGCAUCCUUCCUGCCCUAAAAAUAAUGUUAAGAACUUUGUCAACCACUCCAAACCUGCCUCGCCAGUGCAUUCCAAAAAUCCACUGGAAUCUCGUCUGGCCCCAUUGCCCUACCUCGACGCAUCCUGCGAAUAGCCCUCUUGACCUUCUUAACCUCGAUAUGCCUACAAUAACCAUAGUUGUGACACUCCUAAACUUUCUCCAAGUCCCCAAACACAAAACCUUUGUCCCCCUUAUUGUUCAAAAGUUUAUGAAAAUAGGACUUCCACCUUUUUUUAUUGAGGGCAUCCUCAACCCACAUAGUACCAUCCUUAACCUUGAUGCACUAAUCCUUGUCUUUCUCCUUUAAAGUCAUAUAUAAGCUCUCAAAACCUGUCAUUUUAGCCACUAUAACCGCUAACUUAGCCUCUCACCUAGCUAUAGCUUAUACUCUUCCUUAUUCGUCCGUUUCUCUUGAUCAUUCUUGCUCUCUACAAAUUUAGCAUAAGCCACCUUCUUAGAAUCCACCUUCCUCUUAACCUCUUAAUUCCACCACUAGUCCCCUCGAUAUUUUCCAAAUCGACCUCUCAAGACACUAAUACUUAUCUAAUGAUCUCCCUAAUGCAACUAGCAAUCUUCUUCCACAUACUAUCCACAUCCCCUCUACUCUUCCAAGCCCCCUGCUUCUCAACAUCUCCCCUAUGUUCAAAGCAUUAGCUAAAGUCAAGCUACCCCACUUAAUCUUAGGCCAAACCUCUACACUCCUCUUUUUUCAUCCCUUAUUGAUUACCAAGGUCAUCACCAACAACCUAUGUUUAGUCAAAAGAUUAUCUCUAGGUAUGACUUUACAAUCUUUACACAGUGUUCUAUCACUCUUCUUAAGGAGCUAAAAGUAUAUCUAAGUAUUGUCCACUGAACUAUGAAACAUUUCAAAAAUCUCGAAUUUGUUAUCCAUAACCCAAAAGCCCUAGAAAUAUCCAAAAGAGAAGCAUUUUCUUUAUUCUUCUACCCAAAAUUGAAAUCUCUAUGCAAAUCAUCAUAACCUCUCAACGAAGACCCAAUAUGCCCAUUGAAGUCUCCUCUCAAGAAAAGUUUCUCAGUUAUCGGGAGGCCCCUCACCAUCUUAUUCAAAACCUCCAAAAUCCCUUUUUCUCUCCUCGUCCAAACCUAAUUGCAGAUCACAAACACUAAUAACAUUCACCGUAGUUCCUCCCAUGACCAACUUAAUAGAUAUCAACCUAUCACUGACUCUUUUAACCUGUACCACCUUCUCCCUAUGUUUUUCAUCUACUAAGAUACCUACCCCAUUUUUAUGUCUCAUGCUACCCGAGUACCAUAACUUAUAUCCAGCUACAUCUCUUACCUUAUUGCCUACCAUUUAAUUUCCUGGACAUAUGUAUUACUAACCCUUCAUUUCCAAGAAUCUUCACCAGCUUUAUAGACUUACCAUGAAGCGUCUCUAUGUUCCAGGACCCAACUUUCAACCUAUAAGCACCCUUAUCUAACUUAGCCUUACUAUCCCCCGCCCUCAACCAAAGACUAGAACCUAGACUCGACCCCAAUCCCAUCCUCGAACUAUGACAUGACCCUAGUCCAUCAUCUAUCACCCCAACGACCACUCAAAAGGAUACGAUAUAAGAAAAUAAAGAAUAAAAAUCCAAAAAAAACGAUGAACAAAAGAGUAUGACUAAAAAUAGCUAAAUCAGCAAACAAAAACCAGUAAGUAGGAUUGAUACUCACAACCAACAACAAGUACUAUACUACUCACAAGUAACGAAUACCUACUAAGUUAUAGAGAAACCGUAACCAAUAAUCCCACAGGAUUAAUUAAAAAUAUCAGACAAGAAAUUAGGAUAGGAAAAGAGACAAGAAGCAUAUACCAAAUAAACUAGAGAAGACCGAAAUGAGUGCACCUGAUACUGAGAGAAGACAAGUGAAAGACGUUUUCCUAAUCGUUUUGUUGAAUUCCGACAAAUUGGUUCAGAAAUUAGUCGUCAGAAUUUGUUGCCACCACCUUUACCUUACGGCUGGUAUCGCAUCCCUGUACUUGGUCAUUGGAGAAUGUGCUAGUCACCGAAAAAUGAGCUAGACACCGGAAUCUUGAUGUUGCCGCCUGAAGUGCGGAUCUAAACUUGAAGUAACUGAAAAGGGUUAUAAAGAAAAUAAAAGAGAAGAAAAGAAAAGCGACGAUCAAAUUGCCAAAAGUUUACGUCACUCACCAAAAACUGAUGUGGUUGUUGGGCCACAGAGAUAGGCCGCCGAAAAAGUCGCUAUUGUUUUAGUGGUCGGCGCAAGAAGUGAGAGAGAAAAACAUGACAAUUGUGCCAGAAUCUGAUGGCGUCGCCAAAACUGAUAGGGUCAUCGGGACGUGUUUAUGGUGGCCGACACAAGUAAUUUAUCGGCGGCGGAUUGGUAGUUCUCUGCUAUCGCUAGAAUCUUCAAGACACGAAGAGAUAGGUUAAUUUUGUCGGCGCCAUCAAUUAAAAAAUUGCAAGAUACUAAACCCUCAGCAUAUAUGACAACUAUUAAUGUCAUCAAUUUAACUUGAGACACCCAUUUAAUAAAAUAACAUGACAAUAUUUUAAUAAUUAUAAUUCAAUGCUGAUUAAAAAUAGUAAAAUAUUCAUUUUAAUGAAUUUAUGGGUACAAAAUUUCUAAGUUAUAAAUAGAAAUAAAUUUGUUUUAAUAUUUAUUAUUUUAUUUCACCUAUAAUUUUAUGUGACAAGUUGCAAAAUUCAUUGCUUUCAUCUAAUACAACAAAGUAUUUCAAUCACUUCAAGUAUAUAUAAAAAUAGUUACAACAUUAAUUUAGAACCUUUACAAAAACGAACUUAAUCGUGAUCUAUAUGGAUAUUAAAUAAUAAUUAAAUUACAUUAACCGAUUAUUCCAUUCGAUCCAUUUACUUAUCGUGUUAAUUUUUUAAACACCCUAUAAAAAUAUUCUAUUCAUUCUACUCUAAUUAUUGAUUUAUCCUUUUUCAUGUUUGAUAAGAAAAAUAAUAAUGACAUUGUACUAUUUAUUAUUGAUUAAGUUAUCCUAUUGAAUACUCCCUCCAUUUCACAAUAAGUGAAUUAUUGGAGUAAUUUUAGUGUUUCAAAAUAUGUGAAUGAUUCAUAAUUCAAGGUAGAUGUUAGAAAUUUUUUCCAAAUUUACCCUCCAUUAAAUGUGUGAUGUAUCAUGUGUCUUUGCUUUUUGACGAGGGUAAAAAUGAAAAAACAUGAUAAAUUUAUGUCUUUGCUUUUUUUUUCUUAACAUGUGUGCCGAAAUUCAACAAUUAACUUAUUGUGGAAUGGAGGGAGUACUAUAUAUUUUUUAAGAAGUGAACAUCAGUGACUAUAAGGGUGUAGUUGAAAAUUAUUACUAACUUUAAUUUUAUGUGAAAAGUUAUUUCCAAAUAAGUUUUUUGAGCAAAAAUAAUUAUUAAUUUAUUAUGAAGGAAAUUUUAAUUAAAAGACAACCUAUGGCAAGAAAAAAUCAGUUACAAAUACACAAGUGGAAAUGGUCUUAACAAAAAGAAUAAGGACAAAAAUAAAAAUAUUUAGCAAAAGAACAUCAUCAAUCCUUGUGAGGACUACCGAAAAUUGAGAUCCUCCCUUAUAUAUAAUAGUAAAUUGUAUUCUUUUUUCAUAUUGUUAACAUUGUUUGCAAUAAAGAUUACAGUGACAGAAACAAAUUCAGUCACAAUGCAAAUAAAAUAUGAAAAAAUUUUAUUGAAAAAUGAUAUGGAUAAAAUUCUGUUACUCCCUUGAUUCUUAUUUUGUUUAUUUUACUCCGUAACUUGAGGACCAUUAGUAGCGUAUUUCUCGAAUGUAAAAAGAUUUAAAUUUGAUAUGAAUUUUUAACAUAUUUCUCGAAUGUAAAAAGAUUUGAAUUUGAUAUGAUUUUUUUUUUUUGUAUUUCAAGGGUCGUUAGUAGCGUAUUUCUUGAAUGUAAGAAGAUUUAGAUUUGAUAUAAAUUUUCUUUGUAAUUCGAAGGCCGUUAAUAACAUAUUUCUUGAACGUAGAAAUAUUUGAAUUUGAUCUCCUUAAAAGAAGGGUUUAUGGAUCUUCUUGAUAUAUUUAAUUAUCAAAAAGAGAGUGAUACUCAAUGAGUUUAUGAAAUUAUCGGGAGAUGAUUAAUCUCUUUAUUAAGGGUUUAGAGUAGAGUGGCCACCAAGUUAGGUUUAGCGUAAAGUAACCCCUAAUUACUCUAACAAAAAUUGAAUUCUUAUUAUAGAGUUCACAAAAUUAUGAUGUCUAUAAACGCUCUGUAUUGUCAGACGUUAUGACUACAAAAUCCUUUGCUGAAAUGUCAAAAUACAAUUGUUUUUCUUCUUUGAGAUGAUGAAUGAAGUACGUGUUAAUUUACUGGAGUCGCUUAGCUCAAGAAAUUCGUGCGGUGUACCAUGAAAUCAGAAAACUACAUCAAGCUAGGAGAAGAGAAAAGCAACAACAAAAAUACCAUAUUUAGCACAUUUACAUAGCUCAAAUUCGUGACCCCCUGAUCACAAGGAGGGAACUAUCCACAAUAAUUCAGACAAAUACUUCUCAUAGAUAAUCACAAAUUUCCAAGCAAGACUAAAUAUUUUAAGAACUUUACUACACAGAAAGACAAAAAAAAAGGGCAGUUCGGUGCACUAAGCUACCGUUAUGUGCUGGGUCCCAGUAAAAAAUUGGACCACAAAGGUAUAUUAUACAUAGUCUUACCACUGUGGACCCCUCUUUUCACAGCUCGGACCUAUGACCUUAUGGUCACACGAUAACAACUUUAUCAGUUACGAUAAUGCUCUUUGUCUUACACACACAAAUAACAUUUGUAAAAAUGAAAUCUUUAGCAAUUUUUUAAAAUUCUUUCUACCCAAAUUUCUAAGAUAAGCUAAAAUAUAACACUGAUAACAUAUGGUUAAAUAAACAAUAAGAAAAAAUGCAAACUACCCAAAAAAAUUCAGGCAAAUAAAACUUGUAAUACAUCAAGAUUAAUUUUGAACAAUAGCUUAAAAGAGAAAUCUUACUUUCUCAAAGCUGAAUAAUGAAAUUCCAAUUUUUCCCUUAACAUUAUGUCUCCAUUGAUGAUGGAUACUGUAGCAUUAAGAGCCAAUUUCUUUCCUUUUCUGGUAGUUGGUCAGUAUUUGAGCCGUAUCAUCUUCUACAAAAAUGAACAGGAUAAUAUCACUUUAGCCCCCAAAAGAUCUAGCUAUUACAUAUACACCCCUUUACCUUAUAAUUUUAUAAUGAUAUUACUCUUCUUGAACAAUUUAAAUGCCCCAAAAGUUGCUCUAAUAAAAAAAAAAGAUAAUUCCUUCGUUCGGUUUUACUUGUCACAUUUUAACUUGACAUAUUUACUAAAAAAAUAAUUAAUAACAUACAGUUAUUUUACCAUAAUUCCACUAUUAAAUAAUGUUUAUAUUGUAUCUUAAAAUUAAUUUAGAGAAAAGACAAUUAAUGCUAAGGGUAAAAUAGGAAAAAAGAAGUUGUCUUUUCUUGAUAUGUCAAAAAUGAUAAGUAAAAAUAAAAAUACAAUUAGGAAAUUAGUGACAAGUAAAAGCGAACGGCGGGAGUAACCCUGAAAACACAUCAAAAAUAUAUACUUCCUCGGUUGUAUAUUAUGCGGCAUAUUUUGAUCGGGCACAAAGUUUAAGAAGGAAUGACAAUUGUCAUUUAUUGAAAAAUAUAUUACUACUAUUUUUAAUUAAAUGAGACUAAUAAGGAUAAAAGUAAAAUUGUAUCUUUAAAUAGUUACCAAAUAAGGAAAUAUGAAAUUCUUUUUAGGACGGACAAAAAGAAAAUCACGACAUAUAAAAUGGGGUAGAAGAAGUAUGUUUAUACUAAAAGGGCAGCUUGAUGUGGCGGUGGAAGUAUGUUAAUACUAAAAGGGCAGCUCGGUGUACUAAAGAUUCUUUCAAUAAGGGACUGCGGAGGAGGGCUGGACUGCAAGAAUUUUAUUGUGCACAACAUUAUCCUACAUUUCUUACAGAGGCUGUUUCUAUGACUUGAACUCGUGACUUCCUAAUCACAUGACAAUAAUUUUAUCAGUUACUCUAAAACUCCCCUUCAUAUUUUAUUUUUCCGAUUUGAUAAAAAUAUUAAAGAUACGCAAAAUAUAAAAGAUACGCAUAUAAUUCUUUAUGCAAACCCACUUAUAUGGAGUAAUAAAAACUUAUAAGGUAUCAAAAAUGAUAUAUGCAUGGGAUUUCCCUUUUGGAUAAAGUUUUAACAGGUUAAUUUCAUGUAUAAUUGUAGACUUUUACUCAUUAAUGACAAAAUUAAUGAACUUUACCUCUUUAAUAAAGUAGUAUAUUUAAUGGCAUUAAAAAUCAUUAAUGAGUUUUUAUUAUGUGUUUAUAUUUAUUUAGUACAAGAAGUGAUAGACAUAUCUCAAACUAAAUCAAUCAAUUAGAAAAACAAUUUCUAUUCCAAUGGAGAAGUUCCUCCAUGUUCACCUUUUGAUUUCAAUUAUUUUCUCAAUUUUUCUUUUAAUUUUAUGCAAUGAACAUUCUUUUUCAUCCCUUAACACUAGUUACAUCAUGGAAUUUGUCUAUUGACUCAACAUAGCUUCCCGAUCCUCCGAUGCCAUCCUAUACACUCACCAUUUACAAUCUCUAUUUAUUUGAAAAGUCAAAAUUCAAAGACUAUGACUCAUUACUCGGAAAUAGGUUCGCCGGUUGUCAAGCUAGAGCAAAUCAUUUGGCAUCGGUUCUUGAAAAUGGUGACACGAUUAGUGAGAAUGGAACUCUAGUAAGGCCACACGAUGAGCAUGAGAGUAAAGUGGCCAACAAAAAUGUUCCGAUAACAACAAGUACACAUUUCAUAUGUCAGUAUGUUGCAUUUUUUACUCUUUUUUUGGGUUUCCCAUCCGGCAUCCGGUGCUCGCAUUGGAGCCCCGACUAAUCCGGAGCACACAUUGCAGGGCCCAUUAAGAUGGCAGCGCUCCCAACAGAAUUUUCUCCAUGCCCAGGUUCGAACCCUGGACCUCUGGUUAAGGGUGGAGCAGCCUCAUCCACAGCACCACAACCCAUAUUAGUGCAUUUUUUACUCACUGAACAAGUUAAAAGUCACUUGCUAAUAGACACUGGUAGUGAUUUAGUUUGGUGGAAAUAUGGACCAUGUAAUGCAAAUGGAUGUUACAAACAGAUAAAUAAUCCUUUAUAUGUUUCAACUAAUUCAAAAACAUAUCGUAAGCUCGAUUGCCUUGUAGAAAGUAGAAACUAUGAAAUCACAAAUAAGGAAUAUGAUUGUAGUCCGUAAGGUAAUACGUGUAUGUAUGAUUACAGAUACAUCGAUGGAUCAAGAACAAGAGGCUAGAUUGCACAUGACGUGAUUACUUUUGUUUUAGACCGAAAGCAGGUAAGCAUUGUUUCUGGAUGUGGCAAAGAUCAAACUCAUGGAAAGCCUUUUAGUGGUCAAUUUUCAGGAAUUGCUGACCCCGAACAUAAUGGGUGGUGAAAAUUCUUUAGCAUCGCAAUUUGAAGAAGACAUAAUGUCCAUGUGCCUACUAGGAGCUCUCUCCACAAAAGGAUCAACACUUAGCUUCCACACAACGCCAUUUAAGAAAAUAACAUUAGCAACACUAUUAUAAGAUUUCAGAUUCCUUUCUGUUUACUUCAUCAACCUUUAUAAAGUUUUUAUUAAUGAUAGGGAAGUCCCGAUGUUCCUAUCAUUGUCUAGGAAUUUCAGAAAUUAUGCCACGAGCGGUAGCUGCAUCGUGGACACAGGAACAUUUAUUACCCAUUUUCCUCAUGAGUUUUAUAUUGUAUUUUGUUACACAUUCAGAUAACAAGUACGUGGUAUUCCUAUGGUUAAUGUUCCACCUGGAUCAGUUUAUAACACUUGCUAUAAGGUGGAUACGACUGGUCUGGAUCCACAUUUCCCCGUUGUAACCAACCAAAUGGCCCCUCCGACCAAACAACCUACACUCCCCUUUGCAUCAGCCUACCUGGGAGCACUUGGUCCAUUUUCUGCCUAAAACAUACUCAGUCACUGGGCCCACCCCCAGAACCGUGAGCUAUAGCACACUAAUUUAGCCCAAGAAUGGCCCAUUUGCGUCGUUUUACUUAUUUGACCACCCAAAUAGCCCAGCCGACCUCAAUGACCCAUAUUAUCCCACUUUUAAGCCUACCUUGGUGCCUUUGGUCAAUUUUCAAACAAAAACAUGCUCGAACCCCGAGCCAGCCCCUAAAACCGUGAGUUAUAGCAUGUCUAUUUGGCCCCAAAAAUAGCAUGAUCUUGACGUUUUACCUGUUUGACCACCCAAAUGGCCCCGCCGACCCAAAUGACCCACUUUCCCAUUCAUCAGUCUACUUGGAAGCCUUGAUCAAUUUUUAACCCAAAAACACCCGAAACCCAGGCCCACCCAGAACUGUGAGCUAUAACACACUGAUUAUGACUGCAAAUGACCCAUUCACGUUGAUAUUCCUUUUUGACCACCUUAAUAGCCCCGUUGACCCCUACGAACCAUACUUCCCUGCUCUUCAGCCUACCUAAGAGCCCUAGUUGAUUUUUCACCCAAAACAUGCCCAUUACCACCCCAAAAUCAUGAGUUAUAGCUCACCAAUUUGGCCAAAAAAUGGCCCGUUUGCGCCUUUUUGCUCGUUUUACCAAUCAAACGGUACCACCGACCUCAACGACCCACAAUUCCCUACUCCUCGGCCUACUUGGGAGCCCUCAAUCAAUUUUUGACCCAAAACACGUUUGGGCUCUAGGCUAACCCCCAGAAUUUGAUACAAGAAUAAUCUCGGACAUGGAUUUAUGAGAGUGCGGUUGGAUCCGAGACUUAGUGUGUUCAAUUGAAGAUCCAAAGAGGACCUAAUUAUGCACCCAAAAUAUUCCAAACACUACACUUGGGCUACACUUGAUGGGAGCCCAUCACUUAAGGGCUUUUUGGUCAUUUCUAGCUUUUAUUUUGUAAUAACUAUAUAAGUAACAUGCUAGGGCUUCCAUUAGGAUUUUUUGGGAUAUUAUUAUAAUUCUUUUAAGACUUGGAACACCAUAGUUAGGGCUUGUAAAAUCCACUAACCAAAACUAGGGCAAGAUCUAGUGUAGAAUCACUAGUGAUUGUGUUUGCUUGGAAACAUUGAUGCUUGGGAGGUGGAAUCCAAACUUGUAUCUUUAUAAGAGAUAUGUUUAUUGUUGUGUGUAGUGUUAAGGUUCCAAGCUUGUCCAUUCUUUGGUUCUUAAGAUUAUACCUUCAUGUGGUCUAUCUAUCUAUCCUUUUACCUUCAUGUAAUCUUGUAUAUUGUUGUGUUGUAAUCUUGUGUUCUUGUUGUUAUUGUUAAAUUCGAAUCUUGUGUCUUAUUAUUCAUCAUAUAUUGUGGUUAAUCUUAGUUGUACUGCUGAUUUGGUUUCAAAUACACCACUAUAUCUUGUAAUCUUAUUGUUGGUAGUGAAUCCGAGAGUGGUCUCCAUCUUGGUCCUUGAAUCCUUAAGAUUUGUGGACUGAUUUGGAGUGUUUUCUGUUCCUUCCUUGUUAUUCUAGUAUCAUUUUGUAUCAAAGACAUCUUUGGUUUUAUUCUUACGAUACCAAUCUUGGGCUUUCUUUCUAAGAAAAUAAAAAAAAAAGGAAAAGAAAGACGUGUUCUUGAGCUUGAGAUCUUGGCCGAAUUUUGUGUGUCUAGGUCUAGGAUUUAUUUUUCUUGUGUUUUUGUUUCAAUUGUUAGUAUUAUUUUCCAUUAACACUUUGAGUCGAUCUAGAUGUGAGCUUUAAAAUAAUUGAUGUUGUUGUUGUGAACAAGACCAUGGCCGUGUGUUGAAGUUGUUGUUCUUGGCCGUGUGAACUUGUUGUUAUAGUAUUGGAUGGAAAUUGUUGGUGUUAUUUUUGCUCUUGAUAAAGUUUUUGUAUAGUUCUUGACAUUCAUCACAACCUUUACUCUUGCUAAAAUCGAAAUACAACACCAUAAGAAACCUUGGCCGUGUGCUGACACUAAAAUUGGCCGUGAUGUGUGUUGAUGUUUGCCAUGGGGUGGACAUUGUUGUUCUGUUGUUGUUGAUGUGUUAUUGAAGGUUGUUGUGGUGUUCAUAUUUUUCUUCAUCUGAUCUUACAACUUAAGACAACCAAAAGUGUAACAUAGAUUCAAAAAGGUGAACCUACUAGUUGUAAAGUUUUUUGUGAGAAGACUUGAGUCAUCACUUUCUUGACAUCUACUUUUCAACCACUUUCCUUGUUUAGGAACCUUGUUUUGUAGGAAUUGUACAAAGUCAAGUCUUGCCUAUUGAAGAUUAAACUUAAAGGAUAUUAAAGACAUAUACUUUCCAUCCAAAACCAAUUGUUUCCGUUAGAUAGUAACUAAAGUUUGUAAACUUCAACUAGUGACUAAUUGUGGGGCCGUGACCAAUGGUAUGCUGCCAUGUCACCCAAGUUACUGUUCACACAAAAAUUUUAAGCUCAAAAUUUGAUCUUCUAGUUUCAUUGUGUUGUUUCUUUUUUUUCCUUUGUUGAUUCCAUUACUAACUUACAAGCUAGUUUUAGAUUGUAAGUUAGUUUUGAAACCGUCCUUCGUGUAACUAAAGUUUGUAAACUUCAACUAGUGACUAAUUGUGGGGCCGUGACCAAUGGUAUGCUGCUAUGUCACCCAAGUUACUGUUCACACGAAAAUUUUAAGCUCAAAAUUUGAUCUUCUAGUUUCAUUGUGUUGUUUCUUUAGUUUCCUUUGUUGAUUCCAUUACUAACUUACAAACUAGUUUUAAUUGUAAGUUAGUUUUGAAAUCGUCCUUCGUGUACACAUUCCUGAGACCUUGCUAGGGCAAAUGUGGGUCUUGAAAAAAUUAACUCAAAUGUGGUAACUAUGAGUGAGAGGUUGGAUCUAAUGGAGAGUCGAAGGAACUCUCGUGUUUUUACUCCCAAAACUUUACUUCCAAUGACCAAUACUCCAAGACCACCACAUAAUGCCACAAGCCAAGCUCCAAAUACCCCUCAAAAUUGAGAACAAGAUAGACCACUUCCCCCGUAAGUUGAUCAAGUACAAUAAGGUGGACUUAGAAGCCAAUUUCCUCCCAUCCAAGAUCCACAACCAAAGCUCCACGUUACCAAAUCGAGCCUCUCAACCGAAAUUUCCCUUUCCGAAAAUCGACACAUCCAAGAAGAGGAACAUAGUAGAAAGGAACGUGAGGUACAUGGAGUCUACAAUGAUGCCUCUAUGAUGGAAGCAAAAUUGAGUCGGGUGAGAUUUAAGGCAAGUCCUAAGAUGCAGAGAAAGCCCAGGUGCAAAAUAAAGUUGUUGACCGAGACUUGUUGUAUUGAGCUCUCGGGUUCCUCCUAUUUUGUGGACAGUUUUUUGCCAUUUCAUAUUUUUGCAGGCUAUUUUGUGCCGUGAAUUUGUAGGCAAAUUCCUCUCAAGAUGGAGAGGAUGAUACAAGAUUAAUCCCAGACAUGGAUUUAUGAGAGUGCGUGUUGUAUCCGAGACUUGGUGUGUUCAAUUGAAGAGCCAAAGAGGACCUAAUUAUGCACCCAAAAUAGUCUAAACACUACACUUUGGCUAUACUUGAUGGGAGCCCAUCACUUAAGGGCCUUUCGGCCAUUUUCAGCUUUCAUUUUUUAAUAAAUAUAUAAGUAACAUGCUAGGGCUUCCACUAGGAGUUUUUGGGAUAUUAUUGUAAGUGUUGUAAGACUUGGAACACCAUAGUUAGGGCUUGGAAAAUCCACCAACCAAAACUAAGGCAAGAUCUAGUGUGGAAUCACUAGUGAUUGUGUUUGCUUGGAAACAUUGAUGCUUGGGAGGCAGAAUCCGAACUUAUAUCUUUGUAAGAGAUAGGUUUAUUGUUGUGUGUAGUGUUAAGGGUCAAAGAUUGUCCAUUCUUAGGUUCUUAAGAUUAUACCUUCAUGUGGUCUAUCUAUCUAUCCUUUUACCUUCAUGUAAUCUUGUAUAUUGUUGGGUUGUAAUCUUGUGUUCUUGUUGUUAUUGUUAAAUUCAAAUCUUUUGUCCUCUUGUUCAUCAUAUAUUAUGGUUAAUCUUAGUUUGGACUGCUGAUUUGGUGUCAAAUACACCACUAUAUCAUGUAAUCUUAUUGUUGGUAAUGAAGCCGAGAGUGGUCUCCAUCUUGGUCCUCGAAUCCUUAAGCUUUGUGGACUGAUUUGGAGUGUUUUUCGUGCCUUCCUUGUUAGUGUUGUAUCAGAACUGUGAGCUAUAACACACCGAAUUGGCCUAAAAUGGUCCGUUCAUGCCAUUUUGCCCGUUUGACCACCCAAACGGCCCUACUUACCCCAACAACCUAUACUCCCUCACUCCUCGGCCUGCUUGGGAGCCUGCAGUCAAUUUUUAGACUAAAACACACCUAUCCCCAAGCCCACCCCCGGAAUCAUGAGUUGUAGCACAACGAUUUAGCCUGAAAAUAGAACGUUCACGCCGUAUCGCCUGUUUGACCACCCAAAUGGCCUCGAGGAAUUUUUGGACAAAACAUACUUGGGACUCAGGUGGGACCCUCGAAACCGUGAGCUAUAUCACAUCGAUUUGGCCCAAAAAUGGUCCGUUCAUGUCGUUUCGCCUGUUUGACCACCUAAAUAACCCCACCAGCCCUAACAACACAUACUCCCUCUUUUGUCAGCUUGCAUGGGAGCCCCCAAUCAAUUUUUAUCCCAAACAGGCUCGGUACCCGAGCACACCCCAGAACCGUGAGCUAUAGCACACCGAUUAGGCCCGAAAAAUGGGCCGUUGGCGCUGUUUUGCUUGUUUGAUCACCCAAAUGGCCCCGUCAACCCAAAAAACCCUGACUCCCUCGCUCCUCAACCCUCUUGGGUUCCCCUGAUUGAUAUUUGGCCCAAAAAAUAUGACCAAACCCCAUCCCACUCUCAGAACCGUGAGGUAUAGCAUACCAAUUUAGCCUAAAAAUGGCCUGUUUAUGCCGAUUCACCCUUUUGACCCCCCAAAUGGCCUUGUCAACCCCAACCACCCAUACUCCCCUGCUCUUCAGCCUGCCCGAGAGUCCCCGAUCGAUUUUUGACCCAAACCACACCCGAUCCCUUCACUCACCUUUGAAAUUGUAGGCUAUAUCACACCUAUUUUUCUCAGAAAUCAUCCGUUCGCGCCCUUUUGCCUGUUUGACCAACCAAAUAGCCCUACCGACCACCACCGACCCCAAUGACCCAUACACCCCUAUUCCAUAGCAUGCCUGGGAGCCUCCGAUCAAUUUUCUGCCUAAAACAUGCUUCGGCGUCGGACUCACCUCCAAAACCAUGAGAUAUAGUACACCAAUUUGAUCAGAAAAUGGUCCGUUUGUGCCGUUUCACUCAUUUUACCACUCAAAUAGCCUAGUCGACCACAACGACCCACACUUCCCUGCUCCUCAGCCUUCCUAGGACCCCUAGUCAAUUUUUUCCCUAUAAAAUGCCUGAUCCCUAGGCCCACUCCCAAAACUAUGAUCUAUAACACACCAAUUUGGCCUAAAAAUGCUUCAUUUUCACCAUUCAGCCCAUUUGACCACUCAAACAGCCCCGUCGAACCCAAUAACCCAUAUUCUCCUGCUGCUCUUCCUGUUUUGGAGCCCCCGACCAAUUUUUGACUCAAAACAGGCUGCAGCCCCAAGCCCACCCUCAAAACUGUGAGCUAUAGCUCACUGAUUUAGCCAGAAAAUUACCCGUUUGUGCUGUUUUGCCUGUUGGACAACCCAAAUAGCCCUGUCGACCCCAACAAACCACACUCUCUCACUCCUCAGCCUGUCUGGGAGACCUGCUUGAUUUUCAAUCCAAAACAUAUCUGGCCCUUGGGCCCACCCAAAGAAUCGUGAGCUAUAACACACUGAUUUCGCUUGAAAAUGGGUUGUUCACAUUAUUUAGGCCGUUUGACCAGCCAAACGGCCCCUUUUUGGGCUAGAUUUAUUCUUAGUCCAAAACAUUUUUGGGCCCCAAGCCCAUCCCUAAAAUCGUGAGCUAUAACAUAUCGAUUUGGCCCAAAAAUGGUCUAUUUGCGUCGUUUCAUCUCGUUUGACCACCCAAACAGUCCCUCCGAUCGGAAAUGUCGACACUCCCUCGCUCUUCAGCCUGCCUGGGAUCCCCCAGUCUAUUUUUGUCCCAAAACAUGCUCAGACCCUGGGCCUACCUCCAAAACAAUGAGUUAUAGUACACCGAUGCACUAGGAUUUCGUUAUGUGUUCUGUCCCACUCAUAUUUCUUCAUUCUACCUCUACCUUGCCUAAAACCAUCCAUAACCUGUAUUUCACACUUCCACAAUGAAGAAUCAAAGCCCCUCUUCAUCACGUGGAUGAACCAACGUAACCUAACAUUUCGCAUCUUGUCCUCCACCGAAGCAGCUCUCACCUUCUCUCGAAUAAUUUCAUUCCUCACCUUAUCUUUCCUGGUAUGUCCACACAUCCAUCGCAAUAUUCUUAUCUUUGCCACUAAUUUUUAGAUGUGGGAGUUUUUAACUAGCCAACACACCGCUACAUACAACAUAGCCGGCCGGACUACCACUCUGUAGAACUUACCUUUAAGUUUUGAGGGCACUUUCUAAUCACAUAGAACUCCCGAAGCGAGACUUUAUUUCAACCACCUUUCCCCAAUAUGAUUUGUUACAUCCUCGUUAAUCUCAUCAUUGCCCUGAAUCAUAGACUCUAGAUUCUUGAAACUCUCCCUCUUAUUAAUGGCUUGAGAGUCCAUCUUCACAACCACUCCAGCCUCCUGCAACACAUCAUUGAACUUAUACUCCAAGUACUUUGUCUUGGUUUUACUCAAUCGAAAUCCUUUAGACUAAAGCGUCUAUCUCCAAAUCUCCAACUUAUCAUUAACUUCUAUCUGAGUCUCGUCAAUCAGUACCACAUCAUCUGCCAAUAACAUACACCAAGGCACCUUUUUCUUGAUAUGUCACGUCAAAACAUCCAUCACCAAGGCAAAUAAAAAUGGGCUAAGAGUCUAUCCUUAGUGCAACCCUAUGAAAACUGGGAAGUUCUCCGAAUCUCCACCUACCGUCAUCACACGAGUCUAAUCCCCAUCACCCAUAUCCUGAAUCAACCUAGUGUACGGCACGGGCCUCCCUCCAGCCUCUAAGUACCUCCAGAGAAUCUCCUUGGAAACUCUGUCAUAUGCCUUCUCAAGAUCAAUAAAUACCAUGUGCAAGUCCUUCUUCCUCUCCCAAAACUGCUCCACUAAUCUCCUCACAAGGUGAAUGGCCUUAGCGGUCGAGCGCCCUGGCAUGAAACCGAACUGAUUCUCAGAGAUUGUUACGAUCCUUAUCAUCUUUAACUUUACCACACUUUCCCAAACCUUCAUAGUAUGACUCAACAACUUAAUACCUCUAUUGUUGUUGCAACUCUGGAUGUCUCUCUUGUUCUUAUACACUGGAAUCAUAGUACUCCACCUCCACGCUUCAGGCUUCUUCGUCGCCCUAAAAAUACUAUUAAGUAACUUUGUCAACCACUCCAAACCAACCCCGCUAGUGCUCUUCUAAAAAUCCACUAGAAUCUCGCCUGUCCCCGUUGUCUUACCCUGCUGCAUCCUGCGAAUAGCUCGCUUGACCUCCCCAACCUUUAUAUGCCUACAAUAACCAUAAUCGUGACACUCCUAAGAUUUCUUCAAUUGCAUUUCAAACACUAAAAGUACUUAAUUGUAUCAAUUACGGAACUUCUAAUUUCAAAUCUUAAAUUUCAUUUAGUCACAAUUCAAAAAUUAAGUGCAUAAAAUUUAUUAGUUUAUUUUAAAUUUUCAGAUACUGUUCUAUUGCUCAUUAUUUUUACAAUGAUCAGUUUUAUGAUUAAUAUCUUUAAUUAUUUUAUUUAUACAUCUUAUUGUAUCUGCUAAGUUAAUUUAAUUAAUAUCUCUCAAAUCACUCUCAAAAUCACCACCCCACCAAAUACGACACCCACCUCCUAGCCUUCCUCUACAGCCACCACCCCGCCUCCCUAGUUUUUAUUAUAUUUUACUUUAUCAGAUUUUUUGUAAAAUAUUUUUCUCACAUCACCCAUUUCUUAUCCCCAAGCCACCCUCCAACAACAAAACAAUAUUAUAUUUUUAUUUAAAAUAAAAUUUUAUAUUGCACCCACCCCUACUCCCCAAUACCCAUUCGACACCCCUAAUACACAUUCCAAAAAAAAUAUUUUUGAUUUUUUCCUAAAAAAAAUCUUUCCACCCUUCUCUCCUGACUCCCAAGAAAAAUAAUUUUUUUUUAUCUUUUAAGAAUCUUUUUUCUACUCCACAACACUAACCCCUAGCAACACCACCACCCCGCCUACCCCACCUACCUAGCUCACCCCUACCCCAUCUCAACCACCAUAAUCUCUUGUUCUUCCCCUCAUCCAUCACUUUGCCGCAAUGCAAUUUAUAAUUUUGUGUUAAAUAUACACAAAUGCUAUUAGAAAAUAUUUUUUAUUUAUUGAUAAAAUAUCAAUUAUCAAUUUAUUUUAGCAUACAUGCUAUUACUAAUGUCAAAUAAUUACAUCAAAUAAAAUUAUCUAUUUUUUAAGCUCAAAAUGAACUAAUAGCUACUAAUUGGUAUUUUUAUAAUCCUAAAUUUUUUGUAAAAAUAUUUACCUGAUUAAGUUCAAGCAUUUUAUAUCCCUCCAAUAAAUUAUGCUUUUUGUUAUCUAUUGAAAAUAAUUUGAGACGUAGGGGAUUAAUUCAUCAUCGAAAUGAAACAAAAUAUAUAAGCAUACACCAUUAAAGAUGACGAUGAAAGCAUAUACAAAGAUUAAGAUUAACAAUUCAGCAAUAUAUUUUCAAAGAAAUCUUUCUGAGAAAAUUAACACUUGAAUUCAUAAAAAGAAAUCAUUAUAAUGAACUUUAACUAACAUGAAAGCAAUAGAAAAAGAUGAUUGCAGAGAUAUAUGAUUAUGAUGAUAAAAAAGAGUAGUUGAAAACAUGAAAGCAAUAGAAAGAGAUGAUGAACUCUGAGGUGAGGAUUGCCCAAGAUCAUAUAAGGAGACUAAGGACUUUUUAUCCACCGAUGUGGGACUCUCCCCUCUCUCUCUUUGCACGCCAAGACUGGACAUCUGAAGCAUAGGCAAUAUAAGUUGGGGGACUCAACAUUGAAAAUAAUGAACUGGGUAGGCCUGACUCUAAUACCAUGUUGAAGUGUGUGACCAUCUCAUCUAAAAGUUUAACUAUUAAAGAGAGUACACUUUUACUAUUUAAUUAUAUUCUCAACAGUUACUUAAUAUGCUAUUUUGGAAUUGAACAAAUGAACUUUACGUGGCAUUGCAAACUGAAGAAAGACACAAAAUUUUUCUUUCAAACAGUUCAAGAAAGAAUCUUUUGUCCUUUUGAAACAAAGAAAUAGAGUCACAUUUGUUUGAUUGUUUUGUCCCUACAGUUGAACUAAGAGCACUUUGAGUGAAGGUUUUUUCUAUUAUUAAGGAUAUCCAAUUUUGGAAAAGUACUACUCCUUUCGUUUAAAAAAAAUGAUAGACCAAACAACAUAUUAAUUUUAUACAUUAUAUUAACUCCUAAGUAGCCACCAAACCUGGAAUUAAUUAGGUAGGAUUCCUGCAUAAAUUGAUGCUUAGCCAGCUACCAAAUGACCCCUUAAUACCUUCUUUCUUUGUUCAUUGAGAAGACAGAGACCAAUGCAAGCAUAAUUCAAUUUAUGUGUAUAAUAUUUUCAGAACCAAGUUGCAGAAUAAAUACUUUACAUAAAUACAAAACUUCCUAAAUGAGUUGACCCAAUUGAUAUAAACGGUUUGAUUCACUCAGCUCCUGAUUCAUCAAUUGAUGACUACGGUAUUUUUCCAUUAGAUCUGGCAGGAAGCUUUUUUUAUAACCAGAUUUUUUUUAUAACAAAAAAAAAAAGUGCCACUAAUGCCUCUGCAGCAACAAAAUCUUCUGAAGCAUCCAAUGAAAGUUGAGAGAAUCUCUUCUCGGCUAUUGGUUUUGGUGAAUCUCUUGCUGAAAGUGAUGAAAAUUAUUCCCUGUCAUUUCGACCUAUUUUGUCAUUUUAAUCAUUUUCAGUUCUCUUUAUAAAAGUCAUUAUUGGAUACUUUCCCUAGAAAUUUAAGUGGUUGAUCUAAGAAUGAAGCAAAUUUUUUAAGUGCAGCUUGUGGUGGAAGCUCACCAGUGUCGGCAUUUGCAGGCAACUAGGAAGAUCCAGUUAAGGAUGGACCAACUUCCUUCAAAAUAAUCAAGAUUCAAGAUGGAUCAUUUUUACUGAUCCUUUUUCCCUAUAUAUGUGCAAUGAACAUGUUGAUAAUUGUAGGUAUCAUAAUCUAGGUCCAACUGCUAGGUUAGAUAGUAACUCAAGAAUCUUUUAUCAAUUCUCCUUUCUUAAGAACCCCAAAAAAUAAAUAACACUCAAGCAAAAAAAAGUAAAAUCAGACACAACACAUACUGAUUGUAUGAGAGGUUAUACAAACUGGGGUUUGUAUAUAUACUCAAAUAUAGGACCAAUAUUGGGAAAAAAUUGAUUGACAUGAAUAAAUACUUCAAAUUGUAAUCUCCAUUUGGAUUGACUCACAUUUAUUGCGUUUUUCUCAAAUUUUGGGUUUAAAAUCCUUAAGUUUUUUCAAGGUGUUUAUGCUUUUCUCAGGUACUGUUACAUGAACAAUUAUGUUAUUUUGUCCUUGACCUAAUGAACUCUACGUGGCAUAAUAAACUGAAGAAUGACACAAAAUUUUUGUUUCAAACAGUCCAAGAAAGAAUCUUUUGUCUUUUUCAAACAAAGAAAUAGAGCCACAUUUCUUAGACUGAUUUGUCCACUCCUGGUGCUCUUAGUUCAACUAUAGGGACAAAAUAGUUCAACAAAUGUGGCUCUAUUUCUUUGUUUCAAAAAGUCAAAAGAUUCUUUCUUGAACUGUUUGAAACAAAACUUUUGUGUCUUUCUUUAGUUUGUUAUGCCACGUAGAUUUCAUUAGUUAAAUGCCAAAACGACGUAACUGUUCAAGUAACAUUACCUGAGAAAAGAACAAACACCCUAAAAAACGUUGGGAUUUUAAACCCAACAUUUAAGAAAAAUGCAAUAAAUGUGAGUGAAUCCAAGUGGAGAUUUCAAUUUGGAGUGUUUAUUCUUGUCAGUCAAUCAACAUUUAGUGUGUCUAAGUUUACCUUUUUCAGCUCGAGUGUUAUUUAUUUUUACGGGUUCUUGAGAAAGGGAAAUUGAUAAGAGAUUCUUGAGUUACUAUCUAACCUAGCAGCUGGACCUAGAUUGUGAUAACUAUUAUUAUCAAUAUGUUCUUUGCAUAUAGCUAGGGAAGAAUGAUCUUUCAAAAUGAUCCAUCUUGAAUCUUGUUUAUUUUGAAGGAAGUUGGUCCAUCCUUACCUAGAUCUUCCAAUUUGCAUACGAAUGCCGACUCUGAUGAGCUUCCACUGUAUGUUGCACCUGAAAAAAUUUCUCUAUUCUUAGAUCAAUCACUUAAAUUGCUAGGAAAAGAUCCAAUAAUGACUUUUAUAAGGAGAUGUGAAAAGGAGAAAGAUGACAAAAUAGGUCAAAAUAAUGGUGUAGAAUUUUCAUCAAUUUCAGCAAGAGAUUUACCAAGACCUAUAGCCAAGAAGAGAGUCUCUCAACUUCUAUUGGAUGCUUCAGAAGACUUUGCUGCUAUGGAGGCAUUUAUUUUUUAGUUAUCGAAAAAAGCCUUCUUUCCAGAUCCUGUGAUAAAAGACGAGAUAUAUGAUAUUGGACUCCUAUCUCAAUCAGUAAGAAAUGGCCUAAAAUCUCUCACCUUUUCUAUGCUGAUGAUCUAACUCUGUGUGCUAUUGCUAAUGAAAGAAACUGUGUGCAAUUGCUAAUGAAAGAAACCAUCCCACCAACUCUUAGCAGCUUCACCUUUCACUCUGGCCAAAAAAUUAACACUCAAAUCUAAAGUAAUCUUCUCUAGAAACUGUGCUCAGGAGACCAAAGAUAAAUUGUCUCACAUCUUAGGCAUACAAUCCAAAGACAAGUUUGGAAAAUAUAUUGGUUUUCCUGUCUUCCACAAAAAAACUUACAAUAGAGAUUUCCAAUUCAUCCUAGACAAUCUCAACAGUAAGUUGGCUGGAUGGGAAACCAAAUUCCUCAAUAUGGAUGGCAGAAUCACCCUUACCAAGUCCUCCCUUUAUAGUAUUCCCACUCAUGUCAUGUAAUUCAUCUUGAUCCUCUCUAAAAUCAACUAAUUGAUUGACAGAACCCAAAAGAACUUUCUCUGGGACACCAACCCUAAUAAUAAGAAAAUGCAUCUAAUUAAUUAGGAAACCUUGACUAAUGCUAAAGCUAAUGGGGGCCUAGGCCUCCAAAAAGCUUCCAUUAGGAAUACCAUUAUGUUAUCCAGUCUAUCCUAGAGACUUUACAAGCAUCCCAACAGUCUCUGGGAAAAAAUUCUUUAAAGUAAAUUAGCCCCCAUGGCAUAUCCCUCAAAGCCAACAACUUUAGAACUUGGAAAAUUGUCCUUGUGGGUUGGGAAAUUUGUAAAACUGCCUCCUCUUGGAAAAUCAAUAAGGAUGACAAGAUCAACUUCUGGAAGGCUAAAUGGAUGCCUCAUUGUGAACUCCUUCUUUCCAUCAUCCAAGCCCUUCUUCCUUAUCAUUCCCAAGACAUUUAACUCUCUGGGGUCUAGAAAAAUAGCUCCUAGAACCUCAAGGAUCUUCCGGUUAAAAUCCCUGAGGAUCUCAUCCAAACUUUCACCAACUCUGUUUUCCCUAAUCCUAGAGCCCAUACUUAUGAGCUCAUUUGGAAUCUCAUAGGUAAUUGUCUGUUCUCCAGCAGAAGUGCUUAUAAUCGUAUAGCCAAAACCUCUAAGAUCAAUUACUCCUCUAAUUUCAACUGGAUAUAGAAGGAUAAAUCCCCUAAAAAGUUAAAACCUUUCUUUGGCUAAGCCAGCAUGAUAGGUUCCCUAAUAACCUCAGCCUCUCUAAGAGAGGAAUGGGACAAAAUACUAGUUGUGCUAUCUGCAAUCAUCACCAGGAAGAAAAAUCCUACAUUUUCUUUAAGUGUCCCAUCCUCAAAUAUUUUGGACUACAAACUAUCCACAAGAUGACCCAAUCCAAACAACCUCUUAUUACCAGUCUCCUACCCUCUUACUGGCACACUAUCUGGAGAUCUCUUCAACACUCCCAAUUCAACAGACUAAUCCACUGGCACGACAUUAUUCUUUUCAGCCUCUAGACAAUCUGGAACACCAAGAACUCUAAUACCUUCAAUAACAAAAGGGAUCAUCCCAAUUUUAACCUUGCUUACUCCCAAACUGUUGAGUAUAAACAUCUUACUCAAAAUAAUACCCCAAUCAAGCAAAACCAAAUCAUUGACGUUAAGUGAAAUCCUCCCACAAGCCAUACCAUCAAGCUCAAUACUGAUAAUUCUUACCUUAGAAGCCUCGGGAAGGGUGGAAUGGGAGGGGUAGUCAGAUCUAGUAAUGGAGGUUGAGUGUUAGGUUUUAACAAAAACUUUCACCGGACUACCAACAACAUAAUGGAACUUAUGGCUCUCAUUGAAGGAUUAAAACUGGUAGAGCAAACUAAUCUUCUCCACAUUGAAAUUAACAUUGAUUCCUUGGAAGUUAUAUCAAUGUUAACUAACAGGAACCUCCACUAUGAUACUUUGAUUUUGGAAUGCAGGUCAAAAUGGAGUGGCGGAUGCUCUAGCAAAACACGGAGCAAAGGCAAGCGGGUUUCAGGAGACUACCCUUUUUGAAGUUCCACCGAUAUAUGCAAAAGAUGCAGUUUGAGCAGACAUCUCGGAAAAUUUUUGAGAGAAUAAUUAGCUCUUGUACUGAUGAUUUUAACUGGCCAGGCCAGAACUAUUCCUUUUUGAACCCUGACUAAUCGUCAAAAAUUAAAACUUAAACUGCGUUCUCUUUUAUAUUAAUGCAUGUACUUUCUACCAAAAAAAUAAUAUUAUUUUGCAUAUUGAAUCAUCGAAAAGAAGAGAUAUUUAUAUCAAUUUAAAUUGAUAGACCUUGAACAUUCACAAAGAAAGAUAAGUUGAAAAUGCUAUAUCAUUCCUGCAUAUUUAAAGAAUGUUAUCAAAUCAAGAAUAAUUUUUUUAAAACAAAAAUUAAAAAAUGCAGUAAAUAAAUUCACGAAUAAAGCUAAUGAUAGAGAAGUAUAUGUAAAAAAGUCUAAGUGAUAGAAUUUCAUUUAUAUUCGGAUUUCAUUUAAAUACAAAUUCAAAUAUCAAUGAGACAAUAUAUAUAUUUAAAAUUAAUAUAGAUUUGAGUUGAGAUAAAUAUUGAAAUCAAUGAGACAAUACUAAUUCUAAUACUAAUACUAAUACUAAUACUAAUACUAAUAACAAUAACAACAUUUUAACUAUUUUUACUUUACCACUAUUAGAUUGCACUACUAUUACUAUUACUAUUAUUAUUUGUUCAUUGUUAUUUGAGAUAAAUAUUAAGAUAAAUCGUGUAGCAAAAAAAAAUUGUGUUCCAUGAUUACUAAUUAAGUACAUCUAAAUUAUAAGUUUAUCUUUGAAAGUAUGUUUUAUCUCCAAUUUAAAUUCAAAAAACUUUGAUAGAAUAACCAAUAUCUUAGAUGAGCGGUUAAAACCAUCAAUAUAGGUCAGGAUCGUUGGGAUGGCCCGGCCCAGCCUGUAAUUUGAUAGGCCUGGGCUACAAUUUUUAUAUCCCAUUUAAGAAUAGGGCUUUUUAACCCUUCAUGAAUAAGUCUAUUGACCCGUUGGCUUGAGCAAUAUGGGUUUGGGUGACCCGUGGGUCAAAUAAAAAUAAUUAAAAAAUAAAAUAUAGUACUAAGAACUAAAAAAGGAGUCCAAACAGAAAGUCUAUAUGAACCAUCAUAUAUAUAUAUAUUUAAAUAUUAAUUAUAUUUAUAAAAUAUAUAAAUAAUUAAAAAUAAAAUAUAAUUUUUUAAAGAAAUCAAAUAUGUUAGAUGAAGAUGACGUGGCGAUGUUGAGUACACCAUAAAUGCCAUGAGAGUUUUCUUUAAAAUAUUUAUUUUACUUUUAAUGGACUAAACAUUGACAUUUAUUUGUGUUUUAUUCUGAUCAAUUAAAACAAAAUAAGGUUAAUAUUAUUAUUUAGCGAGUUAUAUUAUUAUUCAUUAAUUAUUUUAUUUAUUUUUUAAUAUCUCUAUUUGAUUUUAAUUUUGUGUCAAAAGUUAUUCAAUUUCAUAGAUUAUUAGGAUCUUUUUGUAAAUUUGAGACUUGUUUAAUGAGUAGUAACUUCAAGCAAUAUUAUAUUGUAAAUAUUUAUGCAUUUAAUAUUUUAAAAUUUAAAUUAAGAUUAUAAAAAUAAUAUAUUUUAAAAAAAUGGGCUGGCCCGUGGAGGGCCACAACCCAUAGUGUGACAGGUUGGGCAUGGUAUUUUCUAGUCAGUCAUGUUGAUGGGUCAGCCUGGCCGGGCCCGUCAAACUCUAAAGCCCAUGUGAGCUAGCCCGGACGAGCUAGUCCAAUCAAUAUUAAGAACUCUAGAAGCAGUUAUAUAAUGAUAAGAAUCCAAUUAGAACUGUUUAGUAUUAUAACUAUCUACUUCUAAUAUGUUAUUUUAUAUUUUUUUAAUAUUAUUUUAAAGUUAAAGUCAACAAUUUAUUUGUAACGCCCCAAGAUCCCAUCCUGAGACGUCACACGGUGCUUAAGGCCACAUGUGGCCUCAAGUUAACCCUCUAAACCUGUCAUCACUUCUAGAACUCACUUUGACAAUAGUCAUGCUAAUAUAAGAGAGAAUGACAUAUCAUAAACAUACUGGAAUAAGAUACAAAACUAGCCUGUACAAUUCAAAAUACUGAAAUUCUGUACAUACCAACCCUUUAAUCUGACAAAGCCUCUAUACAUCACGAGGCAUUGGGACAAACCCCCAAUUGAAUCAAACAGUACUGAAAGCCAAAACAACAAAACAUUAUCACAAAAUUAUAUACACGGUCCUCGAACCAUGAGAACUCACCAUUGAGCAGACGAAAAGAAGCACCCGAAUAUUGCUAAUGCGGCUGAGUACCUGAACUUAUAUUACGAGAAAAUGUAGCCCUUAGGAAAAUAUAUGGGCCAUCACUUUGGAAUGUACUGAGUAUGUGGGGGUGCAUGCAACAAUGUAAAUAUCGUCAUCAAUUUCAUGAAAAUAUGCAUAUGUACAAUGAUGGCUCACUUGGCUUGAGUUAGUUGAAACAUACUUUUCAUGAUCUCAUCGUAAAUAAAUCAUAUGAUAAAAACCUUAUAAAUCAUCAUAAACAACUCAACUCUUCAACUCAAGACUCUGAAUGACUCUGUAAUUCAAGAAACUCGACUCUUAUGGACAUGAGAGGUUCUUAUAAUCGACAUAAACCAAGCGAGCUACAUGGAGUCUAAUAUUUUUCCCUCCUAAGGAGAGAACCCCACAUUGGUGGGAGAGUCGUACUUUUGCCAGGGAUUACAACCUAAAUUUAGUGAUCACAAUCUCAUACUAGGCCUUCGGCGACCAAUUAUCAAUAUCAAUCCUAUGGUGGCAUGUAGUUUCAGGGGAAAUACCAUAUUUCCCGCUCGGUGCUAAAUACUACUCAUAGACACAAGCUCAGAACGCGUUAGGAAAUCCACCACAAACAUCACAAGGGUCUAUCAUGAAGACUAAAUCAAAUCUUAUUCACAUUUAUCAAAUCAUAAUCAAUUUGUGGAUUCCUAACUUGACUCAAAUCAAAACAAUCUUUCUCAAUAUCAAAAUGCAUCAAUUAAUUAAGUCAUGGCGAAUAUCAAUAACUUUGAAGAAAUAUCAAGACUCAUUGUAGCAAAUCAAUUCUCAUGAAUCAAUACACUCAAUAAUCCAAUUUGUUAUAAGGAAGCUUAAAGCUUGACAAAUAUCUUGAAAGCACUUGAAAUACCAAAUCAUGGUAGAAACUUGAAAUUCACAAUAUUAAAUAUCAAGUCAUAACUUGGAAAUAGUAAAAUAAUCAUGUAUAACAAGCUUGAACGAUUUAUAUUCUCAUAAUCUCAUAAUGAAGUAAUUUGGGUAUAAACUCACUUGCAAAAUCAUAUAAAUACAUUGUAAAAAUCAAAGUUUUGAGCACAAGAACAAAAGAAUUGCUCUUGUUCAAAAACCCACAUACCUUAAUCUUUGAAAUCGGUUGAACUCUAGUGCUUGAGACUUUACUCACACUUGUAAUAAAAAAGUUCUUGAAGCCCACUCUAUGAGGAACUUGAUUUUUGAAGGAAUCUUGAAGAUUUACGGAUGAUUUUUGGAAGAUUAAUUUCCUUAAAUAAAACCCUAGAUAUAUUUCUUAAGAGAAUUGGAAGAGAGAAAUGAAGAAAUUAGGUUUUGGAUGAGGAUUCUCACAUAUAUAGAGGCCUCCUAAAAUGGAAAAUGACUAAAAUACCAUUAUAAAAAUCGUCCAUCAAUUGCUGAAAAAAAUAGUUGACGACAUCCAUGACAUGCUGUCUAGCCCGUGAUAGGCCAUCACAUUGUCGUCACAAAAAGGGUGGAUAUUGUGACUUUCUGCCUUAAGGUGAUGAAAUUUUGUGACGGGCCGUCAGGCUUGUGACAAGUAGUCACAAAAGGUCGUCACAGAUUUUUCAGGCUGACACGCUAGAGUAAAAUAAGCAUAACUCUUUGCUCCCAUAUCGGAUUUUGACGAAAUGGGUAUCAUUGGAAAGCUAAUUAAAUUAUAUAUAUUUUGGUAGGUGAUGAGCUUAAUAAUUCGUAUUACAACGGAAGAUAUUCUCAUUUAAAGUUGACUAUGCCAAAAUCCUUCUCAAGAAUUCAAUCGGUAAAGAAUGUUUUGAUUUGCCCGAGCGUUAGGACAUCUUUAAAGCCUUAAUACACAUCACCCUUGAAAAGAAAACAACCAAAAUACUAUAAUUUAUUUCUCAUGGGCUUGCGUCAUGGAGGCACUAUUGGUUAGAAUCUCGGAGUAUUACAAUACCUCCCCAUUGGAAACAUUCGUCCUCGAAUGUUGCCAGAUAGGCCAAGAACAAGAGAAAAAUGAGGACGUAUAUCUGGAAAGACUCACUCAAAAGACUUACUUCACUCUAUAUCUUCGAAUACUAUAGAAAAUGCAUGAAUUCGUGAUGAAAGUAGACAUACUGCUGAAUCUUUAAUAAGAAGGGGGCGGAAUUAAGAAAGAAUGAUACCUUCUACUCGCUCUAAACUCACAGAAAAAAGGUGAGGGUACUUGGCUCGCAUAUUAACUUCGUUUUCCCAAGUAGCACUCUCAACAGAUUGAUUUCGCCAAAGAACUUUAACCAAAGGAACUUUUUUGUUCCUUAGCCUACGGAUCUGAAAAUCCAAAAUCUAGACCGAAAUCUCCUCGAAUAAAAGGCUAUCCUGAAUAUCUAAGCUUUCGAAAGAAUCAACAACAAUAGAAUCACCGAUACACUUCUUAAGCAUAGAAACUUGAAACGCCAAAUGAAUGCUAUACAACUCCGCGGGUAAAUCCACCUCAUAAGCUACUUUCCCAAUACGGCUCAGAACCCUGUAUGAACCAACAUAAUAGGGACUAAGCUUUCCCUUCUUCCCAAAUCUCUUCACCCCUUUCAUGGGUGAAACCUUCAAGUACACCAAAUCAUUAACAUUAAACUCAAUAUCUUUUCUUCUCACAUCCGCAUAUGACUUCUGACAACUUUGUACGGUUUUCAAUCUUUCUCGAAUCAACUUAACUUUUUCCAUAGCCUCGACCACAGCAUCCGGCCCAAUCACAACUGCUUCUCCUACUUCAAACCAACCUAUAGGCGAUCUACAUCUUCUCCCAUACAAAGCUUCGAAUGGGUCCAUCUGAAUACUGGCAUGGAAACUAUUAUUAGAUGCAAAUUCGAUCAAUGGAAAGUUCUCAUCCCAACUACCUUUGAAAUCAAGCGCACAUGCCCUCAACAUGUCCUUCAAAGUCUGAAUACUCCUUUAAGCCUGACCAUCGGUCUGCGGAUGGAAAGUAGAACUUAGACGAACUAGGGUACCAAGACCCAGCUGAAAAGCCCUCUAAGACUGGGAAGUAAACUGAGUACCCCUAUCAGAGAUGAUAUCCAAAGGAACUCCAUGCAAUCUGACUAACUCACGGAUGUACAAUCUAGCAUAAUCCUCAGCUAUAUAAGACGAAUGCACUAGAAAGAAAUGAGGUGAUUUGGUCAACUGGUCUAUGAUAAUCCAAAUCGAAUCAUGAUGAUGACAAGAAGGAGGUAAACCAAUUAUGAAAUCCAUAUUCACUUCUUCCCACUUCCAAGUAAGAAUGCCAAACCCUUGUAUUACACCACUGGGCCUCUGGUGCUCUACCUUAACUUAUUGACAAGUGAAAUACUUUGCCAUAAAUCCUGCUAUGUCUUUCUUUAUACUGUUCCACAAAUAGAUUUCCCAAAAAUCAUGGUACAUCUUGGUAGCACCGAGAUGAAUAGAAUAUCGCGCACCAUGCGCUUCAGCCAUAAUUCUCUGCCUUAAAUAAUCAACAUUUGGAACACACAGUCUACCUUGCAAUCUCAACAUACCAUCUCCCCCUUAGGAGAAAACCUCUACCUUUUGGUCCUUAACUGACUCCUUCAGUCUGAUAAACUAGGAUCCCUGUCCUGCUUCUCCUUUACCUCCGAGACCAAAGAGGACUCGGAACUACUCUAAACUAACAUACUCCCUUCAACGGAAUCAAGCAAUCUAACACCCAACCUAGCCAAACGAUGCACAUCACGAGCUAAUUCUUUCUUAUCAUUCUCCACAUGAGCUAUACUACCCAUAGAAAACCUGCUAAGAGCAUCUGCCAUAACAUUGGCCUUGCCCGGGUGAUACAACACACUUAUAUCAUAGUCUUUUAGAAACUCUAGCCAUCUUCUUUGUUUAAGGUUGAACUCCCUCUGAGUAAACACAUUCUGCAGGCUUUUGUGAUUAGUAAACACAUCAACAUGAACACCAUACAAAUAAUGUCUCCAGAUUUUCAAAGCAAAAACUACAGCUGUUAAUUCAAGAUCUUGAGUUGGGUAAUUCUUCUCAUGAGGCUUCAACUAUCUAGAGGCAUAAGCUAUAACUUUACCCCUCUGCAUCAACACACAAACCAGACAAACUCUAGAAGCAUCGUAGUACACCACAAGACCAUCAGUACCAUCGGGUAAAGCUAACACUGCGGCUGAAGUGAGUUGAGUCUUUAACUCUUGAAAACUCUUCUCACAGGCAUCUUUCCACUAGAACUUAACUUUCUUUUGGGUCAAUCGGGUCAUAGGGGACACAAUAGAAGAGAAUCCCUUAACAAAACGACGGUAGUAAUCAGCUAGACCCAAGAAACUCCUAAUAUCAGACGGGGAGGUAAGUCUAGGCCAAUUCUUCACAGCUUCUGUCUUUUGAGGAUCAACUCUAAUACCUUCGGAAGAGACAAUAUGACUCAAAAAAGAAAUUGACCUUAACCGAAAUUCAUACUUUCUAAAUUUAGUGAAUGAUUGAUGAACUCUAAGGGUUUCCAACAUGAUUCGAAGAUGAUCUGCAUGGUCAUCCUCACUUCGAGAAUAUACAAAAAUAUCAUCUAUGAACAUAAUAACAAACAAAUCAAGAUACCGCUUAAAUACUCGGUUCAUAAGAUCCAUAAAAGCCGUUGUAGCAUUGGUUAACCUAAAGGACAUGACAAGAACUCAAAAUGACCAUACCGGGUUCGGAAAGCUGUCUUUGGAAUAUCACACUCUCUCACUUUAAGCUGAUGAUUUCUGGAUCUAAGGUCUAUCUUUGAGAAAUAACUUGCACCCUAUUGCUGAUCAAAUAAAUCAUCGAUUUUAAGAAGAGGGUACUUGUUCUUCAUAGUCACCAUGUUGAGUCGACGGUAGUCAAUGCAUAUAUGCAAUGUACUAUCUUUCUUCCGCACAAAUAGAAUAGGUGUACCCCAUGGGGAAACACUGGGUAUAAUAAAGCCUUUUUCUAAGAGGUCUUUGAGUUUGUCCUUCACACUUUAAGUUCUGCGGGAGCCAUACGGUGUAGAGGGGUGGAAAUUGGUUAAGUUCCAGGAAGGAGAUCAAUCCCGAAUUCUAUAUCUCUAUCAGGUGGGACACCUGGAAGGUCUUCCGGGAAAACAUCGGGAAACUCUUUAACAAUGCAACCUGACUGAAUAGUCAGAGUCUUGGACUUGAGGUCUUUAACUCAAAAUAGAUGAUAGAUGCAACCCUUGGAAAUCAACUUCCUAGCUUUGAGGUAAGAUAUGAAAUGGCUCUUUGGAGAUACAGAACUCCCGAACCUCUCAAACACGGGUUCGUUAGGAAACUAAAACUUGACCACUCAAGUACGACAAUCUAUAGAUGUAUAGCACGACUCAAGCCAAUCUAUACCCAGAAUGACGUCAAAAUUAACCAUAUAUAGCUCAAUCAAAUCAGCACAUAUGACCCAAUGAAGGAUAGUAGCAGGACACUUCUUAUACACUAGCUUAGCAAUAACAGACUCUCCUACUAGGGUAGAAACUAGAAUAGGCUCAGGAAUUCAUUCAGGGUCCAUCCCAAAAUUUAUAGCAACCAGAGAUGUCACAUAAGAGAAACUGUGAGGUGGUAUAGCAUAGAAGCAAUUGGAGAAUAGGGUGCUCGUAUGCUAGACAUGGGAGUCAAGAUGCUGGAGACACGGAGUAUACCAGUGAUAACAACUGGAGAAUCCUCCUACUCCUGGCGAGGUGGUAUAGCAUAGAAGCCAUUCUGGCAUAAACCGCCAACAGUACUUGAAGAGGCACCCUGAAGAGGAACUGGGUGGAAUAGGGGAGCGGGGGCACUAGUAGCCUGACUUUGGGGACGAGCAUCUUGACUCCCAUGUCUAGCAUACGGAUAAUCUCUAAGUCGGUGGCCCAACUUGCCACAACCAAAGCAACCUCUCUGAUCAACAAAACACUCACCAAAAUAAUCUCUACCACAUUUGGCAUAUGAAGGAGGAUGAGGUAUUUUACUUACACUUUCUUGAGACCUGGAUGGGAUAGGCCUGUUCCCCUGCUCCUGCCUCUGCUAGGUAUGGGAGCACUAACUGAGAAAGGCACGGGCAUAAAUGGACGUCUCCAGAAUUGAGGGCGGUCCACUCCAUAGAAUCUGGACUGGCCAAAUCCCUACUUCUCUGAUCUAGCUCUUUUGUUCCCUUUUACUCUCUUUCUCUCUUUCACCUUUUCAGCUUCAAUCUAUUGGAUAUGUAUUAUGAACCGAGAAAGGUCCAUCUCCCUAUUAAGCAUAGCAGAUUUACACUCUUUCACAACGUAACUCGACAAACCGGUCACAAACUUACUCAUGAUGGUCCUAGAAUUAGCCAUCAUACUAGAUGCAUAUUUAGACAACUAAUUGAAUAUAAGGCAAUACUCAUUAACAUUCAUGGAGCCUUGUCUCAAAUUCAUGAAGUUCUCUAUCUUUGCUUCCCUCAUCUCUAGAGGAAAGAAUCUAUCCAAGAAUACAUCCUAGAAUAACUGCUAAGUCAUGGGAGCGAUAUCCUCUCCUCUACUUUCCCUUCACACUUCUACCCAAUCAUAUGCAACAUCUUUCAUUCAAUAGGCAGCCAAUUCAACUCUCUCCUCCUCAGUCACUUGCAUAAUCUGGGUGAUCUUUCUUACUUCAUCCAAGUACAUCUGUGGGUCUUCACCUACCUUCGACCUAUAGAACUUAGGCGGAUUCAUCCGCAUAAUGUCACGAACCUGAGCUGUAGUAGAAUUAUUCUCUUGCAUAGGCAGAACAAAAGCCUGGUUGUUAGCUUGAGUAUUGGUGGUAACUACCUGGGCUAGCACCUGAACAACUGCCCGAAAUUCUGCAUGUGACACAUGCUCGUUCAGCAGAUCAAUAGGUUAAGGUUGCUCGUUGUUUUUUCGAGCUCGAUGAGGUGGUAUUUUCUAUCAUAAGAGAGCAUGAAUUAAUAGCAGAGAUAACAGUCGUAGGCACGAUAGACUUUUGAAAGAAAAAAAUGACUUUUCCUAAAAUGUCUCGUAGCCUGUUGCACAUAGAUUUGGCGCGCUAUACACCGAUGAUCAAGACUCUGUGUAAUACGGCUUGCCAGAAACCCUAGGAGUCUUUAAACCUUAGGCUCUGAUACAAAGCUUGUAACACACCAAGAUCCCAUCCCAAGAUGUCACACAGUACUUAAGGCCACAUGCGGCCUCAAGCUAACCCUCUAAACCUAUCAUCACUUCUAGAACUCACUUUGACAAUAGUCAUGCUAAUAUAAGAGAGAAUGACAUAUCAUAAACAUACUGGAAUAAGAUACGAACCUAGCCUGUACAAUCCAAAAUACUAAAAUUUUGUACAUACCAACCAUUUAGCCUGAUAAAGCCUCUAUACAUCAAAAUCAAAGAGGCAUUGGGACAAACCCCCAAUUGAAUCAAACAGUACUGAAAGCCAAAACAACAAAACAUUAUCACAAAAUUAUAUACACGGUCCUCGAAUCAUGAGGACUCACCGCUGAGCAGAUAAAAAAAGGCACCUGAAUAUCGCUAAUGCGGAUGAGUACCUGAACCUAUAUUAUGAGAAAAUAUAGCCUAUAGAAAAAUAUGUGGGUCAGCACUUUGGAAUGUACUGAGUAUGUGGGGGUGCAUGCAACAAUGUAAAUAUCGUCAUCAUUUUCAUGAAAAUAUGCAUAUGUACAAUGAUGGCUCACUUGGCUUGAGUUAGAUUGAAACAUACUUUUCAUGAUCUCUUCAUAAAUAAAUCAUAUGGUAAAAACCUCAUAAAUCAUCAUAAACAACUCAACUCUUCAACUCAAGACUUGGAGUGACUCUGUAAUUCAAGAAACUCGACUCUUAUGGAUAUGGAAGGUUUUUAUAAUCGACAUAAACCAUAUGAGUUACAUGGUGUCCAACGUUUUGCCCUCCUAAGGAGAGAACCCCAUAUUGGCAGGAGCGUCGUACUCUUGCCAGGGAGUAUAACCUAAAUUUAGUGAUCAGAAUCUCAUACUCAGCCUUCAGCUCACAAUUAUCAAUAUCAAUUCUAUGAUGGAACAUAGUUUUGGGGGAAAUACCACAUUUACUGCUCGGUUCUAAAUACUACUCCCAGACACAAGCUUAGAAUGCGUUAGGAAAUCCAUCACAAACAUCACAAGGGUCCAUCAUGAAGAACAAAUCAAAUCUCUUUCACAUUUAUCAAAUCAUAAUCAAUUUGUGGAUUCCUAACUCGACUCAAAUCAAAUCAAUCUUUCUCAAUAUCAAAAUACAUCAAUUCAUUAAGUCAUGGUAACAUCAAUAACUUUGAGGAAAUAGCAAGACUCACUGUAACAACUCAAUUCUCAUGAAUCAAUAUACUCAAUAAUUCAAUUUAUCAUAAGGAAGCUUAAAGCUUGACACAUAUCUUGAAAGCACCUGAAAUACCAACUCAUGGUAGAAACUUGAAAUUCACAAUAUUAAAUAUCAAGUCAUAACUUGGAAAUUGUAAAUAAUCAUGUAUAACAAAUCUUGAAUGAUUUAUAUUCUCAUAAUCUCAUGAUGAAGUAAUUUAGGUAUAAACACACUUGCAAAAUCAUAUAAAUCCAUUGUAAAAAUCAAAGCUUUGAGCACAAGAACGAAAGAAUUGCUCUUGUUCAAAACCCCACAUACCUUAAUCUUUGACAUUGGCUAAACUCUAGUUCUUGAGAAUUUACUCACACUUGUAAUAAAAAAAUCUUGAAGCCCACUCCAUGAGGAACUUGAUUCUUGAAGGAAUCUUGAUGAUUUAUGGAUGAUUUUUGGAAGAUUAAUUUCCUUAAAUAAAACCCUAGAUAUAUUUCUUAAGAUAAUUGGAAAAGAGAAAUCAAGAAAUCAGGUUUUGGUUGAGGAUUCUCAUAUAUAUAGAGAGGCCUCCAAAAAUGGGAAAUAACUAAAAUACCCUUGCAAAAAUCAUCCAUCAAUUGCUGAAAAAAAUAGCUGACGACUUCCGUGACAAGCUAUCAGGCCCGUGACAGGCCGUAACAAAUUUUCGGUACAAAAAGGGUGAAUUUUGUGACUUUCUGCCAUAAGUGACGGGCCAUUAGGCUUGUGACAAUUCGUCACAAAAUACCGAUUUUUAAGGCUGACACGCUGGAGUAAAAUAAGCAUAACUCUUUGCUCCGAUAUUGGAUUUUAAAGAAAUGGGUAUUGUUGGAAUAGUAAUUCAAUUAUAUAUCUUUUGGUAGGUCAUGAGCUCAAUAAUUCAUAUUACAACGGGAGAUAUUCUCAUUUGAAGUUGACAAUGCUAAAAUCCUUCUCAAGAACUCAAUCGGUAAAGAAUGUUUUGAUUAGCCCAAGCAUUAGGACAUCUUUAAAGCCUUAAUACACAUCACCCUUGACUAGAAAACAACCAAAACACUAUAAUUUAUUUCUCAUGGGCUUGAGUCAUGGAGGCACUAUUGGUUAGAAUCUCGGGGUAUUACAUUAUUACUUCUAAUUAUCUUAGCUAUUUACCUUUUUGCAAAUAUAAUGCAAAUUUAUCUUGUAAUGUUAUAAUUGAAUUAAGAAAAAAAUAUUUGAGAUAAACCACAUAUUUUUGAAAGUAAAUGAUGUAUUAUUAUUAUUAUUAUUAUGACUAUUAUUAUUAGUGCUACAACUAUUAUUAUUAUUAUUAUUAUCAUUAUUUUUAUUAUUAGUAGUAGUAGUAGUAGAUAUGUAUGUUCUACUACUACUACUAAUAUUAUAAGUUAUCUUUUAAUUAUUAUUAUAUUUUAUUUAAUAUUUAAAUAUAUUUGAAAUAUAUAAAUUUAUGAUAUAAUUAGAGAUGUUUUAGGUCUUUUCAAAUAUGCUUUUUUAAUUUUAAGCUGAUGAAUUUCAAAGCCUACUAUUUUCAAAUUCAUAUAUUUCUAUUAACAUAGUGAAUUACUUAUGUAGGACUAAAUUACCUGCAUAACUCACUGCUAAACUAACUACCAAAAAAUAAGCUACUACCUGCAUAAAUAAUAUAUAGAUAAUCCCUAAACUAAAAAAAAAUUGCAUAACUCUAAUUGAGGCCCUUUCAUUAUUUAAUUUUGGCUUCUUAGGUUUAAGCGGGUAAACAGAUGAAAAGAGAAAAGAAAAGACUCUCAAAUCUAGUUUCCCCAGAAGCACCUCUUUAGAAGAAAGGUGCUGUUGAAGCAACUCAUUUUCAGAUUCAAGCAGUCUUUUGUUUUGUUCCUCCUCAGAAACAAAAGCAUGAGCCGGGGCAACCAUUUUCUUUUCUCACAGGAAAUGAAGAAUAAGAAAAACACUACAAUUUAAAACCAGGCUUUAAAUUUCAAAAACAAAAUAAGAAGUCAUAAGAGAGCAAAAAGGGGAAAACAAUGUGCAAAAAGACCUCACCAGUAGUAUGAUACAAAGGAUGACAGAGAGAGAGAAAGGAGGGUUAUAUUAAAAAUGGAAUGAAUACAGUGGAGGCAGAGCACAUCUAUCGAAUAUUCUUUGAAAAACCACUAGCUACAUCACCGACGUUUCAAAAUUAAGGAAACUUUUUAUCCUGUUCAGAAAAAAAUUUCAAAGUGUGUGAGUAGGACUGAGGUUGUUGUAACUGCGUAAAUUGGUUUGCCCUCUUAAAAUCUUCAUUUUUAUAUUUCUUUUAAUUGAAUACAAUUUUAAGAGGGCAAACUAAUUUAAGCAGUUAAGACAACCUCAAUCCUACUCUCACACAUUGAAUUUUUUUUUCUGAAUAGGACAAUAAUUUGCCUUGAUUUUGAAACAUCGGUGAUGUAGCUGGUGUGUUUUUAAAGAUAUUUGAUAGAUUUUCUCUGCCUCUGCUGUAUUCAUUCCAUUUUUCAUAUAACCUUCCUUCUCCUCUCUCUUGUCCUUUUUAUGCUAGUACUGGUGAGGUUUUUUUACACUUUGUUUUUCCCUUUUUGCUCUCAUGAUUUCUUAUUUUGUUUAUGAGAUUUAAAGCCUAGUUUUAAAAUUGCAGUGUUCUUCUUGCUCUUCAUCUGCUGUAAGAAAAGGAAAUGGCUGCCCCGGCUCAUGCUUUUGUUUCUGAGGAGGAACAAAAUAAAAGAUUGUUCGAAUCUGAAAAUGAGUUGCUUCAAUAGCACCCUUCUUCUAAAAAGGUGCUUCUAGGGAAACUAGAUGUGAGAGCCUUUUAUUUUCUCUUUCCAUAUGUUUACCCACUUAAACCUAAGAAGCCAAAAGUAAAUAACAAAGUGGCGUCAAUUAGAGUUAUCCUAGUUUUUGUACUGUAGGGAUUAUCGAUGUGGAAAUCUAUAUAUUAUUUAUGCAUGUAUUAACGUAUUGCUUGGUAGUUGAUUUAGCAGUGAGUUAUGCAGGUAUUUAAGUCCUACAUAUUUAAUAUUCAAAAAUUAGUAGUUAGUUUAGCCUACGUUUACUCCUAUUAAGAUAGAAUAACCCUUGAGACCCCAAAGAAGGCCCAUAAAAACCCAUCUACCAAAUAGACGGCUCUGUCUAUUAAGAUAGAGUAACCCUCGAGACCCCAAAGAAGGCCCAUAAAAACCCAUCUACCAAAUAGACGGCUCUGUUGCCUUUCCCAGCUGGUUUGGUGGCCCGUUUUUAGGGACCAAAUAUGGAUAAACAUAGUUAUGCGAUUCAAGAAAAUUAUAGUAUUACUACUGGGACUUUGGAUUAAAAGGGACAAAUAAGUUGUCUGAUUAAGUGAGAAUCCUUCAAGUUUUUAAAAUUAGGUGGGAGGGACAAUUUUUUUGAUUUUUUUUUUAAAGUUUUUUUGUUCCAACACCUUUGAUAGAUGUUCGACAACUUCUAUCAGUUGUUCAACAACUAUCAAAGUUGUUCGACAACUGCGCUAUGUUGUUCAACAACUAGGCGAAGUUGUUCGGCAACUGGAAGAAGUUGUUCAACAACUGUGUGAAGUUGUUGAGGCAACUAAUUUAGUUGUCAAACAACUGUCCCAGUUGUUCAAAUGACUUAAUUUUUUUAAAAGGGACAAGUUGCGGGACCCACUUGUCCCCUUUUCUUAAUUGGAAACUUGGGAGGUCUAUUGAUUCAUUUUUCUCACUUAAGUAUUAACUUGUAUAUAUCAUGAAGUAGUUAGCUUAUAUUUGCGUUGUAAAUUGUAAUAUUAAGUGUAGAGAUAGUCCUAUAUACGUUUAGUACGUCAAAGAGAGCUACUCGCAAACAUUGUGCAAUUCAAUUUGUCGCAAGAAGAACUUAAUCAUAACGCAAAUACUUAUUGGUUCCAAAAUUUACCCCUAAUCAAUGAUUUUAAUUCUAAUGAAUUAAGAAUAUAAGAACAUUCAAUCAUGAUAACAAAAAUAAUUUAUAAAAGAUAUUAUCUUGUAAUAGUGGGUAUAAGGAGAGGUAGAUGUAGGCUGAGAAGGUCUUGGUAUAGGUGAUUAAAUUAGGUGUCUGUAGCUUUUCGAGGAUAUGAUCUAGAUAUAAAAAUACGGAGAUCAAGGAUGUUGUUAGUGGGUGGCUGAGCGUUGUCUAAUUUCCCUAUUAAGUAGUAUUUUUGUUAUUACUUUCAUACUAUCUUAUUCUUCUAUAUUAGAAUAAUUUGUUUGUUUUUAGUUCAGUUAUCAUAUUAACUGUUUGUCAUUGCUACCAUUUUCAGAUUUACUAUUUUAUAUGUUUUACAUACCUAAUUUUUUUUUAUAUGUUUUACUUGAGUCGAGAGUCGAGAGUCAAUCGAGAACAACCUCUCUAUCUUCACAAGGCAGAAGUACAUGUCCAUACUACCUCUCCAAACUCCAUGUGUAAUAUUAUUUAUGUGAUUAUUGUAUAGAUCUUGAAUUGAUUGAUCAAAUGUAAAUACCCAAUGUUGAGGUAUACUUAUACCCAUUGUUGGAGGGAUGAUCUUAGAAAAAGGGUGAUUUGAUGCACAUCUUUUAUCAAAAGAUUAUAUACUGUACAGAAGCUUAAUAUUAGCUAUUAUACGUCUAUAUUAAAUUUUGUAUAUCCGUAACACAACUAAAAAGAAAAUAUGCACACUCCUCGUCAAAUUUCUGACAACGANNNNNNNNNNNNNNNNNNNNNNNNNNNNNNNNNNNNNNNNNNNNNNNNNNNNNNNNNNNNNNNNNNNNNNNNNNNNNNNNNNNNNNNNNNNNNNNNNNNNNNNNNNNNNNNNNNNNNNNNNNNNNNNNNNNNNNNNNNNNNNNNNNNNNNNNNNNNNNNNNNNNNNNNNNNNNNNNNNNNNNNNNNNNNNNNNNNNNNNNNNNNNNNNNNNNNNNNNNNNNNNNNNNNNNNNNNNNNNNNNNNNNNNNNNNNNNNNNNNNNNNNNNNNNNNNNNNNNNNNNNNNNNNNNNNUUUAUAAUUAUUAAAGUUCUUAAUCACAUAAUUGGAUAAUUUUUUUAAAAAAUUAUUUGUAUGGAAGAAAGUAUUACAGGAGAAUUAGAAUAUAACAAGAGACCACAAGUAAUUUAAUAUUUUAUAAAAUAACAUGAUACAACAACAACAAUAAAAACAUACCCAGUGGAUUUCAACAUAGAGGGGUCUGGGCAGGGUAGAGUGUACGCAGAUCAUACCACUACCUAAGAUGAAGUAGAGAGUCUGUUUCCGACAUACCCCCAACUUAGGACCGAUAGCAGUACAACAAAUGCAAAAUAUAAAUGCAUAAAAACUAGUACAAUCUGCAAAAUAAACUAAAGUCACUAGCCAUAAGAUAAUACUACACUCACAAGAUAAUACUAAAAUUAUCUAUCUGAAAUCAUAGACAUCACUCAACACCACGAACAAGAAACUUCAAACACAAAUAAAGAAUGCUCCCUUAUUGUUACCGAUACACUCUCAACCCCUUACCCUCUACCCUAAUCGGCAUUCUCCACACCUUCCUAAUCACUUCCCUCCAAUAUUUGUUCAGUCUACCUCUACCCCGCCUAAAAUCAUCCAUAGCCAGUGUCUCACACCUCCAUCAGAGCCCCUCUUCAUCAUAUGCUUGCACCAACGUAACCUUACUUCUCGUAUCUUAUCCUCCACCGAGUCCACUCCCACCUCUCCCGAAUAAUAUCAUUUCUUACCUUAUCUUUCCUAGUAUGGCCACAUAUCCAUCGCAAUAUUCUCAUCUCCACCACCUUUAACUUUCAAAUAUGGGAUUUCUUAACUGGCCAAUACUCUCUAUACAACAUAGUCGGCCGGACUGGCACUCUGUAGAACUUCCCUUUAAGAUUUGGGGACAUCUUCUUAUCACAUAAAAAUCCCAAAGCGAUCCUUCAUUUAAACCACCCAGCCCCAAUAUGAUGUGUGACAUCCUUGUUAAUCUCACCAUUGCCUUAAAUCAUAGACCCCAGAUACUUGAAACUCUCCUUCUUCUGAAUGGCCUGAGAGUCUAUGUAACACCCCGUAUUCAAGUACAUGUAUUGGCAUAUUCAAGUACGUGUAUUGGUCUUAUUUAUAUGAAAUUAAUUUUUUUAUUUUAUUUAUACCGAAAUUUGCCCGUCGAUAGUUCCAUGCGAAGGUUAUUGAAUAAGCUUUCCAACGAUAUAAAGAUUUCCAAAAACGGAUAGGUUUCGGAUAUAAUCGAGCACGUUCGAAACUAUAAAAUGGUGGCCACGAUAUUUGGGAAUAGUAAAUGUGCAGGAAAAUUUCCUGCACACAAACUACUAAGGCCAGCUGAAUUUUUUGAUCAACUUCAAACGAUCAUAACUCCCUUAAUAUAAUGAACUAGGAGAGCUUCGACCUAUGAAAAGAAAGAUAUUUGAGUAUUCUUUCCAAUACAAUUGGUUUCAUCCAAAUCCAACGUUUGAGUAAGGAGUUAUACUCUUUUUACUUCAUCCUAUCAAAAUAGAUUUUUAGGGUCAACUUCAAACGACCAUAACUCCUUGUACAGGACGAACUGGGUGGCCUACUUUAUAUAAAAUGAAAGACCUUUGAAUUAUCCGUCCAAAAGUACCAAUUUCACCCAAAUCCGAUAUCGGAGCAAAGAGUUAGGGUCGAUCUACUUUAACUUAUCAAAAUAGUCCACCAAAGGACAGAUUUGACAUUAUUUAAAUUUUAAAGGCAUUUUGGUCAUUUCCUAUUAUAUUAUGGACGGGAAUAUGUGUAUAUACAUGUAUAUGAGUUCAAAAACUCAUUUUCAUCAUCAAUCAUUGAGNNNNNNNNNNNNNNNNNNNNNNNNNNNNNNNNNNNNNNNNNNNNNNNNNNNNNNNNNNNNNNNNNNNNNNNNNNNNNNNNNNNNNNNNNNNNNNNNNNNNNNNNNNNNNNNNNNNNNNNNNNNNNNNNNNNNNNNNNNNNNNNNNNNNNNNNNNNNNNNNNNNNNNNNNNNNNNNNNNNNNNNNNNNNNNNNNNNNNNNNNNNNNNNNNNNNNNNNNNNNNNNNNNNNNNNNNNNNNNNNNNNNNNNNNNNNNNNNNNNNNNNNNNNNNNNNNNNNNNNNNNNNNNNNNNNNNNNNNNNNNNNNNNNNNNNNNNNNNNNNNNNNNNNNNNNNNNNNNNNNNNNNNNNNNNNNNNNNNNNNNNNNNNNNNNNNNNNNNNNNNNNNNNNNNNNNNNNNNNNNNNNNNNNNNNNNNNNNNNNNNNNNNNNNNNNNNNNNNNNNNNNNNNNNNNNNNNNNNNNNNNNNNNNNNNNNNNNNNNNNNNNNNNNNNNNNNNNNNNNNNNNNNNNNNNNNNNNNNNNNNNNNNNNNNNNNNNNNNNNNNNNNNNNNNNNNNNNNNNNNNNNNNNNNNNNNNNNNNNNNNNNNNNNNNNNNNNNNNNNNNNNNNNNNNNNNNNNNNNNNNNNNNNNNNNNNNNNNNNNNNNNNNNNNNNNNNNNNNNNNNNNNNNNNNNNNNNNNNNNNNNNNNNNNNNNNNNNNNNNNNNNNNNNNNNNNNNNNNNNNNNNNNNNNNNNNNNNNNNNNNNNNNNNNNNNNNNNNNNNNNNNNNNNNNNNNNNNNNNNNNNNNNNNNNNNNNNNNNNNNNNNNNNNNNNNNNNNNNNNNNNNNNNNNNNNNNNNNNNNNNNNNNNNNNNNNNNNNNNNNNNNNNNNNNNNNNNNNNNNNNNNNNNNNNNNNNNNNNNNNNNNNNNNNNNNNNNNNNNNNNNNNNNNNNNNNNNNNNNNNNNNNNCAAUGAGUUCUUACUUCAUUGUUAUUGCAUUGAUGGUCUAUUUAUAUGUCUCUUAUUGAUGUAUCAUUGUUUCAAAGUAUCAAAAAUGCGGUGGCGACCGAAAUAACAAUCUCAAAGAUUAAUUGAACUAAGUGAUGGAAGUUCUCUCUUAUUGGGUGGUAUCUAGGGGCAUAAGCCUAUCAUGGGUCGAUCCCAGUUGAUAUGUACUGGAAGCAGCCUAGUGGUCAUAGUACAGUAUAGUAAUGAUUAGAAAGAUGAUAAGAACGAUGGUAAAGUGAUUGAAUAAAUUCAAUGUACAGGUUGUCACAAGUUCUAGUAAGUGUGGUCCUCUCUUAUUAUGAUUUAUUCACUUGUUUCUGAUUUCUAUUGAGCUCCUAUAUCAUAUGUAAUUAUCUACAGCUUUACAUACUCAGUACAUAUUUCGUAUUGACGUCCCCCACGGGGGGCCUGCAUUUCAUGCUGCAGGCACAGGUACCUCAGCUCAGACACCGCACAAGUAAGAGCCAGGAUAUCCAGUUGCUUUUGGUGAGCUCCAGUUUGCUUCGGCGCUUUCCAUGUCAUAUCCAGUCACUUUUUGUAUUGUAUAAAAGUUAGUUAUAUGGAGGGCUGUGUCCCGACCUUAGUUAAACUUUGUGUAUUGUCUAGAGGCUUUGUAUACCUAAUGUACAGUCAAGGUGGUGUUUUGUUAAUAGACGUGAUGGCUCCAACGGACAAGUAUUGUAUAUACAUAUAUANNNNNNNNNNNNNNNNNNNNNNNNNNNNNNNNNNNNNNNNNNNNNNNNNNNNNNNNNNNNNNNNNNNNNNNNNNNNNNNNNNNNNNNNNNNNNNNNNNNNNNNNNNNNNNNNNNNNNNNNNNNNNNNNNNNNNNNNNNNNNNNNNNNNNNNNNNNNNNNNNNNNNNNNNNNNNNNNNNNNNNNNNNNNNNNNNNNNNNNNNNNNNNNNNNNNNNNNNNNNNNNNNNNNNNNNNNNNNNNNNNNNNNNNNNNNNNNNNNNNNNNNNNNNNNNNNNNNNNNNNNNNNNNNNNNNNNNNNNNNNNNNNNNNNNNNNNNNNNNNNNNNNNNNNNNNNNNNNNNNNNNNNNNNNNNNNNNNNNNNNNNNNNNNNNNNNNNNNNNNNNNNNNNNNNNNNNNNNNNNNNNNNNNNNNNNNNNNNNNNNNNNNNNNNNNNNNNNNNNNNNNNNNNNNNNNNNNNNNNNNNNNNNNNNNNNNNNNNNNNNNNNNNNNNNNNNNNNNNNNNNNNNNNNNNNNNNNNNNNNNNNNNNNNNNNNNNNNNNNNNNNNNNNNNNNNNNNNNNNNNNNNNNNNNNNNNNNNNNNNNNNNNNNNNNNNNNNNNNNNNNNNNNGUAGUGCAACUUUUGACUCGUAUAGUUGCUGGGCAAGCUCAAGGGAAAGCCAUUCCUACCACGGGUCCUAGUGGUACAGAUAGGGCGGCUAGCCUUCGAACACAGGAUUUUCUUAAGAUAGAUCCUCCCACUUUUACUGGAUCAGAUCUUAAAGAGGACCCACAAGACUUUAUUGAUAAAAUUCAAAGGGCCUUAGAUGUUAUGCAUGUAACGGGUAGAGAGACAGUAGAGUUAGCAACGUAUAGAUUCAAAGGGGAGGAUUUAUAUUGGUAUGAGGACUGGAAACGAUCUAGGGGUAUUGAUGCACCCCCAGCUACUUGGAAAGAGUUCAAAGAGGCAUUUCUUGAUCAUUAUCUUCCAUUUGAGAUUUGUCAGGCCCGUGCAGAUCAGUUUUUAAAUCUUUGUCAGGGGAAUAUCAGCGUGAGAGAGUACAGUCUCCGAUUUAAUUCAUUGUCGAGAUAUGCUCCUAAUGUUAUAGCUACUAUGGAUGAUAGAGUUCACCAAUAUGUAAAUAGGAUGGAUUCAUAUCUGGUUAGAGAUUGUACUAUUGCCUCUUUGAACAAAGAUAUGGAUAUAGCGAGGAUCAAAGCUUUUGCACAGAAGAUAGAAGAUUAGAGGUAGAGGAGAAGAACACAGGAAUUAGAAAGAGGAUAUUCCAAGAGGGCUAGAUCAACUGGGCAGUUCAUGGUAUCCCAAGGAGGGUUCAGACCACAGUUUUCUGCUAAACCACCUAAGCCAUUAUCUUCUUAUUCUAUAGCUAGUGCCCCACCACAGUUCCAACGGUCCAGAGGAAAUCAAUUUGGGCAUAGAAGUGAGAGUCAGAAUUUGCAGACUGUGGGGUACCAAGGGCAAGGGAAUAUGAGCCAAUCGAGACCUCCUUGAGAGCCAUGCAAUAAAUGUGAAAGGUAUUAUUUGGGCGCAUGUCAGCUGGGGACCAAUGUUUGUUUUUGGUGUGGUAUGUCGGGGCAUAUGAUGAGAGAAUGCCCACGAAGGGGCAUAGGGGGUAUGGAACAACCUACGAGGUCAUUUGUUGCAUCAUCAUCAUCGAUGCCUUAUUUAGGAAGGGGUGCACAACCAAUGGGUCGUGUUAGAGGUGAUAGAUGAGCCACGAGUUCUAGCGAGGCUCAAAAUUGUACGUAUACUCUAUCGGAUCGAUAGAAUUUAGAGGCUUCCCCAGAUGUGGUUAUGGGUACAUUGUCUAUCUUUUUAUUCGAUGUAUAUGCCUUAAUUGAUCCCAGCUCUACAUUAUCUUAUGUUACUCCAUUGGUUGCUAGAAAGUUUGAAAGAAUACCCGAACUGUUAGUUAAGCCAUUUGAAGUGUCCACACCAGUUAGGGAAUCUAUUAUAGCUAGAAGGGUUUACCAAAACUGCAUAGUCACUAUUUGUGGUUGUGAUACGAUGGUUGAUCUCGUGGAUUUAGAAAUGGUAGAUUUUGAUGUUAUAAUUGGUAUGGACUGGUUAGCAUUUUGUUAUGCCAUAAUUGAUUGCUGUACGAAAAAGGUAUAUUUCUAUUUUCCAAAUGAAUCAGUCCUUGAAUGGAAAGGUGAAAUUGGCGCGCCAAGAGGUAUAUUUAUUUCUUAUUUUAAGGCAAGAAGAAUGAUUUCCAAGGGAUACAUACAUCAUUUAGUUAGAGUAAGGGAUACAGAAGCGGAGACACCAACUCUUCACGCUGUUCCAGUGGUAAAUGAAUUUUCUGAUGUAUUUCCUGAAGAUCUUCCAGGUUUGCCUCCUGAACAAGAAGUAGAGUUUAGUAUUGAUGUAAUACCAGGCACCCAACCAAUCUACAUUCCUCUAUAUAGAAUGGCCCCAGCAGAAUUACAACAAUUGAAAGAGCAAUUGAAAGAUUUGCUAGAGAAGGGAUUCAUAAGGCCUAGUAUGUCCCUUUAGGGAGCACCAGUGUUAUUUGUGCACAAAAAGGAUGGUUCGCUAAGGAUGUGUAUUGAUUAUCGGCAAUUGAAUAAGGUGACUAUUAAGAAUAAAUAUCCUCUCCCAAGAAUUGAUGAUUUAUUUGAUCAGUUACAGGGCUCCAAGUGCUUUUCUAAGAUUGAUUUGAGGUCAGGUUACCACCAAGUGAAGGUCAAAGAGAAGGAUAUACCCAAGACAGCUUUCCGAACACGGUAUGGUCAUUAUGAGUUUCUAGUUAUGUCAUUUGGGCUAACAAAUGCACCCGCAGCUUUUAUGGAUUUGAUGAAUAGGGUGUUUAAGCCAUUCCUGGAUGUAUUUGUGAUAGUUUUUAUAGUGAUGAAUAGGGGGUUUAAGCCAUUCCUGGAUGUAUUUGUGAUAGUUUUUAUAGAUGAUAUUCUAGUUUAUUCUAGAUCAGAAGAGGACUAUGCCAAUCACUUACAACAGGCAUUGUAGACUCUUGUGAUUGUAAGCUUUAUGCAAAGUUCUCUAAAUGUGAGUUUUGGUUAAAGUCGGUGGAAUUUUUGAGUCAUAUUGUAUCUAGUGAAGGGAUAAAGGUUUAUACUUAAAAGAUAGAAGUUGUGAAGAACUGGCCAAGGCCCACCACGCCUACGGAGAUUCAUAGUUUUCUCAGGUUGGCCAGUUAUUAUAGAAGGUUUGUUAAAGACUUUUCUUCCAUUUCAGCACCCUUAACCAAGCUAACCCAUAAAGCAUCCAAAUUCCAAUGGAAUGAUGCUUGUGAGAAGAGUUUUCAAGAUUUGAAGAACAAGUUGAUUUCUACACCCGUGUUGGUACUACCAGAAGGCACCGAAGGGUAUACAGUGUAUUGUGAUGCUUCCAGAAUUGGUUUAGGAUGUGUAUUGAUGUAGCAUGGUAAGGUAAUAGCAUAUGCAUCUAGACAAUUGCGGCCACAUGAGAAAAAUUAUCCUAAACACGAUCUUGAGCUGGCAGCAGUUAUUUUUGCUUUAAAGAUAUGGCGCCACUACUUAUUGGGGUUCAUAUUGAUAUAUAUACUAACCAUAAGAUCUUACAAUAUAUUUUUAAUCAGAAGGAUCUAAAUUUAAGGCAGCGGAGAUGGCUUGAACUAUUAAAGGACUACGAUGUUGAUAUCUUGUACCAUCCAGGGAAAGCAAAUGUGGUAGCUGAUGCGUUAAGUCGUAAGGCUAUGAUGGCGCCUAUAGAAAGGCAAGGGAUGGUUAAAGAUCUUCACCAGUUAGCUAGUUUGGGAGUUCGCCUUCUUGAAACUCCGAAUAAAGAGCUUAUCGUACAUAAUGCUGCGGAAUCUUCAUUAGUAGCUGAAGUGAAAGAGAAGCAAUAUGCAGACCCUAUUUUAUUACAGCUUAAGGAGAACGUUCAGAGUGGUGCGACCAAGGUAUUUGACCCUACGCGAGAAAGAGUACUUCAGUGCCAAAACCGAUUGUGUAUGCCAGAUGUAGACGGGCGAAGAAAGAAGAUUAUAACAGAGGCACAUUGUUCAAGGUAUUCCAUUUAUCUAGGAUCAACCAAAAUGUAUAAAGAUUUGAAAGAUAUGUAUUGGUGGAAUGACAUGAAGAAGAGCAUUACAGAAUUUGUAGCUGAAUGUCCAAAUUGUCAAAGAGUUAAAGUUGAGCACCAAAAACCCGGAGGUUAUAUGCAAUGCAUUGAUCUUCCAAUUUGGAAGUGCGACAUACAUGGAUUUCAUUAUUGGUUUGCCUCGUACAUCCUGGAAGUUUGAUUCUAUAUGGGUGAUUGUUGAUAGGCUUACCAAAUCCACAUAUUUUCUACCAGUUAGGACCACUUACACAGUUGAAGAGUAUGCUAAGUUGUACAUUAAAGAGAUAGUCCGAUUACAUGGAGUGCCAGUCUCCAUUAUAUCAGAUCGAAGAACCCAAUUUACCGCAAACUUUUGGAAGUCUUUUCAGAGGUGUUUGGGAACACAAGUGAAGUUGAGUAAAGCUUUUCACCCUCAAACAGAUGGACAAGAAGAACGUACCAUCCAAACACUUGAAGAUAUGCUACGAGCUUAUGUAAUAGAUUUUAAGGGAAACUAGUAUGAUCAUUUACCUCUUAUUAAGUUUGCCUACAAUAAUAGCUAUCAUUCAAGUAUCAAAAUGGCAAUGAAGCUUUAUAUGGAAGGAAGUGUAGAUCACCAAUAGGAUGGUUUGAAGUGGGUGAAACUCUUUUGUUCAGACCGGAUCUUGUUUAUCAAGCCCAAAGUCGACACAAGUCAUAUGCGGAUAGUAGAAGGAGAGGGCUAGAUUUUUCUAUAGGUGAUUAGGUAAUUUUGAAGGUAUCACCAAUGAAAGGGGUAAUGAGAUUUGGCAAGAAAGGGACGUUGAGUCCACGUUAUAUAGGCCCAUAUAAGAUCACUCAAAGGUUUGGACAAGUUGUAUAUGAAUUAGAGCUACCCCAAGAGUUCUCAUUAGUACAUCCAAUAUUUCAUGUGUCAAUGCUUCGAAAGUGCAUCAAAGAUCCAUCACAUAUCACUUCUACUGAGGAUGUGCAAGUUGAGGAAGAUGUUACCUAUGAGGAAGUGCCUAUUGCUAUUCUAGAUCGCCAAGUUAAGAAGAUGAUAAAUAAAGAGAUAGCAUCUGUGAAAGUACGUUGGAGAAAUCAUUAAAGGGAAGAUAUUACAUGGGAAGCUGAGGAAGCAAUGAAAUCUAAGUACCCUCAUUUNNNNNNNNNNNNNNNNNNNNNNNNNNNNNNNNNNNNNNNNNNNNNNNNNNNNNNNNNNNNNNNNNNNNNNNNNNNNNNNNNNNNNNNNNNNNNNNNNNNNNNNNNNNNNNNNNNNNNNNNNNNNNNNNNNNNNNNNNNNNNNNNNNNNNNNNNNNNNNNNNNNNNNNNNNNNNNNNNNNNNNNNNNNNNNNNNNNNNNNNNNNNNNNNNNNNNNNNNNNNNNNNNNNNNNNNNNNNNNNNNNNNNNNNNNNNNNNNNNNNNNNNNNNNNNNNNNNNNNNNNNNNNNNNNNNNNNNNNNNNNNNNNNNNNNNNNNNNNNNNNNNNNNNNNNNNNNNNNNNNNNNNNNNNNNNNNNNNNNNNNNNNNNNNNNNNNNNNNNNNNNNNNNNNNNNNNNNNNNNNNNNNNNNNNNNNNNNNNNNNNNNNNNNNNNNNNNNNNNNNNNNNNNNNNNNNNNNNNNNNNNNNNNNNNNNNNNNNNNNNNNNNNNNNNNNNNNNNNNNNGAUAUAAAGAUUUCCAAAAACGGAUAGGUUUCGGAUAUAAUCGAGCACGUUCGAAACUAUAAAACGGUGGCCGGGAUAUUUGGGAAUAGUAAAUGUGCAGGAAAAUUUCCUGCACACAAACUACUAAGGCCAGCCAAAUUUUUGGGACAACUUUGAAUGAUCAUAACUCCCUUAAUAUAAUGAUAUUGGAGAGAUACUACCUAUGAAAAUAUAUAUAUUUGAGUCUUAUUUCCAAUGCAAGUGGUUUCAUCCAAAUCCAACAUCUGAGUAAGGAGUUAUACUCGUUUUACUUCAGCCUAUCAAAACAGAUUUUUAGGGUCAAAUUCAAACGAUCAUAACUCCUUGUAUAGGACGAACUGGGUGUCCUAAUUUAUAUAAAAUGAAAUAACUUUGAAUUAUCCUUCCAACGAUACCAAUUUCACCCAAAUCCGAUAUUGGAGCAAAGAUUUAUGGUCGAUCUACUUUAGCUUAUCAAAACAGUCCACCAAAGGACAGAUUUGACAUUAUUUAAAGUUUAAAGGCAUUUUGGUCAUUUCCUAUUAUAUUAUGGAUGGUAAUAUGAGUAUAUAUACAUGUAUAUGAGUUUAAAAACUCAUUUUCACCAUCAAUCAUUGAGGAAUAACAAACCUAGCCAAAUUUGACCUUUAAAUUACUUUUGAUUCAACCGUAGAAAUUUCAAAGUAAUCCGAUAACUGCGUUUGUCAUCUUGAGAGCUUCGAACGGCAACUAUUAUUUGAGAAAACAGGAUUACAUAAUCAAUAGGUGAAUUCUAAGGUAUGAAUAUUGUUUGCCUUUGUUAUUUUCCAUAUGUAUAUGUGUGAUAGAGGAUUAUAUGUAUUGGUUGUUAUUGAAAGGUGAUGGAAAUAAGGUUAUGGACUUUUUUGCAUGGUUUGAUUGUAUUGAAUUGUGGAAGGGGGAUAUGGUAAUUACGUUAUGGAAGGGGGAAAUGGGGAUAUGGUGAUAUACUAUUGAAUUGAUGAUUAUUUAUGUCUAUGGCUCAAUUUGGUUUAAUGGAUUGGUUGGAAGGAUAAAUGAAUCCAAACUUGAUAUUGGAGGAUGUUGUAUGAAUAUGCAUGGCAUGUGAAUGUAAUUGGAGUAUAAGAGGGUUAAAGUGACACCCUUUAUGGUGUAAUUAAGGCUUACUACUUAACCACUAGUUUGGUGAAUUCAAAUAAUUGAAUUGUGACGUUUGGUUGCUAAUACUAGAUUGCUAUAUAUGUUCGUUGUAGAUAAGUAAUAUGAAAAGACGGGAAGUCCAUUUGGGACUAGUAUUGAAGGUUGACAGUGAGGUAUGUAAAGCAUACUCUAUACUAUAUCUUUGGCAUGAAAGUGAACAAUUGUUCUAUUAAGAAAGUUUCCAAAGUUAUUCAGUAACAUGUUAUCCAUAAUGGUUUUGUAUGAUGUCCUACGUUACCAAUGAACUUGUUUCCACCCUACAAGAUGUCAAGACACUCCAAUACUUACUUGUUUUCCAAAUCUUACAUGUUUAUUGCACUAAUGAAUGUUAGAAAGUAUCCAGUUACUCAAAAAAGAUCCAUGUGCUAUUAGUGACUACCAAACAUUUCAUUGAUAUACCAGUAAGUUCCGACUUCAUUUUUAUGGCCUUGAUGACUCCAAAACACUUCAUUGAUGUGCCAAUUAGUUCUUAUUUUAUUGUUAUUGCAUUGAUGGUCUAUUUAUAUGCCUCUUAUUGAUGUAUCAUUGUUUAAAAGUAUCAAAAAUGUGGUGGCGACCGAAAUAACAAUCUUAAAGAUUAAUUGAACUAAGUGAUGGAAGUUCUCUCUUAUUGGGUGGUAUCGCAGGGGCAUAAGCCUAUCAUGGGUCGAUCCCUAUUUAUGUGUUUAUGGGUGGUAUCCCAAGGGCAUAAGCCUAUCAUGGGUCCUUAUUUAUAUUGAGCUCCUAUAUCAUAUGUGAUUAUCUACAGCUUUACAUACUCAGUACAUAUUUCGUACUGACGUCCCCCAUGGGGGACCUGCAUUUCAUGCUGCAGGCACAGGUACCUCAGCUCAUAUACCGCACAAGUAAAAGCCAGGAUAUCCAGCUGCUUUUAGUGAGCUCCAGCUUGUUUCAGGGAUUUCCGUGUCAUAUCCAGUUACUUUAGGUAUUGUAUAGAAGUUAGUUAUAUGGCGGGGUGUGUCCCGACCUUAGUUAAAUUUUGUGUAUUGUCUAGAGGGUUUGUAGACCUAAUGUAUAGUCAAGGUGGUGUCUUGUUAAUAGGCGUGAUGGAUCCAACGACCAAGUAUUGUAUAUACAUAUAUAUAUGUGUGCUCGAGCUUAUAUAGGUGAUUAUUUCUUUUUAUAUGCGACAUGAUGCUUUCCGAAUUUUGGGUUGUCAUAGAGGUAUGCAUGGGAAGUAUAAGGUUAUGAGUUGGUUCUCCCGGGCCUCCUCAGUUACGGGUGCCAGUCCGCCCCAAUAGGAUUUGAAGCAUGACAGUCUAGAUUCACAACCAUGUCAGCCUCCUACGACACAUCACUAAACCUAUAAUUCAAGUACUCCAUCUUGGUCCUGCUUAACCAAAAUCCUUUAGACUCAAGUGUCUGUCUCAAAAUCUCCAACUUAUCAUUAACUCCUCCCCGAGUCUUGUUAAAAAGUACCACAUUAUCAGCAAAUAACAUACACCAAGGCACCUCCUCUUGAAUAUAUCUUGUAAAAACAUUCAUCACCAAGGCAAAUAAAAAAGGGCUAAGAGUCAAACCCUGAUGCAACCCUACCUAAAUUGAAAAAUGCUCUGAAUCUCCACCUACAUUCCUUACCCGAGUCUUUGUGUCAUCAUACAUGUGCUAAAUCAAUCUAGUGUAUGCCACAGGCACCCUUCUAGCCUCCAAACAACUCCAAAGAAUCUCCUUGGGAACUCUGUCAUAAGCCUUCUCAAGAUCAAUAAACACCAUGUGAAAGUCCUUCUUCAUCUCCCAAAAGUGUUUCACUAAUCUCCUCACAAGGCGAAUGACCUUAGUAGUCGAGCUACCUAGCAUGAAAUCGAACUGAUUCUCAACGAUAAUCACGCUCCUUCUCAGCCUUAACUCUACCACCCUUUCCCAAAUCUUCAUAAUAUGACUCAAAAAAUUAAUACCUCUAUAGUUGUUGCAACAUUGGAUGUCUCUCUUGUUCUAAUAUGAUGGAAUCAUUGUACUUUACCUCCAUGCUUCAGGCAUCCUUCCCGCCCUAAAAAUGAUGUUAAGACACUUGUCAACCACUCCAAAUCUGCUUCGCCAGUGUGUUCUAAAAAUCCACUGGAAUCUCGUCUGGCCCCAUUGCCCGACCUCGAUGCAUCCUGUGAAUAGCCCUCUUGACCUUAUUAACCUCGAUAUGCCUAGAAUAACCAUAGUUGUGACACUCCUCAAAUUUCUCCAAGUCCCCAAAUACGAAACCUUUGUCCCACUUAUCGUUCAAAAGUUUAGGAAAAUAGGUCUGCCACCUUUUUUUAAUGAGGGCAUCCUAAGCCAACAUAGACCAUCCUCAAUAUUGAUGCACUUAUCCCUGCCUUUCUCCUUUAAAGUCGCAUACAAGCUCUCAAAAGCUGUCAUUUUAGCCACUGUAACUGCUAACUUAGCCUCUCACCUAGAUAUAGCUUAUACUCUUCCUUAUUAAUCCGCCUCUCUUGAUCAUUCUUGCUCUCAACCAAUUUAACAUAAGCCACCUUCUUAGACUCCACCUUCCUUUUAACCUCUUCAUUCCACCACUAGUCCCCUUGAUGUUUUCCAAAUCGACCUCUCAAGACACUAACACCUCUCUAGCGAUCUCCUUAAUGCAACUGGCAAUCGUAUCCCACAUACUAUCCAUAUCCCCUCUACUCUUCAAAGUCCCCUGCUUCUUCACUUCUCUCCCAUCUUCAAAGAAUUAGCUAAAGUCAAUCUACCCCACUUAAUCUUGGGAUGAACCUCCACAUUCCUCUUCUUUCAGCCCUUAUUAAUUACCAAGUUCAUCACCGACAACCUAUGUUUAGUCAAAAGAUUAUCUCUAGGUAUGACUUUAUAAUCUUUACAUAGUGUUUUAUCACUCUUCUUAAGGAGAUAAAAGACUAUCUGAGUCUUGGCCACUGAACUAUGAAACAUUUCAAAAAUCAAAAUCUCUAUGCACAUCAUCAUAACCUAUCUACGAAGACACAAUAUGCCCAUUGAAGUCUCCUCUCACAAAAAGUUUCUCAGUGCUCGAGACGCCCCUCAUCGUCUCAUUCAAAACCUCCAAAAGCCCUUCUUCUCUUCCUCGUCCAAACCUAAUUGCGGAGCAUAAACACUAAAAAUGUUCACCGUAGCUCAUACCAAGACCAACUUAACAAACAUCAACCUAUCACUGACUCUUUUAACCUCUACCACCUGCAACCUAAGUUCUUCAUCUACUAAGAUACCUACCCCAUUUCUACGUUUCAUCCUACCCGAGUACCAUAACUUAUAUCCAUCCACAUCUCUCACUUUAGUCCCUACCAUUUAGUUUCCUAGACAGAUGCUAUACUAACCCUCCAUUUUCCAAGAAUCUUCACCAGCUCUAUAGACUUACCUUGAAGCAUCUCUAUGUUCCAGGACCCAACUUUCAACCUGUAAGUAUCCUUAUCCAACUUACCCCUACUAUCCCUCGCCCUCAACCCAAGACUAGAACCUAGACUCGACCCCAACCCCAACCUUGACCUAUGAUAUGACCCUAAUCCAUCAUCUAUCUCCCCAACCACCACUCAAAAGGAUAUGAUAUAAGAAACUGAAGAAAAAAAGCCAAAAAACAUUAUGAGCAAAAGAGUAUGACUAAAAAUAGCUAAAUCAGCAAAUAAAAACCAGUAAGCAGGAUUGAUACUCACAAGUAACAACAAGUACUGUACUAAUCACAAGCAACAAACACCUACUAAGUUACGGAGAAACCGUAACCAAUAAUCCCAUAGGAAUAAUUAAAAAAUCAAAGAAGAAAUCAGGAUAGAAAAAGAGACAAGAAGCAUAUACCAACAUAUAUGACAGCUAUUAAUGUCAUCAAUUUAACUUGAGACGCCCGUUCAAUAAAAUAACAUGACAAUAUUUUAAUAAUUAUAAUUCAAUGCUGAUUAAAAAUAGAAUAAUACUGAUUUUAAUGAAUUUAUGGGUGCAAAAUUUCUCAGUUAUAAAUAGAAAUAAAUUUAUUUUGAUAUUUAUUAUUUUAUUUACACCUAUAAUUUCAUGUGAAAAGAGUUGCAAAAUUCAUUGUUUUCAUAUAAUACAACAAAGUAUUUCAAUCAUUUCAAGUAUAUAUAAAAAUAGUUACAACAUUCAUUUAGAACCUUUACACAAACUAACUUAAUCGUGAUCUAUAAGGAUAUUAAAUAAUAAUUAAAUUACAUUAACCGAUUAUUCCAUUUGGUCCAUUUACUUAUCAUGUUAAUUUUUUAAACACCCUUUAAAAAUAUUCUAUUCAUUCUGCUCUAAUUAUUGAUUUAUCCUUUUUCAUGUUUUCUAAGAAAAAUAAUAAAGGCAUUGUACUAGUUAUUAUUGAUUAGGUUAUCCUAUUUAAUACUCCCUCCGUUUCACAAUAACUGAAUUAUUGGAGUAAUUUUAGUGUUUCAAAAUAAGUGAAUGAUUUACAAUUCAAGGUAGAUGUUGGAAAUUUUUUCCAAAUUUACCCUCCAUUAAAUGUGACUGGGAGUGAUGUAUCAUGUGUCUUUACUUUUUGAAGAGUGUAAAAAUGAAAAAACAUGAUAAAUUUAUGUCUUUGCUUUUUUUUUUCUUAACAUGUGUGCCGAAAUUCAACAAUUAACUUAUUGUGGAACGGAGGGAGUACUAUAUCUUUUUUAAGAAGUGAACAUCAGUGACUAUAAGGGUGUAGUUGAAUAUUAUUACUAACUUUAAUUUUAUGUGAAAAGUUAUUUCUAAAUAAGUUUUUUGAGCAAAAAUAAUUAUUAAUUUAAAAUGAAGGAAAUUUUAAUUAAAAGACAACCUGUGGCAAGAAAAAACCAGUUACAAAUACACAAGUGGAAAUGGUCUUAUCAAAAAGAAUAAGGACAAAAAUAAAAAUAUUUAUCAAAAGAACAUCAUCAAUCCUUGUGAGGACUACCGUAAAUUGAGAUCCUCCCUUAUAUAUAAUAGUAAAUUGUAUUCUUUUUUCAUAUUCUUAACACUGUUUGCAAUAAAGAUUAAAGUGACAGAAACAAAUUGCAGUCACAAUGCAAAUAAAAUAUGAAAAAAUAAGAAUUUUAUUGAUAAAUGAUAUGGAUAUAAUUCUGUUAUCCCCCUGAUUCUUCUUUCUUUAUUUUUCUCCGUAAUUCGAGCACCAUUAGUAGCAUAUUUCUCAAAUGUAGAAAGAUUUAAAUUUGAUAAGAACUUUUACUACAUUUCUCGAAUGUAAAAAGAUUUGAAUUUGAUAUGAUUUCUUUUUGUAAUUCAAGGGUCGUUAGUAGCAUAUUUCUUGAAUGUAUGAAGAUUUAGAUUUGAUAUGGAUUUUUUUUCGUAAUUCGAAGCCCGUUAAUAACAUAUUUCUGGAAUGUAGAAAUAUUUGAAUUUGAUCUCCAUAAAAGAAGGGUUUAUGGAUCUUCUUGAUAUAUUUGAUUACAAAAAAGAGAGAGAUAUUCAAUGAGUUUAUGAAAUUAUUGGGAGAUGAUUAAUCUCUUUAUUAAGGGUUUAGAGUAGAGUAUCUACCAAGUUAGGUUUAGCGUAAAGUAACCCCUAAUAAAUCUUACAAAAAUUGAACUCUUACUAUAGAGUUCACAAAAUUAUGAUGUCUAUAAAUGCUGUGUAUUGUCAGACGUUAUGACUACAAAAUCCUUUCCUAAAAUGUCAAAAUACAAUUAUUUUUCUUCUUUGAGAUGAUGAAUGAAGUACGUGUUAAUUUAGUGGAGUCACUUAGCUCAAGUCAUUCGUGCGGCUUACCAUGAAAUCAAAAAACUACAUCAAGAUAGGAGAAGAGAAAAACAAUAACAAAAAUACCAUAUUUAGCACAUUUUCAUAGCUCGAACUCGUAACCCCCUGAUCACAUGGAGGGAACUAUCCACAAUAAUUCAGACAAAUACUUCUCAUAGAUAAUCACAAAUUUUCAAGCAAGACUAAAUCUUUUAAGAAUUUUACUACACACAAAGACAAAAACAUAGGGCAGUCCGAAGCACUAAGCUCCCGUUAUGUGCUGGGUCUCAGGAAAAAACUAGACCACAAAGGUCUAUUAUACACAGUCUUACCACUGUGGACCCCUCUUUCCACAACUCGGACCUAUGACCUUCUGGUCAUACGACAAUAACUUUACCAGUUACGACAAAGCUCCUUGUCUUACACACCCAAAUGAUAUUUGUAAUAAUAAAAUCUUUAGCAAUUUUUAAAAAUUCUUUCUACCCAAAUUUCCAAGAUAAGCUAAAAUAUAACACUGAUAACAUAUGGUUAAAUAAACAAUAAGCAAAAAAUGCAAACUACCCAAAAAAUUGAGGAAAAUAAAACUUGUAAUAUAUUAAGAUUAAUUUUGAACAAUAGCUUAAAAAAAAUCUCAAUUUCUCAAUAUCAAGAUUAUAUGUCAAAAAUGAUAAGUAAAAAUAGAAUUACAAUUAGGAAAUUAGUGAUAAGUAAAAGCGAAUAGUAGGAGUAACACUGAAAACACAUCAAAAAGAUAUACUUUCUCGAUUGUAUUUUAUGAGGCAUAUUUUGAUCGGGCACAAAGUUUAAGAAGGAAUGACAAUUGUCCUUUAUUAAAAAAUAUACUACUACUAUCUUUAAUUAAAUGAGACUAAUAAGGAUAAAAGUAAAAUUGUAUCUUUAAAUAGUUACCAAAUAAGGAAAUAUGACAUUCUUUUUAGAGUGGACAAAAAAAAAAUGACGACAUAUAAAAUGGGGCAGAGGAAGUAUGUUAAUACUAAAAGGGCAGCUUGAUGUGGCAGUGGAAGUAUGUUAAUACUAAAAGGGCAGCUCGGUGUACUAAAGCUUCUUUCUAUAAGGGACUGUGGAGAAGGGCUGGACUGCAAGAAUUUUAGUGUGCGCAGCAUUAUCUUGCAUUUCUGACAGAGGUUGUUUCUAUGACUCGAACUCGUAACUUCCUAAUCACAUGACAAUAAUUUUAUCAGUUACUCUAAAACUCCCCUUCAUUUUUUUUCGAUUUGAUAAAAAUAUUAAGAUAAGCAAAAUAUAAAAGAUACACAUAUAAUUCUUUUUGCAAACCCACUUAUAUGGAGUAAUAAAAACUUAUAAGCUAUCAAAAAUGAUAUAUGCAUGGGAUUUCCUGUUUGGUUAAAGUUUUAAUAGGUUAAUUUCAUGUAUAAUUGUAGACUUUUACUCAUUAAUGACAAAAUUAUUGAACUUUACCUCUUUAAUAAAGUAGUAGAUUUAAUGGCAUUAAAAAUCAUUAAUGAGUUUUUAUUAUGUAUUUAUAUAUAUUGAGUACAAGAAGUGAUAGACAUAUCUCAAACUAAAUCAAUCAAUUAGAAAAACAAUUUCUAUUCCAAUGGAGAAGUUCCUCCAUGUUCACCUUUUGAUUUCAAUUAUUUUCUCAAUUUUUGCUUGUAAUUUUAUGCAAUGAACAUUACUUUUCAUCCCUUAACACCACUUAUAUUAUGGAAUAUGUCAAUUGAUCCAACGAAGCUUCCCGAUCCUCCGAUGCCAUCCUAUACACUCAACAUUUACAAUCUCUAUUUAUUUGAAAAGUCAAAAUUCAAGGACUAUGACUUGUUACUCGGAAAUAGGUUUGCCAGUUGUCAAGCUAGAGGAAAUCAUUUGGCAUCGGUUCUUGAAAAUGGUGAUGCGAUUAGUUCGAAUGGAACUCUGGUAAGGCCACACGACGAGCAUGAGCGCAAAGUCUCCAAUGAAAAGGUUCCGGUAACAACAAGUACACAUUUCAUAUGUCAAUAUGUUGCAUCUUUUACUCUCUUUUUUUUGUUUCCCAUCCGGCAUCCGGUGCCCGUAUUGGAGCCCUAACUAAUCCGGAUCACACGUAGCAGGGCCCAUUAAAGUAGCAACACUCCCAAUAGAAUUUUCUCCAUACCCAGGGUCGAACCCUGGACCUUUGGUUAAGGGUGGAGCAGCCUCAUCCAUUGCACCACAACCCAUAUUGGUGCAUCUUUUACUCACUGAACAAGUUAAAAGUUACUUGCUAAUAGACACUAGUAGUGAUUUAGUUUGGUGGCAAUGUGGAGCAUGUAAUGCAAAUGGAUGUUACAAACAGAUAAAUAAUCCUUUAUAUGUUUCAACUAAUUCAAAAACAUAUCGAAAACUCGAUUGCCUUGUAGAAAGUAGAAACUGUGAAAUCACGAAUAAGGAAUAUGAUUGUAGUCCGUAUGGUUCCAAUAUGAAAAAACAUAGCUUCCACACAACGCCAUUUAAGAAAACAACAUCAGCAACGCUAUUACAAGAUUUCAGAUUCCCUUCCGCUUACUUCGUCAACCUUUAUCAAGUUUUUAUUAACGAUAUGGAAGUCCCAAUAUUCCCAUCAUUGUCUAGGAAUUUCAAAAAUUAGGCCAUGAGCAGUAGCUAUAUCGCGGACACAGAAACAUUUAUUACUCAUUUUCCUCAUGAUUUUUAUAUUGUAUUUCGUUACACAUUAAGAUAACAAGUACGUGGUAUUCCUAUGGUUAAUGUUCCACCUGGAUCAGUUUAUGACACUUGCUAUAAAGUGGAUACGACUGGUCUGGAUCCACAUUUCCCCAUUAUGACCAACCAAAUGGCCCCUCCGACCCCAACAAACCACGCUUCCCUUUGCCUCAGCCUACCUGAGAGCACUUGGUCCAUUUUCUACCCAAAACAUACUCGGUCACUGGGCCCACCUCCAGAACCAUGAGCUAUAGCACGCUGAUUUAGCCCAAGAAUGGCCCAUUAGCAUCAUUUCACUUGUUUGACCACCCAAAUAGCCCACCCAACCCCAUCGACCCAUACUAUCCCACUUUUAAGCCUGCCUUGGUGCCUCUGGUCGAUUUGCAGACCAAAACAUGAUCGAGCCCCAAUCCAACCCCUAAAAUCAUGACUUAUAGCAUAUCUAUUUGGCCCCAAAAAUAGCAUGUUAUUGACGUUUUGCUUGUUUGACCACCCAAAUGGCCCCGUCGACCCAAACGACUCACUUUCCAGUUCAUCAGUCUAUUUGGAAGCCUUGAUCAAUUUUCGACCCAAAACAUGCUCGAACCCCAGGCCCACCCAGAACUGUGAGCUAUAGGACACCAAUUAUUCCUAUAAAUCACCCAUUUGCAUUGAUAUUCCUGUUUGACCACCCAAACAGCCCCGUCGACCCCUGCAACCCAUACAUCUCUGCUUUUCAGCCUACCUGAGAGCCCCCAGUUGAUUUUUGACCCAAAACAUGCCCAGGACCACCCCAAAAUCGUGAGCUAUAGCUCACCAAUUUGGCCCAAAAAUGGCCCGUUUGCACCGUUUUGCUGGUUUCACCAAACAAAUGGUCCCUGCGACCACAACAACCCAUAAUUCCCCGCUCCUCAUCCUACUUGGCAGCCCUCAAUCGAUUUUUAACCCAAAACACAUUUGGGCUCUGGGCCAACCCCUGGAAUUGUGAGGUAUAAUACACUGAUUUGGCCCAAAAAUAGCCCGCUCGCAUCAUUUUGCCUGUUUAAUAACCCAAAUAGCCGCGCCGACCCCAACGGCCCACACUCCCCGCUUUUCAGCCAACCUGGGAGCCACAAUCAAUUUUUAGUCAAAAACACACAUGGUCCUUAGGCACACCCUCUGAACCGUGAGCUAUAGCACCCCAAUUUUGCCAAAAAAUAGCUCAUUCACACCGUUUCAUCCAUUUGAUCACACAAACGGCCUAUCGCCACCCAAAGGCCCACACUCUUCCUCUUAUUAUCCUGCCUAGGAUCCUCUGGUCUAUCCUUUGGUCUAUUUUCAACCUAAAACAUGGCUAUGCCCUAGGCCCACACCCGAAAUCGUAAACUAUAACACAUCAAUUUGACCAAAAAAUGGUCCGUUCAUGCCAUUUCAUCUGUUUGACCACCCAAAUGGCCCCACUGGCCCUAACGACCAAUACUUCCCCACUCCUCAGCCUGCUUGGGAGCCUCCGAGCAAUUUUUAGACUAAAAUAUACCUGAGCCCAUGGCCCACCCCCGGAACCAUGAGUAAUAGCGUAACGAUUUGGCCUAAAAAUAGCACGUUUACGUCGUAUCGCCCGUUUGACCACCGAAAUGGCCUCAGGGAAUUUUGGACAAAACAUGGUUGGGACUUGUGUGGGACCAUCAGAACCGUGAGCUAUAUCACAUCGAUUUGGCCCAAAAAUUGCCCGUUCAUAUAGUUUUGCCUAUUUGACCACCUAAACAGCCCCACUGAUCCCAACAGCCUACACUCCAUCACUUGUUAGCCUGCUUGGGAGCCCCCGAUCGAUUUUUGGGCCAAACACACCCGGUCCCCAAUCAUAUCCCAGAACCGUGAGCUAUAGCACACCGAUUAGGCCUAAAAAAUGGCCCGUUGGUGCAGUUUCACUUGUUUGAUCACCCAAACGGCCCUAUCGACCCAAACAACCACGACUCCCUCGCUUCUCAACCCGCUUAGGUGCCCCUGAUUGAUAUUUAGCCAAAAAUAUAUGACCACACCCCGGCCCACUCUCAAAACCAUGAGGUAUAGCAUACCAAUUUAGCCCAAAAAUGGCCUAUUUAUGUCGAUUCACCCUUUUGACCCCCCAAACGGCCCCAUCGACCCUAACCACCCACACUUCUCUGCUCCUCAGCCUGCCCGAGAGCCCCCGAUCGAUUUUUGACCCAAACUACACCCGGUACCUUGACUCAACUUCAAAAUCGUGGGCUAUAUCACACCAAUUUUGCUCAGAAAUGGUUCAUUCGUGCCCUUUUGCCUGUUUGACCAUCCAAAUAGCCCUACCGACCACCGCCGACCCCAACGACCCAUACACUCCUAUUCCACAGCAUGCCUAGGAGCCUCCAGUAAAUUUUUAGCCUAAAACAUGCUUGGGCACCGAGCUCACCUCCAAAAUCGUGAGCUAUAGAAAACCAAUUUGGCCAGAAAAUGGUUCAUUCAUGCUGUUUCACUCAUUUUACCACUCUAAUGGCCCCGUCGACCCCAACGACCCAUAGUUCCCCGCUCCUCAGCCUGCUUAGGACCCCCGAUCAAUUUUUUUCCCAAAACACGCCCGAGCCCUAGGUUCACUCCCAAAACUAUGAGCUAUAACACACCAAUUUGGCCUAAAAAUGCUUUAUUUGCGCCAUUCAGCCCAUUUGACCACUCAAACAGCCCUGUCAAACCCAAUGACCCAUAUUAUCCCGCUCUUCUUCCUGUCUGGGAACACCCAACCAAUUUUUGACCCAAAACAGGCUCGAUCCCCAAGCCCAUCCUCAAAACCGUGAGCUAUAGCUCACCGAUUUAGCCAAAAAAUUACCCAUUGGUGCCAUUUUGCCUGUUUGACCACCCAAAAAGCCCCAUCGACCCCAACAGACCACACUUUCUCGCUCCUCAGCCUGUCUAGGAGCCCUCUCCUUAAUUUCAAUCUAAAACACGUAUGGGCCUUGGGCCCACCCUAAGAAUUAUGAGCUAUAACACACUGAUUUAGCUUGAAAAUAGUCUGUUCGAAUCAUUUAGCCUGUUUGACCACCCAAAUGGCCCCAUCAACCCCAACGACCCACUCUCUCCCACUUCUCAGCCUGCCUAGGAGCCGUCAAUUGAUUUUCAGUCCAAAACAUUUUUGGGUCCCAAGCCUACCCCCAAAAUCGUAAGAUAUAACACACUAAUUUGGCCUAAAAUGGUUUAUUUGCAUCGUUUCAUCUCAUCUGACAACCCAAAUGGUCCCGUCGACCCAAAAGGUCCACACUUCCUCGCUCUUAAGCCUUCCUAGGAGCCCCCAGACCAUUUUUUGCCCAAAACACGCUCGAACCCUAGGCCUACCUCCAAAACCAUGAGUUAUAGCACGCCGAUGCACUAGGAUUUCGUUAUGUGUUUUGUCCUGCUCAUAUUUCUUAGAUCCACCUCUACCCCACCUAAAACCAUCCAUAACCAGUAUUUUAAACCUCCGCACUGAAGAAUUAGAUCCCUUCUUCAUCACGUGGCCGAACCAACGUAACCACAUAUUUCGCAUCUUAUUCUCCAUCGAAGCAACUCUCACCUUCUCUCGAAUAAUUUUAUUCCUCACCUUAUCUUUCCUAGUAUGUCCACACAUCCAUCACAAUAUUCUUAUCUCGGCCAUCUUCAAUUUUUAGAUGAGGGAGUUCUUAACUGGCCAACACACCACUACAUACAAAUAGCCGGUCGGACUACCACUCUGUAGAACUUACCUUUAAGGUUCGAGAGCACCUUCUAAUCAUAUAGAACUCCCGAAGCGAGCCUUCAUUUCAACCACCCUGCCCCAAUAUGAUGCAUUACAUCCUCGUUAAUCUCACCAUUCCCCUGAAUGAACCUGACUCUGAUACCAUGUUGAAGUGUGUGACCAUCUCAUCUAAAAGUUUAACUAUUAGUGAGAGUACACUUUUACUAUUUAAUUAUAUUUUCAAUAGUUACUUAAUAUGUUAUUUUGUCAUUGAACAAAUGAACUUUACGUGGCAUUGCAAACUGAAGAAAGACACAAUUUUUCUUUCAAACAGUUCAAGAAAGAAUCUUUUUUCCUUUUGAAACAAAGAAAUAGAGCCACAUUUAUUGGCUUGUUUUGUCCCUACAGUUGAACUAAGAGCACUUUGAGUGGAGGUUUUUUCUAUUAUUAAGGAUGUCCAAUUUUGGAAAAGUACUACUUUAGUUUAUAAAAGAAUGGUAGACGAAACAAUAUAUUAAUUUUAUAGAUUAUAUUAACUCCUAAGUAGCUACCAAACCUGGAAUUACUUAUGUAGGAUCCCUACAUUACUCGUUGCUAAGCCAGCUACCAAAUGACCCCUUAAUACCUUAUUUCUUUGUUCAUUGAGAAGACAAAAACCAAUGCAAGCAUAAUUCAAUUUAUGUGUAUAAUAUGUUCAAAACCACGGUGCAGAAUAAAUACUUUACAUAAAUACAAAACUUCCUAAAUGAGUUGACCCAAUUGAUAUAAACGGUUUGAUUCACUCAGCUCCUGAUUCAUCAAUUGAUGACUACCGUAUUUUUUCAUGAGAUCUGGCAGGUAGUUUUUUUUUAUAACCAAAUUUUUUUUAUAGCAAAAAAAAAAUGUACCACUAAUGCCUCUGCAUCAACAAAUCUUCUAAAGCAACUAGUAAAAGGUGAGAGACUCUCUUCUCAGCUAUAGAUUUUGGUGAAUCUCUUCUUGAAAUUGAUGAAAAUUAUUCACCAUCAUUUCGACCUAUUUUGUUACUUUUCUCAUUUUCAGUUCUCUUUAUAAAAGUCAUUAUUGGAUCUUUUCCCCUAGCAAUUUAAGUGGUUGAAAUGGAGCAACGUUUUCAGGUGCAUCUUGUGGUGGAAGCUCACCAGUGUCGGCAUUUGCAGGCAACUUGGAAGAUCCAGUUUAAGAUGGACCAACUUCCUUCAAAAUAAACAAGAUUCAAGAUGGGUCAUUUUGACUGACCCUUUUUCCCUAUCUAUGUGCAAUGAACAUGUUGAUAAUAGUAGGUAUCAUAAUCUAGGUCCAACUGCUAGGUUAGAUAGUAACUCAAGAAUCUUUUAUCAACUCCCCUUUCUUAAGAACCCCAAAAAAUAAAUAACACUUGAGCAAAAAAAGUAAACUCAGACACAACAAAUCUUGAUUGUAUGAGAGGUUAUACAAAGUGGGGUUUGUAUAUAUACUCAAAUUUAGGACCAAAAUUUGGAAAAAAAAUUGAUUGACAUGAAUAAAUACUUCAAAUUGUAAUCUCCACUUGAAUUCACUCACAUUUAUUGCAUUUUUCUCAAAUUUUGGGUUUAAAAUCCUUACAUUUUUUCAAGGUGUUUGUGCUUUUCUCAGUUAUUGUUACUUGAAUAAUUAUGUUAUUUUGGCCUUGAACUAAUAAACUCUAUGUGGCAUAAUAAACUGAAGAAUUACACAAAAGUUUUGUUUCAAAUAGUUCAAGAAAGAAUGUUUUGUCUUUUUGAAACAAAGAAAUAGAGCCACAUUUCUUGGACUGAUUUGUCCACUCAUAGUGCUCUUGGUUUUCAUAUAGAUUUCCAAUUCAUCCUAGACAAUUUCAACACUAAGUUGGCUGGAUGGAAAAUUAAAUUCCUCAAUAUGGCUGGCAGAAUCACCCUUACCAAGUCCUCCCUUACUAGUAUUCCUGCUCAUGUCAUUUAAUUUAUCUUGAUCCCCUCUAAAAUCCACUAAUUUAUUGACAGAACCCAAAAGAAAUUUUUCUGGGGCACCACCCCUGAUAAUAACAAAAUGUAUCUAAUCAAUUGGGAAACCUUGACUAAUGCUAAAGCUAAUGGGGGCCUGGGCCUCAAUAAAGCUUCCAUUAGGAACACCACUACGUUAUCCACUCUAGACUGGAGACUUUAUAAGCAUUCCAACAGUCUCUGGGCAAAAAUUCUUUAAAAUAAAUUAGCCCCCAUGGCAUAUCCAUAAAAGCCAACAACUUUAGAACUUGGAAAGGUGUCCUUGUGGGUUGGGAAAUUUGUAAAACUGCCUCCUCUUGGAACAUCCAUAAGGAUGACUAGAUCAACUUCUGGAUGGACAGAUACUCACUUUGAACUCCUUUUUUCCAUCAUCCAAGCCCUUUUUUCUUAUCAUUCCCAAGACAUUAAACUCUCUAGGUCUAGAGGAAUGGCUCCUAAACCUCAAGGAUCUUUCAGUUGAAAUCCCUAAGGAUCUCAUCCAAACUUUCACCAAAUCUAUUUUCCCCAAUCCCAGAGCCCAUACUGAUGAGCUCAUUUGGAAUCUCUUUGGUAAUUGUCUGUUCUCCAGCAGAAGUGCUUAUAAUCAUAUAGCCAAAACCUCUAAGAUCAAUUACUCCUCUAAUUAUAACUUAAAUUGAAGGCUAAAUCCCCUAAAAAGUCAAAACCUUUCUUUGGCUAAGCCAGCAUGAUAGGUUCCCCAAUAACCUCAAGCUCUCCAAGAGAGAAGUGAGACAAAAUACUAGUUGUGCUAUCUGCAAUCAUCACCAGAAAGACAAAUCCCACAUUUUAUUUAAGUGUCCCAUCCUCAAAGAUUUUGGAGUGCAAACUAUCCACAAGAUGACCCAGUCCAAACAACCUCCUAUUACCAGUCUCUACCCUCUUAUUGGCAUACUAUCUGGAGAUCUCUUGAACAUUCCCAAUUCAAUAGACUAAUCCAUUGGCAUGACUUCAUUCCUUUCAGCCUCUAGACAUUAUGGAACACCAGGAACUUAAUACCUUCAAUAAAAAAAAAGGAUCAUCCCAAUUUUAACCAUGCUUACUCCCAAACUGUUGAGUAUAAACAUCUUUCUCCAAAGAAUACCCCAAUCAAGCAAAACCAAAUCAUCAAUGUUAAGUGGAAUCCUCCCACCUGCCACACCUUCAAGCUCAACACUGAUAAUUCUUGCCUUUGAAACCUCGGGAAGGGUGGAAUAGGAGGGGUAGUCAGAUCCAAUAAUGGAGGCUGAGUGUUAGAUUUUAACAAAAACUUUCACCGGACUAACAACAACAUGAUGGAACUUAUGGCUCUCAUUGAAGGAUUAAUACUAGUAGAGCAAAAUAAUCUUCUCCCCAUUGAAAUUAACAUUGAUUCCAUAGAAGUUAUAUCUAUGUUAACUAACGGGAACCUCCACUAUGAUACUUUGAUUUUGGAACGCAGGUCAAAAUUAAAAAGGCUAAGGAAUCCGGAAGUCAAGCACUGCUAUAGAGAAAAAAAUGGAGUGGCGGAUGCUUUAGAAAAAGAUGGAGCAAGGGCAAGCGGGUUUCAGGAGACUACCCUUUUUGAAGUUCCACCGAUAUGUGCAAAAGAUGCAAUUUGAGCAGACAUCUCAGAAACUUUCUGAGAGAACUAAUGAUUUUAACUGGCCAUGCCAGAACUAUUCCUUUUUGAACCCUGACUAAUCGUCAAAAAUUGAAACUUAAACUGCGUUCUCUUUUAUAUUAAUGCAUGUCCUUUCUACCAAAAAAUAAUAAUAAUAUUUCGCUUAUUGAAUCAUCGAAAAGAAGAGAUGUUUAUAUUAAUUUAAAUUGAUGGACCUUGAACAUUCACAAAGAAAGAUAAGUUGAAAAUGUUAUAUCAUUCCUGCAUAUCAAAAGAAUGUUAUCAAAUCAAGAAUAAUUUUUUUAAAUGAAAAAUUAAAAAAUGCAGUAAAUAAAUUCACAAAUAAAGCAAAUGAUAGAGAAGUAUAUGUAAGAAAGGCUAAGUGAUAGAAUUUCAUUUAUAUUCAAAUUUCAUUUAAAUACAAAUUCAAAUAUCACAUAUGUUUAUUUAAAUAAGAUUAAUUUAUUAUUCUUCCUUAUCCUUAUUCUUACAUUUUUCAAAUACAAUAUAUAUUUAAAAUUAAUAUAGAUUUGAGUUGAGAUAAAUAUUGAAAUCAAUGAGACAAUACUAAUACUAAUACUAAUAUUAAUACUAAUAACAUUUUAACUAUUUUUACUUUACCACUAUUAGAUUGCACUACUAUUACUAUUACUAUUACUAUUAUUAUUUGUUCAUUGUUUUUUCAGAUAAAUAUUAAGAUAAAUCGUGUAGCAAAAAAAAAAUUGGGUGCCAUGAUUACUAAUUAAGUACAUCUCAAUUAUAAGUUUAUCUUUGAAUGUAUGUUUUAUCUCCAAUUUAAAUUCAAAAAACAAUUGAUAGAAUAACCACUAUCUUAGAUGAGUGGUUAAAACCGUCAAUAUAGGUCAGGCUCGUUGGGAUGGCCCGACCCAACCUGUUAUUUGAUAAGGCUGGGCUAUAAUUUUUAUAUCCCAUUUAAGAAUAGGGCUUUUUAGCCCUUCAUGAAUAAGUCUAUUGACCCGUCGGCUUGAGCAAUAUGGGUUUGGGUGACCUAUGGGUCAAAUAAAAAAAAUUAAAAAAUAAAAUAUAAUACUAAAAAUAAAAAAAGGAGUCCAAACUCAAAGUUUAUAUGAACCAUCAUAUAUAUAUUUAAAUAUUAAUUAUAUUUAUAAAUCAUAUAAAUAACUAAUAUAUAAAAUAUACUUUUUUUAAGAAAUCAAAUAUGUUUGAUGAAGAUGACGUGGCGAUGUUUAAUACACCAUAAAUGCCAUAAGAGUUUUCUUUAAAACAUUUAUUUUAUUUUUAAUGGACUAAACAUUGACAUUUCUUUGUGUUUUAUUGUGAUCAAUUAAAACAAAAUUAGGUUAAUAUUGUUAUUUAGCGAGUUAUAUUAUUACUCAUUAAUUAUUUUAUUUAUUUUUCAAUAUCUCUAUUUGAUUUUAAUUUGGUGUCAAAAGUUAUUCAAUUUCACAGAUUAUUAGGAUCUUUUUGUAAAUUUGAGACUUAUUUAAUGAGUAGUAACUUCAAGCAAUAUUAUAUUGUAAAUAUUUAUGCAAUUAGUUUUUUAUAAUUUAAAUUAAGAUUAUAAAAAUAAUAUAUUUUAAAAAUGGGCUGUCCCGUGGAGGCCCGCAACCCAUUGUGUGACUGGUUGGGCUUGUUAUUUUCUAGUCUAUCAUGUUGAUGGUUCAGCCUGGCCGCGCCCGUCAAACUCUAAAGCCCGUGUGAGCUAGCCCGAAUGAGUUGGUCCAAUCCAUAUUAACAACUCUAGGAGCAGUUAUAUAAUGAUAAGAAUCCAAUUAGAACUGUUUAGUAUUAUAACUAUCUACUUAUAAUAUAUAAUUUUAUAUUUUUUUAAUAUUAUUUUAAAUUUAAAAUCAACAAUUUAUUUGUAACGCCCCAAGAUCCCAUCCCGAGACAUCACACAGUGCUUAAGGACAAACGCGGCCUCAAGCUAACCCUCUAAACUUGUCAUCACUUCUAGAACUCACUUUGACAAUAGUCAUGCUAAUAUAAGAGAGAAUGAAAUAUCAUAAACAUACUAGAAUAAGAUACGAAACUAGCAUGUACAAUCCAAAAUACUGAAAUUCUAUACAUACCAACCCUUUAGCCUGACAAAGCCUCUAUACAUCAAAAUCAAGGAGACAUUUGGACACACCUCCAACUGACUCAAACAGUACUGAAAGCCAUAACAACAAAACAGGAUCACAAAAUUAUAAACACGGUCCUCAAACCAUGAGGACUCACCGCUGAGCAGACGAAAAGAGGCACCCUAAAAUCGCUAACGCAGCUGAGUACCUGAACCUACAUUAUGAGAAAAUGUAGCCCUUAGAAAAAUAAGUGGGUCAGCACUUUGAAAUGUAGGGUGCAUGCAACAAUGUCAAUAUCGUCAUCAAUUUCAUGAAAAUAUGCAUAUGUACAAUGAUCGCUCACUUGGUUUGAGUUAGAUUGAAACAUACUUUUCAUGUUCUCAUCAUAAAUAAAUCAUAUGAUAAAAACCUCAUAAAUCAUCAUAAAAAAUUCAACUCUUCAACUAAAGACUCGGAGUGACUCUGUAAUUCAAGAAACUCGACUCUUAUGGACUUGGCUCGCAUAUCAGCUUUGUCUUCCCAAGUAGCACUCUCAAUACUUUGAUUUUUCCAAAUCACUUUAACUAAAGGAACUUUUUUUAUCCUUAGCCGAUGGAUCUAAAAAUCCAAAAUCUUAACCGGAAUCUCCUUGAAUGAAAAGUUAUCCUGAAUAUCUAAGCUUUCGGAAGAAUCAACCACAACAGAAUCACCAAUACACUUUUUAAGCAUAGAAACAUGAAAUACCGGAUGAACGCUAGACAACUCUGCGGGUAAAUCCACCUCAUAAGCUACUUUCCCAACAUGGCUCAGAACCCUGUAUGGACCAACAUAACGGGGACUAAGAUUUCCCUUCUUCCCAAAUCUCUUUACCUUUUUCAUGGGUGAAACCUUUAAGUACACCAAAUCAUUAACAUUACACUCAAGAUCUUUUCUUCUCACAUCCGCAUACGACUUCUGACAACUUUGAGCGGUUUUCGCGGUUUUCAAUCUUUCUCAAAUCAUCUUAACCUUUUCCAUAGCCUCGACCACAGCAUCCGGCUGAAUCACAGCUGCUUCUCCUACUUCAAACCAACCUAUGGGCGAUCUACAUCUUCUCCCGAACAAAGCUUCGAAUGGAGCCAUCUGAAUACUAAUAUGGAAACUAUUAUUAUAAGAAAAUUCAAUCAAUGGCAAGUGCUCAUCCCAACUACCUUUGAAAUCAAGCGCACAUGCCUUCAACAUGUCCUCCAAGGUCUGAAUAGUCCUCUCAGCCUGACCAUCAGUCUGCGGAUGGAAAGCAGCACUUAGACAAAUUUGGGUACUGAGACCCUUCUAAAAAGCCCUCCAAAACUGGGAAGUAAACUGAGUACCCCUAUCAGAGAUGAUAGCCAAAGAACUCCAUGCAAUCUGAAUAACUCACGGAUAUACAAUCUAGCAUAAUCCUCAGCUGUAUAAGACGAAUACACUGGCAAGAAAUGAGCUGAUUUAGUCAACCGGUCUACGAAAAUCCAAAUCGAAUCAUGAUGAUGACAAAAAGGAGGCAAACUAAUUACAAAAUCCAUAUUCACUUCUUCCCAUUUCCAAGUAGGAAUGCCAAACUCUUUCAUUACACCACCGGGCCUCUGGUACUCUACCUUAACUUGUUGACAAGUAGAAAACUUUGCCACAAAUCCUUCUAUGUCUUUCUUCAUACCGUUCCACCAAUAUAUUUCCCGCAAAUUGCGGUACAUCUUGGUAGCACCGGGAUGAAUAGAAUAGCGUGCACCAUGUGCUUUAUUGACACCUAAUUUUUGUCCUCCACAACUAAAUUUAAUCCUGAGUUUCUUCGAUUCUUAAUAAAAUAAGAAUAUUUAUUUCAUUCAAAUAAAAAAAAUUUAAAAAUAUAUUGUACUUAAUUUUGUCAUCUUAAGUAGCAAUUAUAUAUUAUCGUGUUCAAAUAUAUGAUAUUAUAUGAUUUGAUUACUUAGAUAUUUACUCUAUGAAAUAUCAGAUUUCAAUUAAGGAUCAUUUCUAAAAAUAAUAAUUAAAAUCUUGAUCUAAAUAUAAUUUAUUCUCGAAAAUAAUUUAUUUGGAUAAAUAUGCAUUUGAUUUUAUUAAUUCAAGAAGCUUAGGAUUAAACAAGGUGUUAAUUCGUAUUGAAUUUCUAUUUAAUUUAGUCAAUUUAUUAAAUUAAAUCUUAAUUGAAAUUAAUUUAACCAUAAUUGCAAUGUAAUUGAUCAAUUUAAUUAGAAUUAGGCUAAAAUUUAAAAAUGAUUGUCUAAAUUUUCAUCCAUUGGCUAUUUGAUAAAUAGCCUAAAUCGUUACAUUAUUAAAUCCUAAUUCUACCCAACAAUAUUCAGAUCCCUCCAGCCUAGUUCCUUUUCAUAUUAACAGGCCCAAAAUCCCUGACCUGGCGCACCAUCAACAAAUCCCCCUUUCUCCCUUAAUCAGCAAGAACUAGUCCCCAACGUAAAAAAACAAUAAAAAAUAGAGUACAACUCCAGGAACUCGAACAACAACGACAAGCCUGAUUCAGUGAAUCCACCAUUGAACCAACCCAAAAUCAAUCCAAAACCGUUCCUUUUCCCUCUUUCACGCGUCUCACGCAGCAGUAGGAUAAGGAAAACACUCGAACCUUUUAGAAAACGGGCUAGGUGUCAUCUCCAACGAUUUAAUCCCACAAAUUUUGGGAUAACUCGUAUGAUCUCAUAUAAUAUUUGGCUGAUUUCCAUAGGUUUUGGGGAAGAAUUUGUUUUCCCUAAAUCUCAUUGGUCCACCAAUUUCAAUAUUGGUACAAUCAAUAGAUGAAACCCUAAGUGGUGAGAGGAUUUUCGAAUUUCAAAAUUUAAAAACAUCCUUCUUUUAAAUCCCCAAAAGACCCCUAAUUCGAGGGAUAUAAAAAGACCUUUGGGUCACUAUUCCGGGGAAUUUUUGGUUUCUUCUCUCCACUUUUUUCCCUUAGGAGUUGGAAAUUUUAGAAUCCUUAGUUUUUUCUUGUUUAGAGAAAUUUUGGGUUCAAAAAAAGGGGGAAAUACUUAGGUUGGAAAUUUUUAGGUUACGGUUGAGGUUAACUUUCCCUUCUGAUGUGGAAAAAUUAAGGGAGAAAGCUAGGUUGGAACAUUUUUCUGAGAAAAAUUUAUGAUUCGGAAAAACUGAGAUUGAGGGAAGAAAGAAAAAGAAAAGAUUUCCGAAGAAAGAUUAAAUCUUUGAAGUUUUCCGGUGGUCGUGAUCCCCAUAUCAGUUCGUCGUCUUGUUUUGCUGUAGAGGUCUUCAAGACCACAGGUUUCCAUUUUAGUGAAAGGCAACGUUUCUUUGUAGUGCUACGUUGCGAUGAAUUCCUAUUGUGAUUGUAUGACAUGUGGUUUUCAUCAUCUUUAGAUCUCAAUUUCGUGAUUGGUCAUCUACUCUCAGCAUUACUGAUUAAUUUAUGUCCUAAUGUAUCAUGUUGUGGACUGUCUGUGAUUUCAAGUAGUUGAAGAUCAUAUUUUGAUUCUCACUUAACAAUUUUCAUCCUCGUGUUGCCUUGAUUCGUAGUUGUAGUUUUAUAUCUUAAGUGCUGAGUGUAGCACGUUGGGAGGCUAUGAAAGCCCAAAGUUUCAUAUGAUAAACUGUGAGCUUUCAAACUUUGUUGUUGUUUCUGCAUUUAGGACACAUUGAUUUUUAGAGUUUCUAAUUUCGUUAUAAUUCAUCUGGGAGCAUUUGCUUUUGUUCAUACAAUGUUUUUGAUGAAAGUUUUCUUGAAUUCGACUUUCGUGAAUGUCGUAUUGUUUAAAUGAUGAGCUUCUAGCCUAAGGAUUGUUGCUAAUAUCCUGUUCUAAAAAAAAAGAAGGGUUACUGAGUCACUUUAUUCCUGUAAACGAUUGAGUAAAACUGUUGUGUUUCUUUUCUGUUAGAAAGGAUGAUAGGGUCAAAGGGUUUUGCAUUCUCUUUGGGAGUUGCUAUUAGGAGCCUCCUUUGUGACCUUUAUUUAUAAAGGUUAAAUAAAAAGAAGUCUAUUCUAUUUAUAGUAUAUUCUGUAAUUUCACCUGCUUUGAUCUGAGUUUAACACAUACACUUGUAGUUAUUAGUUGAAAAUUGUUUCAAAAAAAAAUAUCUUUUCUUGCGUCGUUACUAACUCGUAUGAGCUUGUAUAUCUCCUUUAUGAAACUUUUAGGAUCUCGUUCGUUUGUCUAUUAAAUACAUCUCUUCCCGCAUCAUCUUAUUAAUGUUGGGUAAAAAAAAUGGUUUUAGUCGCAUUGCUUCUCCCGUCUUUCCUCUUUACUUCAGUACCUAAGGUUAAGAGUUUUUGAUCCGUUUGAAUAUCGAAUAGUUUCCACGUUUUAUUUAAAUCCAUCCUUUCUUUUUCGUAUUAUCAUUUGCUAAAAAAUUUUUGAUAGGAUAAAAGUUGUUUUCAUGUUGUAUGUGUGGUGACAUGCCUAAUAAUGUGCUUACUCUAUCGGAACAUGUUGUUAUUUCUUCUCCCAAAGGUAGGUCUAGUAAAUUUGGGAGAAAUUCUAUUUUAGUUGCUUCCUAAUUCUUCCCAACUCUUUGUUGUUAUCUUGAGUUUUAGUAAUAGCCAUCUAUACCUAAAAGGGCUAGAGAACAUUAAUCACCAAAAGAAAAAUAUAUAUAUAAUAAUAAUAAUGAUUAACACCUGCGCACAUCAAAUUCCGAAUGGAUUCUUGCCCAUUGCAUCUCUUAAUGGGCCAUUGAGGCCCUCCAUGCCUAUCAGGUCAAGCCCCGAAAGAAAACCUAAAAUGAAUUACAUGGCGUACGGAUACGAGAAGUCAAAAGAAGAGAGAAAAUGGGUUAAAGCCCCAUCUUUAAAGUGGCGAAGAGACUCAAAAGUCUCAUUUAUUAGUUUAUUUAUUUACUUAUAGAUUUUAUUCAUUUUAUUUAUUUAUUUAUUUAUUUGGGCCACGAAGCCAAAGUUGUACUUAAUACAAGUGGAGUGAUACUCGAGCCAACGACUCAAAAAGUAGAUUAGGAUAGGUGAAAUGGGUCGAAAACCCAAUUAGACUAGGACAUGUCUUAUUGAUUUGGGCCCAGUGGCCUAAAUCCUUGACUUUCUCCCCUUCCCCUUAUUUUUAUGUUUCUUUACCUUAUGUGUUUUGGUAACCUAGUUAAAUCCUUAGUCAAGUCGCUAAAAAGCUGGUUCUGCAUAAACACCAAAAUCUUUUUCUAAAAUUUCCUUCUUUUCAAAACUAAACCUUUUUCUAGAGUUAGUCAAAGACGAUUUCCAAACAGUCCGGAUAGCCGCAUGUUAGUGGACCUUUUAGGUACCUAACACCUUCCUAAAAUGUUAAUAAGAACCGCUUACUCAGAAUCUCAUAACUUAAACAAUUUUCCUGUUUUAGAUCGUUUGAAGUAACUCUAUAAAGGUUUCUUAAUUCCUUUUCAAAAUUUAGUGGCGACUCUCUUUCAAAAGUCAAAAUUUUCGCAAAACAGAAAUGGCGACUCUGCUGGGGACUUUUCGAACUAGGUUCUAACCAAAUGUUUGAUUUCAUAUUUUGAUUAACUAUUUAUGUGUUUAUAUGUUUCGAUUUUGUAAGUAUUAACUAUCGCAUCUCUUGGCAUAUCCCUGCAUUAUUUAAACUGUUUUGGGGUUUCGUGGAUGUCUAACUUUUUAUGAGGUCCUGUCUAACUUUUUAUGAGGGACUCUAUCAAGAAUAUAACAUGCAGAUAAGACAACUUCGCCCUCAUAUAGUCAGGUAGACCCGAGCUUAAAAGCAUAAAAUUCAUCAUUUUCUUAAGUGUUCUAUUCUUUCGUUUGGCUAACACCAUUUUGUUAGGGUGUAUAGGGAGCACAAAACUCAUGCAUAAUACCUUUUUUCUCACAAAAAUAUUCUAGAGUUUUAGUACCAUAGAGGUAGACCGAAGAAAUAUUGGAGGGAGGUGAUUAGGCUUGAUAUGGAGCUAUUACAGCUUACAGAGGACAUGACCCUUGAUAGAAAGGUGUGGAGAACACGGAUUAGGGUAGAGGGUUAUGGGUUGGGAGCGCGGAGGUAGUAAUAGGGGAGUUUCUGGUUCGUAGUGUUGUGGUUGUAGUUUUUAGGGCUAGUGGUGUUGGAUUUUUUGCAUCCCGUACUAGUUUAUUAUGCACUUAUUUUUUGUGUUUAUUAUACUGUUAGUUUAUUUUGUGUACCAUACUAGUUUGUACAACCUCUCUACUUUUCUUAAGGUACUGGUAUGGUCUGCGUACACUCUACUCUCCCCAGACCCCACUAGGUAGGAAUACACUAGGUAUCUUGUUUUUGUUGUUGGGUUUUCAUGGAUGUCCCAGCCCCUGUUGUUCAAUUCCAAAGUGUGUUGGAAAUACAAAUGUCUUAUUAGCACGUGAGUCGUCUGACGUUGUUCAUAUUUUCAAACUCAAGUUAUCCGCUUGAGAACCAGUGUUCAAGCCCACUUUAGACACCGAUGAUAGAACGAAACCAAAACCCUAGUUUAGGCAUGAGACUAGGACGACCCAUUAACCGAGAGGGGUAUUGGGUCCAUUAGAAAACUUUCCCUGCGUCUAUUGACCUCGAGUCAAUUACAGACGAAUCAUAUUUAUGUGUUGAAAAAAAUACAUAUUUGUCUAAUUCAAUCCAAUAUCCUUUGGGUCGGGGGAAGGCUUAUCUUUAUCUGCUUUCAUGUAGGAUAUGGCUCAACGACAUUCCUAUAAAAAGUUCAAGAUGGUUACUAAACCUAACGAUUUCUUGAAACUAUGGUGGUACCACAUGAGCGCAUAAGAGAAAAAGAUUGUUACAACACACAUUGGGCAUCUUCCUUCUUUGAUCGAGAUGGACGCUUGGCCCGAAAUGAUCCAUAUACUAACAACUUUUUGGGAUGAAUAGAAUAUGGUAUUUCGCUUUGGGGAUGUUGAAUUGACUCCUACCAUUGAAGAGGUAUUGAUUUGUUACGAGAGUACAAAAAUAUGUUUUGAGAGAAGGGAGACACAGUGAUAAGAACAUUUUAGUCCUGGUUGUGUGGGAUAGUCAAUAGAUCAAGGAGGUAUUUUUAAUUGACAAAGACACCUAGCUAGGAGAACGUGAUGGAGAAAAUAUCACUUUUCGUGAGUUGUACCAUCGGUUCGGGAGAUUCAAUGCUUUUCACAAAUUUGGGCUUAAAUAUGAGUCAGAAGCAAAUUAGAAGGAGACGAGAGACUUUGCAUUUGUGGUAGGCCUACUUGGAACCAUGUUGUUACCACAAGGGGAAAAUGGCACAAUUCAUCUGAGGGUUGUUUAAGUGACCCAUGCACUCUUCUUUGGAAUGGAGUACAAUUCUAAAAAGGUAUUUCACAACUUAGCUCCCAUGAUUGUUGCCGGCAUAUAUCGAGCUUUGGGAAGGUGUCAAGUCGAGAAUCGUUUCUUUCAAGGCUGCAACCUUAUAUUAUAAUGGUGGAUGAUGAUGCAUUUGGUAAAAAAUCCUAGAACGGCACAACCCGACCACAAAACAAGGUGGAAUCUACUAGAAUAGCACAACAUGUGGUUGUUUUUACACAAAUUCAAAAGGGAAGCAUCUCAUGAAUUUUGGUUUAAGACUCGGUAUUUCACAACUUAGCUCCCAUGAUUGUUGCCGGCAUAUAUCGAGCUUUGGGAAGGUGUCAAGUCGAGAAUCGUUUCUUUCAAGGCUGCAACCUUAUAUUAUAAUGGUGGAUGAUGAUGCAUUUGGUAAAAAAUCCUAGAACGGCACAACCCGACCACAAAACAAGGUGGAAUCUACUAGAAUAGCACAACAUGUGGUUGUUUUUACACAAAUUCAAAAGGGAAGCAUCUCAUGAAUUUUGGUUUAAGACUCUUGGAGAAUUAAGAGAUGACGAUGUCCUAUGGUCCAUUAACUAUCUUCUUUCAGGGAAAUACAUUAUUCGAGGAGGCGAGUGGCCUUUUCUAGUGCUUUCGGGUCUCAGGGGAACCUGUCCCUACAAUCCUGGCAGAGUUCUUACGCAAUUUGAUAUCAAGCAGGAGAUGCCUCAAAUCGAUUCUAUGCUCAGAUUCUUUAUCGAAUAUGAUGAAACCGAGCCCCCGCUUAAAGACUACAUGAUAAAUGGAUGGAAAAGGAGAAGGUGGACAGAAGUCUUUUUUGUAUAGGGUAUGAACCUGAAGUCAGCGAAACGUACAAGGAGUGGUUAAAAAAGAGCCUGGCCGGAGCAUUGAUUCCGGGACCGAAUGUGUCCACUCGGGUUAUGGAUGUAGAAUCCGAGCAUCAGAUCCAACUCCACAGGCUUCAGGAUAAAUAUUAGAAAAGUGAAAUCAUGCACUGACAGAUGCACGUAGAAGAUGCUUUAAAAAUACGUAUGUUGAGAGAGGAGUUGGAAAGAGCUAGGCAAGAGGUUGAUGAUGCUAGGCAGUGUCUAAUCGAUUUGGAUGAUAGCAUGGCCUCUCAACUCUACAGUAUAAGAAAAAUGACUUACAGUAGCAAGGCACAGUUAUGCGGGAGUCAUCUAAUCAUUAAUAGGUAUCAAAUAGCACAGGAGGUGAACAAGGCAAAGAAGGCAAAGACAGACGAAGGAGCCUCCGGUAGCUAGUUUUUCUAUUUCCCUUGCGUGGGAACUUAUUUUCUUUCAUAUUAUUUCCGUUUUUUCUUAAAGAUUGUAUCCCUCUUUUGUUAUUUUUUGUAGGAAUUUAUGCCCUUUUUUGUGUCUAUAUAAGUUAGGGGAUAAUGGAUUGACUUUAAGGAAGCAUAUAUUUUCUUCAAAAUCGUUAGGCCUGAACCCUUGGCUCAAAAAAGGUCACCCCAGUUAGGAUACGCAUUAUUAUAAUGUUUUGUAUGAUAUAAUUGUCUUAUGUGCUUAUGUGUGUUUAUUUGGAUCAAAGGCAAGUUUAUCCGCUAUACUCCUAUGGAUGAAUUUGGCUAUGACUCAAACAACUCUAUGUUGUUAUUUCUUGUCAAAUAUUUUGCAUUACUUAUCACAUAUGAAAACUAACACAUCUACCUUUGAGUUGUUUUACUUAAAAGAUAGUAGAAACUACUCCGUAUUGAUAUAGGCUGGCAGAACAUCCCUACUUCACCCGAUCAAAAGCAAACAAAAUCCCAUCCUCUGACCAUCAUUCAAUAAUGACUGGAAAUGAUGAAGAAAAUGCAUUGACCAUCAGGGACAAUCAAAUAGAGGAAUAGAGUGAGAUGAUUGUGGAAUUUGCAAGAAAGCUUGAAAUGCUUUAGUAGGAAAUAAAUCGUGCUCGAGAUUUGGCUCUCCUGGCCAUUACUGUUAAUGCUCCCGCUCCAGGAGGAAACGAGACUCCACUCCAAAUCCCUUCCCUCAGUACGCCUAUUCUCGGGGAUUAGCCAAAUAACAUAUCGUCCAUCUCUGCUCCUCCACUCGACCAAAAUACCAAUCAUGAAAAUAACCCAGAUGCCUACCAUCCACAAAAUCCAUGUCUAACACCACAAAACCCAUCUCUGAAUCCAUUUCCAAAUCCCCAAAACCCAUUUGAAAAUCAACAAAAUUUGUGUACAAAUCGACAAGAUUAACUCUCAAAUCCAAAAAAUCUAUCCCUGAAUCUUCCAUUGAAUAUAUCCCCGAAUCUACCAAAUUCAUUUCCAAAUUUGCAAAAUCCUUCUCAGAUGCCACCAAGCUACUCGAAAAUUCCAAAAAACCUUUCUAAAUUUCAAAACGUCCUCCCCACCUACCAACCAACUUACUUUCAUCUUCAAAAUCAAGCCUUCCUUCUAAAUCCCCCACAUGCCAUCAUAUCCCCCGACAUCUAUAAUCCUCUUCCUAAUCCCGAGAUCGACCAUUUUGAAGAGAAGGAGAAAGAGUGAAGACCAAGCAUGAAAUGAAGUUGCUAGCUAUGAAUGAAGAAAUCAUGAGGAUCAAAGAAUCUCAUGGAGCGAGGGACCACGAUGGUUUAGGGUACAAUGACUUAUGUGUUAACCCUGGAGUAGAUCUACUAGAAGGGUACAAGGUCCCCAAGUUUGAAGUGUUUGAUGAUGCCAGAAGUCCAAUGGCCCUUCUAAGGAGGUACUACGAGCAACUGGUGGGGAUCAGGAAAAAUGAGGCGUUACUGAUGCGCCUAUUCAGCCAAAGUUUAAGCGGUGAAGCCUUAGAGUGGUUUAUGUCUCAGCAGCCGAACAGAUGGACUGGUUGGAAAGCAUUGGCCAAGGGUUUCCUUGACAGGUUCUCAUUCAAUAUUGAAAUAGUCCAAACCGAUAUUCACUAGAUCGAAUCAAACAGAAGAGUGAUAAGAUUUUCCAAGACUAUGCUUUUCGUUGGGGGAAGGAAGCUGCCAAAGUACAACCCCCCAUAUCCGAGGAAGACAUGGUAUCUGCAUUCUCUCGCACUCAAGAAGGAGAAUAAUAUACCAGAAUGGUGUCCGCUGUCAAGGUGACUUUUGUGGAUUUGGUAAAAAUAGGAGAAUCAUUGGAAGAAAGUAUUCGGACAGGAAAAAUUGCCGAAACCCUGACAUUAUCCGGGACUGCCAUGUUGUUGAAGAAGAAAAAUAAAGAUGUAGGCACAAUUUCUGGUGGUUCUGUUGCAAAAACAAUAAAGAGGUUCAACUCUAGGAAUGCUUUCUCUUCUCUAUCGCCACCAAACCUUCAGCAUGUGUUCUACGCCCACCCCCAAUACCAAGCUUCACUUUCAAAUGUCCAAAAUCAGUAUCAAACUCUACUCCCAAACAUUGAAUCUCAGUAACAAACUCCACUCCCAAAUAUUCAAUCCCAAUACCAAGAUCCACAACCAAAUAUCUUUCCCCAAUACCAAGUUCCACCUCCAAAUUAUCAGUCGCAUGUCCAACCCACUCUUUCAAAGAACCGAAAAAAUAUCCAAGAACCUCCAAAUUAUCAUCAAGAACCUUAUCCUACAAACCAAAGCCACUAUAACACCCCACGUCCAAACUACGAAAAAAAACCUCCCCGAAACUUCACACCACUAGCUAAAAGUCGCACUCAAUUGUUCGAAAGACUGAAGAACGCCGGUCAUUUGCAACUGAUGCAGUCAAAGCCUGUCAAUCCCAACUCUCGAUUUAAUUAUCCUGAUCAAAAUUAUGCUUAUCAUUCAGGAGCAGCAGGGCACAGUACCGAGGACUAUUUUAUCUUGAAACACAAGAUCCAAGAUCUGAUUCAUCAAAAGGUCAUUACGCUUUAGUCACCGAUGCCAAAUGCCAAUAGUAACCCAUUGCCUAAUCAUGGGGGACCUAUAGUUAACAUGAUUGAAAUGGAAGAAGAAUGGGUGUCUAGCAAGACUAUUACUAAAGUGAAUUCAGAAGAGUACAAAAGGGCGGAAGAGGUAGAAAAGAUAUAGAGAGUUAUGGCUACCUUAAGUGUCAAUGAGAAAGCCUCAUGUAUAGUAAUGACGGCCUCGAUCCAAGUGUACACUCCCCCUCCAACAAAAAAGAUUCACAGAAAAGGCCAAUCACUGAAGGGGAGGCUAAGGAAUUUUGGAGGCAUAUGCAACCCAAAUAUUAGUCAAUUGUCAAACAUUUAGAGAAGAAGCCAGCCCAAAUCUCCAUUUUGGCACUAUUAAUGAGUUUGCAGUACCACCGAUAAGAUUUAUCGAAGGUCUUGGAUGAAGCAUAUGUUCCCAUAGGAAUGAGUGUUGAGAACCUAGCUGUGAUGAUAGGAAACACUGUGGGGGAAUCAUCGCAUAUCAUUCAGUGAUGAUGAGUUGCCGUUUGAAGGAGCGAUGCACAACAAAGCCUUGCAUGUCACUGCUAUUUGCUAAGAUUAUGCGAUUAAUCAGGCAUUAAUAGAUGACAGAUCUGGUGUGAAUAUUUGUCCCCUCUCCAUGUUUGUUCAAAUGGGCUAUGAUUUGGGAAAAAUUCAUCAAAGCUAUGCAAAUGUGAGAGCAUUCGAUGGAGCACAGAGAGAUACAAUAGGAAAAAUUUAUUUGUACAUCCAAAUGGGACCUGCUGAGUUCAAAAAUAAGUUUCAUGUUAUGGAUAUUCAUCCUAGCUACAACCUGCUCUUGGGAAGACCAUGGAUACAUGGUGCAAAGGCCGUUUCAUCACCCCUUCAUUAACUAUUGAAGUUCAUUUGGAAGGAUCAUGAAGUAGUCAUCCAAGGGGAAGGAAGCCGAGCGAAUCAUCCCAAUGGUUAUGUACCAGUGAUUGAAGAUGUUCCAAAGGGUAAUAUUUUCUAUACGGUUGAAAUUAUAAAUGCUGUGGAGAAGGAUCUGACGCUCCAAGCGCCAAUGCCUUCUAUCUAUAAAAUUAUUGAGAUGGUGAUAUUAACAAAUGAAUUCAAGCCUGGUUGGGGUUUGGGGAAGAAUCUACAAGGAAUUAUUGAGAUUGUUAUGAUCCCAGAGAAAGGCUCUAAGUAUGGGUUAGGAUAUCAGCCUACCGAGAAGGAUAUGGUUGAGGAUAAGUCAGAGCAGAGUUUGUGUAGGCCCUUUCCACUCCUGUACCAGUCAUUUGCUGCACAGGAGGUGUCGAAUAAUGAUGGUCUUAAGGAUGGGAUAGGAUAUUUGUUAGAGAGAUGCAAUAUUAUACCAGAAGAUUUCCCAAAGUCCGGCGGGGUGAAAAAGAUUGCGCUAGUAGAGGUCUUGAAAAAUUGGACCUCCACUCCACUCAUAACCCAUCGCUCAUCGUGGUAGAUGAAAGGGCAAUUACUAAUAGUUUUAAAAUCAGUGAUGAUUCGGAAGAGGCCCCGCGAUCCACCUUUUAUAUCUCAAAACUUUCUUUUUGUAUUUUACUGCUUUCAAAAAGGCAUGGAUUUGUAUUUGUGCGAGUCAUGAGCCAUGGUUUUGUAAUUAUCUCGCAAAUUUCAUUGAAAAGGCAUUCAUUCAUUUAAAAAAAAUUAUUAUUCCUAAAACAUUCCUAUUUGUAUAUUUUAUUAUUAUCUCAUUAUCAUCUAACUUGGUUUGUUUGUCCAUUACAGUAACAGUAACUUAAAAUCUGCCAAUGUCAUGUCAUGUCAAAGCUUAGAUGAACAAAAUAAAGGGAAUGAUGAUGAUUGGAAGGACGGUGAUGAGGAACAAUUAUUUGAAGAUAUAGAGGAGUUUGAGAACCGAGAAAAGCCUAACCUAGAGGAAACUAAAAUAGUCAACCUCAGAGAUCACAUGAAAUCAAAGAAACAAGUGUCAGUGUCCACCUGGCAGAAGCACAAAAGAGAGAGCUCAUUCACCUGUUGUGGGAAUAUAUUGACGUGUUUGCUUGGUCCUAUGAUGAUAUGCCGGGAUUGAGCACUAGUAUUGUGUCGCAUAAGUUGCCAAUAAAUCCAGAGUUUGAUCCAUUCAAGCAAAAAACGUUGAAAUUCAAGCCAGAUUUAAGUCUAAAGAUCAAGGAAGAAGUGACAAAACAAAUCUAGUCUAAGGUUGUGGAGGUCAUAAAAUAUCCGACGUGGUUGGCCAAUAUCGUCCCUAAGCCGAAGAAGGAUGGCAAGAUUCGAAUUUGUGUUGACUAUAGAGACUUGAAUAGAGCUAGUCCUAAAGAUAAUUUUCUGUUGCCCAACAUCCACAUCCUCAUCGAUAACUGUGCAAAGCAUGAAAUAAAGUUAUUCAUUAAUUAUUUCACCGGGUAUCACCAAAUAUUGAUGGAUGAGGAAGAUGCAGAAAAGAUGACUUUUAUUAUGCACUGGGGUGUUUAUGAUUACAGGGUAAUGCCGUUUGUUCUCAAGAACAUGGGUGUAACAUAUAUGAGGGCUAUGAUGACUAUUUUCCAUGAUAUGAUCCAUAAAGAGAUUGAGGUGUACGUGGAUGAUGUAAUUAUCAAAUCCUAUGAGAGUUCGAAUCAUCUGACUCAUCUGGAGAAAUUCUUCAACAGAUUAAGAAAGUACAGUUUAAAGUUAAAUCCUGGUAAGUUUGCUUUUGGUGUGCCAUUAGGGAAGUUGUUGGGGUUCAUAGUCAGCAGAAGAGGCAUCGAGUUAGACCCAUCCAAAAUCAAGACAAUCCAGGACUUGCCACCGCUGAGGACCACGAAAGAAGUUAUAAGUUUCAUGGGUCAUUUGAAUUACAUUAGCAGGUUCAUCGCUUAAUCGAUAGUCAUAUAUGAGCUAAUUCUCAAGAUGUUGAAGAAAAAUUCAUUGAAUGAGUAGACAGAAGAAUGUCAAAGAGCUUUUGACCGCAUAAAGGAAUAUCUAUCUGCACCGCCAGUUUUGGUUCCACCAAGAGAAGGAAUUCCAUUAUUGCUCUACCUGUCAGUCUCAGAAAAUGCUUUUGGAUGUGUCCUCGGGCAACAUGAUGAGACUGAUAGGAAAGAGAAAGUCAUUUACUACUUGAGUAAAAAGUUUACGCCAUAUGAAGACCAUUAUACUCUUAUAGAAAGGACAUGUUACACUUUGACUUGGGCCGAACAAAAGUUGAGGCAUUAUCUGUCUUCAUACACGACAUACCUCAUCUCAAGAAUGGAUUCAUUGAAGUAUAUAUUCCAGAAGGCCAUGCCUACAGGAAAGCUAGCCAAGUGGCAAAUGUUGCUGAGCUAGUUUGACAUCGUGUAUGUAACUCAAAAGGCAAUCAAGGGGAUUACUUUGGCAGAUCAUUUGGUAGAGAAUCCAGUUGAUGAUGAGUAUGAACCACUUCAAACUUACUUCCCAGAUGAGGAAAUUCUAUUCUUGGGAGAAGAUAUUACAUAAAUUUACCCUGGAUGGAGGCUAUUCUUUGAUGGAGCGGUCAACUUCAAAGGUUUAGGAAUCGGAGCAGUGUUGGACUCAGAAAUGGGUCAACAUUAUCCAGUAACUGCUAAGUUGCAUUUCCCAUACACCAACAACAUGGCCAAAUAUGAAGCUUGCAUCUUAGGUCUCAAAUCGGCACUUGAUAUGGGUGUUUGUGAAUUGCUAGUCAUCAAGGAUUCAGAUUUGCUGAUUCGCCAGGUACGGGGAGAAUGGGCGGUAAGAAAUUCAAGAAUUCUGCCUUAUGUUGAUCUGGUACAGGAAUUAUGUGGAAAAUUCAAAGAAGUUGAUUUCAGACAUAUCCCAAGGAUACAAAAUGAGCUUGCUGACACUUUGGCCACUAUAUCCUCCAUGAUUUGGUACCCAGAUUAGAGUUACAUUGAUCCUUUGGAAAUAAGAUUGAAGGAGCAACCUACGCAUUGUGCACGUGUUGAAGAGGAGCCCGAUGGAAAACCAUGGUACUAUGACAUUAAAAGGUAUUUAUAAUAUGGAAUAUAUCUUGAAGAGGCCAGCAACAACCAAAAGAAAAUAAUCUAGCGUUUGGCAAAAAACUACUUUCCAAGUGGGGAAUUUCUUUUUAGGAGGACACCUGAUUUAGGAUUUUUAAGAUACUUCGAUGCUGCGGAAGCCAAUAAAUUGAUAAAAGAAGUACACACAAAAGUUUGCAGACCCCACAUGAAUGGGUUUGUCCUUGCCAGAAAGAUCCUGAGAACCGGCUACUUCUGGAUGACUAUGGAGAAUGAUUAUAGUAAGUAUAUGCAGAGAUAUCCGAAAUGUCAGACACACAGAGAUUUGAUUCGAAUGCCUCCACACAAGCUUCAUGCAAUGAAUUCACCUUUACCUUUCGUAGCUUGGGGCAUGAAUAUUAUCAGACCGAUAGAGCCAUCAGCAUCGAAUGGGUAUAGAUUAAUUUUGGUUGACAUUGACUACUUCACUAAGUGGGUCGAAGCUGUGUCAUACAGAGCCGUCACUAAGAAAGUUGUUGCAAAUUUCAUUAGGGAUAACUUGGUUUGCCGAUUCGGAGUGCCGAAAUAAAUCAUUAAUAAUAAUGGGGCAAACUUGAACAGUCACUUGAUGAAAGAAAUUUGUGAUCAAUUCAAAAUCGUGCAUCGCAGCUCGACCGUAUAUCAUCCACAGAUGAAUGGAGCCAUAGAAGCUACCAAUAACAACAUCAAGAAGAUCUUGAGAAAGAUGGUCAAAAAUGAUAGAUCAUGGCAUGAGAUAUUACCUUAUGCUUUGCUAGGAUAUCGCACAACAGUUCAAACCUCCAUCGGGGUAACUCCCUAUUUGUUGAUUUACGGGAAUGAAGCAGUGAUACCUUUUAAGGUUCAAAUACCUUCCCUGAGGAUUAUUUAAGAAGCUAAACUAAUUAACGAAGAGUGGGUUCGUGCUCGUUGUGAACAACUCAUGUUGAUUGAUGAAAAGAGAAUGGUUGCCAUGUGUCAUGGUCAGUUCUAUCUGUACAGGAUGAUUCGUGGUUUCAACAAGAAAGUGAGAGAUCGAACAUUUAAAGUUGGGCAAUUAGUUCUCAAAUGCAUACUCCCUGACCAAGAAGAGUACAAGGGCAAGUUCGCUCCAAAUUGGCAAGGUCCAUACAUAGUUCGCAAGGUACUAUCUGGAGGGGCUCUGAUUUUGUCUGAGAUGGAUGGCCAUGAGUUGACCAAACUAAUCAAUUCUGAUGCGGUGAAAAGAUGCUAUGUUUGAAGGGAGUUAUAGUUUUGUGGUUCUUAGUUUAUCUGUAAUCGCCGUUUAAUAAUGUGUUUUAUGACGUGUAAUUACCUAGAACAGCUUUCACUUUAUCUAAAAACUACGUUUGACCUGAAUUCCCAAGAAAGGGACACGUAGGCGGCCUAUGUCAGCUUUGGGCAACCCCUUAGGAAAUUUAUCCUUUCCCUUUAUGUAUGAACUACGUGAUGACCUAAACUCCUAAUAAAGGGAUACGUAGGCGGCCUAUAUCGGCUUUGGUCAACCCAUUAAUUUCUUUUGUAUAUCCCUAGCGUAGUCCUAAACUACGUUUGACUUGAUUCCUGCUUCAACGGGAUACGUAUGCGCCCCAAUGGCUCGGUCAUAUAACCCCAGGAAAUGAAAACUGGGGCAGAAUUUUUUAGAAGGAAUCUCAAAAAUUCACAAGAGAAUAUCAACAUCCAACAAAGAGAAUGAAGAUCAGCAAAGACUUUAGAUCCACUCAAGAUGAUAUCAUCUCAGACUACUUUAAACUGGGGCAGAAAUUUUGAGGGAGGCCUCAAAAUUUCAAUCAAAUACUGGAAUAUAUUUCAGAUUCCCCAACACUAGAGGUCGAAGUUGAGAUUUGAGAAUAACCACCUGUGAUAAAGUCUAGGAAGACUGAAUCUCCAUCUUUGAUAGAUCCUCGACAAUGCUGAAUCCCUAGCUAUCCUCCGUCAAACGUCAGACAUUGUCAGAAUCAAGAGAAAAAAGGUCGUUGAGCUAAUACAUGACAUGACUGGCAGAGAUUUUUCAAACUUUUGCAGGAGUUCUCGAAACUAUUUUCUAAAAAUUGAGAGUACUUUCAAAAAAUCUACCUAAAUCUUUUACUUAAUGAUUUCCUAGACAUCAAUUAGGACGAACAGUCAUGGGUGGAAGUCCCAACAUCAUGAAAUACCUGAAAGAUGGCGAAGGGCAAAUCAAGGAUCGAAGGAGGUCAACACGGAGUAGUUUCACUCAAACUAAUCAUUUUCUUUGGGCACAGGGACCAAUACACAAAAAUGAGAGUCUCUUUCAAAAAUCCCCAAGCAAAUUGGAAGCCACACCAGAGAAUUAAUGGUUUAGUACCCAUAUAUUGAAGACCUUUUGAAGUGUCCAUCUUAUUUCUUGAGAUCAUGGAGGACAAACAAAAGUGUCUUGUCUUCUUUACAAAUAUUGUAUUUAGAAUUUUUCUAAAAAACAGUCGCUAGCAAAAACAACUUUGUGUCUACUAGUCAUCUACCUUGAGUACAGGUACAUACAAAAAGCAAGACCCUGACAAAUGAUUUCAGGUGAAACUAUUUUUAAUAUAACGAAAGAACCAUUGCAUAUUAUUGCCAAAAAGGGUCAUUGCAUAUUAUCGCCAAGAGGUCCAUCUUAUACUAUUGCCCAAGAAGGAUAUUCAAUAUCUGUUGACUCACUAGACACAACGCUGGCAUCGAGGAUAUCAUCAGUAUUUAAUAUGUCUAUUGACACGCAAGACACAAUGCUAGGGUCAAGGAUAUCAUCAUCAUUUUAUAUCUGUUGACACGUAAGACACAACACUGGCAUGGAGGAUAUCAUCAUCAUUUUAUAUUUGUUGACAUGCAAGACACAAUGUUGGCAUCGACGAUAUCAUCAUCAUUCAAUAUCUGUUGAUGCGCUAGACACAACACUAGCAUCGAGGAUAUCAUCAUCAUUCAAUAUCUGUUGACGUGCUAGACAGAAAUGCUAGCGUCAAGGAUAUCAUCAUCAUUCAAUAUCUGUUGACGCGCAAGAUAGAAACACUGGCGUUGAGGAUAUCAUCAUCAUUCAAUAUCUACUGACACGCAAGACAGAAACACUGGUGUGGAGGAUAUCUCAUCAUUUUAUGAAUCAACAUUUGAAUACAUCGAGAGCACAUGAUUUGAAGGGACACCUUUAAGUCUCUAUCUAAGGAUGAAUGAUAUAUAAGAUUUCCUAGAAAUUGACAAUUUGAGGGUCAUCUAUAAGUCAUAUUAUUUGAAAUAGUAUAGUGUGUAAGAUCACCUAUGAUUUGAUAGCCUAUAGGUCAUCCAUAAGCCACAACAACAUCCUAACCGAAUAGUGUGCAAGAUCGCCCAAAAAUCGAUAGUUCAAAGGUUAUCCAUAAGUACCAACUAAAUCCUUACCGGAGAAUAUGUUAGAUUAUCAAAUUACUAUGUCCAAGGGUUCUCUAUAAGCCGCGUCAUAUCCAGGACCGAUUAUGUGUAGGAUUACCCAAAGACUAAUAAUUUGAGAGAUUAUCUAUAAGUCAUAUUGUAUCCAAGGUCGGAUGAUGUGCAGGAACCCCUGAAAGCUAGCGAUUGGAAGGAUAUCUGUAAGCCAUCUCUUAUCCAAAGUUGGAUAAUGUGCAGUAUUACCUAAAAGCUAGAAAUUCAAAGGAUAUCUAUAAGUCGCCUUAUAUCCAACAUCAAAUAAUGCGCAAGAUUAUCCAAAGAUUGACAAUUUAAGGAAAUUUUAUAAAUCAAUCAUCGGCUAUAACCGGAAAGUUUAUCAUUCCACAUACAACAAGUUAUAUAGGUAACCAAAAGGGUUUCCAAACUAGCAUAAGAUUACACGAUUGUAGGGACCGUUCUACAUAAAGUAUCGCCGGUGUCCAAAAAGGCCACCCCACUUUGAAGACAUAUACAAUCAACAAAUGUCAUAAUUAUACAACAACCAAGAGGUUUGUUCCAUUUGUUGUUGCCAGAUAUUUCAUUCCAAAUAGGUACAUGAAGAGAUGAUUCCACUUUUCAUGCCACAACUCACGUGGAGAUAUGGUAAAAGAUUGCAUUCCUCUUUCGUGAAUUAUGUUUAGCACUAACACUUUUGCUUGAAACAUUGUCGAGAGAAUCCAAGAGGAUGAAAAUCUCAAAUAAAAAACAUAGGUGCGGAUUACUUCAGAUAGGACGCAGCACAACGUGAAACUUUUUCUUAGCAGCAAAAUGGGACAUAGUCUAGAGAGGGACGUCAAACUCUCUGGAUGGGAGCUAAAGGAUUAUCACCACCACCAUCUAACCACACCUCUAUUAGAAGGCAUGUGGGUAUUUCUGGGAUAUUCUGGUUUCCGCUUCAUCUUUGAGAUAUUUCUAAACUCAUAUCGAGGGUAACCUCCUCUUUCUUUCAAAGUCGGGUGACAACACCCUCAGAGUUUAGAAAUUAUGUUCGGGUAAGUUCUUUUCUAUGGUUGUGAAGGAUCCCACAUUCAUGGUUAAGAGGUUACAAGCCUCUUUUCCAAAACUCGAUCAACUUGUCACUCAUCCUGAGCUAAAGAUCAUCUGAAAUAAAAGACUAUCUUUUCUACCAAUCGAGUCGAACUACAAGCAGUCUGAUUUCCUAAAAUCUUGCGGAUAUGUAGGCUAGGAUCUAUGUAGAAAACUUGACUUCAUUCCAACGUCCCCCCUAAUCCCUUUAUUCCCCAGUUUCUUGGUUUUAUCAAAAACUUUAAAACCGAGAUAGUUGAUGGAUUUUCUUGAAAAUCGUGCUUAAGAUCAAGCCUUAUGAACUACAAGUGGCCUGAAUUCUCAUGAAACCUGAGAUAUGUAGGAAACCUGAUACCGAGGUUCAUCCAUAACUCCAUGAAACUCGUGCGGAAAACCAACCUCUCUUAGAUACGAAUUUGUGGUCGGACAAAAAUUGUGAACGUCAACCUCCCUUUGCCCAGGAUUACUUACAUCUAUCCUACCCAAAGGGCGGGGUAGUUGUUGGCACCUAAUUUUUUCCCUCCACAACUAAAUUUAAUCCUGAGUUUCUUCGAUUCUUAAUAAAAUCAGAAUACUUAUUUAAUUCGAAUAAAAAAAUUUCAAAAAUAUAUUUGUACAUAAUUUUGUGAUCUUAAGUAGCAAUUAUAUAUUAUCGUGUUCAAAUAUACGAUAUUAUAUGAUUUGAUUACUUAGAUAUUUACUCUAUGAAAUAUCAUAUUUCAAUUAAGGAUCAUUUCGAAAAAUAAUAAUUAAAAUCUUGAUCUAAAUAUAAUUUAUUCUCGAAAAUAAUUUAUUUGGAUAAAUAUACAUUUGAUUUUAUUAAAUCAAGAAGCUCGGGAUUAAACAAGGUGUUAAUUCGUAUCGAAUUUUGAUUUAAUUUGGUCAAUUUAUUAAAUUAGUCCUUAAUUGAAAUUAAUAUGGCCAUAAUUACAAUGUAAUUGGUCAAUUUAAUUCGAAUUAGGCUAAAAUUUAAAAAUGAUUGCCUAAAUUUUCGUCAUUGGCUAUUUGAUAAAUAGCCUAAUCUCUGCAAUACUAAAAUCCUAAUUCUACCCAAAAAUAUUCAGAUACCUCCAGCCCUGUUCAUUGUCAUAUUAACAGGCCCAAAAUCCCUGACCCAGCCCACCAUCAACAAAUCCCCCUUUCUUCCUUAAUCAGCAAGAACUAGUCCCCAAUGCAAAAAACAAUCAAAAAUGGCAUACAACUCCAGGAACUUGAACAACAACGACAAGCUCGAUUCAGUGAAUCCACCAUCAAACCAACCCAAAAUAGAUCCUAAACCGUUCCUUUUCCCUCUUUCUCACAUCUCACACGGCAGUAGGAUAAGGAAAACCCUAGAACCUUCUAGAAAACAGACUAGGUGUCAUAUCCAACAGUUCAAUCCUAUAAAUUUCGGAAUUCCCAUAGGUUUUGGGGAAGAAUUUGUUUUCCCUAAAUCUCAUUGGUCCACCAAUUUCAAUAUUGGUACAAUCGAUUGAUGAAACCCUAAGCGAUGAGAGGAUUUUCCAAUUUCAAAAUUCAAAAACAUCCUUCUUUUAAAUCCCCAAAAGACCCCUAAUUCGGGGGAUAUAAGAAGACCCCUGGGGUCACUAUUCUGGGGGAAUUUUUUCUCUUCUUUGAGGGAUUUUUGGUUUUUGUAUCCUCUUCUUUCCCUUAGGAGUUGGAAAUUUUAGAAGCCUCUGUUUUUUUUGUUUAGAGAAAUUUUGGGUUCGAAAAAAGGGAGAAAUUCUUUGGUUGGCAAAUUUUAGGUCACGGUUGAGGGUUACUUUCCCUUCUGAGGUGGAAAAAUUAAGGGAGAAAGCUAGGUUGGAACAUUUUUCUGAGAAAAAUUUCUGAUUCGGAAAAACUGAGAUAGAGGGAAAAAAGAAAAAGAAAAGAUUUCCGAAGAAAGAUUAAAUCUUUUAAGUUUUCCGGUGGUUGUGAUCCCCGUAUCAGUUUGUCAUCUUGUUUUACUGCUCCCGAAAAGGUAACGUCCUUUUUUCAUUUAAUUUCAAUUAUAUUUCUGCUCCCUCUCAUCAUUCUAUAGUCAUGACUGUCAUUCCGAAGAUUUUGUAAGGUGGGUUGUCUGCUGUAGAGGUCUUCAAGACCACAGGUUUCCAUUUUAGUGAAAGGCAAUGUUUCUUUGUAGUGCGACGUUGGGAUGAAUUCCUAUUGUGAUUGUAUGACAUGUGGUUUUCAUCGUCCUCAGAUCUCGAUUUUGUGAUUGGUCAUCUACUCUCAGCAUUAUUGAUUAAUUUCUAUCCAAAUGUAUCAUCGUGUGGACUGUCUGUGAUUUGAAGAAGUUAAAGAUCAUAUUUUGAUUCUCGCUUAACAAUUUUCAUGCUCUUGCUGCCUUGAUUCGUAGUUGUAGUUUUAUAAUCUUAAGUGCUGAGUGUAGCUUGUUGGGAGGAUAUGAAAGCCCCAAGUUUCAUAUGAUAAACUGUGAGCUUUCAAACUUUGUUGUUGUUUCUGCAUUUAGGACACAUUUAUUUUUAGAGUUUCUGAUUUCGUUAUAAUUCAUCUGGGAGCAUUUGCUUUUGUUCAUACAAUGUUUUUGAUGAAAAUUUUCUUCGAUUUCGACUUUCGUGAAUGCCGUAUUGUUUAAAUGAUGAGCUUCUAGCCUAUGGAUUAUUGCUAAUAUCCUGUUCUAAAAAAAAAAAAAAAAGGGUUACUGAGUCACUUUAUUCCUGUAAACGAUUGAGUUAAAGUGCAGUGUUUCUUUUCUGUUAAAAAGGAUGAUAGGGUCAAAGGUUUUGCAUUCUCUUUGGGAGUUGCUAUUAGGAGCCUCCUUUGUGAAGUUUAUUUAUAAAG